Molecule: long non-coding RNA, 186987 nt
Filed under: Eucalyptus grandis
Lineage: Eukaryota; Viridiplantae; Streptophyta; Magnoliopsida; Myrtales; Myrtaceae
Description: long non-coding RNA (EGRA_LNC001085)
Source: RNAcentral
UCCCAAAGCAUACCUUGUCCAUUACUGGAACAAGCAAAUCACCAACAACCUUCCCAAGCCACCAAUCCUCUUCACCAAAGCGUCACCUCUGACGGCCGCGUCAGCGACCAUCUUCGCCGAACUCGUUGCCAAAGGCGCCAUCUCGGACCACCUCUUAUCGUUCUGCGAGGAGGCGCAAUUGCUCUGCUUCAUGAACUCAUCAUCUUAUGGGGUCGCAAAGACAAUUGACGCCCAACUAUACAAAGUAUACCCCCGCGGCCCACCCCCGGAUACAAUUGUGGCAACUGAUGACAAGAAAGUAAAUGGGGGCAUGGAGCAGGGCUUGUUCUUUCGAGAGUCGAUGCUGAAGAGCGGGAAUGUGAUGCCAAUGCCCGACCUCCGGGAUAACUUUCCCAAAACGUCAUUUCUGCCUCGCCGCAUUUCCUCCAAACUGCCAUUCUCAACCUCGAAGCUCGCUGAGUUGAAGCAAAUCUUCCAUGCCAUUGAAAAUUCCACUAUGGAGAAGAUCAUGGCACAAACGCUAGGCCUGUGCGAGGGUGCAGCACUCCAAGACGAAACCAAGAGGUGUGUGGCCUCCAUCGAGGACAUGAUCGACUUCGCCACCUCGGUUUUGGGUCAUGACGUCAUGGUCCGAUCCACGGAGAGUGCCAGAGGGUCGAAGCAGGAGGUCUUGAUCGGGGUGGUCAGGAGAAUCGAGGGCAGCGAAGGGAGCAAGCCCGUGGCCUGUCACCAGAGUCUAUUUCCUUACAUUGUCUAUUACUGUCAUGCAUUUCCAAACGUCCGAGUUUACGAAGCAGACAUACUAGAUCCCAAAUCCAAGGCUAAGAUCAAUCACGGUGUCGCCAUUUGUCAUAUGGACACAUCAACUUGGAGCCCUGCCCACGGGUCAUUUCUGUUGCUUGGAUCGGGUCCUGGCCAGAUCGAGGUCUGCCAUUGGAUAAAUGAGAAUAACAUGAUGUGGACAAUUGCCAAGUAAUAAUGGAAGAACGAAGUGUGGUCAAGAUGGAAUAAACAUGGGUUCGGCCUGGUGAUCAAGAGAGAACUUGGUCUCUAGCUACCUCCGACCGAAAGCCUCUCUUGCUUUGCAUUACAAUCUAUUUUGGUAUCUGAAUUUGACAUCAAUAAUAACGUGUUUGUGUUUGGUGUGAAACAGUCGUUAUGGUCAAUAAAUGUCGAGUGUUUUUUUAUUUAUUUGAGUACCUGUUCAAGUCUGUUGCAUUCUCCUGUCCUUUGCGUUUAGAGAUCUUCCUAACUCCUGUCUCUCAAUUUGCGUUACUAUCUUCGAGAAUUUUCUUCAACUUUCGACGAGGACCAAUAAUCAUUUUCACAGUAUUAUUAUUAUAAGAACGAGAGACGGAUAAGAAUGCAGUGUUUUUCGAUAAAAGAAAAAAGUGAAAAAGCUGCAAAAAAUAGUUCAAGUGGCCCAGUGGUUGGGAGUCCCAACGUGAUCGCUUUUUACGCUUGACGUUGAACAACAAGUGCUGCCUGGUUCAAUCUUGAAGUGGCACUUCCCACUUUUUCUUCCUCUCAAUUUUGCUUUUAAACUUUUCUGCAUUUAUCUUUUGUUUGCACUUUCUCGGUUACAUAAACUACAUAUCAUCAGAUUAUUGCUUGCUUUUUCUUUUCUGUUCUUUUCUUUUUUUGCUUUUUUUAAGCGUUUGUCAUUGGAAAAUGAUAAUUCAAUAAGAACCCAUAAUACGGGAUUAGACUUCUAAAAUCCUAAAAACUUCACAUGAAUGAUUCUCAUAUGAUGAAAAUGUAAAAACUAAAUUUACUUUUGUUUUGCUGGAAUUGCUCUCACAAUGAUGUAUCUUGCACCGAAAUUAUUUGAUUUUAUUAAAGAGGAUAAGGGUUAUGUGCCAAUCCCAGACAAUGGAAAUCUUAUUCAAUAAGGAAUUGAACUUCUUUGGUCCAAACAUCACUAAUUUUAGGCUGAGUUGGAAUUUAAUCAAUAACAAGGCAAAAAAAGUUACAGGACCAGUCUCAAACUAUCUGGAAUUUGAUCAACAACACAAAUUAAGGAUAGUAAGAUGUGGAGUCGGAAUUUAAUCAAUGACAAUGUACUAGGAUAGUAAGAUACAAUACUGGAAUUUAAUCAACGACAAUGUACUAGGAUAGUAAGAUACAAUACUGGAGUUUAAUCAAUAAUGAUGUACCAAGAUACAGAAACACGUUGGAAUCUAAUUGGCGAGGAGAAUCUAAAAGCUAUAGCUAAGAAAAUUAAAGUGCAGUAUAGGAAAAGCAAAGAUAAAAAGAUAACGUUUUGAUUGAUUUGUCAGGUGGCUUCUAGUUGGAUGACUAGUGGUAUUUAUGGUGAAUGUAUGAUAACUGUCCGAUAGUUACAUCUACUCUAGUACCUACUACUAGCUUUGUCCAUGAUCCUUUAUUCUUGUAGAUCACUUCACCCAUACUUCAUAUAAUUGUCCUAGUCAUGUUUUGAGGAUUAUGCAACCGUUGAUGCCAUUCCAUGACUGGGGCUCCAAAUAGCAAUUGCUUUUUUACAACGUGCGCCUUUGAUGCUAACUACCUUAGCACCUUGAGUAAUAUUCAAAGUGUCUCCAUUGAAAAAGUUGUUGCUAAAGUUCAUACGGGCAGCUACUAAUCGUCCAUCGUCAUAUUUCAACAACUAAGCAUGUGGCAUUUCUUUAUCUCAUCAUCAAUCACCGGAUAUCUACCCUAUGUUUGUUGAUAGUCCGGCAUACAUCAGACAUCACCCAUCCAUUAUGCACAUGACUGUAACUUAUUUCUAAAGAGCUACAGCCGAGGUAAAUCUCAACUUUAAUAUCAGCUAUACAGUUCACAAUGUCACGAAAGAUCCUGUCAUGUAACAUUUUCAAUUAAGAUAAAUAUUUGUCACUGUGCAUUUCCUUGUUUAUAUAAGCGACCCAAUUUGUCAUGCGAUUGAAAAAUCUCCUUGUUUGUAGCUAUACUUUUAUCUUUUAACAAUCUUAGCCCAUGGACCUGCAUCGCUGAAUGGCCACUUCUGAUGUAUUCGUUUCUUGGAUGAGCAUUUUUCUAGCUUGGCAGUGAUCGACCCAUGUGGCCACGAUGAAUAGUGGAAGCAAAAUUGACAUUGGCGAACAUAGCUUAAAAGAGAAGAUGUCGAGUCCAAUUGAAGAAAUCGUACAGAAGAGGGGUGGGACCGUGCAUCGAUAAAUCCAGGUUCUUUCUACGUAUUCUGUCGUUGGGAUGCAAGAGAGAUCAUUGAGAAAGCAUAUAGAUGAAGUUCCUAUUAUCUUUUAUGAGCUAAGGACACGAGCAUAGAGGCUCGGUUAUCUAAAGGUUCAUGAAAUGCCCUAUGAGCCUCAUAAAUUGUUUGAGCCCUAAUUUUAUAAUUAUUGGCAGGUUUGUAUAAAAGUUAUAAGGCUUUGAUUGAGAAGUCAUGGGAAAUCGGGUGAAUAGGUUAUUUGCAUAUGGACAGUUCUAGUAAAAUUGUUGACUGUGGAGAAAUCAGCUUAAGGUUCUUCAUGGGAUCCAAGAACCACAUAGAUUGCAAGUUAUAUUAAAAAAACAUCAUAUGAUAGAAAAUACGGGUUAUACCUAUUCUCUGAUGUAGUUUCGUUUUGUAAAUAAACCAAUUAGUCCUUUCCUCUCCUAAUCCCUAGAAAGUAAGCACCCAUCCUAGAGAUUUCAUUUAUCUCUUGUGGAAGUGAUUAUAAUUAGGUUUACUCAGAAUGGCAUCCAUUGGAUUUAACCCUAAUUCAGGAUUAGCUACCCAAUUACAGAGUUUCUCUACUGGAGUACAUGCACAUAUAUGGAAAAUCAAAGUUUCACAUCUUAAAAAUUUAUCAGAUCACUGUCCAACUUGAUUAAUUAACCGAUAGCUGUCCAAUAUGAGAUACAGAUGGAUGCCCUUUUGUUGUUUAAUCACAUUAAUACAAAAGAUUUGUCCUUUUGCGAAAUUGGCAUUUUGCAUUAAGCCAUUUGUUUUGCAUUACCAAGACUUACCAUGUCUGAAGCAUAGAUAACUGCUUUUCUUUAAUCGCGUUUUUAUCAGUUAGAUUAAUGUGACUUACUACCUAAAUGGUUUUUGUUUGUAGCUAAUUCCGAAGUGUUUGUUCUUAUACUCUUCCAGCCUUUCAUCAAUCUCAUGGGCUUUUUUUCCCAUCACCCUACCCUACUUUGUUUUGUGCUCAAACGCAAGACUGAUGGCAAGUGUAUCUCCAAUCGAUAGAAUCUUUUAGGAGGAAAUUCUAUCCAAAUCUAACUUUUAUUUACACUUUCCCUUCAAAAUUUGAAACAUAUGUGUUUCUUGUGGGUGAUAUCCAUAAAUGUAACUUACCCAUUAGAAGAUUGAGCAAGAGGAAAUCAUGACCUUUUUCAAAAACAAAAGAAGGCAGAGAAUAUUCGAUAUGAUACUUAUUAAUUGCAAGUUAUAUUAAAAAAACUAAUUAAGUUUUAUUUCUUCCACUUGGUAGAGAACAUUUGAUAUGAAACUUUAAUUAACUGCAGAUUGCGAAACUAGUGGUUAAGAGUCCCAACUUGAAAGUUUGUAUAAUAAUGUCCAACAAAAAAUUUACGAAACUAAUAGGGGUGGACACACAUUUACGAUAGGGACACCCCCACCUUUGUCCCAACCUAAUAAGCCCUCACUAUCGUCAAAUCUAUCAAUUGAUGAAUGGAGCAGAUUGGAGCCCUUUGAUUGGUCCGAUCAUAUGAUUGAGAAAUCUCUAUGUUUGUAGCUAUACUUUUACCUUUUACCGAUUUUCUCCCAAAAUUUAUUACGCAUGGAAUAAUGAACGGCCUAUAAUUAUUUGAAAUUGCUGCGGAAACGGACGGGAUCUUUCUAGCAUCACCUUACUACGAAGACAUUGUUGUGGGCUAAGAUUAGAGCAGCCCUUGGGCCUGCAUCGCUUGUGAAGGGCACUCACGAUGUCCUCGUUUCUUGGAAAAGCAUUUAUCUGGCUCGGCAGUGAUCGACCCAUGUGUCCUAGAUGAAUAGUAGUAGCAAAAUUGACAUCGGUGAAGAGGGGUCGACAGAGAAGAUGUCCAGUCCAAUUAAAGAUACCAUACACAUCCGGGGUGGACCCGCCUUUGUCCAUGCGAUCCCAAACUUUAGGGACUGUGCAUCGAUAAAUACAGGGUCUUUAGAUGUAUACUGUCGUUGGGAUGCAAGAGAGAUCAUCGAGAUCGCAUGGGGACCAAGUUACUAUAUUUACGAGCUGACGGCAUGACAGCAGAGGCUUGGUUACCUGGAAGCCUAUAGAAAACCCUGCAAGCAUCAUGAAUAGUCCAAGUGGUCUGCUCAGGUGGUUCUGACUAGAGCGGCUUGUACACGGUUAUUGGAAUUCAAACAAAUGAACUCCAAUUUCUGACUUACCAAUCUCUAGAUUUGCAAUAGGCAAAUUGUUUCCCAUUUUAUCCAGUUCAGUGGGUCAAGUUACAAAGAUAAUCUAAUUCGUUUGGAUAAAAGUUCUUAGGCUUUGAUUGAGAAGUCACGGUGAAUCGGGUGGAUAGGCUAUUUGCAAAUGGAGAGUACUAGUGAAAUUGUGGACUUGGGAUAAAUCGGCUUAGGGUUCUUCAUGGGAAUCAAGAACCACAUAAAGAGAUAUAUUCUAUCAUAUGGUUAAAAUUUUUCCACCAAAACAUCAUAAGAUAGAAUACGUGGAUUAUGCAUAUUCUCUAAUGUAGUUUCAUUUUGCAAAUGAACCAAUUAGUCCUUUCCUUUCCUAAUCCCUGGAAAGUAAGCACACUUCCUGGAGAUUUUCACUUAUCUCUUGUAGAAGUGAUUAUAAUUAGGUUACUCAUAAUGGCAUCUUAUAACAAUGACUUUAAUCCUAAUUCAUGACCAGUUAGCCAGGGACACAGUUUAUCUAUUGGAGAGCAUGCACAGAUAUGGAGGCAGCGGGAGAAUCUCAUCUGCACGUGAAAUCACAGCUUCCCAUCUUGAACAUUUAUCAGAUUACUGCACAUUUUGAUUAAUUAACCAAAGCCGCUCCAAUCUCAGAUAUAGAUGAAUGCUCUUUUCUUGCUUAAUCACAUUAUUAGAGAAGAGUUGUACUUUAGGAUAUCGGCAUAUUGCAUUUUUCCAUUUGUUUUUCAUAACCUAAGACAUGUCUUAUUGGAGGCAUAUAUGGAUGCUUGUCUUUAAUCAAGUCUUUUUCAAGUAGAUUGAUAUAAUUUACUACCUAAGUAGCUCUUGUCUCUAGCUAAUUCUUAAGUGUUUUUUUUUUCCUAUUCUAUUCCAUCCUUUCACCAAUCACGCGGGCUUUCCCAUCACCUUCUUUUAUUUUGUGCUCAAACGCCUUACAGAUUCCACAUGAUAAUAGAAUGAUUAGAGUCCAACAAAAAUCUAAUGCCUUGCUCUUUAUUAUUUAGAACUUAGGAGUUCCCCACACACCAACUUAUUUUUUGAGCUUAGGAGUCCCUAGACACCAACUCAUUUUUUUGUAUUUUGUAUUUUCCUUUAUAUCAUGUUUUUGAUUAGUAGGUCAUAGCUUAUGGACAUCAUCCACAUGUAUGCUCAAUUAAAUUUCAAUAGGGGCAAUAUCCGUAUAUGUAACUAACCAAGCAUAACACUAAGCAAGAGGAAAUCAUGACCCUUUUUAAUAACAAAUAGAGUCAAGGGAUUGCAAAGGGGAAAAGUGCCAAAAAAGUCCUAAACCUUUUUUUUUUGUGCCGAUUUAGUCCUAAACCUUUUUACGUUAUGCCAAUUUAGUCAUUUCCGACCAAUUUUAGCCGGAAUUUGCUAACUGGACAUUGGUCGACUGACUUGGCCAGAUCGGCAUUGACGUGGAUAAUUGUUAAUAAUAUUUUUGAAUAUUUGAAUUUUUUUAAAUUUUCUUUUUAUUUUUUUAUUUUUCAUUUUUUUCUUCCUCCAGUCGGUCGCCGGACCUAGGCGACCGGCCAAAGGUGACGGCCGACAAGGGCAAGGCUGCCCUCGUUGGCCACCUUGCGAGCGAGGGUUGAGCCUCGCGCUAGGCAGCGAGGCUCGCCCUUGCCAAAUUCGGCUAGGGUGGAGCCUCGCCCAUGGCCGGUGAGGCUCGACCUCGCCAAAUCCAGCGAGGGUGAGCCUUGCCUGCCCGACGUGAGGCCGCCCUCGAGGCUUGGGCGGCGAGGCUUGCCCUCGUCGGAUCUGGCAAGGGUUGAGCCUUGCCCAUGGCUAGUGAGGGAGAGCCUCGCCAGCUUGGUGCAAGGCCAACCGGCCUGAGUUGGACACUAAGAAAACAAGAAGAGGAGUUGGCGUUUGUUACCAACUCUUGGAAUAAGACCGUGUCUUGCGCCGAGCUGGCGGGGGCUCGCCCUCGCCGGUUGUCGCCUCUGGCCGAUCGCUGAGGUCUGGCGAUUGGCUGGAGGAAGAAAAAAUAAAGAAAAAAUAAAGAAGAAAAUAAUCCAAAAGUAUUAAAAUAAUAUUAAAAGUUGUCUAUGUUAGCGCCGAUCAGGUCACGUUAGCCAGCCAACGUCUAGUCAGCAAAAUCCGGCCAUAAUUGGCCUGAAAUGACUGAAUUGGCACAACGUAAAAAGGUUUAGGACUAAAUUGGUACCAAAAAAAGGUUUAGAACUAAAUCGGCACAAAGACAAAAGGUUUAGGAUUUUUUUGGCACUUUUCCCGAUUGCAAUGAUAUACCUCACUCAAGCCUUAGGUUCAAAUCACCCCAUUUGUGCAAGUAUAGGCCUGUGUAUCAACAAUAAUUACUCGAUUGACGUCAUAGAUUUGUUUAAGAAUUAAACGGAAUAUGGUACUUAUUAAUUGCAAGUUGAACUAGAAUAACUAUCGAGUUUUAUUUCUUUCACCUGGUAGAGAACAUUUGAUAUGAAAUUCUAAUUAACUGCAGAUUGAACUAACAUUCUAAGUUUGUUUCCUUCGCUUCAUCCAUUUGUCCUAGAGGAAUCUCUCUCUCUCUACCAUGGUCCUAUAAAUUUCGUGCUCAAUCAAGCGAACUCUCCAACAACAUCAGCAUUCCCUCUUCCUAAAGAAAUGAGCGAGAUCAGUUUUAGCAAAAUGUCUCUGUUCUCCCUCUUCCUCGUCCUGCUGUUGUCACUCCAUGUUAGUUUUCUCAAGCUCUCUUCCUCCCCUUCCACACACCAUAAUUAGUGCUCAUCCUAUCUUCUAACUUCGCAUGCAUUAACACUCAUAGCUCGUUGAUCUUGUUUGUGUUCCUAUAUAUGUUAAAAGAGACAUGCAAAACACGAACCCGGAAGUGAGAGACAUGUAUAACGCUGGAACGCAUAGGAGGUUUGUGUGUUCGCUUGUUUCUGUAUUGUAGUGUCAGUCUCCAUCGCUUAUGCUAAAUCAGACAUGAAGCAUUGACCGAAAGAAAAGGGACUGUAUAUUAUUCAGAUUGUGGACAUAAAUCAAAGGAUCUGUCAGAAAUAUUUGUCAUGUUAUCUAUUCUAUCCUCAAAAGUUGAUUUCAUUCUUGUUAUCUUGCGGGUAAAACUUUUUGUUACUUUGAUUACAACCAUUUGCACGUUCAUUGCAGUUUCAUCCAUGUCCCAUGUAUAUGCUGCAUAAAUAUUUGACCACUUCUGUUUGGCAUUGUACUGCGAUUGUGAUGUAGCCUUGUUUGUCUUAAGACUGAGUUGUGAUGUAGCAUUGUACUGCGAUUGUGAUGUAGCCUUGGGUGAACUAUCCUAGGUCGGUCGCAUCAUGCUAACUUUCUAGUCACUCACUGAUUUUCUCUUUUGUCCCGCUGUAGAUUGUUUUGACCACCGCGAGAACCGCCGCCAACGCCAACUCCCUUGCCAGCGAUGCCAACUCAAUCCCUCCCAAAGAAUACCUUGCCCGUUACUGGACUGAACAAAUCACUAGCAAUCCUGCCAUGCCACCACUGCUCAUAUCCAAAGUUUCCCCCUUUAACUGCUGCAGAAACAACCCUUUUUGCCCAGCUUGUGGCUAAAGGUGCCAUCUCCGAUCACCUCUCAUUUUUCUGCGGGGCAGCACAACUGCUUUACUUCCCAGCCUCACCACACUAUCCAGUUAGUUACUCUUUCCCACUAGCAUGAACUGCCAAGAAGCAAUUGAAUUUGAUAUUCAUGCAGUCCCUAGAUUAAUCCACAAGAUGACGUUGAACUCAAUACUCACGUGAUACCGUAUGGAGAGAGAAAUUUGCUUUGCCUGCUUUGACGUCAACAUCUGUCGGAAAUUUUUGAGGAAGAAGCCUGCGUGAAAUGACAAUUCACCAAGUCAGUAACUUAACCACGGAAAAUUCAGGUAGACAAAGCAUGAAAUCAUCAUAGGAGCAUAAUUACCAUUGACUGGUCCUCUUCGUGGCAGUAGAGUUCCCAUUAUUGCUCUUCACAUGAAGCCAUGACUCAGAUCAAUCUCUUACUCAGGAAGAGUUUUAUGUUAAGAGUCUGAGCUUUUCGGGCAUUUGACCAAACGCAAGGGUGCUCCUCUAUCCAAGUUGAGUUGAGCUCACUCGUGCUGCCUCACCCUGGCUGGCAGUUAGUAACCAGAAAGAUUGAACUUUAAAGUUAGUCAACUCCGACGGUAUUCAGUUAAAACGUGCAAAAAGAGAACCAAAAUCUAGCGGAAUCAGGUUCUUCUGUUGAUAACAAAACAAUCAUUUUGCAACCUGGAAUCAUUAGAAAUUGCAGAAUAUGGAACCCAUUCAUUUACAAUCAUCGCCUUCACAGCUCGUUUGGUGAUUUAUAAUCGUCGUCGUCAUAAGCUAGCCUGUUUUUCAUUUGCAACGACUCGUGCAAGGAUGCCAAAUAAGGGGUUCUGCAAUAUUAUUCUGUAAGAAUGCCCAGAAAAAAUACAUAGAGUUUUCUUUUUCUCCAAAUUUGCUAAUCUAUUAAUGAAGAAACGACAACCUAAUCUACGAUCAUGCCAUAAAAAUAAAAUUUCUGACCCAAAACGAUCAGCUAGAUGAUACAGGGCCAAAGUGUCAAAUUUCGUUCCUUAGCUGGGUUGAUAAAGAUCUUGGUUAACAUUAGGUAAAGAGAGAAGCAACAUUGCCAUGAUAGGGGAAAGAAUGAAAAAUAAGAUUCGUACCCUGCUCUUCCAAGUUCCUCUGUUCCUUUUUCGAGCUACUUCUGAACCCUGUUUCGAUCAGGUUUACUUUUCUUUUUCUUUUUUUCUUGUGGAUGAGAAUACCAAGAACCUCUUGAUGGGAACUUAUAGAGAAUGGCUUCAUGCAAGAUUCAGCAAUGUCUCGCUCAGUCAGCCAAACGAAGUGGACCCUCUUGGUCUAGUAAUAAGCUGAUUUCAGACGCCAAAGUCCGCUUGCUCUCUCGAGCGUUUUGUAAUUUUCCCUUCUUUUGGAGUCCCCACUCUGCUUUGAGGGAAAAAAACAAAUGUUGGACAAGAUAAGGCUUCCCAAUCGGGCCAGCCUUCCAACUUGGAAGGGGGAGGUGAGGGGUUCAAAUCCCCACCUUCUCAGGGGGGAUGGAGGGUAGGGACGCGUAAGUUUCGAGAGUGUGUUGCGACUCUCACGCCCUGCAAGAGGUAGGGCACAAGUCUGCGAGUGAGUGUAGAGUAGGCAUAGAGUAGGACUGACCAAAAAAAAAAAAAAAAAAAAAUCGGGUCAGGGUCCCACAGCAAUCAACCCCCGGUCGCUGUCGGCGAAUGAGUUACUCCCACAUGGCAUUCCCGCCGCCAGGUCAUCCACUCUCUCCUCCCUCUGGUUUCUCUGGAGUUAAUAGAUUGGUUUCGCCACACAGCGGAUCCAUGUGGAUUGAAUUUAGUAAGCUUCCGUCCAUCUCAUAGGACUAGUCACCAUCGACCAAUUUGGAAGUCCAUGAGAGGGACGAUUUGAGGAUUUGGGAGUUUAUUCAUUAGUAAUAAUUUGGUCCCUUAGUCACUUACAUGCACAUCAAAUUUAUUUAUAAAAAAUUAUCGUGUUUUGCAUAAUUAACUUCAAAAGAAUCAUGUACAUGAGUUGGUAUGUUUCUCAUAUAAAGAGUCUCGUUUUUGGUGAUAAUUUGCAUUAAUAAAUCUUUUAUGAAUAGGGAAAUGAUACAAAUAAUCUAUAAACUUGAGUUCAAUAUUGUCACUAUACCUCAUAUUUAUUCAUUGUGAUCUUUAGGUUAUUAGUAAAUUUUCAAUAAAGUCAUUCCAUUUGCUCAAACAACAAAUCAAACUUUAUUUAAUUACAUGAAUUGUCAUUUGUUGAGCUGAAUAUUUUUUAAUAUGAUGAUUCAACAUGUCGAUAUUUUCAUCCACCUACUUUAGAAAGGGAAAAAAAAUUAUGGCGUUAAUAUACAUCAUUAGAUGACGUGGAUCAUUAUAUCUUGAUUUGAUAUGAAUAUAUUAAUUGGAUUAUUCACAUGUAACUUCUUCUUUUCUUUUAUUAUCCACCGUUCAAACUCAACAAAUUGAAAGCCACACCAGAACAUUCCACUAACUCAAACAGCACAGAACUUUUUUAUGUACUCUAGAGACUAAAUUGAACAUUUAGUAAUAGUUUGGAAGCCGCAUUAAGCAAAUUAAAAGUCCACGGAUGACAGUACACAACAGGCCAAAGUUGGGAGACAUUUAAGUCAUUUUUCACUUCUAAAUCAUGUAUGAAAAAUCAAAAUGUCGAUUUUAGUGGUCUGAAUGGAAAUAUCCAAUUUGUUGCUGAUCAACAGCAAUAAACAAUCUGCAUAUUAAUACACACAAGAAGGAAUAGGGAGAGAGCAGGCGAAGAAAAUAGAUGUAUUAUCAUUUCAUACAUCAUCGGUAGGCAACAGAUAAGCACCCGACUUCACCCAACUUCACGACAAAGAGAAAACACCAUUGUUAAUGGGGUUUUGCAUGGGAGUUUUCGUCCACAACCACCAUCUGGAAGCCCAAUAGAUGGAAGUGGACCGGACAGAAAGAGAUAUAUAUAUAUAUAAAGAAGACUUUGGACCUAAGUGCAACUUGAACUUAUACACCAAAGUCUAGUCCCUUUCGCUAGACCCCAAAAAUGGGACAAACCUUGAAUUUGUGGAUGUCAUGGAGACAUACUUUCCGGUCAUUCCUAAUCGAUGUCCCCAGUUUUGGACGCAUGCACAUGGUACAUGUGCAGAGACACACAUCUUCCUUCCUUUACUGAUUACUACACCGGAUAAGGUGGAUAAGAAUCUGUCGCCAACACAAUCAUUCUCACAGGAAUCCAUCUUGAUAUGUAAGAGACAUAAUCGGGCGGGCCUAAGAAUGGCUUUAGUGAGAGACGUGAGGUCGCGAUGGGACGUGGUAAAAAACUCAUCAAGAUAGAUUUAUAUGACGCACUUGUCCAAUCAGUGGCUUGCGGUUUCUCCUGCGAAUUCGUAGGGUAAUUUCUCCAACUGAUCUCUCUUACCACGACCAUUGGAUUGACGUGAAAAUGAACGAGAAUCGGUCUGGGUGUGGCGUUGCCUCGGGCACCCCUUGAUUGGUGUGGGCUCUUGACGGACAUGAAGUUUGGAAUUUUUGUUAAUUGGGCUAAGCCCAAAGAAAGAUGUGAAAUUCAGCUCAUGUUCUAAAAGCCCAGAUAAGCUUUGUUACUUCCCUGGCUUCUUCAGGAUGGCCGCCCGGCGAGACUUUAGAGGAGGGUUCGAAACUUAUGGGGAACAAAAUCUUGCUCAUUGAAUCGCUGAACUUGCUCCGUUGUUCGACGAGGUCCCCGAAUUUGUGAUUCGCGUGACCAAAUCAUUGAACCGGUGGAGAAAUAUGUUGAAUCAAGGCCAUCUAUCUUGAGUUCCAGCAAAAUCAAGCUCGUGUCGAUUGGUUUUUGAUUAAAAGCCUGAUGUGGAUAUCAUUAAUACCCCUCGCGCAUUUGAAAGCAAAUGAAAUAAGUUUAAUUGUAUCUUUUAUUAUCUUACUUGUAUUUGGGUCCUUGCAAAUUCAUAGUCCUAAUUGUGAAAAGCCUGAUGUGGAUAUCAUUAAUACCCCUCGCGCAUUUGAAAGCAAGUGAAAUAAGUUUAAUUGUAUCUUUUAUUAUCUUACUUGUAUUUGCGUCCUUGCAAAUUCAUAGUCCUAAUUGUGAACGUUCCUUGUUCGUAUAGAUAUUAGAGAUUUAGGUCAUCUAUCAAAAUGAUUCUAAAUGAACGUUGAGAAUAAAAACACUCUAUCAUCAAGUUUUGUAUCAAUAUGGAAGGGAGCGUGAAUAAAUGAGAUAAUAAGGGUAUAACUUUACGAGAAGAUUAUUAUGUGCAUAUGUAUAGAGUGUGACGACCCUAAAGAACUAGCUAGUUACGAGCAAAUUUAAUAUUUUACUUUUAUAAUGGCAAGCUUUUUGUGGAGGAGUGGCGUGAUGAUUUUAGGUGAGCCAACUCUUCCUGGACUUAACCACUGGGAUUCGCCCCAGUGGCCACCCUUCCAACAUGGAAGGGGGAGGUGAGGGGUUCAAAUCCCCACCUUCUCAGGGGGAUGGGGUGGGGACGCGUAAGUUUCAGGAGUGAGUUUCGACUCCCACGCCCUACAAGAGACAGGGCAAAAGUUUGAGAGUGAGUGUAGAGUAGGAAUAGAGUAGGACUGACAAAAAAAAAAAAAAAAAACUCUUCCUGGACUUUUUUAAUGUAUUGUAUUUGUUUGAAUAUUGUAUCAAAUUAAUAACUAGUGGUGUUAAAAUGAAGAAGCAUAUGUAUAUUUAUUAAACACGUUAUAAGGAAAAUUAUAAAAUUUUUAUUGAGCUUCUACUUGCUAUUAAUAAUUUGAAGAUAAAAUUAAAAAGGAUUGUGUGGUGGUUACAUUCUGGGGCGUCACAAGUAGUCCUUUCCUUUCCUAAUCCCCGGAAGUACGCACACAUCCUCGAGAUUUCAAUUAUCAUGUAGAAGUGAUUAAUUAGGUUACUCGCAAUGGCAUCUUAUCAUUAUGACUUUAACCCAAAUUCAUGACUAGCUAGCUGGUUACACGGUGCAUGCACAUAUAUUAAGGCCAUGUGAAGAAUCUCUUCUACAUGUGAAAUCACAGUUUCCCAUCUUGAAAUUUAUCAAAUUACCAUACAACUUGAUUAAUUAACCAAGGCUUGUCCAAUCUGAGGUAUAGAUGGAUGCCCUUUUCUUGUUUAAUAACAUUAUUAGGGGAGAGUUGUCCUUUACGAUAUUGGCACAUUGCAUUAAGCCAUUCUUUUUUAAUGACCAAGACCUGUCUUGUCUUGAGGCAUAGAUGGAUGCUCUUCUUUAAUCAAGUCUUUAUUAAGUGGAUUAAUAUAACUUACUACCCAAAAGUUUCUCUCUCUAGCUAAUUCUUAAAUGUUUUUUUUUUCUAUUAUAUUCCAUCCUUUCGUCAAUUAUGUGGGCUUUCCCAUUACCUUCCUUUGUUUUGUGCUCAAACGCCAUACUAAUGGCAAGUGCAUCUCCAAUCGGUGGGAUCGUUCGGGAGGAAAUCUAUCUGCCUUUAACUUCUAUUUAUGACUUCCCCUUCAAAAUUUGAAAUAUUUAUCUAUGUGCGUGCGCAUUAUAAGUGAUAUCCAUAUGUGUAACUUUCCAAUAAGAAGACUGGGCAAGUGGAAAUCAUGACCACAAAAGAGUGAAGGGUGUGCUUAAGUGAUCACCGUAAUUAUAUCCCUCACUUAAGCCUUGGGUUCAAAUCACCGUUUUCUCUUUUAGAUCAAACGGAGUAAUUGAAGCAUCAUUUGUAAUAUGGAUGUGCUAAAUAAAACUUUUGUAAGUAUAAGCCUAGGUAUCAACAGUAAUUACUUGAUGUGUAUGGGAUGAGGGAACUACCACAACUAAUAGAGAUUAAAUAAUUUUUGAAAGAGUCAUGGAAGGUCGUGGGGUGAAUUUUAUAUAUAUAUGUAGAUUUAUUUGAUAAUCAAAGGGAAAGCAGAGAAUAUUCACUAUGAUACCUGUUAAUUCAAGUCGAACUAGAAAACACUAUUAAGUUGUAUUUCUUUCGCUUGGCAGAGAACAUUUGAUAUAAAACUUUAUUUAACUGCAAGUUGAACUUACAUUAUAAGUUUUUUUUUUUCGUUCCCUCCAUCCAUUUGUCCUAGAGGAAUCUCUCUCUCUCUCUCUCUACCAUCACUCCUAUAAAUGUCGUGCUCAAUCAAACGAACCUUGCAACAUUAUCAGCAUUCCCUCUUCCUAAAGAAAUGAGUGAGAUCAGCUUUAGCAAAAUGUCUCUCUUCGCCCUCUUCCUCGUCCUGCUGCUUUCACUCCAUGUUAGUUUUCUCAAGCUCUCUCGCCUCCCCUUCUACACAUCAUAAUAAUCACGGCUCAUCCUAUCUUUGAAGUUCGCAUGCAUUAACAUUUACAGUUCUUUGAUCGUGUUUGAUUUUGAAAAGAGACAUGUGAAACACAGACCAUGAAGUGAAGAGACAUAUAAAAUGCUUGAAUAUAUAGGAGGUUCAUGCUUACGCUUAUUUCUAUAACGUAGUGUCAAUCUCAAUUACUUGUCUAAGGUAGACAUAAAGCAUUAACAAAGAAAAAAUGGACUGUAUUAUCAUUCAGAUUGUGGACAUUAGUUAAGGAUUUGUCAGGAAUAUUUAUCAUGCUAUCCAUUUUAUUUGUAAAAAUUGAUUUCAUUCUUGUUAUCUUACGCGUAUAGUUUCUUGUUACUUUGCUUACGAACAUUUGCAUGUUGGCUACAGUUUCAAUAAUGUCCCAUUUAUACUGCAGGGAUAUUAUACUCAAUCUGUUUGGUAUCCUACUGCAAUUGAGUCGUAGCCUUGUUGUCUUAUAACUGAGUUGUAAAUUGCAUUUUAGGGUUACGACAUUUUUAAACUAGAUGAAGCAUCCUAGCUCGGUUGUGUCAUGCUAACUUUUUAGUCACUAACUGAUUUUCUCUUUCAUCCCACUAUAGGUUGUUUCCACCACGGCUGGAACCACCACCAACGCCGACUCCCUUGUCAGCGAUGCCAACUCAAUCCUUCCCAAGGAAUACCUUGUCCAUUACUGGAACGAACAAAUCACCAACACCCUCGCCGUACCACCGCUGCUUAUAUCCAAAGUGUCACCCUUAACUACUGCAGAAACGGCCCUUUUUGCCCAGCUCGUUGCUAAAGAUGCUCUAUCCGACCACCCCCUAUCUUUCUGCAAGGCAGCACAACUGCUUUGCUUCCCGGACUUAUCAUCCCAUCAAGUUGGCAAGGACGGUCGUGUUUUCUACGAUUUCAUUAACGGUGCCACAACACUGGUCGGUGGCAUGAACGUGAACAAAGGCGUGGAGCCAGGGAAAUACUUUCAGGAGUCGACACUGAGGAGUGGGAAUGUGAUCCACAUGCCGGAUCUUCGUUCCAAAACUCCCGAAAGGUCAUUUUUGCCACGCAGUAUUUCCUCUGGAUUACCGUUCUCGACCUCGAAGCUCGCCGAGCUGAAGCAAAUCUUCCAUGCUGGGGACGAUUCGACUAUGGAGAAGAUAAUGGUACGCACACUUAGCCUAUGCGAGAAAGCACCGAUACGAGGUGAGACCAAGCGAUGUGUUAGUUCUGUUGAGGACAUGAUAGACUUUGCCACCUCAAUACUAGGCCACGACAUCAAGCUUCAUUCCCCGAAGAGCGACGAAGGGUCAAAGCGUGAUAUCUUGAUUGGACGAGUGAAAAGGAUAGGUGGGAGUAAAUUGAGUGCGCCUGUGGCAUGUCACGAUAGUCUAUUUCCUUACAUGGUUUAUAACUGUCAUGCGGUUCCAACACUCCAUGUUUACGAGGUAGAUAUACUGGAUCCCGUGUCCAAGGCCAAGAUCAACAACGGCGUCGCAGUCUGUCAUAUGGACACGUCGGCAUGGAAUCCAAACCACGAGGCAUUUCUUGCGCUCGGGUCGGGCCCUGGUCGGAUCGAGGCCUGCCAUUGGAUCUAUGGGGAUUAUGCGGUCUGGACUAGGGCUAAUUAGUAAUGGAAAAAAAAUUGAAGUGUGGGUCAAAUUGAAUAAUAUAGGUUGGACCUAGAGGCCGAGAAAAAUUAGCCGAUAGCUCCAUCGCAAGUCAUCAUUUACUUGAAAGUAUUAUCUAAUAUGAUAUAUGCUGUCUGAUAUACACGACUAUGAUCGUGUGUGUGUAUAACUGUUAUUAUGGUUAGUAAAUGUCAAGUGUUUGUGUGACUUUUAUCUAGCAUUUGUAAUUAUUGUGGUGUGCAUGUGAAAAAGUUUGUCAUGUGAAGUACUUAAUCUCCUUCCAGAACAUAACUUGACUACAUGUCUCAAACUGUAAUAUACAAUCGUUAGAUUUUUCUUCUUUUAUAAACUUGGUUUUCCAUCUUAUAUCUCUACCAUCAGCGCCUUGACAUCAAAACAAAUGGAAUUUUAAGAGAUUAAUGGACAUAGGGUGAAGCACCUCAACUGAUCAAUAUCGCUUGAUUCGAGAUGUGCAAAUACCAUUUGCUAAUUAUUUUCAUUGAUUGUAACACAGAGCUACUUCUAAUCAUUUUUGCAAUUUUUUUUCAUGUCUAACAUCAGCAUUAUUUGAUAACUCAAGAUGAAGGCUAUAUCAAGACUGAAAAUUCUUUUUUGUCCCAGUUAUUAGUCUCUAUUGCCAUUAUGGAUCAAGUGAUCUACUAAUUGAAGUUCUUUUCUUUUGUGUUUUCUCCCUUCGAUGAGUAUAUGUUGUUAAGGAAAUCCCUUAUGAUGUUCUGAAGAUGACAAAUAAAUCAAAGGCUACUAACGUGUUUAAUGGUUGAGUAAUAGACCAUGCAAAUGAUAGAACAUGUAAAUGAUAUUAUCAAAGUUUAUACUUGGAAUAACCAGAAGACUGAACGUAACUUAUGUUCAAAGUCUAUUAUGAAGAUUUCCAGACUUCUGUGUCAAAGUAUGUUCUACAUCAGAAAUUUGUCAACUCUGACAAAUUCUAGACUGCAUGUGAAUGAAGCUGAACUAGAAGACAGACUUUAUGCUGAAGUUGAACCAGAAGACAAACUCUAUACUGAAGCUGAAUUUAUUCAGACUGUGUUAAGACCUUAAAACCAAAUCUGUUCAUAAGCAGAAUAUGUUCAGACUCAGAUUGUAAAGUCUAUUGCACUCAGACUCAGGUUGUAAAGUCUAUUGCACUCAGACUUCACAUCUAGAUUCGAUAGAACGUAACACAAGAUUGAUUUGAUUGACUUAAUCUAAUUGAUUGACAAUUGGAUCUUAAAGACAAGAACUUUCUAUACAAAGAAGCUCUACUUAUGGAAACCAAGAUUCUGUUUGUAUGGGCGAUCGGAAUCAAUUUGGGAUUAUACUUUUGUCACUCAAUGUCUACCAAAUCUUCUAGAUACAAAUUUGUCAAAUUGGUAGAUUGGAAGACGAUCCUCAAGAUACUGUCCAACAACUAGUUUGGAAGUAAAUGAGUAUUUAAGGAGAUCAAGGACUGAUGAGCAAGUAAGAGACGGAGCGUAGAAUUUAUAAUUCCAAAGUCUGAGCGAUCUUCGAUCAUACACUUGUCUCUUGUGAGCUUAAACGUUUGUGAUCGUGAGAGAAAUACCAAAAGAGUGACUUAGUGAGAUAGUGUGAUUUACUACUAAGUGUUUGUACUCAAAGUUGUAAUCUUUUGUUGAUUGCAUAGUGGAAUCUAGCCAAGAAGGCUGUUAGCGUGAGAGAGUAGACGUAGGCUUGGAUUAAGCCAAACCACUAUAAACAUUAUGUUCUUAUUCUCUUCACUGAAUCUCUUUAUUUUGUUCGUAAUUAUAUUUAACUGCUAAAGUCUGAUCUCGCUCAAAAUCUGCUGCUCUUUAGACUCAGUUUCAAAAGUCUUUUGUUAUUCAGACUCAGGUUAAAAGUAAAGGUUUUCAUUGUAUUUUGCAGAAUAUGUUUUUACACCUAUUCACCCCCUCUAGGUAUUCAUACUAGCACUUUCAUAUGUGACCAAAGUUCAAUAGCUUAGAAGAAGAUUAAGCGAGUGGCACUCCUCAAUAGAUCAACUCACUGGUCAAGUCUUUGAUUUAAGUUCGGUAACUCAGGUCUAAAUCAGAACAUUGUCCCCUCAAAAUAACGUCGGGAACAGCAUCUUCAACCGAUGCACUUAGGCAAAGCUUUUGCAUGCAUUGUAGAGAUUAGCCAAGACGAGUUCGGAUAGGCCGUCGUCGCCGAGGAACAAAGAGAGAACGGAAAAGGCUCGCGUCCACACGAAUGUUCCAAGAUCUUGCUGUCGGCGAUAUGAAAAACAACCCUUGGGCCAGCGUAGUCGAAUGCCCCAUGACUAUUCAUUCGAUCGACCCAUGUGGUAAUGAUGAACUGGAAGCGCAUUUGACAAUUGAUGAAGGGAUCAGUGAUGGGUCCAGUUGAAGAAAUCAUCCAACAUCCAGGGCGGACCCGCAUUUUUUCUCAUUUACGAUCCAAGGUUCGUUGGACGGGCAGUAACAAUUCCAGGUUCCUUCAAUGCCAAUUUUGUCCUUGGGAAGGUCAUCGAGACACCCUCACCAAUUGCAUCUUCACCCACUUAUCAAUCAUUCAGGUGAUGCGCAUGGUAAAUUGAGCUUGGUUUUCCCCCUAUUGGGGGCAAAUAGAUAUCCAUGAGGAACAUCAGUCUAAAUAUGGUUUGCUCGACUCUUAGUUGCUUAUUGAUUUUACACUUUGUCGUUGGAGAAUGACGAUGUUCAGUUGCAAUUACUUUGUGCGAUAUCGAAACAAAUUAUACAUACACUAUGAUCGAACCAACUCACUAUUGAAUUUGAUUAUCUAGGCAAAUUCGAAUGGCGGGUCCUAUGUCGAAAGUUACCGUGCACCUUGUUGGAGAAAUCCUCGUGAAGAGUUUUGAAGUUGACAAAAUGUUUCCGUCAGUCUAGUCUGAAGGUCAGCAGACUCUGUUGGUUAAAGUCUGAAGACUUCCGGACAGCCAGACUCAAGACUCAAAGUCUAUCCUCAUUGACAGUCACUGAUCCGUUGAAGAAAGGUUAUCCCGAACUGGAUGUUUUGUUCAGGAUUUAACUUUGUCAUCUGGAGAAGAUCUCGUGGCUGGAGAAGACGUAUCAGAAUCCUUUGAUUGAUCAAGAUUGAUUCAAUGACUGAAGAUUCGAUGAUUGUCUAAAUAUUAUUGGAAGGUUCUACUUAUGGAAACCGAGAUCCUGAUUGUAUGGGCGAACAGGAUUGAUGGGCUAUCAACACGUUCCUUUAAUAGCUCGAACGAUCUUCUUAAUUGAUUCCGUCCAACGGGUAGAUUGGAGGAAUUCCUUUGGAAAGUGCCAACGGGUAUGAUGGCAUAAAGGAGUAUAUAAGGAAGACGUUCUUAGUUGUUUAAGAAGAGUGUGCGAUAGAAGAAUUCCAAAGUCUGAAGCUCCUAUUUGUUUAGAUAAAUCUCUUGAGCGAAUACUUGUAUACAAAAGAGAGUCUAUAUUUGUGAGAGACCUUGAGGAGGUGUGAUAGAACAUCUACACCGUGGAAUCAAGGCAAAGCUGUGCUGUAACUUCUCUUUUGAUCAUAGUAAAAUCCAGCCGGUGGGCUGUCAGUGUGGAAGAGUGGACGUAGGCUUGGAAUAAGCCGAACCACUAUAAAUCCUGUGUUUGAUUUUCUCUUCCUUACUCUCUCUACAUCGAUCGUAUUUCAAUCUGUUGCUUCCGUAUAUCGAAAAAUUGUUUGUGCGCCUAUUCACCCCCCCUCUAGGUGUUUAUACUAGCUAUAUCACACCUAUUGUUCUAGAUCAUUCGAGAAAGAGUUGAUCGUGAACUAAACGGCUGCCGGGUUCAUAAACUAGUGUGGAGCUUGCCACCGUUACUUAACAAAUGGAUCAAAAAAGGGAAUACAAUUAAGGCACUAUUUGUUUCUUGGAAAAUAUUUUAUUUUUGGAAAAUGUUUUUCUAGGAAGUCAUUUUUUGGAAAAAUGACAAUAAAUUUCAGUGUUUAGCUGAAAUUUGAAAGAUAACUGAAAAAUAUUUUUCAUUAGAUGAAAAUGACAAUAUGAUUUUUAAGCGUUAGUGACUUGCACGGGGGUGGCUGACAAAACCAGGCAUGGACACCAUGACUUCAAGUUCGGUAUUGAUGGACCUAGGCUAGAGGGCUAGUGCCUUGAGUUUGGGUGCUCCCAGGUGUGGGGAACCGAACAUGGGCUUCUAGAUCCUAGGCCCAGCCUCGAUGGACCUAAGCUCGGAUGCAAGGAAUCCGGGCAAAAGAAUUGAGGUUUUGAGCUCGAGUAUCAGGGACUCAAGCAUGAACAUUGGGGUCUUGAGCUAGAGCUAGAGCCUGGUCUUGAUGGACUUGAGCCUAAGUGUCAGGGACUUGGGCACAAACACUAAAAAGUAAAAUAAAUAAAUAAAUAUAUAUAUAUUUCUCUGAAAAAUAUUGUUCGCGAAACAAAUGGAGUCUAAAAAUAUUAACAUCAUCCUACAAACUCGAUAUACCAACCGAUGCCUAUCUUGUACUCUACAUUGAUAAUUGCAUGGGAACGGAUCACAUAAAGAUCGCCACGCGUUCACGAGCUCCCUCACGGUUCUUUAAUAGGAUGUUCCGUCCUUGUCGUUCCCAAUAAUGCAUUAUUAGCGUGAAAGAGAAGGAUCACCAAAAUGUGCAUGGGACUAGAACUUUGCCGUCACAAGGAAACAAGAGCAUUAGCGGCUAAACGCGUCAACGAAUAUGCAUUGAGAGCCACGUUCGAGCCAACAAGACGACGCCUCGUAGUCCGAAAACGCAGCAUCCUCGAGAGCAGCCAUUCAUGGAUGUGGGAGCUGUCGGCUUCAACGAGAGAGGGUAAUGAACCGAGGAGUCAGAGCUUCAAAAUCCUACCGAUUGGUCAUCGGCAGCGUCUGCUCUCUGUAGCUUUUGAAGCAUGCAAUGCUCGAAUCGACUCAUUUGAGAUGAGGUCUAGGAAUUCCAUUUCUCCAUCUUUUACGAGUUACCUACUCUCCAUCCAGCCUCUCGUAACUAUUUCUUGGGCUCUCCGUUAUUAUUGCCUUGACAACGGAUUUGAGGGAGAAUUUAAAAUAAGCUAAGCUAUCCAAAUCAGGCAAACUUAAUGAUCUAAGGCUUAAGAAACACACAUCAUCUUAAAUAGAAGUUAAAAUCAGGAACGUAAAUCUAAAAAGUACCAAUAAUGCCAAGAUUAGUAAUUGGCAAAAUCCUGGUAAAUAACCAACAUCCGACGAACUUAGGAAAUAUUUGUUUGGAAGAGUGUGUAUAAUCUUUAAAGCUUUAGAAGAUAACCCAACAGAGAUUUCCCAAUUAUAUCAUCUAUCCACUUAUAAAUAACAAGGGCUCAAAUAGUACAACAAAAACCGCCAACUCUCUGACCCAGUCCCGGAUUUCAAGCUCAAACAUAAUGGCUCUCUUCUUCCUCCUCUUGCUCUAUUCUUUCAGCGUUAGUGAAAGCUCUCUCGCUCCUGCCUCGACUGUCUUCAGUAUUAGGAGAAAGUAUUGACUGGAACUCGAAUUUCACUAUAUCAUCAUUUGGGCAAAAGAACGCCUCAAGUGCCAAAACUUGAUACAAAAUGGACUCUUAAGUGCUAAAACUUACGAAAGUAACACUUAAGUACCAUUUUUUUAUGAAAAAUUGGAUACUUAAGUGCCAUAUCCAACAAACCCCGACGGAAAUCCUACGUGGUAAUUUUUUUAUUAAUUUUCUCACUUACGUGGCUCGCCAGAGGCUAACUUAGCAAAACACACCCAAAAACGACGUCGUUUUGAUAUAAUUCGAAUUUUAAUAUAAAAAUUAAAUUAAUUUAAUUUAAAACAAAUUGAUUAAUUUAUAAUUUAAAAAAAAAAAAGAAAAAAAAAGGGAGGAGUAGGAGGGAGGCAACCGGCAGUUGAGGGCUCAGCUAUCGCCGUCACCGGAAAGGUGGGGGAGGGUUAGCCGGGGCCGCCGCAGGGGCCCAAGUUUUGUCUCGUCAUCAUCAAACUAAGAGGGGUAGUAUUUUUCUAAAGAAAACUGCACUAAAAGUCUUAAAAUUUAUUUCAAAAAUGCAUUUAAAUUCUAAAACUUUCAAAAUUAUAAUCAGAUGUUAAAACUGGUUAUAAUAAUGUAAGUAAGUCCUAUGUGCUCUAUUACCCCCCCCCCCCCAAAAGAUCUAAUCAAUUAUUGCAAGAAAAGAAUUUUUGCGAAGGCAAGUGACAAUAGAUUUUCGAUUAUUCAAUGGCCAUUAAUCCUCUUACAUGCGUAAGGUGACAAUCAACAAGGAAGAGUCUAUGACAUGAUUGAUGGUAAUGGAUGUGUAUCCCUCCGAACAAUCCUACAUGCUUGUCUCAUAAUGCUUAAAUCUUUAAAUUGUGAGCUAGAUAAUUCAUAAGCAUUUCCAGAUUUAUCGUUGUCGCUCUAAAAUAUCUCAAUUUGCAAGUUGGAGCACUUCUUGCCAAAAAUGAGGAUGCUGAUGUGAAAUUGACACCCUAAAUAUCUAGAAGUGAGUGCACACAUCCUUUUCUAAUAUUUCCUAUCUAACAAUAGCAUAAGUUAAAAUUAAACAAUGCUAAGAUAGGUGGCAUGCAUUCACAUGUCAAAUCAAUGCACAUGUAAACUUAAUCUAGACAUAUUUACUCUCCGUUAGGCUUUUCCAGAUUUAUCGUUAUCACUCUAAAAUAUCUCAAUUUGCAAGUUGGAGCACUUCUUGCCAAAAAUGAGGAUGCUGAUGUGAAAUUGACACCCUAGAUAUCUAGAAGUGAGUGCACACGUCCUUUUCUAAUAUUUUCUAUCUAACAAUAGCAUAAGUUAAAAUUAAACAAUGCUUAGGCACAAGUUUUGUCUCGUCGUCAUCGAACUGAGAGGAGUAGUAUUUUUUUUUUAAAGAAAAGUGCACUAAAAGUCUUAAAAUUUAUCAUAAAAAUGUAAUUAAAUUCUAAAACUUUCAAAAUUGUAGUAUGAUGUUAACACUAGUUAAAAUAAUGUAAUUAAGUCCUAGGUGCUCUAUUUUUUUUUCCCAAGAAAAAGAAGAUCCAAUCAAUUAUUGCAAGAAAAGAAUUUUUGUAAAGGUGAGUGACAAAAGAUUUUCAAUUAUUCUAUGGCCAUUAAUACUCGUACAUGCGUAAGGUGACAAUCGAUAACAAAAGGUCUAAGACAUGCAUGAUGGUGACGGAUUUAUAUCUCUCCAAAAACGUCCUAUUAUGUGCAGUACAAUCCUAGAUGCUUGUCCCAUAAUUAAUCCUUGAAAUUGUGAGCCACCUAAUUCAUAAGUAUCUCCAAAUCUAUCGUCAUUGCUCUAGAAUAUCUCAAUUUACCAAUUGAAGCACUUCUCGCCAAAAAUAAGGAUGUUGAUGUGAAAUCGACACACUAGAUAUCUAGAAGUGAGUGUGCACAUAAACCUCAAUCGGUCCUUUUCUAAUAUUUUCUAGUUAACAAUAGGAAAAGUUAAAAUUAAACAAUGCUAAAACAGGUGGCAUGCAUUCACAUGACAUGUAAUUGCACAUGUAAAUUUAAUCUAGAAGAAUUUACUCUCCAUCAGCUUCUCCCACAACUACACCAAUUGCACUAGCAUUGGCCUCCAUAGCAACACCACCGAUCCUGGCAUCUUUCUCCCAAGCGUAACCACCUAGACCGAGUACUGGCUUACACUAGUUCUAAAAUUUGUCGAAAAGUGCAACCAGACCAUAAAAUUUUCAAAAAAUAUAAUAAGGUUGUAGAACUUGUCAAAGUUGUGUAAUCAAGUCCCUUUGUCAACUCUCUAUAAUUUGACUGACAAAAAUGCCGACAUGAUUAUGUUAAUUACUUUUGUUAUGACCAAAGCUGAAACUACUACGAAAUUAAAACUAAGAAAAAUAAAAGAACACAAAAAUUUACGUGAAAACUCUCAUGACAAAAAACUACGGGGAGAGAAGAAGCAAAAUCUACUAGUGAAAUUUAAGGAUUAUCAAAGAUGGCUCGAAAAACCUUAAGACUCUUUUUAUCACUCAUUUUAAACCUAAUAACUUGGGAAAAAAAUAAUAUUUAUAUUGCUCCAUAUGACGGGGUGCAAUCCUUGCACCUUUGCCGAGGAUUAGUGUUGAGGUACUAGCUUGGGCCUCGACCAACACUAAACCUCAAUUUGUUUUUAACAAGUCGAGUAGUCACAAAUUUCAAUUUAAGUAUCAAAACUCAAUUUAGGUCGAAUGGCGGGAGCACAAUUCAAGAUAUACUCAACAAUUUCUUGAGACAAGCGGCGUCCACUAAGCACCACAUCAAUAACGAAACUUUUGGAAAAAAAUUAAAGAAAGAAAGAGAGAGUAAAAGUACAAUAAGAAAAAAAGGGAAAAUGUUCGAACGAAAGGCUAAUAAUGAAAAGAAAGGGGAUUAAAAAAAAAAAAGCAAGACUUCCGCUUCUGGUUUCCCAAAGAAACAGUGAUUUCGAUUCUUGCGAGCGAAAGUUGAGAUUGAAGGAAUGAAUCUCUUUCUUUUUUCUUUUUUUUUGGGGGGGGGGGGGGGGGGGGGGGGGGGGGGGGGCCGCCCGGGGGUUUUUGUUUGUUUGUUGGUUGUUUUCAACCUUCGCAGAUCGCCUACGGACACUUCUUGGAUCAGUUUUACAUAUGAAAGGCUUUACUAUUCUGCCAUGGGCCCAUGGCUGUGGUAGGAUUGGCCAUUGCCGCCACAGCUGUACCUUUAUCACAUAUGCUGCGUCGAUGGAGAGGUGCUCUCGAAUUUGCAGGCUGAGUCCAACCUUUUCUGCAUCGACCCAGUUCAGUCGGUUGCAAUUCGCAAUUUUGAUAAGGAACACUAAAAAUUGUAUUUUAUUUUUUUGGUCGAAAGGGAACACUAAAAAUUUGAAAAAUACUUCCUACGCUCGCGAACAUAGCAAUAAACCAAAAAAAGAAAAACGUUCAGGAGGAAGAUGUAGAUGUCUACGCUAAGGCAACGACAUCAUCCCCCCCUUUUUUUUCUGGUCUGGUUUCGCCUUCUAUCAAGGAGGAGCUUUGCAAUAGUUCCCAAUAAAAACCCCAUGUUUUUGUUCUUUUUCCCCCCUAUCAUCCUUUUCUAUUCAUUUUUUUUUAAUUUUAAAAUUUUAUCUUUUUAAAUUUUCGAUUUCUUUUUUCUAAUGUGGCACUUGAUAGAUGCAUGUAUCUUAAAUAAAAUAAUAAGCCAAAUUGAACUGAUUGGUGAAAUGACCUAAUUGUAUCAUUUUGACAAAUCUUAGAACUCAAUUACAUUUUUGCGUCAAUGAUCACGCAUAAUGUCCGUGACAAGGCAAUCAAAAUUUCCUUAAUUAGGUUUUCAUCUAUUAUUAGUCGGUGGCUCGACCCAUAAAAAUAUUCUAAAUUAGUAUGUGCAUAUCUACAUGCCCUCAAUGGGUUUAUAGAGACACACACUAAGCAUAAUUAACCUCAAUCUCCAUAAUCCACAACCAAAAUCAAAACCCUUCUCACAAUUUAAGUUUAAUAACCAAAUCACAACAUUUCACCAUUCAAUAAAUAUAUAUAUAUAUAUAUAUAUAUAUAUAUAUAUAUAUAUGGAUGUAUAUAUAUCAAAGCGCCUCAAAAACCACAUUCAUAAAUGAUAAACUUUUCGUGAUUCUUUCAUAAAAGGUUUCACGAACCAUUUAGAAGCAAUCGGUUCAAACUGCAGUUAAAGGAUGACUCCCCAUUUUAAACAAACAAAACGGUAGUAAAUGUUCAAUCCUAUUUUAUGCAACAACAGAUGCAAUUUCUUAACAUAUCGUUUUCAAAAUAUAAAAACACAAAAGAAGAAAUAGUAUCACUUAUAUGGGAAAGCGAAAAACCAGCGGGAGUAGUCCCCGCACAGGACGCCGCAUACUUAUUUGUAAUUAUAAAGGGAAAACCAUUUGCUAGUUGAACUAGAUACACAGUGGUUUUGUUCCUUUCGCUUUAUCCGUUUUGUCCUUAUCGAGUCUCUGGUCCUAUAAAUUUCUGGCUCGAUCGACCAAACCCUUCGACAAUCAUCAGCAUUUCCGCUCCCUGAUUGAACAAAUACAUGCACAACAGUUUCAGCACGAUGGCUCUCACCUCCCUCCUCCUCCACCUCCUCCUCCUCCUCUCUUCUCUCCAUGUCAGUAAUUUGUCAAGCUUUCACUCUCCAUGCGUACCCAACUGCUCAUCUCUCUCUCUCUCUCUCACUCUCUCUCUCUCUCUCUCUCUCUGUGUUUUCAUGCAAAGACAGGGCUAUAUGUUUAAUUCGAUAUCUCGCCCUUAAUUAGUAUAUACUUCUUACCUAAGAAUUGCUGAAAAAAUUUUGCGGCCAUUUACUCCAUUGGCAAUUACUUCUCAUCCAUUAUUUGUCAACCCAAUCUCUCUAUACUGGUUUAGAGUGCACAGGCUAUCGGAUCAAAUGGGGAACCCAGGCUUCAUAAGAACUAUUCGAUUUAAUUUACGCAUGCAAGAAGCUAAACAUAUUAGUUUGUAUCAAAAUUAAACCUCAUAAUAUUAUAUAUAUCUUCAUACCAAAAAAAAAAUAUAUAUAUAUAUAUAUCUCAUUUGGGUUAUCUUAACGCAUGUUAGUAGAUCAAUUGUGUUUAUGUGUUCUUUAGGCUAACAAAGAAAUGUGAAUGAAACGUAGAUAAUCAAGGGAACAUAUAAUGAUUUGAUAAUAUGAAAGCAUGUAAGUUGCAAAAGUCAUUUUAAGUGAUUGAGCAUGACGUUACUACUUUUAGACACAAGUAUCAAAUAACAUACAUUAAUGAUUGUUAGGAAUAAAUUGUUGGGUCAUCCAUGUUCAUUGUAAAGAUAAUUCCGAUGAUGCUAUUAUGCGGUUCUAAUUUCGUGUCACGUGACUUGUACCUUUUUGCAUGUUCAUUACAAUUUUCAGUAUGUCUAUUUUACUUCCAUAAUUAUGUCAUUGCACAGUUACUUAAGUCCAUAAUGUCCAUUCUAAUCGUGAUUAUAUAAACUUCUAGCUCACAGUCACUCUUUGAUUUUCUUCUGUGGAUUGUCCUGCGAUAGGUCCCCAGCACCGUCGCUAGGGCCACUCCCGAGGCCGACUUCCUCGCCCGCGAGGCUAACUCGAUCUCUCCCAAAGCAUACCUUGUCCAUUACUGGAACAAGCAAAUCACCAACAACCUUCCCAAGCCACCAAUCCUCUUCUCCAAAGCGUCACCUCUGACGACCGCGUCAGCGACCAUCUUCGCCGAACUCGUUGCCAAAGGCGCCAUCUCUGACCACCUCCUAUCGUUCUGCGAGGAGGCGCAAUUGCUCUGCUUCAUGAACUCAUCAUCUGAUGGGGUCGCAAGGACAAAUGCACAGGUGUAUAGUUACACAAAUUGCCCCCCUCCCCCCCCAGCCGAUACAAUUGUGGCAACUGAUGACAAGAAAGUAAAUGGCGGCGUGGAGGAGGGCGCGUUUUUUCGAGAGUCGAUGCUGAAGAGCGGGAAUGUGAUGCCAAUGCCCGACAUCCGGGAUAACUUGCCCAGAAGGUCAUUUUUGCCUCGCGGCAUUUCCUCCGAAAUGCCGUUCUCAACCUCGAAGCUCGCUGAGCUGAAGCAAAUCUUCCAUGCCACUGAAAAUUCCGCGAUGGAGAAGAUCAUGGCACAAAUACUAGGCCAGUGCGAGGUUGCAGCACUCCAAGACGAAACCAAGAGGUGUGUGGCCUCCAUCGAGGACAUGAUCGACCUUGCCACCUCGGUUUUGGGUCAUGACGUCAUGGUCCGAUCCACGGAGAGCGCCGGAGGGUCGAAGCAGGAGGUCUUGAUCGGGGUGGUCAAGAGGAUCGACGGCAGCGAAGUGAGCAAGCCCGUGGCCUGUCACCAGAUUCUAUUUCCUUACGCUGUCUAUUACUGUCAUGCAUUUCCAAAUGUCCGGAUUUACGAAGCAGACAUACUAGAUCCCAAAUCCAAGGCUAAGAUCAAUCACGGUGUCGCCAUUUGUCAUAUGGACACAUCAGCUUGGGGCCCUACUUACGAGGCAUUUCUGUUGCUUGGAUCGGGUCCUGGCCAGAUCGAGGUCUGCCAUUGGAUAUAUGAGAAUAACAUGAUAUGGACAAUUGCCAAGUCAUAAUGGAAGAACGAAGUGUGGUCAAGAUGGAAUAAACAUGGGUUCGGCCUGGUGAUCAAGAUAGAACUUGGUCUUUAGCUACCUCCAACCGAAAGCCUCUCUUGCUUUGCAUUACAAUCUAAUAUAGUAUCUGAAUCUGAUAUCAACAAAAACGUGUUUGUGUUUGGUGUGAAACAGUUGUCAUGGUCAGUAAAUGUCAAGUGUUUUUUUUUUCUUGUGAUUUGAGUACAUGUUCAAGUCUUUUGCAUUCUCCUGUCCUUUGUGCUUAGAGAUCUUCCUAUCUCUCGAUUUGCGUUACUAUCUUUGAGAAUUUUCUUCAACUUUCGACGAGGACCAAUAACUAUUUUCACAGUACUGUUAUUAUAUAAACGAGAGACAGAUAAGAAUGCAGUUGUUUUAUUCUUACCUUUUACCAAAAAAAAGAAGAAGAAUGCAAUUGUUUUUGAUAAAAGAAAAAAAGAAAAAUAGUGAAAAGCUGCAAAAAUAGUUCAAGUGGCCCAGUGGUUGGGAGUCCCAACGUGAUCAUUUUGAUACACUUGACAUUGGGCCCGUCUAGUUCGGCUUUGGGAAAUGCCAUUGGGAGAAUGCAAAUACCUUUGAGGUAAAUGUGUUUUUUGAAAUGCUAGACUGUUUGGUAAACUAUAACUGAAAAGUGAUUUAGGAAAAUGCAAGACCGUUUGGUAAACAUAUAUUUAAAAAGCCCUUUAGUGUAACCAAAUUAAGUUUUUUAGUUUUAGUAUUUUUAAAAUUGCAAAAAAGAAAUAAUGACUAUAUAACCUUUUACAUUUUCAUGUCGAAAGUAAUGUAAAAGACAUAUAUUAGCAAAUUUAUUUAAAAAUUAUAUUAAAAGAAUUUGAUUAUAGAUUAGAUGCAAAGCUCAAUUUUUGGCCUAGGGUUCUUUUAGGUUUGUUUUCAACUUUGAAUAAUUUUUUUAAAUUAUUGUAGUAUUAAUCAUCUUCGUCAAUUAAUGAUCAUUCUAGUGUAUUGAUAAAAAAUUGGGCUAUUGAUUGUCAAAAGAUAAAAAUGACAAAAAAAAAAAAGGCGAACCCAACAUUUGCAAAGAGUUUUUAUUAUUUUUUUAAAAUAUAAAAAUAAAAUCCGAUGAAACUCCAUCGCCGAUCAACGGCGGUUGGGGUGUGGGGAAGAUGAUCGGUUUAAAAAAAGAAAAAGAAAAAGAAGUCAACGGAUGAAUAGUAGAGGUGGACUUGUAUUUCCGAAAUGCUGGAAGCUCAAAGUAAGCCCCCAUUUGCUUUGGGCUUUCAGCAUUUCAAAGGCCAGCAUUUGGCCAAGAACACCUCCAAAUGCUGAACCAAACACCUAACUUUUUUCCCAAUGGGUUUUCGAGGCUGAGAGCCCUUUGGGAAUGCUAAACCAAAUAGGCCAUUGAACAACGAGAGCUGCCUGGUUCAAUCUUGAAGUGGCACUUCCCACUUUUUCUCCCCCUGAAUUUUGCUUUUAAACUUUUCUGCAUUUAUCUUUUGUUUGCACUUUCUCGGUUACAUAAACUACAUAUCAUCAGAUCAUUGCUUUCUUUUUUUUUUCUUUUUUCUUUUUGCUUUUUUUAAGCGUUUGUUAUUGGAAAAAGAUAAUUCAAUAAGAACCCCCUAUACGAGAUUAGACUUCUAAAAUCCUAAAAACUUCACAUGAAUGAUUCUGAUAUGAUAAAAAUGUAAAAACUAAAUUUAUUUUUGUUUCGCUAGAAUUACUCUCUUAAUGAAAUGUCUUUUACCAAAAGUUAUUCUUUGGUUUUAUUAAAGAGGACAAGGGUUAUGUGCCAACUCCAGACAAUGGAUAUCUAAUGCAAGAAGGAAUUGAACUUCUUUGGUCCAAACAACAUUGAUUUUAGGUUGAGUCGGAAUUAAUCAACAACAAGGCAAAAAAAAGUUACAAGACCGGUCUCAAAUUAUGUUGGAAUUUAAUCAACAACACAAAUUAGGGAUAGUAAGAUGUGGAGUUGGAAUUUAAUCAACGACACAAACUAAGGAUAGUAAGAUGUGGAAUUGGAAUUUAAUCAACGACAAUAUACCAGGAUAGUAAGAUACAAUACUGGAAUUUAAUCAACGACAAUGUACCAAGAUACAGAAACACGUCGGAAUCUAAUUAACGAUGAAAAUCUAAAAGCUAUAGCUAGGAAAAUUAAAGUUUAGUACAAGAAAGGCAAAUAUAAAAAGAUAACAUUUUGAUUGAUUUAUCAUAUGGCUUCUAGUUGGAUGAUUGGUUGUAUGAUAACCGUUUGGUAGUUACGUCUUCUCUAGUGCCUGCUACUGGCUUUGUCCAUGAUCCUUUAUUCUCAUAGAUCACUUUGCCCAUACUUCAUAUAACUGUCCUAGUCGUGUUUUGAGGAUUAUGCAACUGUCGAUGCCAUUCCAUGACUGGGGCUCCAAAUAGCAAUUGCUUUUUUACAACAUGCGCCUUUGAUGCUAACUACCUUAGUGCCUUAAGUAAUAUUCAAAGUGUCUCCAUUGAAAAAGUUGUUGCUAAAGUUCAUAUGAGGGGCUACCAAUCAUCCGUCAUCAUAUUUCAACAACCGAUUACAUGGCAUUUCUUUAUCUCAUCGUCAAUCAAAGGAUAUCUACUCUACGUCUGUUGAUAAUUUGGCAUACAUCAGACAUCACCUAGCCAUUAUGCACAUAAUUGUAACUUAUUUCUGAAGAGCUACGGCUGAGGUAAACCUCAACUUUAAUAUCAGCUAUAUAGUUCACAAUUUCACGAAAGAUCCUGUAUUUAUGAGAGGACAUGUAACAUUUUCAAUUAAGAUAAAUAUUUGUCACAUGUAUUUCCGUGUUUAUAUAAGUGACCCAAUUUGUCAUGCGAUUGAUAAAUCUCUUCGUUUGUAGCUAUACUUUUAUCUUUUAACAAUCUUAGCCCAUGGACCUACAUUGCUGAAUGGACACUUCUGAUGUAUUCGAUUCGUGGAUGAGUAUUUUUCUCGCUCGGCAGUGAUCGACCCAUGUGGCCACGAUGAAUAGUGGAAGCAAAAUUGACAUUGGCGAAUAGAGCUUAACAGAGAAGAUGUCGAGUCCAAUUGAAGAAAUCGUACAGGAUAGGGGUGGGACUUUGCAUCGAUAAAUUCAGGUUCUUUCAACGUAUUCUGUCGUUGGAAUGCAAGAGAGAUCAUCGAAAAAGUGUAUAGAUUAAGUCCCUAUUAUCUUUUACGAGUUAAGGGCACGAGCAUAGAGGCUCGGUUAUCUAAAGGUUCUUGGAACAUUCUACAAGCCUCAUAAAUCGUUUGAGCCCUAGUUUUAUAAUUGUUGGCAAGUUUGGAUAAAGGUUCUAAGGCUUUGAUUGAGAAGUCAUGAGAAAUCGGGUGGAUAGGUUAUUUGCAUAUGGACAGUUCUAGUAAAAUUGUUGACUCUGGAGAAAUCAGCUUAAGGUUCUUCAUGGGAUCCAAUAACCACAUAGACAUAUAUAUACCAUUAGAUGGUUAUUUUUUUCCACCAAAAAACAUCAUAUGAUAGAAAGUACGGGUUAUACCUAUUCUCUGAUGUAGUUUCGUUUUGUAAAUGAACCAAUUAGUCCUUUCCUCUCCUAAUCCUUGGAAAGUAAGCACACACCUAGAGAUUUCAUUUAUCUCUUGUGGAAGUGAUUUUGAUUAGGUUUACUCAUAAUGGCAUCCAAUGACUUUAACCCUAAUUCAGGAUUAGCUAGCCAAUUACAGAGUGUCUCUACUGGAGUACAUGCGCAUAUAUGGAAAAUCAAAGUUUCACAUCUUAAAAAUUUAUCUAAUCACUAUACAACUUGAUUAAUUAACCGAUAGCUGUCCAAUAUGAGAUACAGAUGGAUGCCCUUUUGUUGUUUAAUCGCAUUAAUACAAAAGACUUGUCCUUUUGCGAAAUUGGCAUUUUGCAUUAAGCCAUUUGUUUUGCAUUAUCAAGACUCACCAUGUCCAAAGCAUAGACGUGACUUACUACCUAAAUAGUUUUUGUCUGUAGCUAAUUCCGAAGUGUUUGUCCUUGUACUCUUCCAGCCUUUCAUCAAUCUCAUGGGCUAAUUCCCAUCACCCUACUUUGUUUUGUGCUAAAACGCAACUGAUGGCAAGUGUAUCUCCAAUCGAUAGAAUCUUUUAGGAGGAAAUUCUAUCCAAAUCUAACUUUUAUUUACACUGUGUCACGACCUAAAUUUCGGGUGUGAACCACCUAAGGUUUGGCUAAACUUACCCAAGCCCAUAUCAAUUCACGACUUAGGUUCAAAUUUUUUAACAUGCAAAUGGAUUUUAUCUAGGAGUUGCCACUAAUCAGUUUACGAUAAGUUGAUUAAACACCUAAGUGAAAUAAAAUAAAAUAACGGGAGAAUUAUUUCACUUCUACGAAUCAGAGAUUUUGGGUACGGGGACUUGGUUACACUAGAUUUCUCUAAUGCCAUUUCGAUACCCUUAUUUUAAUUUCAAAAAUGCUUUUGCAGGCAGCUUAAAUUGAUUUUAAAUCUAUUUCCCUAACAUGUGAGGCGAUCAUGCGAGUGCGCAAACUACCAAUUUAACACCCAAGUAAAGCAGUAAAUAAAUUGUAGGACUUACCUCAUAGCAAUGAAAGCAUCUGCAUUAUUAGAUCAGAAUUCACACAUCAACAGUCCUAGAUAUGAUUACUAAUUAACACGCAAUUUCUUUUUUGUUUUCACUUACUUAACGAAAAUCAUGCAAUAUGCAAUGCAAUAUAACUAAAUGACCUAAUUCUAAUGAUAAAUAAUUUCUAAUUAAAUGGGCCUAGCAACAAUUAUCAAAUCUAGUUCUAUAUGACAUGCAAUGACAUUUUUUUAUUUUUCCUAAAAAAUGCAAUCUAUCUUAAAGAAUGGAACUAAUUUAUUCUAAGACAUUUUUUGCAUUUUUUAUGAAAUUCGGAAUUAGGAAAAAUGUGAAAAUUAUCUAACUAGAUUAAGAUUCUAUUCAAUUUGCAUUAGGAAUUAGGUUAAGUCAAAUCCUAAUUUAAACUAAUAUAUUAUCUUAACCCAAAUAAUCUUAAAAUGCAAUCUAUUUAAGAAAAUACCUAAACUUAUAAUAAAUUAAGAAAAAUAUUAUCUAAAAUUAAAUUCAAUUUUACCCUAAUAUACAAUGACGCACAAAAUAUGCCAUAAUUCUACAUGACAUAUGCAUGAUGAUUUUUUUUUGGUUGUUUUUCCUUUUUUCUUUUUUCCUUUUGUAAUUUCGAAAUUAAUAAUUGCCAAAUAAUAAAACAUGCAAUCCAAAUUAAAAAAGAACUAGCAACCUAAAUUAAUUGAUUUUUUUAAAAUUUUUGAUUUCUGAAAAUUCAAAAUAAAAUUCCUAUUCUGAGCAUGCAAACCCUAAAACUACAAUUUUUUUUAAGAAAAUUAAUUUAAGUAACACCACAGUAAAUCAAGUAAUAUUGAUACCCAAAUUGACGAACCAUAUUUCACGCAUGAGAUCGAGUUGACCAAUUUCACAUAAAUUAGGAAUCGAAUCUCGGGCGGGAGAUUGGAUUGGCGAUUUUUUUAAGUAAUUGCUAGUCAGAUUUCGAACGCGAAAAUCGGACUGACAAUCACUAAUUUCACAGGCUAUUUCAUGUCGAACAUCUCAUCAUCAAAUAAAGAAACAAAAUGAAUAAUAAAAACUUAAUAAAUAAAUAAAUAAAAUAAAAUAAGAAAUCUACCUAAUUAGGGUUUUGGCCUUCCUAAACUAGGGUUAGCCGGCGGCUAGAUGGGUCGCCGUUCGGAGCUCCGGCGAGGGCGGCGGGCGGACCGGCGGUAGCAACAUUGACCAGCGGGCAGGGGCUGCUAUCCGGCGUUUAGGAGCAAGCCGCAAUUGGUUCGUCGCUCGGGCGUGCAUCGGGUCGCCGGGAGCAGCAAAGCGUCGGACCUCGGCGACCGGUCCUGGGUCGCGGGCAGAGGAGCGGCGUCGGGCUGUGGCUGCAGCAGGUGCCGAUUCUGGGUUUUUUGCUGAUGGCGUCGGGUCUUGCUGUAGGGGCGAUCAUGGACGGAACGGCGAUGCGGCGUCCGGCGAGCACGGGAAUCGGGUCGCGGUGCGAGCUCCUGUGGGUCGCUCGUAGACGCGGCAAGGUAGGCUUGCGGACGCGAGAUCUGCGGGUUGCGGGUCGCAGGCGAGGCGGAGCAGAAGCAGGUUAGCGCUGGGCGGCUUCGAGCUGCAGCUUCGGUUAGCGCAGAUCGGGGACGGAGAUCGGCUGAGGCGCGGUGGGUUUCGUCGGGCUGGUCGAACGGCGCCGAAGGCUGCUGCGACUUCGCGGGGGCGCCGGAACUGGGCUGUGGAUCGCGUACGGGGCGGCGAGACAGACAGACGGCGGCUGGCUCUGGAUCUGAUGGCAUCGGGGAAGGCCGACGUCGCGAUGGCGUCGCGGUGCUCGCGGAUGAGCGGCAGGGGUGGCGACGGCCGGCGCAGCGGAGGAAGCGCAGGCCGGUGCGGGAUCUCGCGCGGUGGUGAAGUGGCGAGCGGUGGUGAUCGGCGCAGGCGAGAUCGGCAGCAGCGGUCGCCGGCGGCUUCGCGAGGAAGACGAACAGUGGCUCCCUUUUUCUUUUUUUCUCUCUCUUCUCACGUCUCCCUCACAUCACAUCACCCUCACACGUCUCUCUCUUCUUGCUGCACCCUCUGGCUUCCUCUGUAGACUUUUUCCUUGUUUUUUUAUUGCAGCCGUCACUUUUCUCUCCCUCUUUCACUUUUUCUCUGCUGGCUAUUCCCUCGAAGAAAACCGAGAGAAACGGCCCUCUUAAUGUGGCCGCGUAUUCAAUGUUAGGCCACGGAUUAGGGUUUUAUAUUUCCAAAAAUUUCUUUUUCAAACGUAAUAUUUACAUUUCCAAACGUAAUAUUUACUUUUGAACUGAAAUCUUACAAAGAUAAAUCCGUAAAAUCUCUCCAAAGAUAUGGGUUUGGACCAAUUUGCUCUUUUCGUGGGUUUAGCACAACUCAUCAAAUUAAAGUUUCUGAAGCAUCAAUUCGAAUCUAUCCGUCACCGGCUCAAUGUAAAUGCAAAUUAAAAAAUAAAUACACCUAAAAUUAUAUAUUAUGCAAUUAACUAUUUUUUCAGGAAUAAAAUUAACCCAAAAUUUUUUAAUACAAUAAAUGACUAAAUGAGACACCAAAAUUUAGAUGUCAACAAUUUGAAACAUAUGUGUUUCUUGUGGUACAUAUGCAUAAAUGUAACUUACCCAUCAGAAGAUUGAGCAAGAGGAAAUCAUGACUUUGUUUUAAGGAAAAUUCCAAAUAAAGAUCCGAAAUGGACCGAUUUUCUCAAAUAAGGACCCGGAAUUAACUUUGUAUCAAAUAAAGACCUAAAAUUGACCUAUUGUCUCAAAUAAGGACUCGAAGUUGUUGAAUCAAUUCCAAAUAAGGACUUGAGCUUGAUAAUUAGCCAAAUAUUCGCCGGCUGUCAAGCAUGUGACAUUUCCAACGACUGGAGUUUGGGCAAUUUUGUCCAAAAAAAAUUAUAGGGAAAAUUAACAAAUCCUAAAACAAAAAGAAAAAAAAAAGCCUAGGUUUUCUACAGUCUCUUCGUUCCUUGUACCCAUGCUUUGCAAAGUCAAAGACCGAAGUUCUCCUCAUUUACCCAUCUUCUGCAAAGUCGAAGACCCAAAUUCUCCACCGGUUGAGGCACGAAUUCAAAAACAAGAAGAAUACCAUAUGCUUCUUUCUUUGUUUGCGGAGACCCAAAUUCUCCGUCGGUUGAGCAAGGUGAAUUGAGUCGCAACGAUGACCGGGCAGCGAUUUGGUUGAGGAGCAGCAAGGAAGAAGAAAGAAGAAAACGUAAACAUCUAAAUAAAUAAUCUAAACUUAAUUAAUUUAGAUUUUUCCUCUUUUUUUUCCGAUCACAAAUUUCCGACAAAAUUGCCCCUAUUUUAAUCAUUGGAAAAUGUCUGCCGGUGAGCUAAAGUCCUCAAUAGAGAUUAACUUGAUCACUUCGGGUACUUAUUUGACAUAAAAUUCACUUCGGGUCAUUAUUUGAAACAAUGAGUCUACUUCGGAUCCUUAUUUGACACAAAGUUUAUUUUGGGCCCUUAUUUGAGAAAAUAGAUCCACUUCGAAUCCUUAUUUGAAAUUUUCCCUUUUUUUAUAACAAAAAGAAGGCAGCGAAUAAUCGAUAUGAUACUUAUUAAUUGCAAGUUAUAUUAAAAAAAAACUAAUUAAGUUUUAUUUCUUCCGCUUGGCAGAGAACAUUUGAUAUGAAACUUUAAUUAACUGCAGAUUGUAAAACUAGUGGUUAAGAGUCCCAACUUGAUAGUUUGUGUUAUAACGUUUGACAAAAAUUUUACGAAACUAAUAGGGGUGGACACACAUUGCGAUAGGAACACCCCCACCUCCGUCCCAGCCUAACUAGCCCUCAUUACCGUCGAAUCUGUCAAUUGACAAUUGGAGCAGAUUCGAGCCCUUUGAUCGGUCUAAUCAUAUGAUUGAGAAAUCUCUAUGUUCAUAGCUAUACUUUUACCUUUUACCGAUUUUCUCCAAAAUUUUUAUUACGUAUGGAAUAAUGAACGGCCUAUAAUUAUUUGAAAUUGCCGCGGAAACGGACGGGAUCUUUCUAGCAUCACCUUACUACGAAGACUUUGUUGUGGGCUAAGAUUAGCGCAGGCCUUGGGCCUGCAUUGCUUGUGAAUGGCACUCACGAUGUCCUCGUUUCUUGGAUAAGCAUUUAUCUAGCUUGGCAGUGAUCGACCCAUGUGUCCUGGAUGAAUAGUAGUAGCAAAAUUGACAUCAGCGAAAAGGGGUCAACAGAGAAUAUGUCCAAUCCAGUUAAAGAUAUCAUACACAUCCGGGGUGGACCCGCCUUUGUCCAUGCGAUCCCAAACUUUAUGGACUGUGCACCGAUAAAUACAGGGUCUUUAGAAGUAUACUAUCGUUGGGAUGCAAGAGAGAUCAUCGAGAUCGCAUGGGGACCAAGUUAUUAUAUUUACGAGUUGACGGCAUGAGAGCAGAGGCUUGGUUACCUGGAAGCCUAUAGAAAACCCUGCAAGCGUCAUGAAUAGUCCAAGUGGUCUGCGCAGGUGGUUUUGACUAGAGCGGCUUGUACACGGUUAUUGGAAUACAAACAAAUGAACUCCAAUUUCUGACUUACCAAUCUCUAGAUUUGCAAUAGGCAAAUUGUUUCCCAUUUUAUCCAGUUCACUGGGUCAAGUUACAAAGAUAAUCUAAUUCGUUUGGAUAAAAGUUCUUAGGCUUUGAUUGAGAAGUCACGGUGAAUCGGGUGGAUAGGCUAUUUGCAUAUGGAGAGUACUAGUGAGAUUGUGGACUAUGGAUAAAUCGGCUUAGGGUUCUUCAUGGGAACCAAGAACCACAUAGAGAGAUAUAUCCUAUCAUAUGGUUAAUUAUUUCCAUCAAGAGAUAUAUCCUAUCAUAUGGUUAAUUAUUUCCAUCAAAACAUCAUAUGAUAGAAAACGUGGGUUAUGCAUAUUCUCUAAUGUAGUUUCAUUUUGCAAAUGAACCAAUUAGUCCUUUCCUUUCCUAAUCCCUGUAAAGUAAGCACACUUCUUGGAGAUUUUGAGAUUUUUAUUUAUCUCUUGUAGAAGUGAUUAUAAUUAGGUUACUCAUAAUAGCAUCUUAUCACAAUUACUUUAACCCUAAUUCAUGACUAGUUAGCUAGUGACACAGUUUAUCUAUUGGAGAGCAUGCACAGAGAUGGAGGCAGCGGGGAGAAUCUCAUCUACACGUGAAAUCACAGUUUCCCAUCUUGAACAUUUAUCAAAUUACUGUACAAUUUGAUUAGUUAACUAGGGCAGGUCCAAUCUGAGAUAUAGAUGGGUGCUCUUUUCUUGCUUAAUCACAUUAUUAGGGAAGAGUUGUCCUUUACGAUAUUGGCAUAUUGCAUUAUUCCAUUUGUUUUUCAUAAACUAAGACAUGUCCUAUAUGAGGCAUAUAUGGAUGCUUUUCUUUAAUCAAGUCUUUUUCAUGUAAUUUGAUAUAACUUACUACCUAAGUAGUUCUUGUCUUUAGCUAAUUCUCAAGUGUUUUUGUUUUUUUUUCCCUAUUCUAUUCCAUCCUUUCACCAAUUAUGUGGGCUUUCCCAUCACCUUCCUUUAUUUUAUGCUCAAACGCCUUACAGAUUCCACGUGAUGAUAGAAUGACUAGAGUCCAACAAAAAUCUAAUGCCUCGCUCUUUAUUAUUUAGAACUUAGGAGUUCCCCACAGACCAAUUUAUUUUUUGAGCUUAGGAGUCCCUAGACACCGACUUAUUUUUUAUAUUUUAUAUUUUCCUUUAUAUCAUGCUUUUGAUUAGUAGGUCAUAGCUUAUGGACAUCAUUCAGAUGUGUACUCAAUUAAAUUUCAAUAAGGGCAAUAUCCGUAUAUGUAACUAACCAAUCAUAAGACUGAACAAGAGGAAAUCAUGACCCUUUUUUUUUAUAACAAAUAGAGUCAAGGGAUUGCAAUGAUAUACGUCACUCAAGCCUUAGGUUCAAAUCACCCCAUUUGUGCAAGUACAAGCCUAUGUAUCAACAGUAAUUACUCGAUUGGUGUUAUAGAUUUGUCCAAGAAUCAACCGGAAUAUGAUACUGAUUAAUUGCAAGUUGAACUAGACUAACUAUUAAGUUUUAUUUCUUUCGCUUGGCAGAAAAGAUUUGAUAUGGAAACUCCAAUUAACUGCAGAUUGAACUAAAACUACAACUUUUGUUUCUUUCGCUUCAUCCAUUUGUCCUAGGGAAUCUCUCUCUCUCUCUCUCUCUCUCUCUACCAUCAGUCCUAUAAAUUUCAUGCUCAAUCAAGCGAACCCUCCAACAACAUCAGCAUUCCCUCUCUCUAAAGAAAUGAGCGAGAUCAGUUUUAUCAAAAUGUCUCUCGUCUCCCUCUUCCUCGUCCAGCUGUUGUCAAUCCAUGUUAGUCUUCUCAAGCUCUCUUCCCUCCCUUUCCACACACCAUAAUCACUGCUCAUCCUAUUUACGAACUUCGCAUGCAUUAACGCUCAUAGUUCGUUGAUCUUGUUUAUGUUCCUAUUUAUGUUAAAAGAGACAUGCAAAACACAAAUCACGAAGUGAAAGACAUAUAUAAUGCCAGAAUGUAUAGGAGGUUUAUGUGUUUGCUUAUUUUUAUAAUAUAGCGUCUCCAUUACUUAUGCUAAGCCAGAUAUGAUGUAUUGAUAAGGAAAAAAAUGACUAUUGUCAUUCAGAUUAUGGACAUAAGUUGAAGGAUUGGUCAGGAAUAUUUGUCAUGCUAUCUAUUCUAUUCUCAAAAGUUGAUUUCAUUCUUGUUAUCACGCGAGCAGAACUUCUUGCUACUUUGCUUACGACCAUUUGCACGUUCAUUGCAGUUUCAUCCAUGUCCCAUGUAUAUGCUGCAUAAAUAUUUGACCAAGUCUGCUUGGCAUCGUACUGCGAUUGUGAUGUAGCCUUGUUUGUCUUAUGACUGAGUUGUAAAUUGAAUUUUAGGGCUCGAUAUCUUUUAAACUGGGUGAACUAUCCUAGGUCGGUCGCAUUGUGCUAGCUUUCUAGUUACUUACUGAUUUUCUCUUUUGUCCCGCUAUAGGUUGUUUCCACCAACACGAGAACCGCCACCAACGCCAACUCCCUUGCCGGCGAUGCCAACUCAAUCCCUUCCAAAGAAUACCUUGUCCGUUACUGAACUGAACAAAUCACUAGCAACCCUGCCAUACCACCACUGCUCACAUCCAAAGUUUCACCCUUAACUGCUGCACAAACAACCCUUUUUGCCCAGCUCGUGGCUAAAGGUGCUGUUGAAGAUCACCGCCUCUCUCUCUCCUGGAGUUCUCUAGAUCUUUCUCUAGAGUUCUCCAUAUCUCUCUUUGGAUUUCUCCAGAUUUCUCUCUCUCUAUUGCUCUAGAUUUUUCUCUCCCUCUCUCUCCAGAUUUUUCUCGGCCAUUUUGUUCAUGGACUCCACCGACUUUGGCUCCUAUAAAUAGGGGCUGUUGUCUCUUGAAGUGUAAGUGUGAGGGGUGUUGUGUGUGUAAGUGUGUACGUGAGUGUGUGGGUGGAGUAGGUGGCGUGAAGUGUAGAGAAAUAGAGAAUAAGUGGGUGUGUGCGAGAGUUGUGUCCGUGUGAGGUUUGUGAGGGAGUGGGUAAGCAAGUACAAUGAGUUGUUGUGAGAGGAUGAUAAAAUAGAGAGUUGUAAUAUUGUUCUAUAAUAAAAGUAAUUAUUUUACUUGUACAUCCACUUGCUUCUCAACAAUUGGUAUCAGAACAGGUCGUCAGAGGCCGUGUGAAAACAGUGGUCGGGGACCAUUGUAAGUGAGCAAGGCGGUUAGGGAUCAUCGAGCCAAGGAGCGAAGAAGCGAAGGACGUCGGAGUUCUGCAUGUGCACAAUCUGGGAUUGUGAAGUCGGUUGGUCCGGGACCAGGCUUACUUGGUAUAGUGCGGGGCAUUAUACUCAAGUCACGAUGGCGGAUUUCUUGAGUUCGGUAAGUGGCAUCGAGAAGCUCAACAAAUCAAAUUAUAAUAAUUGGAGUACCCGCAUACAAUAUUACUUGCUAGGACAAGAUUUGUGGGAUAUUGUUGGCGGGAGCGACACCACCCCACCCACGAAUGAUAGCGAAUUAAGAAAAUGGAAUAUAAAAUCGGGUAAGGCUCUUUAUGUGCUUGCCGUGACUGUUGAAGAUGAAUUACUGCAACACAUAAAGAGUGCGACGACCCCGAAAGAGGCCUGGGAUAACUUGGCGACACUGUUUGCAACGACAAACGAUGCGAAUUUACAAUGCCUGGAGAACAAGCUCCUCUCAAUCUCGCAACAAAAAAUGACGGUGAGUCAAUACUUUUCUAAAGUUAAAUCUAUUUGGAAAAGAAAUUUCAAAAUUAGAUCCUGAGAAUGCCAUCUCUAAAACAAGAAUAAGAUGAAUAACGGUAUUGUUACAGCCACCCGUGGAUGGGCAAAUGAGCCAACUCUAACAGAGUUGGAAAAUAUAUUGGCCAAUCAAGAGGCCUUAGAUAAACAAAUCCCUAAGGUCUCAAUUAAGGAGGAUGAGAGUGCCCUCUUUAGUAAUAAAAGAGCGUUCAAGGGCCAAAAUAGAAAUAGAGUAGGUGCAAGAGAUGGCAAACCAUGGAAAAAUCAUGGAGAUUGGCAAAGGCAACCAUAAGAGAAGGGUUAUCAGCCAGGGGGAGCUCGUCAAGAUCGCGACGACGAUGACGAUGAAGACAAGAGCAACAAAAGGCGUAGCAAACGGUGCUACGUUUGUGGCAAGAUAGGACAUAUUGCCAGAUUCUGUUGGUACAGGCAAGAAGAAGGAAAUGUCGUCACUUCUUGCAAGAAGGAGAUUGAAAGUGAAGAAGAAUGGGACUUUCAAGAGCCUGUUGCAGUGAAGGAACGAGAAGAGCUUGCAACCGCUUGUAUAAUUGAGUUGGAUAAUUCGAUAGGUUCUAUCACAACCCCGAAUAAGAGCAAGCCAAGGGAGAACUUGAAGAAACAACUAACAAUGCCAACAAGCAGUCGUGAAAGGAAAUUGCAAGAGAUGCAGGAGAUGAUAAAGAAGCUGAAAGUUGAGAAGACAAAGAUGGAGAAUAUGUUGAAGAAAAGGGAUAAGAUGAUAAGGCAGAAGGAUGGAGAGCUCAAGGCAAAAGAAAGGGAGCUAAAGAAGUUCCGAUGUGAGUUCAAGAAGCUAUAGAAGCUUCAGGAUCUCAAGCCCGCUAUGAUGUUCCCAAUUGGUCAUACUAAGAGAGAUAUCAAACACAUGAAGGAGAAGAAGAACGGUUUCUUUGAGGAAAGGAGGCCAUCUACACCUUACAUCUCGUGUAAGAAUCGGUGGAAUAAAAUCGAGGGGAAGAAAUUUUAUGAGGAAAAGGAUCAAGAGGUCUACAUUGAAGUGCUUCGGAUGGGACUGAAUCGAUUGAAGCACGAAAUGGAAAUCACAAAUGAGAGGCUUGAUCGAAUGAGUUCCAAUCUCACAAUUCUUAUAGGAGAUAUGUCGAAUACGAAGACCAAGUUGAGUGAGAAGAAGGAAAAUGAGACUAAAGGUCAGAAUGAAUUGGCAUUGCAAAAAUUUAAGGAUCACAAAACUCAAUGGAAAGUCACAGCAAGAGAAGCAACUGAAGAUGGAGCCAUAGAGCCAUCCACGUACGAGGAAGCUUCACAAUGUGCUGAAUGGAAGAAGACAAAAGCAGAUGCCGAAAAACAACUUGACAUGGUGUUACAUCCAAAAGAGAGAGCAGUCGGUGAGGGGGAGUGUUGAAGAUCACCACCUCUCUCUCUCUUGGAGUUCUCUAGAUCUUUCUCUAGAGUUCUCCAUAUCUCUCUUUGGAUUUCUCCAGAUUUCUCUCUCUCUCUAUUGCUCUAGAUUUUUCUCUCCCUCUCUCUCCAGAUUUUUCUCGGCCAUUUUGUUCAUGGACUCCACUGACUUUGGCUCCUAUAAAUAGGGGCUGUUGUCUCUUGAAGUGUAAGUGUGAGGGGUGUUAUGUGUGUAAGUGUGUACGUGAGUGUGUGGGUGGAAUUGGUGGCGUGAAGUGUAGAGAAAUAGAGAGUAAGUGGGUGUGUGCGAGAGUUGUGUCCGUGUGAGGUUUGUGAGGGAGUGGGUAAGCAAGUACAAUGAGUUGUUGUGAGAGGAUGAUAAAAUAGAGAGUUGUAAUAUUGUUCUAUAAUAAAAGUAAUUAUUUUACUUGUACAUCCACUUGCUUCUCAACAGGUGCCAUCUCCGAUCACCUCUCAUCUUUCUGCAGGGCAGCACAACUGCUCUGAUUCCCAGCCUCACCACACUAUCCAGUUGGCUACACUGUCGAAAAUAGUGCCACGACACCGGUAGGUGGCAUGAAAGUGAACAGGGGCGUGGAGCCUGGCAAAUACUUCUGGGAAUCAAUGUUGAGGAGUGGGAAUAUGAUCCGGAUUCUAAAUCUUCGUGUCAAAGCUCCCAAAAGGUUGUUUUUGCCUCGCAGCAUUUCCUCCGGAUUACCAUUCUCCAUCUCGAAGUUCGCCGAGCUGAAGCAAAUCUUCCAUGCUGGGGACGAUUCCAAUAUGGAGAAGAUCAUGGUGCGCACACUCAGCCAGUGCGAGCAAGCGCCAAUCCAAGGUGAGACCAAGCGAUGUGUAAGCUCUGUCGAGGGCAUGAUCGACUUCGCCACCUCAAUACUAGGCCACGACAUCCAGCUUCACUCCACGGAGAGCGUCGAAGGGUCGAAGCGUGAGAUCUUGAUUGGACGAGUGAAAAGGUUGGAAGGGAGUAAAUCGAGUGCGCCCGUGGCAUGCCACGAGACUAUAUUUCCUUACAUGGUCUAUUACUGCCAUACAUUUUUGACCCUUCGAGUUUACGAAGCGGAUAUACUGGAUCCCGUGUCCAAGGCCAAGAUCAACCAUGGCAUCGCCCUCUAUCACAUGGACACGUCGAUUUGGAGUCCAAAUCACGAGGCGUUCCUUGCGCUCAGGUCGAGCCCUGGUCAAAUCGAGACAUGCCACUGGGUCUUUGGGGAUUAUGGUGUUUGGACGAGGACCAAUUAGUAAUGGAAAAAAAUGAAGCGUGGAUCAAAUUGAAUAAUAUAGAUUGGACGUAGAGACCGAGAGAAAUCAUCCGCUAGCUCCAUCCUACGCCAUCGUUCACUUAAAAGUAUUGUCUAAUAUGGUAUUUGCUAUCUCAUAUCCACGACCUUAGUAGUGGUGUGUAUAUGUAAAUGUCGUUGUGGUUUGUAAAUGUCGAGUGUUUGAAUAACUUUGAUCUAAUAUAUGUAAUUAUUGUGGUGCGAAUGUGAAAAAGUUUAUUUGCUAAUAUUCAUCUCUUUCUAAAGCAUAACACAACACCAUGUCUCAAAUUCUUAAACUGUACCUUGCUAGGACAUGAUGGUGAGAUGAUUACAAGGACUAAUUCUUAAACUGUACCCGAAAUGUGUUAUUGCACCAUAAUGGACAUGAUGGUGAGAUGAUUACUAGGACUAAUUUAUCAGGUUUUCUGUUGAAGGAAAUAGCUCAAUAUGUAUUAAAUCAUAUUUCUAUCAAAUAUGUUACAUUAACUUGUUUUGAGUUGUGGACCAAACGUAAGCUUGAUUUGAAUCAUCUUAAGGUUUAGAGUGUCCUGCAAAAGUGAGUUUAUAUAAUCUAACAUUAAGUAAGUUAGAUUGCAGAACCACUCGGUGUUAUUUUGUAUCUUACCCAAGUCAUUUGAAAGGAUAUCGGUUUUAUGAUCCCAAUGGAGAUACAAAAAUUGUAGAAUCACAGACAACAGAGUUUCUGGAAUUCGACACAGCUGUAGAGAAUAGUUGCUCUUAGACUAUUAAAGAUAAUAGGACGGUAGGAACCACUAUGUCUUUGUCUUUACCUAUACAAAUAAUUAUUGAGUCUUUUACACCAUAAACUGCGCAUGUUGAGGUUCAGGAUACUAUUAUUAAUACAAUUCCUGAUAAAGUUUGUCAAGCCUCUCGCGUGCAAGAUGAAGUGGUUGUAGUAGCUCCACUUAGGAGAUCUACUAAGGAAAGACGUUCAGUUAUAUCACUAGACUAUAAAUUCUAUUUAUGAGAGCAUGAUUACAACAUCUACUACGUGGUCAAUCUAAUAACUUAUAUGAAUGUUGUUUCUUGUCCUUGGUCAAAUAUGUGGUUAGAUGUGAUAAAAGACGAGAUGCAAUCUAUGAAACAUGAUAGUGUUUGGAAGCCUGCCGAAUUGCUUGAUGGUUGCAAGCCCAUCCGCUGCAAAUGGGUGUACAAGACUAAAAGAGACUACAAAUGAAAUAUUAAGAAAUUUAAACUCAGACUAAUAAUAAAAGAUCUCACUCAAAGAGAAGCCUAGUCUUUUCUAAAGAUUCUUUCGAAGUGAGCAUGGGAUUAGUAGCCCACUUUUUAUAUGGAAUUAUGCUCUAUGAUGAUUAAAACUACGUUUUUCAAUGGAUAUUUUGAUAAAGAAAUCUAUAUAUUUUAACCCGAAUGUUUCAUAGCAGAUGAUUUAGGUAAGCUUGUGUGUAAACUGAAAAACCUUAUUAAUGGCCUAAGCAAGUUUGUAGACAAUAAUGCUUGAAACUUCAUAGUUUUGUCACUUCAUUCAGUUUUGUUGAAAAUAAAAUGGAUCGGUGAAUAUACUGCAAGGUCAAUAGGAGAAAAUUUAGUUUUCUCACACUCUAUAUAAAUGAUAUCUUGCUUACAAGUAGUGAUAUGGGAUUACUUCAUAAAACAAAAUAGAUAUUGUCAAGGAAUUUUGACUUGAAGGACCUUGAUCAGGUAUUUUUUGUCAUUAGCAUUGAGAUCUAUAGAAAUCGUUCUCAUCGUAUGUUAAAUUUAUCUCAGAUUGUAUAUCUUGAUUGUAGUUUGAAAAUAUUCAACAAGUCGAGAGUUGCUCCUGUCGUUCGGACUAAUAGAUUGAGUUUAUUGCAGUAUCCUCAUUCAAAUUUCAGAAAAACCUAAAUGAAUGAUAUACUUUAUGCUAGUGCACUUAGAAGUGUCAUGUAUGCUCAAGUUUGCACUAGGCUAGAUAUUGCUUUUGCGGCAAGACUUCUAGGUAGAUAUCAAUCAAGUCUAGGACAUGAUCAUUGGAUUGCUGCUGAUAAUGUCUUGAGAUACUUAAAAGGACAAGAAAACUAUAUGCUGACAAACAUGUUCAGGAUCUAGAGCUAGUAGAGUAUUCAAAUGCAGACUUUACUAACUGUUAGGAUGACAAGAAGUCGACAACAUAAUAUAUUUUUAUAUUAGCAGAAUGUGCUGUAUUAUGACAAAACGAUAAGCAAAAAUUCAUAUCUUCCUCUACUAUGCAAAUGGAGUUUGUAGCAUGUUCUACAGCUGUUACUUAAGAUAUUUGACUUCAGAACCUCAUUAAGAAGUUGACCAUAUUUGAUUUUGUGAAUAGACCCAUACAGUUAUAUCGAGAUAAUAACUUUCCAAUGUCAUUUAUCAACAACAAUAAAGGUCUCGAGAUAUGGCGGUCAAGUUUUUUACCACAAAGAAACGACACAUAAUAGUGACACUAUAGUAGAGCAUCUUUCCAUAGAUAAUGUAGUUGUCGACCCACUAACUAAAGAUUUUCUCCCUCGUGUACUUGAACAACAUAUCAUAAACAUGGACUGAGAAGUAUAAUUGAAUGCUACUGUUUAGUGGGAGCUGUUUUGAUUUUUGCUCUAAUAAAACUUAUAUAUUACCCAUUCAAUAAAGUGUUCAUAAAUGUGUUGUCACCAUAAUUAGUUGAUUACAUAUAAUAGAAAUUUGAAGGUAUCGUGUAAACCUUGAGUGAAAGGUUAGAGCAUUUGUUUAUUGGCGUUGAGUAUAUGUAUUGAUUACACAUAAAAAUGUGUUAACCAUAAAGAUAAGACAUAUGUGAGUUCAUUAGAACCAUAAAAAUAUUCUUUUAUGACACAUUCGGUUUUCUAUGACACUUAAGACAAGAGAAUAAUGACCGAUAAAGGGGAUGACACAUAAGGUAUUACUCUUUAUGAAGUGUUAUUCAUUUGUAACAUGAUCAUAUUGAAUCCAUAUAAGUAAACCCGUGACCAUGGAAGGCUCUGUAUAAGUACAUGCAAUUAUCGUUAUGAUUCGGUGUUUGAGACUUUAUAGGAUAGGAUUGACUAUUACGAAUAGUCACUAGACCAACAUAAAGGUGCACACAUUUCGUACAGCCUCAAUUAAUAUAACCCAAGUGGAAGAAUGUAAGAGUUUUCUUGAUGUGAAUUACAUUAAUUGAGAUUGUAAUUUAUAGUUUUAGGAGGUUGGUCUAAUAAGAUAAGACAUAAGAUUUUCUUAAUAGUUGAAUAUGGGCCUGGCUUAUGUGGGCCGAGUUAGGCCCGGCCUGUGAUGAGAGAACCUGGCUAAAAACUCUAUAAAUAGCGUUAAGGUCCCUUCUCUAACCCUCAUUGUUCUAUGAACAUUCUCUCACCUCACAUAAGGAAGCCAUGAAAGGCGGACUCAUCAUGCUAGGAUCCGAGGGCCAUAGAGGAGAAGAACCUGAGCGUUGAAUAGUUGUCAUUCCACAGAAAGAACGAUGAAUUCCAAAUCAAGUAUGCAAAUCCUCUUCUUCUCCUCAAAUAUGUUCAAGUUUCUAGCUAUGUUGAUCUCGGGAUGCCGCUUCGACAGCCAACAUUGUUGUCUUGAACUGAUAUGUAAAUUGCACUUUAGGGUUACAACAUUUUUAAACUAGGCAAAACUAUUGUAAUAUAUUCUAUUAUUUUAAAUGUGAUCCCAAUAUUGUAUUUCCAAUUAAUUCCGAUUUAUUGCCCAAUUUAUUAUCCGCGUUUAUUACGUGAUAUUUGCUCGUUAAUAUAUUACCAUAACAGUCUUCAUGGAAGACAUCGAUAAUGUAAGAAACGGAAUAAAAACGUCAAAUCGUCUAAUUCAAAUCCUAUCAUUACAGAAAACACACAAUCACGUUUGAGAGAUAUUAACUAGUGGAACAUGACGUACAAAUCUGGUGAUCACAUAUCUGUAGAUCAAUUGUGUUUCGUGGAUCCGUCCAGGUUUUAGGAUUUUCCGCAUUUGCAAAUUUUCAUCAAUGGCUGGAGGUAUGUCAAUCUUUACAUUUCUGCAAAUCGAUUCUGAAUUAUGCACGUAAUUGUUUGAGAAUGAUAGAUCGAGAUCAUCAGGUUUUAUUCAAAAUUAGUCUUACAAAAACAUCCUAGCUCGGUUGCGCAAUGCUAAUUUUUUAGUCACUCGCCGAUUUUCUCUUUCAUCCCACUAUAGGUUGUUUCCACCACGGCUGGAACCACUACCAAUGCCGACUCCUUAUUCAGCGAUGCCAACUCAAUCCCUCCCAAGGAAUACAUUGUCCAUUUACUGGAACGAACAAAUGACCAACAACCUCGCCAUACCACCACUGCUUAUAUCAAAGUUUCAUACUUAACUAUGCAUAAACGGCCCUUUUAGCCCGGCUCGUUGCUAAAGAUGCUAUCUCCGACCACCUUCCAUCUUUCUGCAAGGCAGCACAACUGCUUUGCUUCCCGGACUUAUCAUCCCAUCAAGUUGGCAAGGACGGUCGUGUUUUCUACAAUUUCAUUAAUGGUGCCACAACACUGGCCGGUGGCAUGAACGUGAACAAAGGCGUGGAGCCAGGGAGAUACUUUCGGGAGUCGACGCUGAGGAGUGGGAAUGUGAUCCAGAUGCCGGAUCUUCGUUCCAAAACUCCCGAAAGGUCGUUUUUACCACGCAGUAUUUCCUCUGGAUUACCGUCCUUGACCUCGAAGAUCGCCGAGCUGAAGCAAAUCUUCCAUGCUAGGGACGAUUCGACUAUGGAGAAGAUCAUGGUACGCACACUUGGCCUGUGCGAGAAAGCACCGACACAAGGUGAGACCAAGCGAUGUGUUAGUUCUGUUGAGGACAUAACAGACUUUGCCACCUUGAUAUUAAGCCACAACAUCAAGCUUCAUGCCAUGAAGAGCGACGAAGGGUCGAAGCGUGAUAUCUUGAUUGGACGAGUAAAAAGGAUAGGCGGGAGUCAAUUGAGUGCGCCUGUGGCAUGUCACGAUAGUCUAUUUCCUUGCAUGGUUUAUAAUUGUCAUGCGGUUCCAACACCCCAGUUUCACAAGGUGGGUAUACUGGAUCCCGUGUGCAAGUCCAAGAUCAACAAUGGCGUCGCAGUCUAUCAUAUGGACACGUCGAUUGGGAAUCCAAAUCACGAGGCAUUUCUUGCGCUCGGGUCGGGCCCUGGUCGAAUCGAGGCCUGCCACUGGAUCUAUGGGGAUUAUGCGGUCUGGACUAGGGCUAAUUAGUAAUGGAAAAAAAUGAAGUGUGGAUCAAAUUGAAUAAUAUAGGUUGGACCUAGAGGCCAAGAAAAAUUGGCCGAUAGCUCCAUCGCAAGUCAUCAUUUGCUUGAAAGUAUUAUCUAAUAUGGUAUCUACUAUCUAAUAUACACGACUAUGAUCGUGUGAGUGUGCGUGUGUGUUAUUAUGGUUAGUAAAUGUCAAGUGUUUGUGUGACUUUGAUCUAGCAUUUGUAAUUAUUGUGGUGUGCAUGUGAAAAAGUUUGUCAUGUGAAGUACUUACUAUUACCCAUCUCCUUCCAAAACAUAACAUGACUCCAUGUCCCAAACUGUAAUAUACCAUCGUUAGAUUUUUCUUCUUUUUUAAAUUUAAUUUUCCAUCUUAUAUCUCUACCAUCAAUGCCUUGACAUCAAAUCAAAUGGAAUUAGAAGAGAUUAAUGGGCAAAGAGAGAGUAUAUUCACUUGUGAACGAACUGUUUAUAAUAAGGGAGAAGGAUCCCUAUUUAUACAAAUGCGGGUCACAUCUCAACUGUUGAUCGUCCCUCUGAUCCAAUGGUGUAUUUCAAAUCCGUAUCAUCAUUACAAGGCUACACGGUAGGCUACUCGAAGGCUGCUCGAUGGCUACACACAGUAGGCCCUUGGGAAGACCAUGGGCGUGUGUUAGAAGCAAGAUUAGGUUUGCAGGGUCAUCUGACACGCAAGCAGCCGAACGGUCACGGGCUGUACAUGGGCUAAUCAAAUCUUGCUCAUGGGUCGUUCCUAGGCUACGCAUGGGCCUUUGCUCAUGCCACUCAUGGAUUGAUCAUGGGUAGGUCGUGGGCGGCUCUUGGGCAGCCCUUUGUGCGUGACACGGCCUAUCACGAACGGUCUUGGAUCAUGCUCCGUCUGUGGGCUGUGUCACUUGUCCCAUAAUGCUUAAUCCUUGAAAUUGGGAGCCAUAUAAUUCAUAAGCACCCCAGAUUUAUCAUUAUUGCUCUAAAAUAGGGAUAAAAAUGGUAGGAAUCUCAAAACUUUCGUAAAACUUUCGUACAACGCUCACUUGAGUGCCAAAACUUUUUUUUUUUUUCGCUCAAUUGAGCGUCACAAAUUUGAAAAUUCGAUCACUUGAGUGCCCAUUUCGAUUUAUCUCACCGGAAAAUCCGACAUGGAUGUCAGUCAUCCGUCAUGACUUCAUCAACACUGAUGUUGACAGUUUUUUUAUUUUUUAAAAAAAAUAUUUUUAAAUAUAUAUAUUUUUUUUUUGCUUUUUUUUCUUUAAGAUCAGUGAGGGUCUCCAGCAACCCUCAUCAACCGUGACAUCCUCGCCCUCAGCCACGAGGCCCUAGGCAAGGCCAUCGGGGCGUCCUCAAACAUUGGUGAGGGCAAUGCCGCACAGAGCUAGCAAGGGCCCUUGCCUUCUCACUUGCCACCAGCAAGGUCGCGAUGCCCUUGCGUAAGGCCUUUGCGGCCAAAUCUAGGUGAAGGCCGCCUCCCAUUGCCAUAAGGCCUUGGGUGAGGGCAUUGCAGCCUCACUGAUUGUUGGCGACACCGGUCAAAGUAGGUGAGGGCAUCAUGACCUCGCCAGCUACAGGCAAGGCCGCAAGGGCCCUCGCUUGCUCUGGAUGGCAUCGCCCACAACCACCCAGACUUGGUGAGGGCCCUCGUGGCCCUACCAGCAGCUAACUAGAUGACCCUCGCCCAAAUUGGGGGAGGUUUUCAUGGCCAGCGAAGGUCGUUGGUGACCACUGACCCUAAAAAAAAAAAAAAGAAGCAAAAUAAAAAUAAAAUUCAAAAAUUCAAAAAUUUCACGUAGGACGAUUUGCCGAAAUUGGCACUCAAGUGAUCGAUUUUACUCCGAUAUAGCACUCAAGUAAGCAAAUUUUUUUUUUUUUUUAUACUCAAAUGAGCGCCGUACGAAAAUUUUGGCACUUCUAGUUUUCUUGUCGAUCUUAAUUUGACAAUUGGAGCACUUCCCACCAAAAAUGAGGAUGUUGAUGUAAAAUUAACACCCCAAAUAUUUAGAAGUAUUGAACACAAACCUCAAUCGUUCCUUUUCUGAUAUUUUCUAGCUAGCAAUAGGAUAAGUUCAAUUAAACAAUGCUAGGACAGGUGGCGUGCAUUCACAUUUCAAAUGAAUGCACAUGUGAACUUAAUCUAGAGAUAUUUUCUCUCCAUUAGCUUCGCCCACAUCUACACCAGUUGCACUAGCACUGGCCUCCACAACACCGCCAUCGAUCCAAGCAUCUCUCUCUCUCUCUCUCUCUGCACAAGCUUUGUCCCGUAAUCAAACCAAGAGUAGUAUUUUCUAAGGAUAAGUGUACUAAAAUUUCUAAAAUUUGUCGAGAAAUGCAAUUGAAUCAUAAAAUUUUCAAAAAGUGCAAUAAGUUCUUAGAAUUUGUCAAAGUUGUGUAAUCAAGUCUCUUUGUCAAUUCUAUGUAAUUUGACUAACAUAAAUCCCGACAUGAUUAUUUUAACUACUUUUGUUAUGACCAAAGCAAAAGCUACGACGAUAUUAAAUUUGAGAAAAUUAAAAAAAAAAAAACAGAAAUUUACUUGGAAACUAUGGAAAAAAAAAAACUACAGGGAGAAAAGAAGCAAAAUCUACUAUGGAAAUUCAAGCAUUAGCAAAGGUGGCUUGAAAAACCUUAAGACUCUUUUUUCACAUUUUUUAAACCUAAUAACUUAGGAAAAAAUAAUAUUUAUAUUGCUCCAUACGGCGGGACGCAGUCCCCACACCUCUGCAAAGGAUUAGUAGUGGGCUAGUGGUUUGGGCCUCGACCAACACUAAGCCUCCAUUUGUUUUUCUCAAGUUAGUGGUCACAAAUUUUAAUUUGAGUAUCAAAACUCAAUUUAAUUCCUUUUAACAAAAUUCAAGACAUGCUCAACAAUUUCUUGAGACACGUGGCAUCCCCUAAGCACCACAUUAAAUAAUGAAAUUUUUGGGAAAAAAAUUAAAGAAAGAAAGAGAGAGCAAAAGUAAAAUAAGAAAAAAAUUAUAAUGCCGAACAAAAUGUUAAUAAUGAGGGAAGAGAGAGAGAGCAAGCAAGAUCUCCACUUCUGGUUUCCCAAAGGAACAGUGGUUUCGAUUAUAGCGAGCGAAAGUUGAGAUUAAAGGGAAUGAAUAUAUUUUGAGGGGGACUUUCAAUUUUCGCAGAUCGCCGAGGGAGACUUCUUGGAUCGAUUUUAAAUAUGAAAGGCUCCACUAUUCUGCCAUGGCUGUGGUAGGAUUGGCCAUGGCCGCCAUAGCUGUACCUUCAUCAUAGAUGCUGCGUCGACGGGGAGGUGCUCUUGAAUUUGCGGGCUGCGUCCAACCUUUUCUACAUCGACCCAUCGGUCGGUUCCAAUUCACAAUUUUGAUAAGGAACACUAAAAAUUUGAAAAAAACUUCCUACGAUCGCUAUCAUAGCGAGAAAAAAAAAAGGGGGUUUCAAGAGGAAGAUGUAGAUGUCUCCGCUAGGGCAACGACAUCAAUCCGUUUUUUGUCGGUCUGCAUCUGCCUUCUCCACAUCCUUCAAAAUGAAGGAGCAGCUUUGCAAUAGUUCCCAAUAAAAACCCCAUAUGGGAGGAAAAAGGAGAAGGGGAGUCAUCUUCACGCAAGUGGACGGUCUUGCGCCGGGGCCUACCGCCCCCCUCCCGAGAAAAUAUUGGGUGGGUCUUACUCUCCACGUAGGCUUAGGUAAGACCAUUCAGCGAUCGACACGUGGCUCCACGUAGGCGACGGCAUCAGAGGUUUAAAAUUUGCGAGCGCCGCUCCUGGGGCCCACCACUCUGACGCUCUCUCUCCUCUGCUCUCCUGUACGAUCUGUCCACUCGUCCUCUCUCUCCUCUCUCUCUCUCUCUCUCUCUCUCUCCGUUCUCCCCGUUCUCCGUUCCGUUUUGCGAGAGAACAAAAGUCGCAGGGCUUCUCUCCGAAUGCUCUUCCCCUCCUCUACUCUCUCUCCUCCGCUGGUUGCCUGGGACGCAGACGCCCUUUCCACCUUCGCCGACGCCUCUGCUCUCCUCCGCUGGUUGCCCGCAACGCCGACGCCGAUGCCUCUGCUCUCUCUCCUCCGCUGGUUGCCUGCGACGCCGAUGCCGACGCCCUUUCCACCUCCGCUGACGCCUCUGCUCUCCUCCGCUGGUUGCCCACGACGCCAACGCCGACGCCCUUUCCACCUCCGCUGACGCCUCUGCUCUCUCUCCUCUGCUGGUUGCCCGCGACGCCGACACCGACGCCUCUGCUCUCUCUCCUUCGCUGGUUGCCCGCGACGCCGACGCCGACGCCGACGCCCUUUCCCCCUCCGCCGACGCCUCUGCUCUCUCUCCUCCACUUGUUGCCCGCGACGCCGACGUUGACGCCCUUUCCACCUUCGCCGACGCCGACGCUCUCCUCCGCUGGUUGCCUGCGACGCCGACGCCUUUGCUCUCUCUCCUCCGCUGGUUGCCUGCGACGUCGACGCUGACGCCCUUUCCACCUCCGCUGACGCCUCUGCUCUCCUCCACUGGUUGCCCACGACGCCAACGCCGACGCCCUUUCCACCUCCGCCGACGCCUCUGCUCUCUCUCCUUUGCUGGUUGCCCGCGACGCCGACGCCUUUACUCUUAAACUGUCAGUUCCUCAUGCUAUAGUGUGAAUGUUAUGUUUCUGUUAUGCUUCUGUGUUGAUAUUUUUUGUUUAUGAACAUAUGCACAACAAAAUUGCUAUGGAUUCCGACACCUUGAAAUGCGAGGAGGAGGAUCUAAUUCUUAAAGACAGCGAGUGUUUGGAGGCAAGACGUUAUCUAUUGAGACUUGUUAUCCUUAUAAUGUGGUGAAUUUAGUCUCAUCCAACCAUUUAAUGUAUGGAGUUCUUCCAAAUUUUUGGGGGCUUUAGCUCAUUUGCUUCAAUCUGUAGUCAGGCUUUAACUUUCUGCUAUGAUUGUGGCAGUUAUUAGAGUAAAGCAGGAAUUUCUUGUAUAUCUUAUUGUAAGGUCUUUCCAGCAGUUACAGAAGGGCAUUUCAAUGAGAGAAACUAGGAGCUUGGAUACAGUCUCGAGCAUUAUUUUUGCCUGUUGGUUUUAAUUCCUGUUGACGAUAGGCUGAAGUUCUUUUUAACUCAUCUUCUUCGUGCCAAGUGCUGCCUAAAGUAAAGAUUGAUGCUUAAUUAACUUUUUUCUUUAUAUUCAGGAACGCGUUAAGGAACGUUCUGUACAUCCCAGUGACACCCCACAUGGAACAUCCAGUGCACCUUCUGUGGAGGUAAAUCUAGCUGUAGCGCUGAUUAUCCUUCUUGGAUUCUUAUGAGUUUCUCUGUGAAGCCAUUAAGUGCUAAAUUUUUUAUGUUAAAUUCUGCCCAGGCUGCUAGAAAUAGGAGUGCUGCAGGAAUAGGAAGCACAGUUUCUUUUAGCGAUGAUGAGGACACAGCAGAGAUACUUGGCUCAAACUCUGCCACCAGAGGCCGGAAAGGAUCAUUGGGAGUUUGUAGAUCCUCCCGUGCUACUUCAGAUCUAGGAAGAGGGAAAACUUCUACAAGAGGAAGGGGCAGGGGAAGAGGAUCUGCUAAUUUGAAGCAAACUACUCUUGAUUCAGCUUUGGUAUCUUGCCGUCGUGAAAGGUUAGUAGCGGAUGUAGUCAUGAACUCAAGCUGGUUAAUGGCUGACAAACUGGUUUGAUUAAACUACGUCUCAAAAUUGUUCUAAAGUAAUCCUACUUUAUUUGUAGGAAGAAACAGAAAGCUGCAAGGUCUUGCUGAGGCCAUGGUAAAAUUGUGGGGGAGCAGUGCUAUUGCAAAAAUAGCAAUUAAAUGCCGCGUGCUAAAUACUUACAAUGAUAGAAUAGCUGAGGAACUGAAGGUUGGACAAUCUACAUAUGUUGACUCUUUUUUUAGCAUAUAUGUAUGAGCUAAUUAUAUUGUUGAAAAUGGGUGUUCUGUUGCUUUCAUCGAGCACAGAACCUUUCAGACUCUGUACUUUAUUUGAUUUGCCUGACAGAAAGAAUUACCAACUAUUUGCCAUAGAGUGGUAGUGUGACUAAAUCAUCAUCCUUCAAGCCCACAGUACAAUGCUGAAUUUUCUAUUUCAUCUCUGACCGUGGAAUUUAUAAUGUUUAUCAUAAUGGUAAAACUCAGCCAAGAUUAGUGUGUCACCAUUCUGGGACAUACUUGUGUAGUGUUGUGAAGGAUUGGUUAUGCAAGUUCUUAUCUCUCCGAGCAUUUUGUUCCAAUCUUAAUGUUCUGGCAUUAUGAUAAUAUCAACUUCUGUUUAGUGUUGCAUAUUCCGUCCUUUUUCUUUAGGUAAGGAAAAUUUGGUGCUCUUGUUAUUGAUUUGUGUCAUUUUGAAUGCAGAAUUUAACUGGGGGAACACUACUUUUUAGGAACAAAGAUUAUAUUGUGUUUUAUUGGGGCAAUGACUUCUUGCCUCCUGUGGUGGUAGAAGCACUGAAAGAGAGAAAAACUAACAGAUGUGCAGGCAAAUGAGAACGACCAAGCACGUCAGAGGGCCUCAGCUGCAAUUGAAUCAAAAUUCAAAGCUUCUAAAAGCCCACUUGUUGCUGGCACUCUUACUGAAACUCUGGCUGCCACCUCUCGGUGGGGGAAUGAAAUAAGUAGCAAAGAUGUUGAGCAUAUGCGUUGAGAUGAAUCACUCAAUAAGCACGCUGCACUCUUGAAAUAUCUUGAGAAGAAACUUGCUCUUGUAAUCUUCUUGAUUGAACAAACUUAUGCUAUAAAAUUCUGCUCCAUUUCCUUAAUUAUUUAUCACAUUUUCCAUUUAUAUUUUCCUCUUCUUUCCAGGCUAAAGGGAAGGUCAAAAAGGCUGAGAAAGCUCUAGCAAAAGUGCAGGAGAAUCUUAGAUCAGCAGACCUUCCAGUUGAUCUGGAAACCAUAAGUGAUGAGGAGAGAUCUUUACUACGUAAGAUUGGUCUGAGUAUGAAAACCUUCCUGCUUAUCGGUAAGAAUAGCUGGAAGUCAUGAGUUUAUGAGGUCUUGGUUCUUGUCAUUGAGCCCUUUCGGGGCAGAUGAAUUGAGGGUUGGUUUUUUAUUGAUACGGAUUUAUGAUGACUUAAGCGUUAAGCUGCAAAGUUGCCCUUUUCAUCACCUGGCAAAUGGUUGAGAAACUGAGAUGUUUUGAUGCUUGAAUUUGGAUGAUUUCUGUCCAAAUUCAGCAAUUAUAUCUUUGCCAUCAAAGAACUAUACUCGUGUCUCGUCCGUGCCCAAUGGGAAAUCUGAAUACUAAGAAGCAUGCGGUAGAUCUAAUGAUUUUCAUAGGUGUUCAAGAGCGUAUGAGAAUUACUAAAUCAAAUUUUUAUUCUUUCUGUGGGUAGGUCAAACUCUUUCGGGUGCACGGCAUUCAUGUUUUUGCAGGGCUUGUGAUUGUUAUAUCCUUCAAAUGCCAACUGUCUCAUCCUUUUUUCCUAUUCCUAUUAGUUUAUUGUUCUUUGAAAUUCUCUUGAAUAUGCAAAAUUUACGUCGGAAUCUGAUGUUGUUGAUGUACACAGGUUAUGCUUUUGAAUUGGCUUUCUGUUUUGGCUUAUUCUUUGGCUUUUGUAUUUUAUAUCAUCCCAAGGGUGUAAUAGAAUAAAACAAUAAGUGGACUGGAAAAUUUUCUUGUCCUUUUUAUCAUCUACUGGUGUUGUAACUCAUUAUUUUUGUUACAAUUGAAGUUUUAAAAUGUAAGACUGCCAGCUACUUGUUUAUGAACUUGAUGCAUGAGGUCCCUUCCCUUUGUAGAAGCAAGAUCUUCCAACAUCUGGACCUUGAUAAAAGAUCAAGCAAAUUUUUGUUUUGGCUUGAUGCUAGGAACUUUGGCUCUGCUGCUGUUAAUAUAAGAUCAGCAUAUGCCCGUAAUAUAUGGGCUACUACUAAAUGGUCAACGUGAUUUCCAUGUCUUUUUUAUUGUUUAUGUCAUUUUUCAUUCAACUACUUUUUCUUGAAGAUUAUAUGGUGGGAAUUUAGUAAUUAUUGGGAGAUUUAGGGCCUUAAACCGAAGAAUUUGAUCUUGGCUGCACAUGUUAUGUUUUUUCCCCUUAGGAAAGCAACAUACGUUUUCUUGUUAUUCUUUCUUAGACAACAAGGUUAAAUGUGGAUCAUAGUAUUGACUAUUUGUAAAGUUACUCGAUAACUGUUGAAGUAAUGCCUCGUUAUUCUUAAUAAUCGAAGGACAGUUAGAAGAAGAUGAAUGUUCUUGAUGAUUUUGCUUCUGAAUCAAUUUGAUUCAUAAACUGAGUGAUUUGAUUCUUGAUCGUCUUGUCUUACGCAGAAUGAUGACAACCAAAGAGAGACUUCUGCAACAAUGCUCAAAGCAGGACAGGGUGCUCGUUUUGCGAGGAUGCUAUAACUAGAAUCUCUCUUCUGUACGAUGCACCUCAUCGGAAUGCCUGGCUAUAUGUGCUUCUGGUUUUUACUGAAGAUGGCUUGAUUACACAUAAAAUCCAUCGUUUGGAGGUAGAUAAUCCACAUGGAAUACAUUACACCUAUUUCGGAAUCUCGUGUUCUUGUACUACACUUCCGUUUUUUCAAUCGGAAGGCAAUAACAUUGAGCUAUGUAUGAGCUUAUGCUGAACUAGAAAGCCCAUGAAGAUAUGGGUUUCAAUUUACAUUACAUGUAUGCACGAGUGACUCUCAGGAGUUUCUUCCGGAGAUCAGAUGUAAUACAUACUUAUAUUUUGCUCGCUUGGUAGUCCUGAAUAUACAGAAUCAGUAGAGAUUGCCAAUCACAUUUCUAUUGAGGCAAUCCAAACAUGGUUAAAGCCAACAGACAGAACUAUGUAAACUUUCUUUCAUUCUUUGCGCAAACUUUGGUGCAGAAUAGUACAACCGUGACUUCCUAUUAUUGAGAAGGGGGACCCUUUCGUGGGUAAUGCCAUGCACAUGCAAGAAACGAGUAGGUAGAUAAUUGAUCAAGAAGCUGUCGCCUCAAAAGAGUGCUAUGUAUUUCUUCCACCAUGUUUGAGUCCAUUCCGCACUCACUGUUCGAAUAGGCUCAUGCCGACUCUGCAUGCACCGACUUUGAGAGUUUCUUAAAUUUCCAAGUCCAAUUCACGCAACAAUGACGCCUUAAGGAGUUGUUACCCUGAAAUUCUAUCGCAGACAAGAUAACAAGAUCUGCCAAACAAAAUCAUUUACACACUGCUGGUAGCACAAAAUAUCGAACUCCUUUCAGAUGAUAAGCCUUAUGGAUACAAUAAUAGAAGUAACAAUUUAGAAGCACUAUAUCCAUUAACAUAUCACACACCCCUCAUCUUUCUAUGGCACUAGUACAAAAUGGAGUUCACUUCGAUGUCGCAGAAGCUUAGUCCACUUCCUCCAUUUUGCUCUCCUCAGCACCAUCCUAUUCCAAGGCAGGCAUGUCAACAUCAUCACCAGCAGUCUCAUCCUCGUCAAUGCUCAGACCCAGCUUCAGCAUCCUGUGAAUCCUCGCUGCGAAAGUGUUGGGGUCAUCAAGACUGAACCCGAAUGUUAAAAGAGCAGUCUCAAACAGCAACAUCACCAAGUCCUUCAUGGACUUGUCGUUCUUAUCAGCCUCAGCUCCUCCAUGAUGCCAUUAUCAGGGUUGAUCUCCAUUGUCUUCUUGCUUGACAUGUAAGAGCUCAUGCUGUUGUCCCUCAGAGCCUGAGCCUUCAUAAUCCUGUCCAUAUUUGCAGACCAUCCAUAUUCUCUCGUCACCAAACAGCAGGGAGAGUCCACAAUUCUGUCCGAUACCACGACUUUUUCUAUUUUGUCUCCCAAAAUGUCCUUCAUUGUCUUGCACAAGUUCUCAAAGGACUUCUUUUUCUCCUCCUUCUUCUUCUUCUCUUCCUUCCUUUCAUCAUCAAGUUUCAGGCCCUCUUUGGUUGCAGAGACCAACUUCUUUCCAUCAUACUCCUUCAAUUGUCCUACAGCAUACUCGUCAAUUGCGUCCACCAUGAAAAGCACCUCAUAGCCUUUUUCUUGAGCCGCUCCAAGAACGGAGAGUUCUCUACAGCCUUCUUGCUUUCACCAGUGAUAUAGUAGAUAUCCUUCUGACCCUCCUUCAUCCUCGUGACAUAAUCCUCCAGACUUGUCAUCUCGUCCCCACUCUUUGUCGAGUGGUACCGGAGGAGGUCUGCAACUUUAGCUCUAUUCUGGCUGUCUUCAUGGAUACCCAAUUUCAAGUUCUUCAAGAAGGCCUCAUAGAAUUUGUUGUAGUCCUCCUUGUUCUCUGCAAUCUCAUUGAACAUCUCAAUGCACUUCUUGACAAGAUUUUUCCUGAUGACCUUCAGAAUCUUGUUCUGUUGCAGCAUCUCACGAGAAAUGUUGAGGGGCAAGUCAUCAGAAUCAACAACUCCUUUCACGAAUCUUAGAUACUCUGGAAUGAGCUCCUCGCAGUUGUCCAUAAUGAAAACCCUCCUAACAUAGAGCUUGAUGUUGUUCAUCUUCUUGCGAGUAUCGAAGAGGUCGAAUGGAGCACGUUUUGGGACGAACAAAAUAGCCUUGAAUUCAAGCUGCCCAUCAACAGAGAAGUGCUUCACGGCAAGAUGGUCUUUCCAAUCAUUGGUCAAGCUCUUGUAGAAGGAAGCAUACUCCUCCUUGGUGAUCUCCUCUGGCUUUCACAGCCAGAUGGGUUUCAGUUUGUUGAUGAGCUGCCACUCCUGAGAAACCUCCUUAAUCUUCUUCUUCUUGGACUUCUUUUCUUCCUUCUCCUCAUUGACGUCCUCAACAUCUCCUUCCUCUUCCUUCUUGGGCUCAUCGUCCUCAUCAUCACCGAUCUCUUUCUCGGUUGUCUUCUCAGUCCAUCGAUAGAUGGGGUAGUUAAUGAACUCGGAGUGCUUCUCCACAAGGUCCUUAAUCCUUCUUUCUUCCAGAUACUCCAGCUGAGGAAAACAGAGACGUGACGCUGUUAGCAUCAUGUAUCAUCCAAAACCAAUGCAAAUCUUCUCCACCAAUUCAUAAAAGCAACCAUAAUUGAACUCACCUGGUCCUCCUAAAGGAAGAGGGUGAUCUUGGUCCCUCUGCCGAGUUGCUCCCCACUCACAUCUCUCGUAACGGUGAAGGAACGACCGGCCUAGGACUCCCAGAUGUACUGCUCAUCAUCAUUGUGCUUAGUAGUCACAAUGACUUUCUCAGCCACCAAAUAAGCAGAGUAGAAACCGACAUCAAAUUGACCGAUCAUGCUCACAUCAGCUCCCGCCUGCAAUGCCUCCAUGAAUUCUUUCAUCCCUGACCUCCCAAUCGUACCCAGGUUGUUAGAACUGCAUAAACUCCCGGAAUUUCCGUGGCAAUGAAAGUGCCGUUUACAAAAUUUUUAGUUUUUCCCUUGUAUACACAAGUUUACAUGUAUGCCAAAAUACUCUAUAAGGUGGUAGGAUAAAGUAAAGGAAGUACCUUGACAAUAAGUAGACACCCCAUUGGACCAGUUACAGCUCGGAUGCCCUGAAAUAUAUACAAUAGAGCAAAAUGAAUCUCAUAGACAAGGAGACAAAACAUAAAGCCUAACUGAAACUGAGCUGUUGGAGAUGGGAAUUUAUUCUCACCUUCCUUAACUAACCAACACAAAACUAAUCAAACAUGAGAUACCAUUGUUACCUUAGCAGAGAGACAAGACACUGAAGCGAUCCGGGAUCAACAAAGGCAUGUAUUUGCAGCAACUGCCUGAGAGCAGGCCAAUAAAUUGCAUUGGCUGCAAGAGAUUAAGAAAGUUACAUAGAAGCAUGAUGAACAAACAUGUAAUCUUACAGCAGCAACACAGAUAAGUGAAUCCCAUUUGCUCCAUCUUUCCACAUGAGCAGAAACCCAUUUUAUCAUGAGGCAACAGAGCUGGGGUAAUAAAAUGGAAACUUAACAUCUUACUAUAGAGGCAAACCUGUCCUGAAAACAAAGAGCUAGUGGUGUGUUUACUAAACACUUAAGCAUCAUCACUCAUAAUCCCGAUGCAGUACAACACACUGAAUACAAGAAAGCAUCUCUUUCAACUCACAUUACUUGAGUACCUUCAAUCGAUAAUUAGAAUGGGACUAAGAGAGUUAAGGGGGAACAAAAAGGCAGGACCGACUUCUUUUGCUGUUUGACUCUAAUUUAUAAGUCAAAACUUAAAUACUUUUGAAGUCAUUUUUGAUUCAUCAUUGUUAAUUGCAAUUAAUAUAACAUUUUGGGUAUGGACAAGCCUUCAAGCAAACCGAGACACGCACAACUUAUGAACAGAAGCAAUAGUUAAUGCCCUAUCCAUUUCAUUAGUAAUGUGUCAAAAAGUAUGGGAAUAGUUGCAUACCGUAGAGGGAAAAUUAGAGACACCGCUAAUCUCCACUGCAUAAACAAGCCACUGUCUUUUAAUGCUUCCUUCAGCACAUUGUAAAGUUGCUACAACUUCAACAAGCACAUUCCAUGUGUCUGCAAGUCAAAUGUUAAAAAAAAAACCCAUCAAACAAAUCUAGUAACUUCUAUUUUGAUCACCACUGCAUUCACAAGGUUAUAGGUCAUCUUGAACCAUAUGUUGGACAUGUCUUCAUUUCGUUCUAUUCAAGAAUUUAGAGUCUCAACAACAGAAAGUACACCAACAAGGGAAAAUCAAACACUUCAGAAAGCAAAAUAUAAGUUGAUUUUGUGAGUCCAUGAUAACCACUUCUGACUAAAGUUUUACAGUGAGUCCUUCAUCAGAUAUAGAGUGACAUAAACUUUCAACAUGAAGAAUUCUGAAACAAGAACAAUAAAUGGAGCUCAUCACCUCUGUAUUUGGCCUAUUCAUCUUUGAUGAAUUCACAUUCGUUAACCAUGAGCAGAGUUUAAUGACUAUACUGUCAUUGGAGAAACUUUGAGAAGCAACUUCUGAGACAGUGGUAUCAGUCUGAAUAUGAUCAUCCGAAUUUACUUCCUUGGACCACAGACUAUGUCGAAGAAAAGAAAGUGCCCACCAGAGUAUUGUUGCAGCUGAUUAUCUUCAGAAUGUUGAGCAACAAGAAACAUCUCUUGUAUUGAUGAUGUUAACAAAGGCUUGCAGACAGGACUUGAAAGAAGCGCACGCAUUAUAUGAGAAGAUUCCUGCCAAGAGAACAUUUCACUGUAAGAAACAAGGACCACGAAAAAUGAUUAGAAGGCUUAGUUGAGGGAAAAUCCUCAAUCACCUUCAGCCUGUAACGACCGUAAUUGGAGGAUAAAAGAUGAAUUAGAACCAACCCAGCUUCUGCACCCAAAGAAUUAACAAUUCCAAGCAUCCCUCCCAGAUAAGUGGAGGGAGGCUGAGGAUUGGAAUAAUAUCUCCUCAACAAUUCCAGUAGCUCUUUCAGACAUCCAACUUCAAUGGAAUCUAUGCCUUCCUUCACAACACAGGCAAGGAGACUCCCUGCUCCAGCACAUGAUUCCAUCAAAAAGCUCUGGUGGAAUGCACCUGACUUUUUAAUAGACAAUAAUUCAGAUAUAAGUUCUCUAUAACUAUUCAUCAGUUGGUUUAGUUCACCAACAUCCAUCAAUUCUACUCUCUGGCAGAAAGCCACAACCAUGGGAAGUGCAAGACAAGAUCCAACAGAUAGAAGCAUCUCAGAUCCUUCGUUGCAGGAGUUAGAGCUCCAAACAAAUGGCUCCGUGUGUGGAAUCCAUGAAGUUAUCAAGUCCUUUAUCUUCAGUGUCACAUCAAUUUCCCCACUUCGGUAAACUGCACUAAUAGAGCUGCCCAAAUUAAGAACAAGUCCAGCAAGACCCCAAGUGUCUUCCUCCACAAGAUCACUGUCCUCAUUCAAGAAAUGAGGAUUCUGAUAUCUACCAUUCUCACACAUGUCAUUGGGAAAAUGUUCACACAGACUUUGAAGAAUCUGGGAUGUUGAUUUUGUAAGUUCCAAGAUCGUGAUAGAUAAUGACCUGAUAAUAUUCCCUACUAAUUCAACUUCAACCAUCUUGUAGGAAUCUCUGUCAGCAUUAUCAGCAGCUUCAGUCCUAGUUAGAAGAUCCUGGCAUGAAAAACCCAAGCCAACUCCACAGGCUCCUUUCACAAAGGUGCUUUUGCUACUAGACAAAACCUAUUAGGCACACAUGAUCAGUAAAUAAACACAAUUAUCAGUGAGAAAACCAGCACUUGUUCCGUUAUUAUUCUUUAAUUGGGAACAUUAAGAAAACAGAAUUAUCAUGGGCAACAUGGUGACAAACCUCAAAUCUACAGAAAAAACCCACCAUGCAAAGAGGAAACUCAAGUGCAAACCAAAGAAACUAAACCAGCUAUCAUAGCAGGUACAUGUUCCCACUCUAGGAUUUGACCAUUUGAACCAUUAGCAUUUGUUAAACAUCAUACCUUACGGUAUGAGACUAACCUUCGUGCCGAAAGGACUGACAGGAUAGUAACAGCAAUCUUCGGCAGGUCGUCAAUGUCCCUCGCGGAGGCGGAGGUGGAGGCGGAGGCGUCGGAGUCGGGGGCGACGGAGGCAACCGGCUUCAGGGGCGUGGGAGUCGAGGGCGAUGGAGGCAAACGGCGGAGGGGCGUCGGCGUCAGAGUCGGGUUCAAGGGCGGAGGCGGAGGCUGCGUCGGCGUCGGUGUCGGCGUCGGAGUCGGAGUCGGGGCGACGGAGGCAACCGACGGAGGGGCGUCGGCGUCCGAGUUGGGUUCAGGGGCAUAGGGGGAGGCUGUGUCGGCGUUGGUGUUGGCGUUGGCGUCGGAGUCGGGGGCGACGGUGGCAACCGGUGGAGGGCUGUCGGCGUCGCGGUUCACUGGAAAGGGCGUCGGCGGAGGUGGAAAGGGCAUUGGUGUCGGCGACGCGGGCAACAAGCGGAGGAGAGAGAGCAGAGGCGUCGGCAGAGGGGGAAAGGGCGUCGGCGUCGGCGUCACGGGCAACCAGCGAAGGAGAGAGAGCAGAGGCGUCGGUGUCGGCGUCACGGGCAACCAGCAGAGGAGAGAGAGCAGAGGCGUCGGCGGAGGUGGAAAGGGCGUCGGCGUUGGCGUCGUGGGCAACCAGCGGAGGAGAGCAGAGGCGUCAGCGGAGGUGGAAAGGGCGUCGGCAUCGGCGUCGCAGGCAACCAGCGGAGGAGAGAGAGCAGAGGCGUCGGCGUCGGCGUCGCGGGCAACCAGUGGAGGAGAGCAGAGGCAUCGGCGGAGGUGGAAAGGGCGUCGGCGUCGCAGGCAACCAGCGGAGGAGGUGUCGCGGGCAACCAGCGGAGGAGAGAGAGUAGAGGAGGGGAAGAGCAUUCGGAGAGAAGCCCUGCGACUUUUGUUCUCUCGCAAAAGGGAACGGAGAACGGGGAAAGAGAGAGAGAGAGAGGACGAGUGGACAGAUCGCAGAGGAGAGCAGAGGAGAGAGAGUGUCAGAGUGGUGGGCCCCAGGAGCGGCGCGCGCAAAUUUUAAACCUCUGACGCCGUCGCUUACGUGGAGCCACGUGUCGAUCGCUGAAUGGUCUUACCCUAAGCCUACGCCGUCGCUUACGUGGAGCCACGUGUCGAUCGCUGAAUGGUCUUACCCUAAGCCUACGCGGAGGGUAAGACCCACCCAAUAUUUUCUCGCCCCCCGGGGAUUUAUCAUCAUUGCUCUGAAAAAUGGACAGUAAUCCUUGUACACGCGUAAAGUGACAAUUGACAAGGAAAGGUCUAAGACGCGUGAUGGAUUUGUAUCUCUCCAAAAAUGUCUUACUAUGUACAGUGCAAUCCUAGAUGCUUGUGCCAUAGUGCUUAAUCCUUGAAAUUACGAGCUACAUAAUUCAAAAGCAUCGAUGGAGAUAGAUUUGUAUCUCUCUAGACACGUCUUAUUAUGAUCAGUGAAAUCCUAGAUGCUUGUCCCAUAACGCUUAAUCCUUGAAAUUGCGAGCCAUAUAAUUCAUAAGCAUCUCCGAAUUUAUCAUUAUUGCUCUAAAAUAGGGAUAAAAAUGGUAGGAAUCUCAAAACUUUCAUACAACGCUCGCUUGAGUGCAAAAACUUUUUUUUUUCACUCAAUUGAUUAUCACAAAUUUGAAAAUUCGAUCACUUAAGUGCCCAUUUCGAUUUGUCUCACUGGAAAAUCCAACAUGAAUGUCGGUCAUCCGUCAUGACUUUGUCAGUGAUAAUGUUGACAUUUUUUUAUUUUUAAAAAUGUUUUAUUUUUUUAUUUUUUUGCUUUUUUUGCUUUUUUUCUUUAAGACCGGUGAGGGUCUCCAGCAACCCUCAUCAACUGCGACAUCCUCGCCCUCAGCCACAAAGGCCCUAGGCAAGGCCAUCGGGGCGUCCUCAACUGCUAGCGAGGGCGAUGCCACACAGAGCUAGCAAGGGCCUUUACCUUCUCACUUGCCACCAGCAAGGUCGCAAUGCCCUUGCCUAAAGCCUUCGUGGCCAAAUCUAGGCAAAGGCCACCUCCCUUUGCCAUAAGGCCUUGGGUGAGGGCAUUGCAGCCUCACUGGUCAUUGGCGACGCCAAUCGGAGUAGGUGAGGGCAUCAUGACCUCGCCAACUACAGGCGAGGCCUCAAGGGCCCUUGCUUGCUUUGGAUGGCAUCACCCAUAACCACCCAAAGCUGGUGAGGGCCCUCGUGGCCCUACCAGCAGCUAGCUAGAUGACCCUCACCCAGAUUGGGGGAGGUUUUCAUGGCCGGCGAAGGUUGCUGGUGACCAUCAACCCUAAAGAAAAAAAACAAAAUAAAAAUGAAAUUCAAAAAUUUCACGUAGGAUAAUUUGCCAAAAUUAGCAUUCAAGUGAUCGAUUUUACUUCGAUGUGGCACUCAAGUGAGUAAAAAAAAAGUUUUGACACUCAAAUGAGCGCCAUAUGAAAAUUUCGGCACUUCUAGUUUUCUUGCCAAUCUUAAUUUGACAAUUGGAGCACUUCUUGCCAGAAAUAAGGAUGUUGAUGUAAAAUUAACACCCCGGAUAUUUAGAAGUAUUGAACACAAACCUCAAUCGUUCCUUUUUCGAUAUUUUCUAGCUAGCAAUAGGAUAAGUUAAAUUAAACAAUGCUAAGACAGGUGGCAUGCAUUCACAUUUCAAAUGAAUGCACAUGUGAACUUAAUCUAGAGAUAUUUUCUCUCCAUCAGCUUCGCCCACAGCUACACCAGCAUCUCUCUCUCUCUCUCUGCACAAGCUUUGUCCCAUAAUCAAACCAAGAGUAGUAUUUUCUAAGGAUAAGUGUACUAAAAUUUCUAAAAUUUGUCGAGAAAUGCAAAAGGUGUAAUAAGUUCUUAGAAUUUGUCAAAGUUUUGUAAUCAAGUCUCUUUGUUAGUUCUAUAUAAUUUGAAUAACAGAAAAUCCCAACAUGAUUAUUUUAACUACUUUUGUUAUGACCAAAGCAAAAGCUACGACGAAAUUAAAUUUGAGAAAAUUAAAAAAAAAGAAAAACAUACAAAUUUACAUGGAAACUAUGGGGAAAAAAACUACAGGGAGAAAAGAAGCAAAAUCUACUAUGAAAAUUCAAGCAUUACCAACGGUGGCUUGGAAAACCUUAAGACUCUUUUUAUCACAUUUUUUAAACCUAAUAACUUAGGAAAAGAAUAAUAUUUAUAUUGCUCCAUACGGCAGGACGCAGUCCCCCCACCUCUGCAAAGGAUUAGUGGUGGGCUAGUGGUUUGGGCCUCGACCAACACUAAGCCUCCAUUUGUUUUUCUCAAGUUAGGUAGUCACAAAUUUCAAUUUGAGUAUCAAAACUCAAUUUAAUUCCUGAGAACAAAAUUCAAGACAUGCUCAACAAUUUCUUGAGACACGUGGCGCCCCCUAAGCACCACAUAAAAUAAUGAAAUUUUUGGGAAAAAAAUUAAAGAAAGAAAGAGAGAGCAAAAGUAAAAUAAGAAAAAAAUGAUAAUGUCGAACAAAAUGCUAAUAGUGAGGGGAAAAAGAGAGAGAGAGAAAGCAAGCAAGACCUCCGCUUCUGGUUUCCCAAAGGAACAGUGGUUUCGAUUCUAGCGAGCGAAAGUUGAGAUUAAAGGGAAUGAAUCUAUUUUGAGGGGGACUUUCAACCUUCGCAGAUCGCCUACGGAGACUUCUUGGAUCAAUUUUAAAUAUGAAAGGCUCCACUAUUCUGCCAUGGCUGUGGUAGGAUUGGCCAUGGCCGCCAUAGCUGUACCUUCAUCAUAGAUGCUGCGUCGACGGGGAGGUGCUCUCGAAUUUGCGGGCUGCGUCCAACCUUUUCUACAUCGACCCAUCAGUCGGUUCCAAUUCACAAUUUUGAUAAGGAACACUAAAAGUUUGAAAAAAAACUUCCUACGAUUGCUAUCAUUACGAAAAACCGAAAAAAAAAAAAAUGUGGACGGUCUUGCUACGGCGCCGCCCCCCACACCACACCCCGGGGGGGGGGGGGCGCUGGCGGGGGGCCUGGCGGCGUUUUUUCAACUUUUUGUUCCUUUUUUCUUGAUAUGAUCCUUUUCUAUUCAUUUAAAAAAAUUUAAAUUUUUUCUUUUAUAAUUUUAAUAAAAAAAAGCGUUAGCCAAAUUGAAAUGAGUUGAUGGAAUGACUUAAUUGUAUCAAUUUGACAAAUUUUAUGACUUAAUUGAACUUUUGCAACAAUGGUCACGCAUCAUGUUCAUGAUAAUGCAACCAAAAUUCCCCUGAUUAGGUUUCCACUUAUUAUUAGUCAAUGGCUUGACCCACAAUGAUAUCAUAAAUUAAUAUACAUAUAUCCAAAUACCCUUCAAUGGGCUCACAGAGAUACUCAGCAUAGUCAAUCAACCUCAAUCUCCAGAAUCCACAACCAAAAUAAAAAAACCAUUUCACAAUUCAACUUUAAUAACUACAUCACAACUUUUCACCAUUCGAUAAAUAAAUAUAUAUAGGUAGGUAUAGGCAGUCGUUCCAACUAAAGAGGCAGCAUAAAGAGGGAGGGCUGGUUCAGGAAAGGAGUAGGCCACAAUCAUUUCACAAUUCAGUUUAAUAACCAAAUCACAACUUUUCACUAUUCGAUAUAUAUACAUAUAUAUGUAUAUCAAAGCAGCUCAAAAAUCACAUUCAUAAAUCAUAAACAUUUUCAUUAUUCUUUCAUAGAAGGUUUCACAAACCAUUUACAAGCAAUCGGUUCAAACUAAAGUUGAAGGAUGACUCCCCAUUUCAAACAAACUAAUGAAACGGCAGUAAAUGUUCGAUCCUAUUUUGUGCAACAACAAAUGUUAUUUCUUAAGUUAGAACAUAUAUAAUCCAUAUCAUUUUCCAAACAUAAAAACAUAAAGAAUAAAUAGUAUCACUCAUCUAGGAAAGCCAAAAACCAACUUCGAUGGUUACUACAGCUGAUGCACUUAUUCCUAUUUUCUAUAAUCAUCCAUAUGCAUAAUGUGUGGAUAGCUCCAAGGGCCAAUUUCGAACGAAACACUGUAAUGUUGAUUCCAACGGGAGUAGUCCUCGCACACGACGCCAAAUACUUAUUUGUAAUUAUUAAAGGAAAACCAUUUACAAGUUGAACUAGAAACAGUGUUUUUGUUCCUUUCGCUUUAUCCGUUUUGUCCUUAUCGAAUCUCUGGUCCUAUAAAUUUCUGGCUCAAUCGACCAAACCCUCCGACAAUCAUCAGCAUUUCCGCUCCCUGAUUGAGCAAAUACAUGCACAACAUUUUCAGCACGAUGGCUCUCACCUCCCUCCUCCUCCACCUCCUCCUCCUCCUCUCUUCUCUCCAUGUCAGUAAUUUGUCGAGCUUUCACUCUCCAUGCGUAGCCAACUGCUCAUCUCUCUUUCUGUGUUUCCAUGCAAAGACAGGGCUAUAUGUUUAAUUCGAUAUCUCGCGCUUAAUUAGUAUAUACUCCUUACCUAAGAAUUGCUGAAAGAUUUUUGCGGCCAGUUACUCCAUUAGCAAUCACUUCUCAUCCAAUAUUUGUCAACCCAAUCUCUCUAUCCUGGUUUACAGUGCUUAGGUUAUCGGACCAACUGGGGAGCCCAGGCUUCAUAAGAAUUUAUUUACGCAUGCAAGAAACUAAACAUGUUAGUUUGUAUCAAAAUAAACCUAAAAAUAUUAUAUAUAUCUUCAUACCAAAAAGAAUAUUUUAUAUAAUAUAUAUUAGUAUAUAUAUAUAUAUAUAUAUAUAUAUAUCAUUUGGGUUAUCUUAAUGCAUGUCAGUAGAUCAAUUGUGUUUAUGUGUUCUUCAGGCUAACAAAGAAAUGUGAACGAAACGUAGAUAAUCAGGUCAACAUAUAAUACUUUGAUAAUAUGAAAGCAUGUAAGUUGCAAAAGUCAUUUUAAGUGAUUGAGCAUGACGUUACUACUUUAGACACAUGCAUCAGAGAGCAUACGUUAAUGAUUGUUAGGAAUAAAUUGUUGGGUCAUCUGUGUUCAUUGUGAAGAUAAUUUCAAUCAUGUUAUUAUGCAGUUCUAAUUUCGUGUUACGUGACUUGUACUUUUUUGCACGUUCAUUACAAUUUUCCAUAUGCCUAUUUUACUUCUAUAAUUAUGUCAUUGCACAAUUACAAUUACUUAAGUCCAUGAUGUCCAUUCUAACCGUGAUUACAUAAACUUCUAGCUCACAGUCACUCUUUGAUUUUCUUUUGUGGAUUGUCCUGCCAUAGGUCCUGACUGCCGUCGCUAGAGCUGCUCCCGAGGGGGACUCCCUCGACGGCGAGGCUAACUCGAUCUCUCCCAAAGCAUACCUUGUCCAUUACUGGAACAAGCAAAUCACCAACAACCUUCCCAAGCCACCAAUCCUCUUCUCCAAAGCGUCAACCCUGACGGCCACGUCAGUGACCAUCUUCGCCGAACUUGUCGCCAAAGGCGCCAUCUCUGACCACCUCCUAUCUUUCUGCGAGGAGGCGCAAUUGCUCUGCUUCAUGAACUCUGAUGGGGUCGCAGCGGCAAACUCGCUCGUCAACUACCCCAUCCCCCCACCUGUCCGCCGCCUCACUUAUACCCAUGGUGUCGAUACAAUUGUGGCAGCUGAUGACAAGAAAGUAAAUGGGGGCGUGGAGCAGGGCGAGUUCUUUCGAGAGUCGAUGCUGAAGAGCGGGAAUGUGAUGCCAAUGCCCGACCUCCGGGAUAACUUGCCAAAAAGGUCAUUUUUGCCUCGCCGCAUUUCCUCCGAACUGCCGUUCUCAACCUCAAAGCUCGCUGAGCUGAAGCAAAUCUUCCAUGCCAUUGAAAAUUCCACUAUGGAGAAGAUCAUGGCGCAAACGCUAAGCCAGUGGGAGGGUGCAGCACUCCAAGACGAAAUCAAGAGGUGUGUGGCCUCCAUCGAGGACAUGAUCGAUUUCGCCACCUCGGUUUUGGGUCAUGACGUCUUGGUCCGAUCCACGGGGAGCGCCAGAGGGUCGAAGCAGGAGGUCUUGAUCGGGGUGGUCAAGAGGAUCGAGGGCAGCGAAGUGAGCAAGCCCGUGGCCUGUCACCAGAGUCUAUUUCCUUACGUUGUCUAUUACUGCCAUACAUUUUCAAACGUCCGGGUUUACGAAGCAGACAUACUAGAUCCCAAAUCCAAGGCUAAGAUCAAUCACGGUGUCGCCAUCUGUCAUAUGGACACAUCAACUUGGAGCCCUACCCACGAGUCAUUCCUCUUGCUUGGAUCGGGUCCUGGCCAGAUCGAGGUCUGCCAUUGGAUAUAUGAGAAUGAAAUAUUAUUGGAUAUAUGAGAAUGAAAUAUUAUGGACAACUGCCAAGUCAUAAUGAAAGAAUAAAGUGUGGUGAAGAUGGAAUAAACAUGGGUUCGGCCUGUUGAUCAAGACAGAACUUAGCCUCUAGCUAGCUCCAUACGAAGUCCUCUCUCGCUUUGCAUUACAAUCUAAAUAUAGUAUCUGAAUCUGAUAUCCAUAAUGACGUGUUUGUGGUUGGUGAGAGACUAUUGUUAUGGUCAGUAAAUGGCAAGUGCUUUUUUUGUGAUUUGAGUACAUGUUCAAGUCUUUUUGCAUUCUCCUGUCCUUUGUAUUUAGAGAUCUUCCUAGCUCCUAUCUCUCAAUCUGCGUUACUAUCUUCGAGAAUUUCCAUCAACUUUCAACGAGGACCAAUAACUAUUUUCACAGGAGAAGUACACUAUCAGUGCCAUAAGUUGUGUACGGCGCUCACUUUGGUGCCAAAAAUUUUCGUCAGAUCACUUAAAUGCCAAAAAGUUUGAAAAAUGAUCAUUUUGGUGCCAACUUCGAUCAGAUUGACCGGAAAUCCGAUGUGGCACUUUUUUAUUAAUUUUUUACGCUGAUGUAGCUUGCCGGAGAGUACAGUCAGCAUGUAAACCACAAAAACGACGUCGUUUGAUGUCUCUCCCCCAAUUUAAAACCCUAAACCCUAAAUCUGCUGGAUAAUCUUGGCUACUGCCGCCCUCUUCGUCCUCUUCUCCUCCCUUGCCGUCCUCUCUGCCGCCGCCCAUGGCACCGCCAAGCACCACCACCUCCUCCACUACCUCAACGAGUUCGGCGACUGUAGCAAGCAAGUCACUGUCGACCCCUCCGCCUCCUUCGAGAACCCGUGCCUUCGUAAUGCCUACGUCGCCCUCCAUGCCCUAAAGCAAGCCAUCCUCUCCAACCCCAACAACUUCACCGCCAACUGGGUCGGCCCCGACAUCGGCAGCUACUCUAACGUCUUCUGCUCCCCCGCCCCCAACAAACCCGGCGUCCACACUGUCGCUGGCGUCAAUGGUUUUCCCUCCUCCUCCCCCUUCAACCACCCACAUCCCUCGCCUCUGCCUCCAUUGGUGAUGGGCCAGUCGCCAUCCUUGACGGCCCUCGUGCUCGGCGGCCGCGGCUCCGACCCCGACCCUGACCCCAACCUUGACUUGGCCACUUGGCGGCCAAGUUGAAGGCCGUGAUCUUGCUCAAGUGCAAACCUCACGUCGCCAAGCGACGGCGGCUGAGCAAGCUAGGUCGACAGCCGAGCGACGGCGGCCGAGCCAGCUAGGUCAGCGGCCAAUGAGGAUCGGAAAACCUAAUUUCAAUCUCCAAAUAAAAUAUAAAAAAAAUCCCAAAAUGAGUUGUGUGGCGUCAUUUUUGUGAGACCAUCCACUUAGAACGGCAAAACGAUGUCAUUUUCUUAAAGAGGACGGAAAACGACGUGGUUUCUCAAGCCAUGUCGAUUUUUUUUUUUUUUAAAUAUAAAAGCCACAUCAUCAUUUUGGCCGGAAUCUCUCGCCGGUGACACCAAAGUAAUCAUUUUUUCUCUGAUUUGGCACUUAAGUGAUCCGAUUAAAACUUUUGGCACCAAAGUGAGCGCCGUACACAACUUAUGUCACUGAUAAUGUACUUCUCCCCUAUUUUCAUGAAACUAUUAUUCUAUAAACUGGGGACAGAUAAGAAUGCAGUGUUUUUCGAUAAAAGAAAGUGGCCCAGUGGUCGGAGGUCCCAACGUGAUUGUUUUUAUACACUUGACAUUGAAGAGCAAGAGUUGCCUGGUUCAAUCUUGAAGUGGCACCUCUCACUUUUUUUUUCCUUUGAAUUUUGCUUUUAAACUUUUCUGCAUUUAUCUUUUGCUUGCACUUUCAAGGUCACAUAAACUAUAUGUCAUCAGAUCAUUGCUUUCUUUUUCUUUUAUUUUUUUAUUUUAGCUUUUUUUAAGCGUUUGUCAUUGGAACAAGAUGAUUCAAUAAGAACCCAUAAUAUGAGAUUAGACUUCUAAAAUCCUGAAAACUUCACAUGAAUGAUUCUCAUACAAUAAAAAUGUAAAAACUAAAUCUACUUAUGUUUCGCUGGAAUUACUCUUACAACGAAAUAUCUUUCAUUGAAAGUCGUGCUUCAAUUUUAUUAAGGGGGACAAGGGUUAUGUGUCAACUCCAGAGAGGGGAUAUCUUAUGCCUAAAGGAAUUGAACUUCUUUGAUCCAAACAACACUAUACAAUCUUAGACUAAGUCGGAAUUUAAUCAACAACAAGGCCAAAAAUAAAAUAAAAUUACAAGACUAGUGUCAAACUAUGCCGGAAUAUAACCAACGACACAAGUUAAGGAUGGUAAGAUGUAGAAUUGGAAUUCAAUCAAUGACAACGUACCAGGAUAGUAAGAUACAGCGAUGGAAUUUAAUCGACCAAGAAUCAAAUCGACCACGGGAAUCUAAAAGUUAUAGCUAAUGAAAUUAAAGUGCAAUACAGAAAAAGUAAAGAUAGAAAGAUGACAUUUUGAUAAAUUUGUCGAUGGCUUCUUGUUGGAUGACUAGUGGUAUUUAUAGUGAAUGUAUGAUAACCGUUUUGUAGCUGCAUCUUCUCUAGUAAUUGCUAUUGGCUUUAACCAUGAUCCUUUAUUCUUGUAGAUCACUUUGCCCAUACUUCAUAUAACCGUCCUGUUUGUGUUUUGAGGAUUAUGCAAUUAUCAAUGCCAUUCUAUGACUGGGGCUCCAAAUAGCAAUGGUUUUUUUUUUUUUUUUGACGACGUGCGUUUUUUAUGCUAACUACCUUAGCACCUUGAGUAAUAUUCAAAGAGAAAAAGUUGUCGCCAAAGUUUAUACGGGCAGCUACCAAUCGUCCAUUGUCAUAUUUCAAUAAUUGGACACGUGGCAUUUUUUUUUAUCUCAUCGUCGAUAUCACUGGAUAGCUGCCCCUACUCUUGUUGAUAGUCCGGCAUACAUCAAACAUCAUUGUGCACAUGACUAUAACUUAUUUCUGUCUCAAUGUUUUGUAUUUUUCACCCUGCAGCAGGGACGAGCCAACCGGAUCAAUUAUGAAUGUCAACAACCUCAUAAAAUAAUGACACUCCUAAUAUGGUAGAGAGGGUUUUCUUAUUCGUGUGGAGUAACAUAGAUAAUUUGCAAUAUUCCUAAAGUGCUACGGCCGAGGUAAAUCUCAACUUUAAUAUCAGCUAUGUAGUUCACAAUUUCAUGAAAGAUCAUGUAUUCAUGAGAGGACAUGUAACAUUUUCUUUGAAGAUAAAUAUUCAUUAUUGUGUAUUUCCUUGUUUAUAUAAAGUGACGCAAUUUGUCAUGCGAUUGAUAAAUUUCUUUGUUUGUAACUAUACUUUUAUCUUUUAACACUCUUAGCCCAUGAACCUGCAUCGCUGAAUGGCCACUUCUGAUGUAUUCGUUUCUUGGAUGAGCAUUUGUCUGGCUUGGCAGUGAUCGACCCAUGUGGCCACAAUGAAUAGUGGAAGCAAAAUUGGUGAACAGAAUUUAAAGAAAAGAGUCGAGUCCAAUUGAAGAAAUCGUACAAAACCGGGGUGGGACCGUGCAUCGAUAAAUCCAGGUUCUUUCUACAUAUUCUGUCGUUGGGCUGCAAGAGAGAUCAUUGAGAAUGCGUAUAAAUAAAGUUCCUAUUAUCUUUUAUAUGCCAAAGGUACGAGCGUAGUCACUCAGUUACUUGAAGGUUCAUGAAAUACUCUACAAGUCUCACAAAUCCUUUGAGCCCUAGUUUUGUAAUUGUUGGCAGGUUUGGAUAAAAGUUCUGAGGCUUUGAUUGAGAAGUCAUGGAAAAUCGGGUGGAUAGGCUAUUUGCAUAUGGAGUAAAAAUCAGCUCAGGGUUCUUCAUGGGAUCCAAGAACCACAUAGAGAGAUAUAUACUAUUAUAUGGUAUUUUUUCCCCCAAAAAAAUCAUAUGAUAGAAAAUGCGGGUAUACGUGUUCUCCGAUGUAGUUUCAUUUUGUAAAUGAACCAGUUAGUCGUUUCUUUUCCUAAUCCCUGGAAAGAAAGCACAAAUCCUAGAGAUUUCAUUUAUCUCUAGUAGAAGUGAUUGUAAUUAGGUUUACUCAUAAUGGCAUCUAAUUACUUUAACCCUAGUUCUAGAUUAGCUAGCCAAUUACACAGUUUCUCUACUGGAGUACAUGCCCAUAUAUAGAAAAUCAAAGUUUUGAUCUUAAAAAUUUAUCAGAUCACUGUACAACUUGAUUACUUAACCGAGAGCUGUCCAAUCUGAGGAACAGAUGGAUGCCGUUUCAUUGUUUAAUAGUAUUAUUACAAAAAAACUUGUCCUUUUGCGAAAUUGGCAUUUUGCAUUAAGCCAGUUGUUUUUCAUUACCAAGACCUACCAUGUCUGAAGCAUAGAUGACUGCUUUUCUUUAAUGGCGUUUUAAUCAAGUAGAUUAAUAUGACUUACUACCUAAAUAGUUUUUGUUUGUAGCUAAUUCUGAGGUGUUUGUUCUUAUUCUCUUCCAUCCUUUCAUCAAUCUCAUGGGCUUUUUUCCCAUCACCUUCCUUUGUUUCGUGCUCAAACGCAAGACUGAUGGCAAGUGCAUCUUCAAUCGAUAGAAUCUUUUAAGAGGAAAUUCUAUACAAAUCUAACUUUCAUUUACACUUUCCCUUCAAAAUGUGAAACAUAUGUAUUUCUUUUGGGUGAUAUCCAUAAAUGUAACUUACCCAUCAGAAGAUUGAGCCGGAAGAAAUCAUGACACUUUUUUAUAACAAACGAGUUAAGGAAUUGCUUAAGUGAUAACCAUAAUUAUAUACCUCACUCGAGCUUUGGGUUCAAAUCACUGCACUUAUGCAAGUACAGGCCUAGGUGUCAACAAUAAUUACUCGAUCUGUGCAAAAUUAGAAAACUGUCACAACUAGUAAAGAUUAGAUGAUUUCUCAAAUUAGGAAACUGUCACAACUAGUAAAGAUUAGAUGAUUUCUCAAAAAGUCACAAUUACCCCAUUAUCAUUAGAAAAAAAAAAACCGACUAUUAAUUUAUGCGACAGCAAUGAGACGAAUUAUGUGUGUGUGUGUGUGUGUGUGUGUGUGUGUGAGAUAAUCAAACAGAAGGCAGAGAAUAUUCGAUAUGAUACUUAUUAAUUGCAAGUUAUAUUAAAAAAAUUUAAUUAAAUUUUUUUUUUCGCUUGACAGAGAACAUUUGAUAUGAAAGUUUAGUUAACUACAGGUUGCACCUGUAAGGUGCAAAAUUGGUGGUUAAGAGUCCCAACUUGAUAGUUUGUGUUAUAAAGUUACAACAAAAAACUUACAAAACUAAUAGGUAUGGACACACAUUUGCGAUAGGGAUAACUCAGCCUCCGUCCCAGCCUAACAAGCUCUCACUACCAUUGAAUCUGUCAAUUGACUAAUGGAGCAGAUUGGAGCCUUCUGAUCGGUCCAAUCAUAUGAUUGGGAAAUCUCUAUGUUUAUAGCUAUACUUUUACCUUUUACUGGCUUUCUCCAAAAAUUUUAUUACGUAUGGAAUAACAAACGGCCUAUAAUUAUUUGAAAUUGCUGCGGAAACGGACGGGAUCUUUCUAGCAUGACCUUACUACGAAGACUUUGUUGUGGGCUAAUAUUAGAGCAGCCCUUGGGCCUGCAUCGCUUGUGAAUGGCACUAACGAUGUACUCGUUUCUUGCAUGAGCAAUUUUCUGGCUCAGCAGUGAUCGACCCAUGUGUCCUGGAUGAAUAGUAGAAGCAAAAUUGACAUUGGCGAAGAGGGUCAACAGAGAAGAUGUCCAGUCCGAUUGAAGAUAUCAUACGCAUCCGGGGUAGACCCGCCUUUGUCCAUGUGAUCCCAAACUUUGUGGACUGUGCAUCGAUAAAUCCAGGGUCUUUUGAUGUAUACUGUCGUUGGGAUGCAAGAGAGAUCAUUGAGAACACAUGGGCACCAAAGUCACUAAAUUUACAAGCCAACGGCAUGAGAGUAGAGGCUUGGUUACCUGGAAGCCUAUAAAAACCCUGCAAGCCUCAUGAAUAGUCCAAGUGGUCUGCGCAGGUGGUUCUGACUAGAGCAGCUUGUACACGGUUAUUGGAAUUCGAACAAAUGAACUCCAAUUUCUGACUUACCAAUUUCUAGAUUUGCAAUAGGCAAAUUGUUUAAACAUCUUCGUGGAAAAUAAAUAUUUUCCAUUUAUUAAGUUAAGUGAAAGCGAUAAUUUUACAAAAAAUAUUUUUCAAAUCAUUCAUUUUCUAUCAAACAAACAAAGCCUAGGUAUAACGGUGAAUAUGAACAUCUUUAUGCGUAAAUGUUAAAUCCACGAGUUUGCCAAGGUGGAUUUAUAGCUGAUAUGAAAAUGCAACUUCAGGCAUGUUGGAAGGAGGGUUAGCGUUAGGGGAAAUUUGGGGCUUGAAUUAAAGUUUGGGAUUUUCUUAGAUAAAAAGUUCGGGGUUUUUUUAGAGUAUUGAAUCAAUCAAAAGUGACCAAAUUUUGAUUAUUAUCGAUGAGAACAAAGUUUGGUUAAAACAAAAAUUAUCAAUAAACUGAACAGUAAACGAAUUGAAAAAAUUGGAUAACUUACCGAUAGAGUUAUCAAUAGAAAAUUAUGCAUAGAUUAUCGCUGAGAUCCUUCACUAUAGACAAAUUGAAGGAGAUCGAUAAGCCAUCAACAACAAAUAAUUACCACAAGUAAUCGCAAAUUUCCAGUGAAAUAUUGAGGCUGUGUAAUUCAUGACCAAAACAGAGGUUUGCCACGAAUACAUCAAUAGGCAAAUACGGUGGAUUCACACCAACACUUGAUCAUUAGGUGGUUAUGCCUAUAACCAUGGAAUUUAUGACUUCUUCUGGAUAAUCACUAUUGAAUGAUAGAGGAUAAUGUUUAGUCUCAUAAAGCAUAUGUAGUACUUUAGCUUUAGCUGGUACGUCCAUGAUGGGGUGCGAACAGAACGCACUGUUUCGUCUUGAUGCGUUACGAUGGAAAGUCACUAAUGGAGGGGUACGAAGGGAGACGUAUAAAAUCCUCCCGAACACAACCGUUGGAAUGGUUGGCCAUUCAUUCGCACCAAAUUUUCUCUGCAUUUCCAUUAAAGAAGAUCAAGGCAUUCCAUUUCAUCUUUGCAAGAACAAUCGGCAUUUACGCCGUGGAAAUCGGGUGUUUUCCUCGUGAUUGCAUCCAGACUAACGUGAGGUAGUGUUGUUCGUGAUUUCGUUGGCAAUUCAACGUUCGUUCCGGGGCUAUUUGCUGUUUGCACAUCGGAAUCAGGUAAGUCGUCUUCCGCCGACUUAAAUUCCAACAUUGGUAUCAGAGCCCGAUCGUGAUUUCUGCCUUGUUUUUCAUCGAGUUUUCACAUUUACCAUUUGAUAUUGAGAUCAAGAGAUAGUAUUCUACACUGUUUGGAUCUCUGAUAGUCGGAAUUGCCCUAUGAAAAACUCGAAAUUGAACCGGAGCGAAGAACGGGUUCGAGGUCGUGUGCACCCGUGAGGUUUUGGCCAUUUUUUGAAAUAAUUUUUUGAUCAAAAUUAAUUUUUGAAUAUACCGGGUGAAAGAGCUCGUCGAGACGAGUCCGGCGGUGGGUCGAGCGCCGCCAGGCGACGCCGGACGCGCCCACACGCGCGGCCAGAAGCCGUUGCGCAUGGGCGCCACGCGCCUGAAGCGCUGGCACAGCCAGCGCGUCCGCCACACGCGCUGGUUAGCGAACCGGCACGUGCGGACGCGCGCCAGCCGGCGAACCGGCGCGUGAUGACGUCACCAUGACGUCACCCAACGGUCGGUAACUACUGGGAUGACGUCAUCAAUGACGUCAGCGCCAACGACAGUUGGCCGGCCGGCGACCCGACCCGACCCGACCUGACCCGACCCGACCGUUGACCGGUCAACGGCCGGACCGGUCGGACCGGCCAGGAGCCGUUUGGCUCGCUGGCGCGUGCGCCGCACACUCAGGCGGCGCAUGGGGGUGCGUGCGAGCUCCGAUUGGAGCGUGGUCGGUCGUGUUUGGUUUGUAUGAGUGUCCUCUACACAGUGGUAUAAUUAUUUUAUACUUUUGAAUUUUAUAAAUGCAUGAAAAUGCGUAGGAAACCCUAUGUACGCGUAUUUUUGGGGUUUUAAUGCAGCUUAUUCAUUUGUAGCUUGUAUUUUCUUGUGAUUAGGGAAAUACAGUAGCUAGCCUGUGUGCAAAUGAUGUUAUAUAUGUUGUGUAGAGCUUGGUUCAAUGAUAUGAUGUAUAUAUUUUAAUAUACUUGCAAUUUUCUAGUUGCUAGAAAAUUAGAACAAUGGUAGGAAAUCCAUUACAUGUUGAAUUGCAAUUUUAAUUAUAGUUGAAGCAUGAUUGUUGUUUAUACGUUGGUUAUUAUCAUGCUAUGUUUUUUGUGUUAAGGAAAAAUGUAGAAAUUACAUAAGGUCAUGUAAUUAUUUUUCCUAGUGGGAGUUCGUAAGUUGGUAGAAUUGAAAGAAGUUCUCACCUAGAACUCAAAAUUUGUGCAAAUUAAACUAAUUAAUGAUAAUAGAACAUUUGUACAUAGAAGUUGAUUGGGAACAUAGUGAACUUUUGCCUCUGUGUCUUUUGUUGAAUUAUCAUUAAUUUAGUUUGUCUUUGCUGCAAAUUAAAUAUGUGUGUUACUCUGUAUAGUGUGCUAGUAUUGAUUUUGCGUUUAUUAUGUCAAUGUGUUAUAGCAAUGGCAUCGGCAUCCAAGACUAUUGUGGCUAACCUCAAUAAGGGUGAGAAGCUGAACGGUGACAAUUAUGAUAUUUGGCACCGAAAGGUUCAGUACAUCCUUGAGGAGCAAGAGGUUUUGGAAACCCUCAACCAUACCAUGGAUGAACCUGAGUAUGGAACUUCAGCUUAACACAGGAGAGAUCUGGAAGCUUCUCAAGCUUGGAAAAAGAAAAAUAGCAUUGCUCGCAUCACGUUGCUGAGCUGUAUGCAAGAUGAUCUCAUCUGUGAGUUUGAGAGUUAUGACAAAGCUCAAGCUAUGUGGGUUGCCUUGAAAGAUAAGUUUGGGGGUACAUCUGCUACUAAGCUGAGGAGACUUACCAUCAAGUUUGACACAUUUCGAAAGCGCCCAAAUGUAAUGAUGAGGCAGCAUCUUCGGGAGAUGUCAAACAUGAUCCGUGAGCUGAAGUCGGCAAGUCACUCCCUUACUGAUGAACAGUAAGUUCAGGCUGUUAUAAGGUCUCUUCCUGAUAAUUGGGAGCAUAUGAAGAUCAAUAUGACGCAUAAUGAGAAUAUUGUCACUUUUGAUGAUAUUGCGCGUCAUUUGGAAUUAGAGGAUGAGCGCCUAGAGGCUGCAAGAUCCUCUACCCAUGCUUAUGUUGCUGAAUCGAGUUCGCGCAAGGCUUCAGGCUUCAAGCGCAAGAGGAAUCUUCAGUUCAACAACAAAGGGAAGAUGACUGAUCAGGGACCCAAGAGGGCUAAGACCUUCCGACGCAAGAAGCGUGGUGGGAAGAAGGACAAGGCCAAAAUGGAGUGCCACAAUUGUGGCAAGAUGGGUCACUUUGCUCGUGAAUGCACUGAGCCGAAAAAGGUACCCUAUUACUCCAUUACUUUGAGUAAUGCUUUUGUUUCUAGUACUGUAAUGCUUACUGAAUCUCAUCCAAUGUUGACUGUAGACUCAGGAGCAACAGACCAUGUAGCUAGAGACCGAGAAGCAUUUGUGGAGUAUCGUCGGAUACUGUCUGGAAGAAGAUGGAUAUAUGUUGGGAAUAAUUCAAGAGUUGAAGUGAAGGGUAUCGGCACAUGUAAAUUAAUCUUACGUGGUGGUCGAAACCUGUUCCUGCAUGAUGUCUUUUAUGCUCCAGAUAUUCGACGAAACUUGGUCUCUGUAGUUGUUCUUCUUAGCUUAGGUUAUGUAUUGAAUUUCCAUGGUGAUUGUGUUGACAUUUUGUAUGGAACAGUUUAUUAUUAUUCAGGUCAUGUAUCGAAUGGUUUUAUGGUGUUAGACAUUGACUAUGAUUAGUACAAUGUUAAUGUUGAUGGUUGUUUUUCUUUAAUUGCGUCUUCUAACAAUGUUGAGAUUGAUGCAAGUACUUGGUAUGCUAGAUUAGGUCACAUUGGAUUGCAAAGAAUGCAAAGAUUAGCUAGAGAAGGCCUUUUAGGGUCACUCACUAAUGUUAGUCUAUCCGUAUGUGAACAUUGUUUGGCGGGAAAAACAACUAGAAAACCAUUCGGUAAAGGGACUAGAGCUGAAUUUCCAUUGCAUCUCAUACAUUCUGACAUUUGUGGUCCUUUGAAUGUGAGGGCGAGGCAUGGAGCCUCAUAUUUCAUCACUUUCAUAGAUGACUUCACACGUUUCGGUUAUGUCUUUCUGAUCUCCCAUAAGUCAGAAGUAUUGGACUGCUUUAGACGACAUAUAGCGAUGGUAGAGAAUCAGUUGAACAAAAUAAUAAAGGCAUUGAGAACCAAUCGUUGACGUGAGUAUCUAUCAGAGCAAUUCAAGGCUCUUUGUGAUGAAAAGGGAAUUGUAAAACAAUUGACUAUUCCUGGUACCCCACAACAAAAUGGGGGUAGCUGAGAGAAGGAAUAUAACCCUAUUGGAAAUAGUUAGGUCUAUGAUGGCGCAAGCAAAUCUACCUAUCUCCUAUUGGGGAGAUGCGUUAUUGACUGCUGCCUAUAUACUUAACCGUGUGCCCUCAAAAUCGGUCACUUCCAUCCCUUAUGAAUUAUGGACUGGUAGGAAACCAGACUUGAGUAGUCUACGUCCAUGGGGAUGUGCAGCUUAUGUUCAUGAUUCUUCCCAUAAACAUGGAAAAUUAUGUCCUAAAGGGAAGAAAUGUAUCUUUAUAAGAUAUUCCGAACACUCCAAAGGGUACGUGUUCAUGGGUGAACAAGCUGAUGGAAGUGUGACCAAAAUGGAGUCACGAGAUGUCACGUUCUUGGAGAACGAUUUUCCUAAUAGAGGUGAGAUUGAUAAGGACUUCCAAUUAUAUGAGAUGGAAGAUCCUAAUAACACACCCACUGAUGUUGUAGAGGGAAAUGUAGAUUUACCUCAACAUACAAGACCUAGUGGGAGUGUUGCAUCGCCUGAUGAAUUGAAUUCAAGAGAAAUUCAAUUGCGUAAAAGUGAUCGUAAAAGUAUUCUUCGUCGUCGUUUUGAGAUUGAAGGGGAAGCAUUUAUGAUUGCUCAAAAAGACGAUGCCGAGCCUAAGACUGUUCAAGAGGCUCUCUCAUCCUCUGACAAGGAAGAAUGGAGAAAAGCUUUUGAAGAUGAGAUGGAGUCAAUGAGGGCAAACCAUGUUUGGGACUUGGUUGAUAUACCACCCAAUCGUAAGGCCAUUGGAAACAAAUGGGUCUUCAAGAUUAAGCGUAGGGCGGAUGGAUCCAUUGAAAAGUAUAAGGCUCGCCUUGUGGCAAAAGGUUAUACUCAACAAGAGGGUAUAGACUAUGAGGAAACUUUUUCACCAGUUGUAAGGUUUGCCUCAAUACGCCUUAUUCUAGCCAUCGUUGCACAUUUGGAUAUUGAAUUACAUCAAAUGGAUGUAAAGACAGCAUUUCUCAAUGGAGAAUUAGAUGAGGAAAUCUAUAUGAAACAACCAAUAGGUUUCAUAGCUAAAGGUCAAGAGCAUAAAGUUUGCAAGCUUCAUCGCUCAAUAUAUGGCCUUAAGCAAUCAUCUAGACAGUGGUAUUUUCGUUUUCAUCGAGCAAUAAUAACUUUUGGUUUCACGAUGAUCGAAGAAGAUCACUGUGUAUAUGUCAAGCGGUCCAAAGAUAAAUUUGUGAUUUUAUCACUUUAUGUGGACGAUAUUCUGCUGGCUGGAAAUGACAAGGUUUUGGUUAUCACCAUAAAAGAAUGGUUGUCCUCCAAUUUUGAGAUGAAGGACAUGGGAGAAGCUGCUUAUAUAUUAGGAGUUAAGAUCGAAAGAGAUCGAUCAAGGAAACUCCUUACUUUAUCACAAGAGUCUUAUAUUAUGAAGAUUCUUGAGCGUUUCAAUAUGCAGCAUUGUAAUCCCAUUGAUACCCCUGUCAUGCAAGGUGAAGGCCUAAGUACUGAGAUGUGUCCUAAGACUCCAGAAGAAAUCAAAGUGAUGGAAACUGUUCCUUAUGCUAGUGCGGUCGGAAGUUUGAUGUAUGCUAUGAUGUGUACUCGACCCGACAUAUGCUAUGCCGUGGGAUUGGUGAGCCGAUAUCAAUCAAAUCUCGGUCAAGCACACUAGAAAGCAAUGAAGAGGAUCCUGAGAUACUUGAAGGGCACCAAGGACUAUCGACUUUGUUACUAAGGGAAUGAUUUACGCCUAUUAGGUUAUUCAGAUGCCGAUUGGGGUGGAGACCUGGAUGAGCGUAAAUUGACUUCUGGAUAUGCAUUCUUGCUCAAUGGAGGUGCAAUUUCUUGGAAUAGCAAGAAACAGACAUGCACGGCCUUGUCUACGAUGGAGGCAGAAUUGAUUGCAUGUUAUGCCGCAAUGCAAGAAGCAGUAUGGCUAAAACGUUUCUUGGAAAAUUUAGCCACUGUCACUGAAGUUCCAAGACCGGUGACGGUUUAUUGCGAUAGUCAAGCAGCCAUUGCCCAUGUGAAAGAUCCCAAGUAUCAUGGAAGGACAAAGCACAUUGACAUAAAGAAUAACUUCAUCAGAAUUAUUAUAGCGCAGAAAGAAGUGAUCCUGCAAUACAUUUCAACCAAUAGAAUGGUUGUUGAUCCAUUUACGAAGGCUAUUCCUAGAGACAUGUUCUUGACCCAUAGGAUGUCACUAGGAUUGCGUAGAAUGUGAUAUCUGUUAUUGUAGAGGAUAAUUAGUUUAUGUAUUUGUGGACAGAUGUAUUGUACUUGUUUGUUUAUUAGUGAUUUGAUGUUUUAUCAAUAAGUACAAAUCCACUAUGAGACUAGCACAAACACACAUAUAUUAUUGAAAAGUAUGUCAGCAGGCAAUGAUUGGCUCACUCACACGAGCAAUCGCCUCAAGUGCUGUAGUUAGCAUGUUGAGAUGAGACGUUAUGUACAAAUAAAUGCUGAAGAGCAAGUUUGGUACAUAAAAUAUGUCGCCUUGAUUGGAGUCAAGAUGAGGUCUGUGAUUGGUUUAUAACAAGACCGAACAUGAUAGUCCCACAAUCAUGUAUGCCUGAAAGAUGCCGGAUGCGAGUACUUAAUUGGGCGCUAUAGAAAGCGAGCUGAUAUAGCACUCGGGCUAAACAUGAGUACGUGAGAAGCACGUGACUAUGUUUAGGCUAAGAUCUGUAUGGUGGAUAUAUUUGAUAAAUGACAUACGCUCUUAUAGAAAGAGUAAUCCACUAUAGCAUGUAAUUCAUACUACAUGUGCAUUAUACGACCAACAAGGGAAGGUGAGUAAAAUUAUCCCUAUUUACUCAUAGUGUGAGUCCUUGAGGUAAUUUAUAAUUUACCUCAACUUUGUGCCCUAUGUUACUUCUGACUAUGUUCUCGAAGUGAAAAAUCAGUGUUGCUACUUUAGCAUGUUACGGGCGGACAUGAAUAGAUAUGACCUAUGGGACAUGUCUAGGAAAGCAGUUGUUCUGAAAUUGAGAGAGACAUGAGUGCGAAGGAAGACUAUUGUUGUUUUACAUCUAUCACAUGUAUUUACUGGUCGACCAAUUAUAUCGCCCUUUGUGGUUGCGGAUGUAAUUGUAAAUACAUGGUGUUUUUUUUUAGAAUAGUAAAGUAUAGCCUUUAAGGGAUAGGUAUACUUGGACUGAUGUAACAAAAUAUGUCUGGGGCACUGUGAGACAUCCAUUGUUUAUUUCUUUUCGGGGUUGUAGCCAUUAUGUUAUCCCUAACAGGUGCAUAAUUUGAGCUCCCAAGUGCAGGUGUACUCACUGGUCGCACGGCUUAUUUGCCAGUAUAAAUUGUUUUGUAAAGUUGAUGAAUGUUGAAUGCCUUAUAUUCUUGAUAGAGCGCUAUCAAACCCAUCAUGUCCGAGUGGGAGAUGUAGUACUUUAGCUUUAGCUGGUACGUCCAUGAUGGGGUGCAAACGGAACGCACCGUUUCGUCUUGAUGCGUUACGAUGGAAAGUCACUAAUGGAGGGGUACGAAGGGAGACGUAUAAAAUCCUCCCGAACACAACCGUUGGAAUGGUUGGCCAUUCAUUCGCACCAAAUUUUUUCUCCAUUUUCAUUAAAGAAGAUCAAGGCGUUCCAUUUCAUCUUUGCAAGAACAAUCGGCAUUUAUGCCGUGGAAAUCGGGUGUUUUCCUCGUGAUUGCAUCCAUACUAACGUGAGGUAGUGUUGUUUGUGAUUUCGUCGGCAAUUCAACGUUCGUUCCGGGGCUAUUUGCUGUUUGCGCAUCGGAAUCAGGUAAGUCGUCUUCCGCCGACUUGAAUUCCAACAGCAUAAUUGCUCACCAAUAAUUGUAAAGAGUGCUAGGAAAUUAUUCGUGGAUUCAAAUCAAUAACUGCUUGUAAAAACUGCCCCAUGGUAAGAGAUAAAAGCCCCAUGUUAUAAUCAUUGUAAACAAAAUCAAUCAACACCUAAUUUUCUAUUCUUAUGCACAUUUAAUUUCUUCUUUAAUUUUCCAGCAAAUGCACCGUUUUAGUAUCUUCAUAUAUUCGUCCCUUUAAUGAUUCUCGCAACUUUUAAUUUCCGAUACUUGCACUGCAAUUUCUUUACUUCUAUAGUCAUUUACAUUCUUGUCUAGAACCAACAAAGAAUCUAUUUUCUUCAAUAUUCAUCGAUCCGAUUCAUCUAUUGAUAUUUACACUUUUUGGUGAAACACUAGCCUCAUUGUUUGCACUAGUGAAUGUUUGGAGUUGAACUCGUGUCAAGCAUUCUAAUUAUUCCACAAACAUGUGUUACUUUUUAUAUCACUAAAUCAACUCUAAUGGAUUUUGAUGUUAUAACUUCCAAACGAAGAGCGUGUAAAGAGUGGAAAUUAGAGAAUCACAGUUCGCUUACUUUAUAAUUUCUUUUCCAAAAAAAAAAAAUCUGAUCAGUUAUUGCAAGGAAAGAAUUAUUGUGCGACAAUAGAUGCUCAAUUAUUCGAUGGAGAUUAAAUCCUCAUACAUGUGUAAGGUGACAAUCAAUAAGGAAAGGUCUAAGGCACGCAUGAUGGUGAUGGAUUUGUAUCUCUCCAAACAUGCCUAUUUUGUGCACUACAAUCCGACAUGUCUUGUCCCAUAAAGCUUAAUCCAUUAAAUUGUGAGCCACAGAAUUUACAAGCAUCUAUGGAUUUAUUGUCAUCACUCUCAAAGAUCUCAAUAGUUGGAGCACUUCUCUCCAAAAAUGAGGAUAUAUUGAUGUGAAAUUGACACCCUAGAUAUCCAGAAGUUAGUGCAAACAUAAACUUCAAUCGUUCCUUUUCUAAUAUUUUCUAAAUAAUAGUAGGAUAAACUUCAAUCGUUCCUUUUCUAAUAUUUUCUAAAUAAUAGUAGGAUCAGUUAAUGUUAAACAAUGCUAAGCAAGUGGCAUGCAUUCACUUGUCAAAUGAAUGCACAUGUAAAGAUAACCUAAAUAUAUUUACCCUUCAUCUGCUUCGCUCAUAGGGCAUCUUUCUCAUAGGCACGUCUCUCUCUCUCUCUCUCUCUCUCUCUCUCUCUCUCUCUCUCUCUCUCUCUCUCUCUCUCUCUCUCUCUCUCUCUCUCUACGGAGGUAGGCACAAGCUUUGUCUUGUCAUCAAACUAGGACGAGUAGUAUUUUUAUAAAGAAAAGUGCACUAAAAGUUUUAAAAUUUAUCACAUCUUAAGACUUUCAAAAUUGUAAUCAAAUGGUAAAACUUGUCAAAAUAGUGUAAUUAAGUUCUACGUGCUCUAUUAUUAUUUUUCCCAAAAAAGAAAAAAGAUCCAAUCAGUUAUUGCAAGAAAAGAAUUUUUGUGAAGGUGAGUGACGGCAGAUUUUCAAUUAUUCAACAGACAUUAAUCCAUGUACAUGCGUAAGGUGACAAUCGAUAAGGAAAGGUCUAAGACACGCAUGACGGUGAUGGAUUUGUAUCUCUCCAAACAUGUCCUAUCAUGUGCAGUACAAUCCUAGAUGCUCGUCCCAUAAUGCUUAAUCCUUGAAAUUGUGAGCCACAUAAUUCAUAAGCAUCUCCAGAUUUAUAGUCAUUGCUCUAAAAUAUCUCAAUUUACCAAUUGGAGCACUUCUCGCCAAAAAUAAGGAUGCUAAUGUGAAACUGACACCCUAGAUAUCUAGAAGUGAGGGCCCACAUAAACCUCAAUCAGUCCUUUUCUAAUAUUUUCUAGUUAACAAUAGGAUAAAUUAAAAUUAAACAAUGCUAAAACAGGUGGCGCGCAUUCACAUGUCAAAUAAUUGCACACGUAAAUUUAAUCUAGAAAAGUUUUCUCUCCAUUUGCUUCUCCCACAGCUACACCAAUUGCACUAGCACUGGCCUCCAUAGCACUGCCAUUGAUUCGAGCAUUUUUCUCGCAAGCGUAACCACCUCAAUCCGGGCACUGGCCUACACCAGUUCUAAAAAUUUGUCGAAAAGUGCAAUCAAACCAUAAAAUCUUCAAAAAGUAUAAUAAGAUCUUAGAACUUGUCAAAGUUGUGUAAUCAAGUCCCUUUGUCAACUUUCUAUAAUUUCAUUAGUGAAAAAUGCCGACAUGAUUAUAUUAAUUACUUUUGUUAUGACCAAAGCAGAAACUACUACAAAUGAAACUAAGAAAAAUAUAAGAACACACAAAUUUACGUGAAAACUCUCAUGGGAAAAAACUACAGGGAGAGAAGAAGAAAAAUCUACUAUGGAAAUUUAAGGAUUAUCAAAGGUGGCUCGAUAAACCUUAAGAAUCUUUUUAUCACUCACUUUAAAUCUAAUAACUUGGGAAAAAAUAAUAUUUAUAUUGCUCCAUAAGAGGGGGUGCAAUCCUUGCACCUUUGCCAAGGAUUAGUACUGAAGUACUGGCUUGGGCCUCGACCAACACUAAACCCGGCUUUGUUUUUAUCAAGUUGGGUUGUCGCAAAUUUCAAUUUAAGUAUCAAAACUCAAUUUAGGUUGAAUGCCUGGGAACACAAUUCAAGAUAUUCUCAACAAUUUCUUGAGACACGUGGCAUCCACUAAGCACCACAUCAAAUAAUGAAACUUUUGGGAAAAAAAUUAAAGAAAGAAAGAGAGAGUAAAAGUAAAAUAAGAAAAAAAGGGAAAAUGUUUGAACAAAAGGCUAAUAAUGAAAAGAAAGGGGAAAAAAUUUAUAUUUAAAAAAAAAAAAAAAGCAAGACCUCGGCUUCUGGUUUCCAAAAGAAACAGCGGUUUCGACUCUUGCGAGCGAAAGUUGAGAUUGAAGGGAAUGAAUCUCUUUUGAACCCCGCAGAUCGCCUACGGACACUUCUUGGAUCAGUUUUACAUAUGAAAGGCUCCACUAUUCUGCCAUGGCUGUGGUAGGAUUGGCCAUUGCCGCCACAGCUGUACCUUCAUCACAGAUGCUGCGUCGACGGAGAGGUGCUCUCGAAUUUGCGGGCUGAGUCCAGCCUUUUCUACAUCGACCCAGUUCAUUCGGUUCCAUUUCGCAAUUUUGAUAAGGAACACUAAAAAUUUGAAAAAGACUUCCUACGCUCGCGAACAUAGAAAUAAACCAAAAAAAAAAGUUGGGGAGGAAGAUGUAGAUGUCUACGCUUGGGCAACGACAUCAUCCCCCUUUUUUUUCUGGUCUGAUUUCGCCUUCUAUCAAGGAGGAGCUUUGCAAUAGUUCUCAAUAAAAACCCCAUGUGGGAGGAAAAGGGUGAAGGAGAAGGGGAGUCAUCUUCAUGCAAGUGCAAGAUCUUGGCCCCUUUUUUUGUUUUUGUUCUUUUUUCCCCUAUCAUCCUUUUCUAUUCAUUUUUUUUUAAUUUUAAAAUUUUAUCUUUUUAAAUUUUAGAUUUUUUUUCUAAUGUGGCACUUGAUAGAUGCAUGUAUCUUAAUAAAAUAAUAAGCCAAAUUGAACUUAUUGGUGGAAGGACCUAUGUAUCAUUUUGACAAAUCUUAGAACUCAAUUACAUUUUUGCGUCAAUGAUCACGCAUAAUGUCCGUGACAAGGCAACCAAAAUUUCCCUUAGUUAGGUUUUCAUUUAUUAUUAGUAGGUGGCUCGACCCAUAAGUAUAUUCUAAAUUAGUAUGCACAUAUGUACAUGCCCUCAAUGGGUUUACAGAGAUACUAAGCAUAAUUAACCUUAAUCUCCAGAAAUCCACAAUUCAAAUCAAAACCCUUCUAACAAUUCAGAUUUAAUAACCAAAUCACGACAUUUCACCAUUUGAUAAAUAUCUAUACACACACACAUAUCAAAGUGCCACAAAAACCACAUUCAUAAAUGAUAAACUUUUUGUGAUUCUUUCAUAAAAGGUUUCACAAACCAUUUACAAGCAAUCGGUUCAAACUGAAGUCAAAGGAUGACUCCCCAUUUUAAACAAACAAAACCGCAGUAAAUGUUCGAUCCUAUUUUAUGCAACAAUAGAUGCAAUUUCUUAAACAUAUAUAAUUUAUUUCGUUUUCAAAAUAUAAAAACACAAAAAAUAAAUAGUAUCACUCGUAUGGGAAAGCGAAAAACCAGCAGGAGUAGUCCCCGCACACGACGCCAAAUACUUAUUUGUAAUUAUAAAGGGAAAACCAUUUGCAAGUUGAACUAGAAACACAGUGGUUUUGUUCCUUUCGCUUUAUCCGUUGUCCUUAUCGAGUCUCUGGUCCUAUAAAUUUCUGGCUCGAUCGACCAAACCCUUCGACAAUCGUCAGCAUUUCCGCUCCCUGAUUGAACAAAUACAUGCACAGCAGUUUCAGCACGAUGGCUCUCACCUCCCUCCUCCUCCACCUCCUCCUCCUCCUCUCUUCUCUCCAUGUCAGUAAUUUGUCAAGCUUUCACUCUCCAUGCGUACCCAACUGCUCAUCUCUCUCUCUCUCUCUCUCUCUCUCUCUCUCUCUCUCUCUCUCUCUCUCUCUCUCUCUCUGUGUUCUCAUGCAAAGACAGGGCUAUAUGUUUAAUUCGAUAUCUCACCUAAGAAUUGCUGAAAAAAUUUUGCGGCCAUUUACUCCAUUGGCAAUUUCUUCUCAUCCAUUAUUUGUUAACCCAAUCUCUCUAUACUGGUUUAGAGUGCACAGGCUAUCGGAUCAAAUGGGGAGCCUAGGCUUCAUAAGAACUAUUCGAUUUAAUUUACGCAUGCAAGAAGCUAAACAUGUCAGUUUGUAUCAAAAUUAAACCUCAUAAUAUUAUUAUCUUCAUACAAAAAAUAUAUAUUUUAUAUUAUAUAUAUAUAUAUAUAUAUAUAUAUAUAUAUAUAUCUCAUUUGGGUUAUCUCAAUGCAUGUUAGUUGAUCAAUUGUGUUUAUGUGUUCUUUAGGCUAACAAAGAAAUGUGAAUGAAACGUAGAUAAUCAAGGGAACAUAUGAAAGCAUGUAAGUUGCAAAAGUCAUUUUAAGUGAUUGAGCAUGACGUUACUACUUUUAGACACAAGCAUCAGAUAACAUACGUUACUGAUUGUUAGGAAUAAAUUGUUGGGUCAUCCAUGUGCAUUGUAAAAAUAAUCCCAAUCAUGCUAUUAUGCAGUUCUAAUUUGGGAAAAUGACACAAUUAGUCCCUGAAAUUUUAUAUAAUGUUCAAUUUCGUCCAUAUACUUUUGAUUGGCUCAAUUUAGUCCAUGAAUUAUCGAUAAAUGUCCGAUCUAGUCUCUGACUAUUUGAAAAUUGAUCAAUUUCGUCCUUCCGUUAACUUUCCGUUAGUUAAACUUAACGAAAUGGGGGCAUUUUGGUCUUUUUAUCUUUUUAAUAUUUUUAUCUUCUUCUUUUAUCUUCUUCUCUCUUCCCUCCGCCGGCCAUGGCGGAACCGACGGAGGGAAGCCGGCAUCCGGCAAGGGUCGCCCUCGGGCGAGGGCCGCCCCUGCCGGCGUCGGGUGAGGGGUGCCCUCGCCAGAUUUGGCGAGGCCGCCCUCGCUGAGUUGCUAGGUUCGCAGGUUGCGCCAUAGGGGAACGCAAGGCUUUGCGCAAAGGUCGAAGGGGAUUGUGGUGGUGCCGACGAAGGGAGGCCGAGGUUCGAAGUAGGUGCAGGGGGAUUGGGUGCUGGCAUCACUGGAGCUGCAGUGAGAAGAGAAGAGGGAGGCCAAGGAAGUAUAGACUUGGUGGAGGAGCCAUGCGGUCAGCGUCCUCAUCUCGUGGCCUCGUGCGGCGGGGCUCGGUGAGCCGCGGUAGGGGGAGGCGUCGAGGUCCCUCCCGUGGGCUGGCGAGGGUGGCCCUAGCCUGCAUCGGGCGAGGACAGCACUCGCCAGAUCUAGCGAGGGCACCCCUCGCCCGAUAUCAGCAGGGGCGGUCCUCGCCCGACACAAGCGAGGGCAGCCCUCGCCGGCGUUGGGUGAGGGCCUCCCUCGCCAGAUCUAGCGAGGGCACCCCUCGCCCGACACCAGACGCCGGCUUCCCUCUGCCAUGGCUGGCGGAGGGAAGAGAGAAGAAGAAGAAGAAGAAAAAAAAAAGUAACGGAAGGAUUAAACUGAAGUUUUCUUAAUAGUUUAGGGACCAAAUUGAGCUAAUCAAAAGUAUAGGGACGAAAUUGAACAUUACGUAAAACUUCAGGGACUAAUAGUGACAUUUUCCCUUCUAAUUUCGUGUCACGUGACUUGUACUUUUUUGCAUGUUCGUUACAAUUUUCUGUAUGUCUAUUUUACUUCCAUAAUUAUGUCAUUGCACAGUUACUUAAGUCCAUAAUGUCCAUUUUAAUCGUGAUUAUAUAAACUUCUAGCUCACCGUCACUCUUUGAUUUUCUUUUGUGGAUUGUCCUGCGAAAGGUCCUCACCAUCGUUGUUAGGGCCACUCCCGGGGCCGACUCCCUCGCCGGCGAGGCUAACUCGAUCUCUCCCAAAGCAUACCUUGUCCAUUACUGGAACAAGCAAAUCACCAACAACCUUCCCAAGCCACCAAUCCUCUUCUCCAAAGCGUCACCUCUGACGGCCGCGUCAGCGACCAUCUUCGCCGAACUCGUUGCCAAAGGCGCCAUCUCUGACCACCUCUUAUCGUUCUGCGAGGAGGCGCAAUUGCUCUGCUUCAUGAACUCAUCAUCUGAUGGGGUCGCAACGACAAAGCCGUCUACAAUAUACAUAUACGGCCCCUCCCCCCCCGAUACAAUUGUGGCAACUGAUGACAAGAAAGUAAAUGGGGGCGUGGAGAAGGGCUUGUUCUUUCGAGAGUCGAUGCUGAAGAGCGGGAAUGUGAUGCCAAUGCCCGACAUCCGGGAUAACUUGCCCAAAAGGUCAUUUUUGCCUCGCUGCAUUUCCGCCGAACUGCCGUUCUCAACCUCGAAGCUCGCUGAGCUGAAGCAAAUCUUUCAUGCCAUUGAAAAUUCCGCUAUGGGGAAGAUCAUGGCGCAAACGCUAGGCGAGUGCGAGGGUGCAGCACUCCAAGACGAAACCAAGAGGUGUGUGGCCUCCAUCGAGGAUAUGAUCGACUUCGCCACCUCGGUUUUGGGUCAUGACGUCAUGGUCCGAUCCACGGAGAGUGCCAGAGGGUCGAAGCAGGAGGUCUUGAUCGGGGUGGUCAAGAGGAUCGAGGGCAGCGAAGUGAGCAAGCCCGUGGCCUGUCACCGGAGACUAUUUCCUUACAUUGUCUAUUACUGUCAUUCAUUUCCAAACGUCCGGAGUUACGAAGCAGACAUAUUAGAUCCCAAAUCCAAGGCUAAGAUCAAUCACGGUGUCGCCAUUUGUCAUAUGAACACAUCAACUUGGAGCCCUAUCCACGAGUCAUUUCUGUUGCUUGGAUCGGGUCCUGGCCAGAUCGAGGUCUGCCAUUGGAUAUAUGAGAAUAACCCGAUAUGGACAAUUGCCAAGUCAUAAUGGAAGAACGAAGUGUGGUCAAGAUGGAAUAAACAUGGGUUCUGCCUGGUGAUCAAGAGAGAACUUGGUCUUUAGCUACCUCCGACCGAAAGCCUCUCUUGCUUUGCAUUACAAUCUAAUAUAGUAUCUGAAUUUGAUAUCAAUAACAACGUGUUUGUGUUUGGUGUGAGACAGUUGUUAUGGCCAGUAAAUGUCAAGUGUUUUUUUUGUGAUUUGAGUACAUGUUCAAUUAUUUUGCAUUCUCCUGUCCUUUGUGUUUAGAGAUCUUCCUAACUCCUAUCUCUUAAUUUGUGUUACUAUCUUCGAGAAUUUUCUUCAACUUUCGACGAGGACCAAUAACUAUUUUCACAGUAUUAUUAUUAUAUAAACGAGAGACAAAUAAGAACGCAGUGUUUUUUGAUAAAAGAAAAAGGUGAAAAGCUGGUUGGUAGUCCCAACGUGAUCGUUUUUAUACGCUUGACAUUGAACAGCAAGUGCUGCCUGGUUCAAUCUUGAAGUGGCACUUCCCACUUUUUCUUCCUCUGAAUUUUGCUUUUAAACUUUUCUGCAUUUAUCUUUUCUUUGCACUUUCUUGGUUACAUAAACUACAUAUCAUCAUAUCAUUGCUUGCUUUUUCUUAUUCUUUUUUCUUUUUUCUUUUUCUUUUUUGCUUUUUUUAAGCGUUUGUCAUUGGAAAAAGAUAAUUCAAUAAAUACUUAUAAUACGAGAUUAGACUUCUAAAAUCCUAAAAACUUCACAUGAAUGAUUCUCAUAUGAUAAAAAUGUAAAAACUAAAUUUACUUUUGUUUUGCUGGAAUUGCUUUGGAAUUGCUCUCACAAUGAAAUAUCUUUCUCUGAAAGUCAUUAUUUGAUUUUAUUAAAGAGGACAAGGGUUAUGUGCCAACUCCAUAUAAUGGACAUCUUAUGCAAUAAGGAAUUGAACUUCUUUGGUCCAAACAACACCGAUUUUAGUUUGAGUUAGAAUUUAAUCAAUAACAAGGCAAAAAAAGUUACAAGACCGGUCUCAAACUAUGCUAGAAUUUAAUCAACAACACAAAUUAAGGAUAGUAAGAUGUGGAGUCGGAAUUUAAUCAACGACAAUGUACCAGGAUAGUAAGAUACAAUACUGGAAUUUAAUCAACAAUGAUGUACCAAGAUACAGAAACACGUCGAAAUUUAAUUGACAAUGAGAAUCUAAAAGCUAUAGCUAAGAAAAUUAAAGUGCAGUAUAGGAAAAGCAAAGAUACAAAGAUAACAUUUUGAUUGAUUUGUCAAGUGGCUUCUAGUUGGAUGACUGGUGGUAAUUAUAGUGAAUGUAUGAUAAAUGUUUGGUAGUUACGUCUCCUCUAGUACCUACUACUGGCUUUGUCCAUGAUCCUUUAUUCUCGUAGAUCACUUUGCCCAUACUUCAUAUAAUUUUCCUAGUCGUGUUUUGAGGAUUAUGCAACUGUCGAGGCCAUUCCAUGACUAGGGCUCCAAAUAGCAAUUGCUUUUUUACAACGUGUGCCUUUGAUGCUAACUACCUUAGCACCUUGAGUAAUAUUCAAAGUGUCUCCAUUGAAAAAGUUGUUGCUAAAGAUCAUACGGGUAGCUACCAAUUGUCCGUCGUCAUAUUUCAACAACUAAGCGUGUGGCAUUUCUUUAUCUCAUCGGCAAUCACCGGAUAUCUACCUUAUGUCUGUCAAUAGUCCAGCAUACAUCAAAUAUCACCCAUCCAUUAUGCACAUGAUUGUAACUUAUUUCUAAAGAGCUACGGCCGAGGUAAAUCUCAACUUUAAUAUCAGCUAUAUAGUUCACAAUUUCAUGAAAGAUCCUAUAUUUAUGAGAGGAUAUGUAACAUUUUCAAUUAAGAUAAAUAUUUGUCCUUGUGUAUUUCCUUCUUUAUAUAAGCAACCCAAUUUGUCAUGCGAUUGAUAAAUCUCUUUGUUUGUAGCUAUACUUUUAUCUUUUAACAAUCUUAGCCAAUGGACCUGCAUUGCUGAAUGGCCACUUCUGAUAUAUUCGUUUCUUGGAUGAGCAUUUUUCUGGCUUGGCAGUGAUCGACCCAUGUGGCCACGAUGAAUAGUGGAAGCAAAAUUGACAUUGGUGAACAGAGCUUAACAGAGAAGAUGUCGAGUCCAAUUGAAGAAAUCGUACAGAACAGGGGUGGGACCGUGCAUCGAUAAAUCCAGGUUCUUUCUACGAAUUCUAUCCUUUUUUUUCCUAUGUAUUCUGUCGUUGGGAUGCAAGAGAGAUCAUUGAGAAAGCGUAUAGAUGAAGUUCCUAUUAUCUUUUAUGAGCUACGGGCACGAGCAUAGAGGCUCGUUUAUCUAGAGAUUCAUAAAACACCCUAUAAGCCUCAUAAAUCGUUUGAGCCCUAGUUUAUAAUUGUUGGUAGGUUCGGAUAAAAUUUCUAAGGCUUUGAUUGAGAAGUCAUGGGAAAUCGGGUGGAUAGGUUAUUUGCAUAUGGACAGUUCUAGUAAAAUUGUUAACUGCAGAGAAAUCAGCUUAAGGUUCUUCAUCGGAUCCAAGAACCACAUGGACAAAUAUAUACUAUUAGAUGGUUAUUUUUUUUCCACCAAAAAACAUCAUAUGAUAGAAAAUACGGGUUAUACCUUAAGUAGCAUCGACACGGACAAGCGACACACGACAAGACACGCCGACAAGUCAUUUUUCAGAAAAAGAGAAUUCCGACACAUUAAAACACAUUGUAUAUUAAAUAAAUAUUUUUAUAUAUACAUGAUUAAUUAUUAUAUUUAAAUUAAUUUAUUCAAAUUCAUAAAUAAAUAAAUAAAUAAUAAAUAGCCUAUAAUAAAUCUAUACUAAUAACAUUAAUAAAUUUAUUCAUAAAAAAUUGGAAAGACAUUUUUCGACUUUAACAAAAGUUAUCGAUGAAAUAAAUAACUAACGAGAUGGUUAUAUACUAUUAGAUGGUUAUACCUAUUCUCUGAUGUAGUUUCGUUUUGUAGAUGAACCAAUUAGUCCUUUCCUCUCCUAAUCCUUGGAAAGUAAGCACACUUCCUAGAGAUUUCAUUUCUCUCUUGUGGAAGUGAUUAUAAUUAGGUUUACUCAUAAUGGCGUCCAAUGACUUUAACCCUAAUUCAGGAUUAGCUACCCAAUUACAGAGUUUCUCUACUGGAGUACAUGCACAUAUAUGGAAAAUCAAAGUUUCACAUCUUAAAAAUCCAUCAGAUCACUGUCCAACUUGAUUAAUUAAUCGAUAGCUAAUAUGAGAUACAGAUGGAUGCCCUUUUGCUUUUUUUUUGGUAGGAAUAAGUAGAAUAUUGGGGAAUGAUGCCCUUUUGUUUUUUAAUCGCAUUAAUACAAAAGACUUGUCCUUUUGCGAAAUUGGCAUUUUGCAUUAAGCCAUUUGUUUUGCAUUGCCAAGACUUACCAUGUCUGAAGCAUAGAUGACUGCUUUUCUUUAAAUGCCUUUCUAUCAGGUACAUUAAUGUGACUUACUACCUAAAUAGUUUUUGUUUGUAGCUAAUUCCGAAGUGUUUGUUCUUUUUAUCUUCCAGCCUUUCAUCAAUCUCAUGGGCUUUUUUCCCAUCACCUUACUUUGUUUUGUGCUCAAACGCAAGACUGAUGGCAAGUGUAUCUCCAAUCGAUAGAAUCUUUUAGGAGGAAUUUUAUCCAAAUCUAACUUUUAUUUACACUUUCCCUUCAAAAUUUGAAACAUGUGUUUCCUGUGGGUGAUAUCAUAAAUGUAACUUACCCAUCAGAAGAUUGAGCAGGAGGAAAUCAUGACCUUUUUUUUUAUAAUAAAAGAAGGCAGAUAAUAUUCAAUCUGAUACUUAUUAAUUGCAAGUUAUAUUUAAAAAAACUAAUUAAGUUUUAUUUCUUCCGCUUGGCAGAGAACAUUUGAUAUGAAACUUUAAUUAACUGUAGAUUGCAAAACCGGUGGUUAAGAGUCCCAACUUGAUAGUUUGUAUUAUAAUGUCCAACAAAAAUUUUGCGAAACUAAUGGGGGUGGACACACAUUUGCGAUAGGGACACCCCCACCUCUAUCCCAGCCUAAUAAGCCCUUACUACCGUCAAAUCUGUCAAUUGACGAAUGGAGCAGAUUGGAGCCCUUCAAUCAGUCCGAUCAUAUGAUUGAGAAAUCUCUAUGUUUAUAGCUAUACUUUUACCUUUUACCGAUUUUUUCCAAAAUUUUUAUUAUGUAUGGAAUAAUGAACGGCCUAUAAUUAUUUGACAUUACCGCGGAAACGGACAGGAUCUUUCUAGCAUCACCUUACUACGAAGACAUUGUUGUGGGCUAAGAUUAGAGCAGCCCUUGGGCCUGCAUCGCUUGUGAAGGGCACUCACGAUGUCCUCGUUUCUUGGAAAAGCAUUUAUCUGGCUCGGCAAUGAUCGACCCAUGUGUCCUGGAUGAAUAGUAGUAGCAAAAUUGACAUUGGCGAAGAGGGGUCAACAGAGAAUAUGUCCAGUCCAGUUAAAGAUAUCAUACACAUCCGGGGUGGACCCGCCUUUGUCCAUGCGAUCCCAAACUUUAUGGACUGUGCAUCGAUAAAUACAGGGUCUUUAGAUGUAUACUGUCGUUGGGAUGCAAGAGAGAUCAUCAAGAUCGCAUGGGGACCAAGUUACAAUAUUUACGAGCUGACGGCAUGAGAGCAGAGGCUUGGUUACCUGGAAGCCUAUAGAAAACCCUGCAAGCGUCAUGAAUAGUCCAAGUGGUCUGCGCAGGUGGUUCUGACUAGAGCAGCUUGUACACGGUAAUUGGAAUUCAAACAAAUGAACUCCAAUUUCUGACUUACCAAUCUCUAGAUUGCAAUAGGCAAAUUGUUUCCCAUUUUAUCCAGUUCACUGGAUCAAGUUACAAAGAUAAUCUAAUUUGUUUGGAUAAAAGUUCUUAGGCUUUGAUUGAGAAGUCAUGGUGAAUCGGGUGGAUAGGCUAUUUGCAUAUGGAGAGUACUAGUGAGAUUGUGGACUCUGGAUAAAUCAGCUUAGGGUUCUUCAUGGGAACCAAGAACCACAUAGAGAGAUAUAUCCUAUCAUAUGGUUAAUUAUUUCCACCAAAACAUCAUAUGAUAGAAAACGUGGGUUAUGCAUAUUCUCUAAUGUAGUUUCAUUUUGCAAAUGAACCAAUUAAUCCUUUCCUUUCCUAAUCCCUGUAAAGUAAGCACACUUCCUGGAGAAAUUUAUUUAUCUCUUGUAGAAGUGAUUAUAAUUAGGUUACUCAUAAUAGCAUCUUAUCACAAUUACUUUAACCCUAAUUCAUGACUAGUUAGCCAGUGACACAGUUUAUCUAUUGGAGAGCAUGCACAGAUAUGGAGGCAGCGGGGAGAAUCUCAUCUACACGUGAAAUCACAGUUUCCCAUCUUGAACAUUUAUCAAAUUACUGUACAAUUUGAUUAGUUAACUAGGGCAGGUCCAAUCUGAGAUAUAGAUGGGUGCUCUUUUCUUGCUUAAUCACAUUAUUAGGGAAGAGUUGUCCUUUACGAUAUUGGCAUAUUGCAUUAUUCCAUUUGUUUUUCAUAAACUAAGACAUGUCCUAUAUGAGGCAUAUAUGGAUGCUUUUCUUUAAUCAAGUCUUUUUCAAGUAAUUUGAUAUAACUUACUACCUAAGUAGUUCUUGUCUUUAGCUAAUUCUCAAGUGUUUUUGUUUUUUGUUUUUUUUGUUUUUUUUCCCUAUUCUAUUCCAUCCUUUCACCAAUUAUGCGGGCUUUCCCAGCACCUUCCUUUAUUUUAUGCUCAAACGCCUUACAGAUUCCACGUGAUGAUAGAAUGACUAGAGUCCAACAAAAAUCUAAUGCCUCGCUCUUUAUUAUUUAGAACUGAGGAGUUCCCCACAGACCAACCUUUUUUUUUGAGCUUAGGAGUCCCUAGACACCAACUUAUUUUUUUUAUUUUAUAUUUUCCUUUAUAUCAUACUUUUGAUUAGUAGGUCAUAGCUUAUGGACAUCAUUCACAUGUGUACUCAAUUAAAUUUCAAUAAGGGCAAUAUCCGUAUAUGUAACUAACCAAUCAUAAGACUGAACAAGAGGAAAUCAUGACCCUUUUUUUUUUAUAACAAAUAGAGUCAAGGGAUUGCAAUGAUAUACGUCACUCAAGCCUUAGGUUCAAAUCACCCCAUUUGUGCAAGUACAAGCCUGUGUAUCAACAAUAAUUACUCGAUUGGUGUUAUAGAUUUGUCCAAGAAUCAAACGGAAUAUGAUACUGAUUAAUUGCAAGUUGAACUAGAAUAAUUAUUAAGUUUUAUUUCUUUCGCUUGGCAGAGAACAUUUGAUAUGAAACUCUAAUUAACUGCAGAUUGAACUAAAACUACAACUUUUGUUUCUUUCGCUUCAUCCAUUUGUCCUAGGGAAUCUCUCUCUCUCUCUCUCUACCAUCAGUCCUAUAAAUUUCGUGCUCAAUCAAGCGAACCCUCCAACAACAUCAGCAUUCCCUCUCUCUAAAGAAAUGAGCGAGAUCAGUUUUAUGAAAAUGUCUCUCUUCUCCCUCUUCCUCUUCCUGCUGUUGUCACUCCAUGUUAAUUUUCUCAAGCUCUCUCCCAUACCCUUCCACACACCAUAAUCACUGCUCAUCUUAUUUUUGAACUUCGCAUGCAUUAACACUCAUAGUUCGUUGAUCUUGUUUAUGUUCCUAUACAUGUUAAAAGAGACAUGCAAAACACGAAUCAUUGAAAGACAUAUAUAAUGCUAGAAUGUAUGGGAGGUUUGUGUGUUCACUUGUUUUUAUAACAUAGUUAUGCUAAGCCAGAUAUGAUGUAUUGACAAAUAACAAAAAUGACUAUUAUCAUUUAGAUUGUGGACAUAAAUUGAAGGAUUUGUAAGGAAUAUUUCUCAUGCUAUCUAUUCUAUUCUCAAAAGUUGACUUCAUUCCUAUUAUCUCACGGGCAUAACUUCUUGCUACUUUGCUUACGACCAUUUGCACGUUCAUUGCAAUUUCAUCCAUAUCCCAUUUAUAUGCUGCAUAAAUAUUUGACCAAGUCUGUUUGGCAUCGUACUGCGAUUGUGAUGUAGCCUUGUUCGUCUUAUGACAUAGUUGUAAAUUGAAUUUUAGGGUUCGAUAUCUUUUAAACUGGGUGAACUAUCCUACGUUGGUCGCAUCGUGCUAACUUUCUAGUCACUCACUGAUUUUCUCUUUCGUCCCGCUAUAGGUUGUUUCCACCAACGCGAGGACCACCGCCAACGCCAACUCCCUUGCUGGCGAAGCCAACUCAAUCCCUCCCAAAGAAUACCUUGUCCGUUACUGGACUGAACAAAUCACUAGCAACCCUGCCAUACCACCACUGCUCACAUCCAAAGUUUCACCCUUAAUUGCUGCAGAAACAACCCUUUUUGCCCAGCUCGUGGCUAAAAGCGCCAUCUCCGAUCGCCUCUCAUCUUUCUGCAGGGCAGCACAACUGCUCUGCUUCCCAGCCUCGCCACACUAUCCAGUUGGCUACACUGUCGAAAAUAGUGCCACGACACGGGCAGGUGGCAUGAACGUGAACAGGGGCUUGGAGCCUGGCAAAUACUUCCGGGAAUCUAUGCUGAGGAGUGGGAAUAUGAUCCGGAUGCCGGAUCUUCGAGUCAAAGCUCCCCAAAGGUCGUUUUUGCCACGCAGCAUUUCCUCCGGAUUACCGUUCUCCACCUCUAAGCUCGCCGAGCUGAAGUAAAUCUUCCAUGCUGGGGACGAUUCCAAUAUGGAGAAGAUCAUGGUACGCACACUCAGCCAGUGCGAGCAAGCGCCAAUCCAAGGUGAGACCAAGCGAUGUGUAAGCUCUGUCGAGGGCAUGAUCGACUUCGCCACCUCAAUACUAGGCCACGACAUCCAGCUUCACUCCACGGAGAGCGUCGAAGGGUCGAAGCGUGAGAUCUUGAUUGGACGAGUGAAAAGGUUGGAAGGGAGUAAAUCGAGUGCGCCCGUGGCAUGCCACGAGACUAUAUUUCCUUACAUGGUCUAUUACUGCCACACGUUUCCGACACUCCGAAUUUACGAAGCCGAUAUACUAGAUCCCAUGUCGAAGGCCAAGAUCAACCAUGGCAUCGCCCUCUGUCAUAUGGAUACGUCGAUUUGGAGUCCAAAUCACGUGGCGUUCCUCGCGCUCGGGUCGAGCCCUGGUCAAAUCGAGGCCUGCCACUGCGUCUUUGGGGAUUAUGGUGUCUGGACGAGGACCAAUUAGUAAUGGAAAAAAAUGAAGCGUGGAUCAAAUUGCAUAAUAUUGAUUGGACCUAGAGACUGAGAGAAAUUAGCCACUAGCUCCAUCCUACGCCAUCGUUCGCUUAAAAGUAUUGUCUAAUAUGGUAUUUGCUAUCUCAUAUCCACGACCUUAGUAGUGGUGUGUAUAUGUAAAUAUCGUUGUGGUUAGUAAAUGUCAAGUGUUUGAAUAACUUUGAUCUAAUAUAUGUAAUUAUUGUGGUGCGAAUGUGAAAAAGUUUCUUUGCUAAUAUUCAUCUCUUUCUAAAGCAUAACACAACACCAUGUCUCAAAUUCUUAAAUUGUACCUUGCUAGGACAUGAUGGUGAGAUGAUUACAAGGACUAAUUCUUAAACUGUACCCGAAAUGCGUAAUUGCACCAUAAUGGACAUGAUGGUGAGAUGAUUACUAGGACAAAUUUAUCAGGUUUUAUGUUGAACGAAAUAGCUCAAUAUGUAUUAAAUCAUAUUUCUAUCAAAUAUGUUACAUUAACUCGUUUUGAGUUGUGGACCAAACGUAAGCUUGAUUUGAAUCAUCUUAAGGUUUAGAGUGUCCUGCAGAAGUGAAGUUAUAUAAUCCAACAUUAAGUAAGUUAAACUGCAAAACCACUCAGUGUUAUUUCGUAUCUUACCCAGGUCAUUUGAAAGGAUAUCAAUUUUAUGAUCCCAAUGGAGAUACAAGAAUUGUAGAAUCACAGAUAACGGAGUUUCUGGAAUUCGACACAGCUGUAGAGAAUAGUUGCUCUUAGACUAUUAAAAAUAAUAGUACGGUAGGAACCACUAUGUCUUUGUCUUUGCCUAUACAAAUAUAUAUAUAUAUAUAUAUAUAUAUAUAUAUAUUGGUGCUGGAGGAAUCGUUUGGCCGACAGCCGCCACGUAAACCCCCAGGUGUCGCUAGCGAGGGAACCACCACCCCGGCGCCACGCGUCAAUCACCUAAUAGCCCGCCAACCUCCUUGCAACUUGCGUUGCAAAGGCUUCGAACUCCUAACCUUCCCUCAAAGGACUGAGGGUGCGUUUGGUUGGGUAUUUAGAAAGCCCCUUCAGCCUUGAAAGCCUAUUGGGAAAAAAAAGAGGUGUUUGGCAACCAUUUUCCAAUGAGCUUUGAGUUGAAAGUUGGCCUUGGAGAUGCUGAAAGCUCAAUGCUAGUUUCUACUAGCAUUGUCAGAAUGCUGAAGGCCUCCAUUAAUGAAAUUUCAUGAAGUCCCUUUUUUACCCUAAAAAAAUCAUUAGAAACCCAAAUUUACCCCUUUCUAAAAGAACAAAACCAAGGGUUUCUCCUUGCACCUCCAGAAACGCACGCUCCAGUCCUCACGCUCACUCUCCCGAGAGCCCCACGAUGACACCGACUUCAGAUCCGUUAACGACAAUCUCCAGCACCUUCAGAUCUGCCGACGAAAAAUUUGGGUUUGUUUCCUCCGCUCGAUUCUUCUCUUCAUCUGGGUUUGUUUCAUCAGCUUGAUUCUUCUCCUCAUCUGGGUUUGUUCUUACUUCGAUCUUCUGAAACGGAGGACGCAGCAGCUUGCAAUUCGACUCCUCCCUCCCUCUGACGCGACCACUCAGGCCAUCGCCUCCGCUCGAUUCCCUGCAUCCUUGCACGUUUUUCCCCUGCUUGUGGGUAGUGAGGUUUGGGUAGUGGCGGUCUCCUCGACACAAAUCCCAGCCUCUCGAUCGCUUCCCCGAGGUAACGAAUACUUGUAAACUCUCCCUCUCUCUCUCUCUCUCUCUCUCUCUCUCUCUCUCUUUCUGGCAUCUCCGUCGCUCUCCGUCUGAGAUCCGUUUGCUUUUUCUUUUCUCGUUUCCGUUCUCAGGUUAGAUCUUCCCGUCUGUAAAUCUCUCAGAUCUGAUUGUUUGCUCCUCGUUCGCUAGAUCGAUCUAUUCCUUUUCCAUUUCGUUUGAUUCUACACCCGCGAUAGAUUAGCCCUAUUGCCGUUUCCAAGUUUACAGGAGUGUCCGCUCUGCAGAUUUGUGUAGAUUGCAUAGUAAUAAUUGAUUAUUCUCCUCAUCUAGGUGUCUCUAAGCCUAUGGAGAGAGAAUGCUUCAUGUGAAGUUUCUGAUCGAGUGAUGUUGCAAGGCCCUUGAUUUCUCAUCUUACUAGGAUUACGUGGGAAAUGUAGAAAUUGAGUUCACCUACAGUAUCAGUUAUAUUCAACAACUGUUAACUAUUUGACUCCAUUUAUUAUCGGUGAGUUUUUUAUGUUUGGGCCUUCUGGUUGCUAUUGCUUUGCUCCUCUCAUUCCUCACACAUUGUCAAUUUUAAACUUUGAAAAGGAUAUUUCCAAAUGCAGUAAAAGAAUUUAGGAUUGUCUCGCUUAAAUGUCCAUCGAUUAGAAUCCUAUUCCUUUUAUUCUAGCUCGUGGUCUCUUGCUCUGUUUGAUGGCUAUUCAUGGUACAAACUUGCACAACAUUUCUAGAUAAUUUACAAUGGCUUUCAUUUUCAGGUGAAGCAGAACAGCACAUGAUCCAUUAGCUGGCUCUAACCUUCAUCAUCAGAACCAAAGGGCUGCCUUCUUAAAGAUUCCAGUACUUCUCUGGGACGAUUGCUUGGAGCGCCCCCACUACCUGUCAGUCCAUUGCAAGACUUGACCUUGGGCACUUUGAGAGAACUAAGAGCUGGCAUGGAAGUCCCUCUGUUUACUUCCCUGAGCACAGACCGUGCUAUGGCCUCAACUGCAGCGUUUGCCAGAGCCGAGCCACUCUAAAAUUGCUCUGCAAUUCAUUAGAGGACCUGUUCUGGCGCGACACUCCACUAGGAGUGUUGGAAGCCUGAGGCAUAUGAUUAUUCCCUGAUUUUCCCAUUACAGCAACGGUCUCUGCAACUUCUGAUCCAGCCUUUGCAGAUUCAUGUUUUUGCAUGUCAUAUAAGAGCUCUCUUUGGAGCUGCUUAUGAGCAACCAAUAUUUCAUCUAUCUCAUUCUUGUAGUCCUUGAGGAGGAGACUGAAGCAAUCCAUGAGGGAACCUGUGAGGGGGUUGUUCUUGCUCUCGAGUAAUCUCUUUAGCUCUAUGAAUAUGGGGAUGGUGUUCUAUAUGAGGCUCUUUCUCAUUGCUAUGAAUUUAGGAAGUAAUUAAGGAUGUUUGUAAUAUUUAAGGAUAAUGAGCUUCUUUCCCCAAAGCAUAUGUUAUCUUGUUUUGAUUGUAAUGAAAGUAUUCUUCUUGCAAUUUAGAAAGAGAGCGUAAAUUUUUUCCAUUUAAUAUUUUUUAGCAAAAAAAAAGAAAUUUUAAUUUUAAUAAAAUUGUUUACACAACAUCUUUAACAUGAUUGUCAAAUAUAAAUUAAAAAAGUCGCAAACAUUAUUUUUUUUAAUUUUAAAUAAAUAAAAAUUAAAAUAUUUAGAUUAAUCACCAAAGGGGCUUUGCAAAUGUGUUUUCUACCAAACAACAUUUCUCUCAAAGUUGCAUUUCAAAGCAGAAUUUACCAAAUAGUCUUUGCAUUUCCUCCAAAGUCCUUUAGGCUAAACUGCUUUGCAUUUUCCCAAUGAGCUUUCCAAAUGCUUAACUAAACGCACCAUGAAGCCUACCCAGCGAAGCCACCACAGCCGGUGGUUACCUAUACAAAUAUUUAUGAAGUCUUUUACACCACAAACUGCGCAUGUUGAGGUUCAGGAUACUAUUAUUAAUACAAUUCUUGAUAAAGUUUGUCAAGCCUUUCACGUGCAGGAUGAAGUGGUUGUAGUAGCUCCACUUAGGAGAUCUACUAAGGAAAGACGUUUAGUUAUAUCACUAGACUAUAAAUUCUAUUUAUGAGAGCAUAAUUACAAUAUCUACUGCGUGGUCAAUCUAGUAACUUAUAUGAAUGUUGUUUCUUGUCCUCGGUCAAAUAUGUGGUUAGAUGCGAUGAAAGACGAGAUGCAAUCUAUGAAACAUGAUAGUGUUUGGAAGCCUGUCGAAUUGCUUGAUGGUCGCAAGUCCAUUCGCUGCAAAUGGGUGUACAAGACUAAAAGAGACUACAAAUGAAAUAUUGAGAAAUUUAAACUCAGACUAGUAAUAAAAGAUCUCACUCAGAGAGAAGCCUAGUCUUUUCUAAAGAUUCUUUCGGAGUGAGCAUGGGAUUAGUAGCCCAUUUUUUAUAUGGAAUUAUGCUAGAUGAUGAUUAAAACUGUGUUUUUCAAUGGAUACUUUGAUAAAGAAAUCUAUAUAUUUUAACCCAAAGGUUUCAUAGCAGAUGAUUUAGGUAAGCUUGUGUGUAAACUGAAAAACCUUAUUAAUGGCCUAAGCAAGUUUGUAGACAAUAAUGCUUGAAGCUUCAUAAUGUUGUCACUUCAUUAAGUUUUGUUGAGAAUAAAGUGGAUCGGUGAAUAUACUACAAGGUCAAUAGGAGAAAAUUUAGUUUUCUCGCACUCUAUAUAAACCAUAUCUUGCUUACAAGUAGUGAUAUGGGAUUACUUCAUAAGACAAAAUAGAUAUUGUCAAGGAAUUUUGACUUGAAAGACCUUGAUCAGGUAUUUUUUGUCCUUGGUAGAAAUCGUUCUCGUUGUAUGUUAAAUUUAUCUCAAAUUACAUAUCUUGAUUGUAUUUUAAAAAUAUUCAACAAGUCGAGAGUUGCUCCUGUCAUUCGGACUGAUAGAUUGAGUUUAUUGCAGUAUCCUCAUUCAAAUUUCAGAAAAACCUAAAUGAAUGAUAUACUUUAUGCUAGUGCACUUAGAAGUGUCAUGUAUUCUUAAGUUUGCACUAGGCUAGAUAUUGCUUUUGCGGCAAGACUUCUAGGUAGAUAUCAAUCAAGUCUAGGAGAUGAUCAUUGGAUUGAUGCCGAUAAUGUUUUGAGAUACUUAAAAAGACAAGAAAACUAUAUGCUGACAAAAACAUGUUCAAGAUCUAGAGCUAGUAGAGUAUUCAAAUGCAGACUUUACUAACUGUCAGAAUGAUAAAAAGUUGACAACAUAAUAUAUUUUUAUAUUAACAGAAGGUGCGGUAUUAUGACAAAACAAUAAGCAAAAAUCCAUAUCUUCCUCUACUAUGCAAACGGAGUUUGUAGCAUGCUCUGCAGCUGUUACUUAAGAUAUUUGACUUCGGAACCUCAUUAAGAAGUUGACCAUAUUUGAUCUUGUGAAUAGACCCAUACAGUUAUAUCGAGAUAAUAACUUUUCAAUGUCAUUUAUCAACAACAACAAAGGUCUCGAGGGGUUUAGAUAUAUGGCGGUCAAGUUUUUUACCAUAAAGAAACGACACAGAAUAGUGACACUACAGUAGAGCAUGUUUCCAUAGAUAAUGUAGUUGUAAACCCACUAACUAAAGAUUUUCGCCCUCGUGUACUUGAACAACAUAUCAUGAACAUGGACUAUUUAGUGGGAGCUGUUUUGGUUUUUGCUCUAAUAAAACUUAUAUAUUACCCAUUUGAUAAAGUGGUCAUAAAUGUAUUGUCACCAUAUUGAGUUGAUUACAUGUAAUAGAAAUUUGAAGAUAUCGUGUAAGCCUUGAGUGAAAGGUUAGAGCAUUUGUUUAUUGGUGUUGAGUAUAUGUGUUGAUUACACAUAAAAUGUGUUAACCAUAAAGAUAAGACAUAUGUAAGUUCAUUAGAACCAUAAAAAGAUUCUCUUAGGACACAUCCGAUUUUCUAUGACACUUAAGACAAGAGAAUAAUGACCGAAAAAGGGGAUGACACAUAAGGUAUUACUCUUUAUGAAGUGUUAUUCGUUUGCCACAUGACCAUAUUGAAUCCAUAUAAGUAAAGUUAAAAGCACCCGUGACCAUGGAAGGCUUUGUGUAAGUACAUGCAAUUACCGCGAUGAUUCGGUGUUUGAGACUUUAUAGGAUAUGAUUGACUAAUCAACAAUAGUCACUAGACCAACAUAAAGGUGCGCACAUUCCGUACUACCUCAAUUAAUAUAGCCCUAGUGGGAGAAUGUAAGAGUUUUCUUUGGACUACAUUAAUUGAGAUUGUAAUUUACAGUUUUAGAAGGUUGGUCUAAUAAGAUAAGACAUAAGAUUUUCUUAAUAAUUGAAUAUGGGCUUGGCUUGUGUGAACCGAGUUGGGCCCGGCCUGUGAUGAGAGGACUUGGCUAAAAACUCUAUAAAUAGCGCUAAGGUCCCUUCUCUAACCCUCAUUGUUCCAUGAACAUUCUCUCACCUCACAUAAGGAAGCCGUGAAAGGCGGUCUCAUCAUGCUAGGAUCCGAGGGCCAUAGAGGAGAAGAACCUAAGCGUUGAAUAGUCAUCAUUCCGCAUAAAGAACGAUGGAUUCCAAAUCAAGUAUGCAAAUCCUCUUCUUCUCCUCCAAUAUGUUCAAGUUUCUAGCUAUGUUGAUCUCGGGAUGCCGCUUCGACAGCCAACAUUGUUGUCUUGCACUGAGUUGUAAAUUGCACUUUAGGGUUACAACAUUUUUAAACUAGGCGAAACUGUUGUAAUAUAUUCUAUUAUUUUAAAUGUGAUCCAAAUAUUGUAUUUCCAAUUAAUUCCGAUUUAUUGCACAAUUUAUUAUCCGCGUUUAUUACGUGAUAUUUGCUUGUUAAUAUGUUACCAUAACGGUCUUGAUGGAAGACAUUGAUAACGUAAGAAACGGAAUAAAAACAUCAAGUCUUCUAAUUCAAACCCUAUCAUUACAGAAAACACACUAUCACAUUUGAGAGGUAUUAACUAGUGGAACAGGACGUACAAAUCUGGUGAUUCCACAUCCGUAGAUUGAUUGUGUUUCGUGGAUCCAUCCAGGUUUUAUGAUUUUCCGCAUUUGCAAAUUUUCAUCGAUGGCUGGAGGUAUGUCGAUCUUUACGUUUCCGCAAAUUGAUUCUAAAUUAUGCACGUAAUUGUUUGAGAAUGAUAGAUCGAGAUCAUCAUGUUUUAUUCAAAAUUAGUCUUACAAAAACAUCCUAGCUCGGUUGCGCAAUGCUAAUUUUUUAGUCACUCACCGGUUUUCUCUUUCAUCCCACUAUAGGUUGUUUCCACCACGGCUGGAACCACUACCAACGCCGACUCCCUAUUCAGCGAUGUCAACUCAAUCCCUCCCAAUGAAUACCUUGUCCAUUUACUGGAACGAACAAAUGACCAACAACCUCGCCAUACCACCACUGCUUAUAUCAAAGUUUCACCCUUAACUACUGCAUAAACGGCCCUUUUAGCCUGGCUCGUUGCUAAAGAUGCUAUCUCCGACCACCUUCCAUCUUUCUGUAAGGCAGCACAACUGCUUUGCUUCCCGGACUUAUCAUCCCAUCAAGUUGGCAAGGACGGUCGUGUUUUCUACGAUUUCAUUAAUGGCGCCACAACACUGGCCGGUGGCAUGAACGUGAACAAAGGCGUGGAGCCAGGGAAAUACUUUCGGCAUUCAACGCUGAGAAGUGGGAAUGUGAUCCGGAUGCCAGAUCUUCGUUCCAAAACUCCCGAAAGGUCAUUUUUGCCACGCAGUAUUUCCUCUGGAUUACCGUUCUCGACCUCAAAGAUCGCCGAGCUGAAGCAAAUCUUCCAUGCUAUGGACGAUUCGACUAUGGAGGAGAUCAUGGUACGCACACUUGGCCUGUGCGAGAAAGCACCGACACAAGGUGAGACCAAGCGAUUUGUUAGUUCUGUUGAGGACAUGACAGACUUUGCCACCUAGAUAUUAGGCCACAACAUCAAGCUUCAUGCCACGAAAAGCGACGAAGGGUCGAAGCGUGAUAUCUUGAUUGGACGAGUAAAAAGGAUAGGUGGGAGUAAAUCGAGUGCGCCUGUGGCAGAUCACGAUAGUCUAUUUCCUUGCAUGGUUUAUAACUGUCAUGCGGUUCCAAAACCCCACGUUCACGAGGUGGGUAUACUGGAUCCCGUGUGCAAGUCCAAGAUCAACAACGGCGUCGCAGUCUGUCAUAUGGACACGUCGGCUGGGAAUCCAAAUCACGAGGCAUUUCUUGCGCUCGGGUCGGGCCCUGGUCGGAUCGAGGCCUGCCACUGGAUCUAUGGGGAUUAUGCGGUCUGGGCUAAUUAGUAAUGGAAAAAAAAAAUGAAGUGUGGAUCAAAUUGAAUAAUAUAGGUUGGACCUGGAGGCCGAGAAAAAUUGGCCGAUAGCUCCAUCGCAAGUCAUCAUUUGCUUGAAAGUAUUAUCUAAUAUGGUAUCUACUAUCUAAUAUACACGACUAUGAUCGUGUGAGUGUGCGUGUGUUAUUAUGGUUAGUAUAUGUCAAGUGUUUGUGUGACUUUGAUCUAGCAUUUGUAAUUAUUGUGGUGUGCAUGUGAAAAAGUUUGUCAUGUGAAGUACUUACUAUUACCCAUCUCCUUCCAGAACAUAACAUGACUCCAUGUCCCAAACUGUAAUAUACCAUCGUUAGAUUUUUCUUCUUUUUUUAAAUUUGGUUUUCCAUCAUAUAUCUCUACCAUCAGCGCCUUGACAUCAUAACAAAUGGAAUUAGAAGAGAUUAAUGGACAUGGGGUGAAGCACCUCACUGAUCAAUCUCACUUGAUUCAAGAUGUGCAGAUACCAUGUGCUAAUUAUUUUCAUUGAAUUUGUAACACAGAGCUACUUCUAAUCAUUUUAGCAAAUUUUUUCAUGUCUAACAUCAGCAUAAUUUGAUAACUCAAGAAGAAGGCUAUAUCAAGACUAAAAAUUCUUUUUUGUCCCAGUUAUUAGUCUCUAUUGCCAUUAAGGAUCAAGUGAUUUACUAACUGAAGUUCUUUUCUUUUGUUGUUUUCCCCUUCGAUAAGUAUAUGCGACCGAAGUUCAACAGCUUAGAAGAAGAUAAAGCGAGUGGCACUCCUCAAUGGAUUAACUCAUCGGUCAAGUAUUUGAUUUAAGUUCGGUAAUUCAGGUUUAAAUCAGAACAUUGUCCCCUCAAAAUAACGUCGGGAACAGCAUCUUCAACCGAUGCACUUAGGCAAAGCUUUUUGCAUGCACUGUAGAGAUUAGCCAAGACGAGUUCGGAUAGGCCGUCGUCGCCGAGAAACAAAGAGAGCGGAAAAGGCUCGCGUCCCCACGAAUGUUCCAAGAUCUUGCUGUCGGCGAUAUGAAAAGCAACCCUUGGGCCAGCGUAGUCGAAUGGCCCAUGACCAUUCAUUGGAUCGACCCAUGUGGCAAUGAUGAUUGGAAGCGCAUUUGACAAUUGAUGAAGGGAUCCGUGAUGGGUCCAGUUGAAGAAAUCAUCCAACACCCGGGGCGGACCCGCAUUUUUUCUCAUUUACGAUCCAAGGUUCGUUGAACGGGCAAUAACAAUUCCAGGUUCCUUCAAUGCCAAUUUUGUCCUUGGGAAGGUCAUCGAGACACGCUCACCAACUGCAUCUGCACCCACUUAUCAAUCAUUCAGGUGAUGCGCACGGUAAAUUGAGCUGGGUUUGCCCCCUAUUUGGGGCAAAUAGAUAUCCAUGAGGAACAUCAGUCUACAUAUGGUUUGCUCGACUCUUAGUUGCUUAGUGAUUUUAUACUUUGUCGUUGCAGAAUGACGAUGUUCAGUUGCAAUGACUUUGUGCGAUAUCGAAACAAAUUAUACAUACACUAUGAUCGAACCAACUCACUAUCGAAUUUGAUUAUCUAGGCAAAUUCGAAUGGUGGGUCCUAUGUCAAAAGUUACCGUGCACCUAUUGUUCUAGAUCAUUCGAGAAAGAGUUGAUCGUGAACUAAACGGCUGCCGGGUUCAUAAACUAGUGUGGAGCUUGCCACCGUUACUUAACAAAUGGAUCAAAAAAGGGAGUACAAUUAAGGCACUAUUUGUUUCUUGGAAAAUAUUUUAUUUUUGGAAAAUGUUUUUCUAGGAAGUCAUUUUUUGGAAAAAAUGACAAUAAAUUUCAGUGUUUAGCUGAAAUAUGAAAGAUAACUGAAAAAUAUUUUCCAUUAGUUGAAAAUGACAAUAUGAUUGUUAAGCGUUAGUGACUUGCACGGGGUGACUGACAAAACCAAGCAUGGACACCAUGAUCUCAAGUUCGGUAUUGAUGGACCUAGGCCAAAGGGCUAGUGCCUCGAGUUCAGGCGCUCCCAGGUGUGGGGAACCGAACAUGGGCUUCUAGAUCCUAGCCUCGUUGGACCUAAGCUUAGAUGCAAGGAAUUCGGGCAAAAGCAUUGAGGUUUUGAGCUCGAGUAUCAGGGAUCCAAGCAUGAAAAUUGGGGUCUUGAGCUAGAGCUAGAGCCUAGUCUUGAUGGACUUGAACCUAAGUGCCGGCGACUCAGGCACAAACGCCAAAAAGUUAAAAUAUAUAUAUAUAUAUAUUUCUUCAAAAAAUAUUGUUUGCGAAAUAAAUGGAGCCCAAGAAUAUUAACAUCAUCCUACAAACUCGAUAUACCAACCGAUGCCUAUCUUGUACUUUACAUUGAUAAUUGCAUGGGAACGGAUCACAUAAAGAUCGACACGCUUUCACGAGCUCCCUCACGGUUCUUUAAUAGGAUGUUCCGUCCUUGUCGUUCCCAAUAAUGCAUUAUUAGCGUGAAAGAGAAGGAUCAUUAGCGGCUAAACGCGUCAACGAAUACGCAUUGAGAGCCACGUACGAGCCAACAAGACGACGCCUCGUAGUCCGAAAACGCAGCAUCCUCGAGAGCAGCCAUCCAUGGAUGUGGGAGCUGUCGGCUUCAACGAGAGAGGGUAAUGAACCGAGGAGUCAGAGCUUCAAAAUCCUACCGAUUGGUCAUCGGCAGCGUCUGCUCUCUGUAGCUUUUGAAGCAUGCAAAGCUCGAAUUGACUCAUUUGAGAUGAGGUCUAGGAAUUCCAAUUCUCCAUCUUUUACGAGUUACCUACUCUACAUCCAGCCACUCGUAACUAUUUCUUGGGCUCUCCGUUAUAACUUGUCACGACCAAAUUUUCGGGUGUGAAUCACAUAGGGUUUGGCUAAUGGAUUGUUAAGCUUAGACUUAACUCGGGCUCUCCCAAGCCCAUACCAAUUCGCGACUUAAGUUCAAAUUUCUUAACAUGCAAAUGGAUUUUAUCUAGGAGUCGCCACUAAUCAGUUUACGGUAGGUCGAUUAGACACCUAAGUAAAAUAACAUAAGAAUUAUUUUACUCUUACGAACCAGAGACUUUGGGUACGGGGACUUGGUUACACUAGACUUCUCUAAUGCCAUUUCGGUACCAUUUCUUUUAUUUUCAAUUUUUUUUUUUUUUGCAGGCAGUUUGAAUUGAUUUUAAAUCUAUUUCUCUAACAUGUGAGGUGAUCAUAUGGGUGCGCAAAUCACCAAUUUAACAUCCAAGAAAGCAAUGAAUAAAUUACAUGAAUCUAUCUAGGGUUGAUGAUGUGAAUUCUGAUCUAACGACGCAGAGGCUUUCGUUGCUACAAGGUAAAUGAUUUCUAAUGAACACGUAAUUUCUUUUUUAUUUUCAUUUAAUUAAUGAGAAUCAUGCUUUAUGCAAUGCAAUAUAACUAAAUGACCUAAUUCUAAUUACAGCAAUUUCUAAUUAAAUGGACCUAGAAACAAUCACUAAAUCUAAUUAUAUAUGACAUGCAAUGACAUUUUUUGCGUGUUUUUUUUAAAAAAAAUCGUAAUUAAAAUUGCUAAAAAUAAAAAUCUUACUAAAGUGAGAUAUUAUCUAUUUUAAGUUAGGAAAUAGACUAAUAUGAAUCCUAUCUUAACUUAGAAAUUUAUCUCGACAAGCAAUAUAAUUCCAAGAUAUUAUCUAACCUAGAUAUCAUCUAAACAUGCAUUUUAAUAUAACCAGAAAAGAAUCUAACUAUUUAUCAUGCAAUUCUAUCCAAGAAAUCAAUUCUAAUCUACAUGAUAUGCGAAUCAAUCUUUUUUGUAUUUUUGGGAUAAAUAAAGCAAUUAAAAAAAAAACAAGCGCCAAAUCAUCCGGUCAUUAAAGAUAUUAUCCAUUGUUCGAAUUAGGAAACAAUAUCUAAUCAAUUUGAUUAUUUCGCUAAUAAAAUCGAUAAAUUGAUCUUAAGCCUUAAAGAUCAAGAUAUCAAUUUUAUUCCCGCGUGUCGCGACCUACCCUCGGGGUGAGGGAACAGGUUUAGGGGUAUUGCCUAACGGACAGACUUAAGGCCCAUGUUUAGGCGUGGGUUCUCCCGAGCCCAUACCCCGCGUGACAUUAGGAUAUUUUUUAUGAAUUUUGCACAAAAGGAGUCACCAUUAGCCUAUUGGGGUCGGCUAGAAACCAAGUGAGGCAUGGGAGUACACCUCACUUCCUACGCAACCAGAGAAUCUAGAGUCGGGGACUUGAUUACACUAAUUGACCAAUUAGUGUCAUUUCGGUACCUAAUCUUGUUCAUUUUAACAAAAUGAUUUUUUGGCAGGUGAUUUGGAUUGAUUUUAUACCUAUCCACUAACAUGUGAAGUGAUCAUGCGGGUGCGAAAUCAUUAAAGUAACAGUCAUAGCUACCAAGAUCCUGAUUGCAGUAAAAUUAACACAAGCAACUAAACAAUUGCAAACAUAGUUAAACACGAAAAUUAAACAUGCAAUAUAAUCAAUAUACAAGCAAAUAAAGGCCUAAUUACACUAAAAAUGCAAUACAUAGCAAAUCCUAACCAAACCCCACAAUUUUUAGUUUUUCAAAAUUUUUAAAUUUUUUUUAAUUAAUUUUUUAAAUAUAUAUAUUUUUAAUUCUUUUUAAAAAAAUUUAUAAAAAAAAAAAAAAAAGGCGAACCGGGUCGGAUCCGAUCGGACCCAACCCAGUUUGGCUCGAUCAGCGGAGUCAAGUCCAACUGGGGAGACGGGCUAAUUGGCCUGCUCGAAAAAGAGCAAGGCCUAGUCGGGCUUUCAAUUAAAUUCAGAUUGGGCCCAACCAAUAGGCCCGAUCUGGUCUAAGUUUUUUCGUUUUAAAAACGAAGCCCACAAGCCCAAUGUACUAAAACAGCCCAAAACGAAGCCCAUUUCUCUUUUCCUAUUUUUUUUAAUCUUUUGGUGCUUUCUUUUCUUUUCUUUUUUCUUCUGCCCCUUUUCAGAUUGUCUUCUUCGAUCCCUCUUCUCCCGCAGCCGUGACAUGCCGAGGCUCUUGCCGCUCCCUCGCUGGACCAAUGCCGACUACUCCGUGAGUACCGACCACCCCCGACUACUCCAUGAGUACCGACCACCCCAAGGAAAGUCGCCGAACCACUGCCGCCCACCGGUCAUCUCUCUCGAUUGGCGCCGGCCGUCGUCGACUACCUAUUCCGGUAACCACUAACCUAUUUCCAACGGAACAAUUCAUCGAUUCAAAUACAUGCCAAUAUCUCGCGCAAACCGUUCGAAAACACAAUGAAUACAGGCAAAGCAACAAGGAUUCAACAAGCACGGGGGCAAAAAUGAGUGGGUACAGCGUUAAAACGCAAGCUGCUCUUCAGUUUUCUUUGAGGAUUUUGUCGAACACAUGGUCUACACUACCGGACUCGAAGGAUUCCGGCUCAACUGAGCACCGAACACGCUUUAGGGGUCUUAAAAUAUAACGUAGGAGGACACGGGAGCAAAGCGCAAAGGCAACGUGGACCAGAGCUCACGCGAACCGGUUGGGCGUGAGCUCCGGCCCAGCGUUUUCCAAAAACGAAAACAUGGGGUUCACGGGACCUACCUCGUCCGGUGAUGGGCUACGGCGGACAACGGCGGGCGAACAGACCUCUGGCGACGACGAGCUGCUCCCUUGAGCUUCUGCCUUUGGUUCGGCCUCUCCUCCCCUCAGUGUUUCUCUCUCGCUUACUCUCGGCUUGGUGUUUUUUUGGUCCCCCCCACUCUGUCAUCCCCUCCUCCGGUUUUAUGCUCAGCCAGCAAGCGCGCAUGGCCUCUGCAACUGCCAGCUUGCCGGCUGGACUGCCCCCCCCGACCUGCGGAUCACGCCGUUCGCCUGCCACCAAUCCCCCUGCUCUCUGUUGCUGAUCCGUUGCUGCUGUCUUAUGUUUUCUGCAGGUCGUGCGAAGACUAGUUGGGGGAGACGACCAGCUCGUUCGCGGGCUAGGCAAAGGGAUUGGGCCGGGCCCAGUGCAAGGGGAAGAAAAGAGAGGGGCGGGUUGGGCCAUGGUCGAAUCCAGCCCAACCUGACCAUUUUUUUUUCGUUUUUUCUUUCGAAUUUUUUUAACUCUUUUGUUUUUGAAUAAUAAUUUUUGUGACUAAUUCCUAACCUUUAAUGCUACUUUAAAUUAAUUAAUUUAGGUGAAAUUUAGGUGUCAACACCGCGUAAUUAAUUAUUCCAUCUAAAGCCUUAUAGAUGGAAUAAAAAAUCGACGUGCGGUUGCGAAUUAGGCAAUAAAUCCUAAUUGGAAAUGCACUUAUCAUUUAAGUGUGCACGUAAGAUACUGAAAAGCAUGUUUUAGGCAAUAAAAUAUCUAAAUCAAAUUUAGAUAUGAUAAUACCUAAUUCCGCAAAUGAUACUACCAAAUUCGGACCGAGUGGAAUCCGUUCAACGGGUGACCGGUGGUGGUGGUGCUUGGCCUCGGUCGAUAGCGCGGUGAGGAUGGGUGUUCACAAUGGUGCUCGAGGACGACUUGCAGUGAUGGGAGAGAGAUCACCAGCGGGUCCUUGCUUCGGUGAUCAACGAGCUCGCUUGGAAAGCCUGCAAAAUUAAACUCAUCUCUGGUCGUGAGUAUGGAUAAGCUGCUAUGAACUCGUCCUCCUUGGUAUUGGUGGAUUAAAGACGUCAAUGCUGCCCGAUGAACGUCUCUCAGGGUAUCGAGUUCCCUUGUAUUGAUAUUUCGUUGACCUACAAAGAGAAAAAGAAGCAACUUUUUUCUUUUUCACGUCUCCUACCAAUUGUGGCUGUCGUUUUUUUAUAUCAGGGAAUUCAACCAACAUUAGAAUAUUAGCAACAGAAUAUGUGGGAACCAAAUUAACCAAAUUCUUAGCUAGCUCUUGAUGUCACUCGGAUGUGUUUCCAAAUUUGGACUUGUCGGACGGCAGGAGUGGGGAUGGUCACCGUGGGAUGCUCAUGAACACAAUGAAUAAUGGCUAUAGACGUGGCCGACGAGGGCUAAGAAUUUGGCACGACCAAACAAAGAGGCUUGAUGAUAGCGUGCAAGCACGGAUGGGACUUAUUGAUUGCAGCUCCAGGGGCAAUCUCCCCACAAGGCUGUUCUGAAUAUGGUGAAUGACCUACAUAAUAGAGAUUCAGCUCGAGAACAAGUUUGCAAGCACGACUGUGGACUAGAGAUGCCGCGGGAUGCUUGAACGCUCUCUGGAAUUGCAGGAGCUCGUCUAGAAUCGCUGGGCGUUCGUUGGUGGGACUCCUGGAUCACUGCGACACUCGGCAUGGCGGCGCAUGGCUUGUGCUCUGGGCGAUGCUCGACUUGGUGGAUUCUUGCCGUGGUCCGCAACUCGGACAAACCAGCGGGUUGUCCUGUAAAAUAGAGAGAAUAGAAACGCAAGUCGUGGGACCAAGAGGAAGCAGCAACGUCGGGCUCAAUUCGGCUGAGGAGACGCGCUUGAGGAAGAAGACGCUUCCUCUCUCUUAUUUCUCUCUCAAUUGUGGCCGCAUCUUUUCCGUUAUGUGGCCUGGCGCGACGAUGAAGGCGCUGUUGUGAGGGACUUGUACAAGACCUCUCCCCCUCCAAGCUCUCUCCUUCUCUCUUUUUUAGUCAAAAGCUCCCUACGGAUGAUCGAAAAAUUCUCCGUCUCUCACAUACUCUCCGUAUCUCUUAAUGUGGCCUCUUCUUUCUUGCAUGAGAGCUCUUCCUUUUAAAUGCCAGACUACAUGGGAUCCCCAGGAAGAGAAGGUGAUCUGCUUUCGUAUUGUGGAUGCAUUGAAAUAUAUUCCUUUGAUUUUUUUUCCUUUCGGAACUUGUACCUUUAGCUAUGCAAAUAUAUUUAUUUUCCUUUUAAGCCCAAGUCACGUCCUUUAUUUCCUGCAAACACGAGAAUCGGCCGCCGCGAAUACUCGAAGGGUUACGCUCAUAUUGAAAUAUUAUGCCGAUUUCCUGUUUCUUCCAUUCCUUAUUACUUUGCCCAUAUUGCGUGAAUCUAACCAAAGAAUCAUGCAUAAAUUCUUUCCUCUUAAAAUAAUGUCGGUCAAUUUCUUGCCCCCCGCGUUGACCGAAUUAUGGCCAAGUGCAUAAUUUUCCUUCACGUGGAUGGGCUUUCCCAUGUACCAAUCGGUGGCCGCUUACACGUUAUCCUUCCUUUGCAUUCAUUCCCUUAAACGCACAAAUAUGUCAGUGCCAAUGUGCUGAAAAUUUCUUAAUCGACUUUUAACAAUUUAGGGCACCCAUGUAAAUGUAAUAUCAAUCACUAUGGAUGAAUUAUCGACUUAUCCAAAGUUUAAUGCUCUUGUGGGCUUCAAUAUUCAAAGCCAUUCACCCAAAUCCAUUCACUGCCGGCCCAACAAAUAUGCAAUUAAAUGAAAUAUGCUCCUAAUGACAAUAUGUUAUGCAAUUAAAUUAUAUAUUUUUUAGGGGUUAAAUUUAAUCCCUGAUUUUUUUAAUGAGAUAAAUGAUUAAGCGGGUCGUCAAAAUUUAGGUGUCAACAUAAUUGCCGUGACGACAGAUUUGAGGGAGAUUUUAAAAUAAGCUUGUCGCGACCUAAAUUUCGGGUGCACUACUUAAAAUUAGGCUAAUGGACUAUUAAGUCUAACUUAACUCGGGCUCUCCCAAGCCCAUACCAAUUCGCGACUUAGGUUCAAAUUUCUUAACAUACAAAUGAAUUUUAUUUAGAAGUCGACACUAAUCAGUUUAUGGUAGGUCGAUUAGACACCUAAAUAAAAUAAUUGAAGAAUUAUUUUACUCCCACAAACCAAAGACUUUGAGUACGGAAACCUGGUUACACUAGACUUCUCUAAUACCAAUAAUGGAAGAAUUAUUUUCAUUUUCAAAAAAUAUUUUUGCAAGCAGUUUGGAUUGAUUUUGAAUAUAUUUUCCUAACAUGUGAAGUGAUCAUGCGGGUGCGCAAACCACCAAUUUAACACCCAAUAAAGUAAUGAAUAAAUUACGAGACUUAUCUUGUAGUAAGGAAAGCAUCUACGUUGUUAGAUCAGAAUUCACAUCAACCCUAAAUAUGAUUUCUAAUUAACACACAAUUUCUUUUUAUUUUUAUUUAAUUAAUGAGAAUCAUGCUUUAUGCAAUGUAAUAUAACUAAAUGACCUAAUUCUAAUGACAGGCAAUUUCUAAUUAAAUGGAUCUACCAACAAUCACUAAAUGGCAUGUAUUUAAUGAAUCUAAUUCUAUAUGACAUGCACAUGACAUUUUUUUUUAUUUUUUCUUAAAAAAGAAUGCAUUCUAUCAUAGGGACUGAAACUAAUUUAUCCUAAGUAAUUUUUUGUAUUUUUUCAUGAAAUUCGAAAUUAGGAAAAAUGUGAAAAUUGUCUAACUAGAUUAAGAUUCUAUUCAAUUUGUAUUAGGAAUUAGGUUAAACCAAAUCCUAAUUUAAACUAAGAUAUUAUCUUAACUUAGCAAUUUCUAACCUAAGAUGUAAUCUAUCAAAAAAAUCAAUCUAAACUUAAAAUGAACUAAUGUGCAAUGACGUAUAAAGAAUGCCCUAAUUCUAGAUUUUCUUUUUUUGUUUGUUUUUUUUAUUAAUUUCAAAAUUUAAAAAAAUGUCAAAUAAUUAAACGUGCAAUUUAAGGUAAUGAAACAAAAAUCUAACAUCCUAAAUUUAUGGUUUUUUUUUUAUUUCGAAAUUCAUAAUAAAUAAAAUGCUUAGUCUAAAUGUGCAAAUAACCUUAAAGCAUGCAACAUUCUAAUGUAAACCUAAUCUAGAUCAAACAUAUUUAAAGAUAAAUAAAGCAAUCAAGACGAGACCGACCAAGCAAUUCAAAAUCAUCAAAGAUAUCAUAUAUCGUUUGGAUCAAAUGAUAAUAUCUCGCUAAUAAAAUCGAUAAUUUGAUCUUAAGCUUUAAAGAUCAAAAUAUCAAUUUUAUUUUCAUUUGAUUAAUUAUUCCAUCUAAAGCCUUAUAAAUGAAAUAAAAAACUCAUAUGCAGUUACGAAUCAAGUGAUAUGUUGGAAUUUUCAAUUAUAGAAUAGAUAAAUAUUUCUAAUAGAAAACAAGAAAUAAAAUAAAAAUAAGAUAACCUAAUAAAAUAAAGCAAAUAUACCUAAUUUGAUUUUUUUUUCUUUUUUUUUUUUAAAAAGGAAAUCUUGGCGGCCGAUUCGGAGCUCCAGCGAGGGGAAUCAACGGCGAGCGGUGUGUCCGGCGCGGGCAGCGGGGCGGAGUGGACGGCGGUGGUCGUCGCAGCAAGGGACCGGAGCGGAAGCAGCUGCUGGCCGUCGCAGGGGGGGCUGGUCGACGGCAGCAACGGUGGCGAACAGAGGCAGCAAACAGCAGCAGCUCGUCGGGGGUCACGGCGAUGGCGCAGCAGGCAAGGCUGUCGGACACCGGGCGGUCGCGGACGGAACCGCAGCGCGGAGGCGUGGGUCAGUACGGGGCUCGCUCGACGGUGGAGCGACGACCGGCUCAGAUCUGCCGUCAUCGGGGCUCCCGAGCGUGAGAUCAGGACAGCGAUGGUGUCGCGAGCCGGCACGGGCUGGAGGUGAGGCAGAGCGUGGCGGGGACUAGUGGCUUCGCGGCUUCUGGGAACGCGAGCAGCAGCGACGUCGCGGACCGGCACGGGUUCGCGGGUGAGGAGGAUCUCCGGCGACUGGCUGGCCGACAGCGGCGGAGGCGGUGUCGGCGUCGACUGGUGCGGUCGCGAGGCCGGCGCGGUGGGGGGGCUCCUCCCGAGGAAGAUUAACAGUCGCGGUCCCCCUUUUCUGUUCUCUCUCUCUCUCUCUCUCUCUCUCUCUCUCUCUCACGUCACUUCUCUCUCCCUCACGUCCCUCACCGGUCACUUCUCUUCUUUUCCCUUUUCUCUUUUUCUCUCUCUCUCUCCUAAAACCGAAGAAAGAAGAAAGCCCUCACUUUUUGCUCCAAUAUUUUUUCCGAAAUUCCUCCUCUCUUGUCCGUACGUGCACAACACUUUUAGAUCUUUACGACAUAUUUUGUUUCCAAUUUCGCUUGUACAUAAUUCCUCGAAUAUAUCAUUUGAAAUAUAUACACCUCGCGCAAUAUUAUUUUUUUUAUAUUUUUCAAAUAUUCCACCCAAAAAUUUUCUUUCUGUCAAAAAAUAUGUCUCCCAGUGUAUAUUACCUAAAUAUGUAAAAAAAAUCUCACUUGAAUUAACGCUCACCGUCGGUCCAAUGCAAAAAUAAAAUAGAAUAAAAUAAAAUAAAAUAAAUGUUUCUAAAUUAUAUAUCGUGCAAUUUUUAUUAUUUAUUAUUUUUAAAUUUUUCUUUAUUUUAGGUAAAAAUUAACUUAUUUUUUAUGAAAAACUUAUGUGUCAACAAAGCUAAGCUAUCCAAAUCUGGCAAACUUAAUGAUCUAAGGCUUAAGAAACACACCAUCUUAAAUAGAAGUUGAAAUUAGGAAUGUAAAUCUAAAACGUACCAACAAAGCCAAAAUUAGCAAUUGGCAAAAUCCUGGUAAAUAACCAACAUCCGACGAACUUAGGAAAUAUUUGUUUGGAAGAGUGUGAAUAAUCUUUAAAUCUUCAGAAGAUAACCCAACAGAGAUCUCCCAAUUAUAUCAUCUAUCCACUUAUAAAUAACAAGGGCUCAAAUAGUACAACAAAAACCACCAACUCUCUGACCCAGUCCCGGAUUUCAAGCUCAAACAUAAUGGCUCUCUUCCUCCUCCUCUUGCUCUCUUAUUUCAGUUUUAGUCAAAGCUCUCUCGCUUCCGCCUCAACUGUCUUCAGUAUCAGGAGAAAAAAUUGACUGCAGCUCCGAGUCCAUUUACCUAACGACACGUGUCGUCCAAGCCCCAUCGCGUCAGAAUCCUCUGACACCCAAACCCUCUUCGCUCUCUUCUUUGUUUCUUUUGUUUCUCAGUCGGGAGCCUCGCCCUCAAGCUCCCCAUUGCUGCCAAGCUCACCCGCUCCGCCGUCCACCCCUCCUCCUUCCCCUACUUUUGCAAGAUCAUGCUCAAGAGCUUUCCCCUCCAAACCACCCUCAUCCCCUACCUCCCGCCAGAGGUCGCCGCCUCCCCCCCCCCCCCCCCCCCCAGGCGGCGUCGCCUCCCCUCCUGGGGGACGGGGCAACGGCGACAGCGCCACCUUCUACCUCAGUAAGUUUGACCUCGAUGGGCUCAUUGGGGAGUCCAUCUUCUCUGGCAAGGUCUGCUUGAAGGUCUCUGUCUACACAGGCUGGCAUGGGGCAACCUACAGGGUGAGCUUCUGGAGCCUACUCGGGAAGGUCUCAAUGCCCUUGGACCUCGCCGAGGUCGAGUACAAGGCCUGCGUGUUCCACAGUGGGUGGAUUAAUGUCGGCAAGGAGACCAAGGGGUCGUCGUUGGCGCAGUUCCACUUGAGCAUGAAGGCGGAGCCCGACCCUCGCUUCGUGCUCCAAUUCGACGGGGAGCCCGAGUGCAUCCCGCAAGUAUUCCAAAUACAGGGCAACAUCAGGCAGCCUGUGGUGGACGAACUCUGUUGUUGUCCGCAUCGGAGUGAAAGGGAAGACCAAACGGGAGAAGAAGAAGAAAUAAAAUAAAAAAAAUGAAGGGAGGGAAGAGAGAGAGCCGAGAGGGCAUGGGUGUCAAAGGAUUCUGACGCGGCGGGGCUCGGGCGACACGUGUCAUCCGAUAAGCGCACUCGGAUUAUAGCAUGGUGGAAUCCACCCAAGCUGCAACCAAUAUUUUCCCUCGGUAUCACUCACCAAUCUUCUCUUCUCUUGUCCCAAUGCAGGAUGCUUCUAACGCCCUAGUCGCUUAUGCCAAUCUAUUCACUCCCAAGGCAUAUCUCGUCCGCUACUAAAAUCAAUUUAGGUAUUUCGUGAUAUUAACCCUUAAUUAUUAUCAUUGUCUUAUGAACAAAAAGAAAAUUGUUGCCUUUGUCAUUACACAGCUUAUUUUCCUAGUUUCCUACGACUUUAAACUUUCAUCAAACCUAUAAGAUAGUUGACACAAAAAAAUGCUAAAUACCUAAAAAAAAAUUAAAUUUUAGCUUCAACUCUAAUUUUACCUUAAGAUUUUUUUUAAAAAAAAAAUCAUUAACUUUGGCUAUGUUUAUUUCACAAAAAAUGAAAUAAUUUGGAAAAUAUUUUCUUAAAAAUGACCACUUGUAUCGCUUGAAAUAAUUAGUUAAUGGAAAAUAUUUUUAUUAUCGACAACAAUUUAUGUCUAAAUAUUUUUCAUAGACAAUGAAAUAUUUUUUGUUUGUCUAUUUUUAUAAGUAAUAUAAGUUAUCAUUUAUUUGAAAAAUAUUUUUCAAAAUAUUUAUAUUUCCAUGAAACAAACUCACUGUUUCACUCAAUUCUCAAAUCUCACUCAAUUCUCAAAUCUAUCACGACAUUAACCUUCUGUCCAAUGCGUUUGACGUGGCAUUUACAAUAGGUCUACCUUAGUGAUAAACCUCCGUCUAGUGUUCAUAUUCACCAUUCUCUUAUACUUCAUGGUCUUUAUCACGGUACCAUUAGUAAUAUUCAUCAUCUUCAACUCACGGCUACUGUUGAAAAUAAAGAGGAAAGCGUGUAUCAGCUUAUUAUCCCAACAAGUAUACACGCAAUGCAUACUCCCAAAUCAUAAAACGCAAAAUAGGGAAGCUAAUUUGCACAUACCAGUGGCUGAAACAACUCUAAGCUCGUGGCAGCCAUGGCUACAUGUGAGCUUUGCACUUCAAGUUUGCAAUGUGGCCAUGGCCAUAGCUGCUUAAGCUCCGGGCCACGAAGCUUGCAGCGGUGGCUGCCAUGGCUGCCACGAGCUUCAAACCUAUAUUGGUUGUCUGUCUUCAAUAAACUCAAGGUCCCGAUUCGGUGACGAUGCCAUGAAGUCCACAGGGGGAGCUCGAUCUAGAUCUAGGGCUAAUCCGAGGUCUAGCAAGGCAAAUGACGGCCUUAGUCGGUCCAUGGGAAGUCAAGGACCGUCGUUGGCCCUGUGCUGAACGUUGGGUGGGAGUCAGAACAAGGGAGUGUUGGGCUGAUCCGAGGUCAUCGGCGAUUUUCCUCCAGUUUAGGGGAGCCUGCAGGGGGCGUCAGCGGCGUCCUAGCCAAAGAAUAAAAAAAAAAUAUGAUGAACAGAACCGCGAUGCAAAGACGAUGAACAUUAGUGCUUCAUUUGUUUCGCAAAGAAUAAAUGAUUUAAAAAAUAUUUUCUUAAAAUUGACUGGUAAUAUCGAUUGAAAUAAUUAGUAAAUAUAAUAUAUUUUUAAUAUCGAUAAUAAUUUAUAUCUAAACAUCUUCUUAGAUGAUAAAAAUAUUUUUCGUUUCUUAACUUUUAUAAGUAAUACAAGCCAUAUUUUUCAAAAAAAUAAUUUUCAAAUCAUUCAUUUUCCGUAAAACAAAUGAAACAUAAAUGUAAUGGUGGAUAUGAACAGUGUUUAUGCAUAAAUGUUAAAACCACAUGAGUUUGCUGAGGUGGAUUUAUCGCUGACAUGAAAAUGCCACUUCAAGCAUGUUGGAAGGAGGGUUAGCGUCAGGGCAAAUUUAGGACUUGUAUGAAAGUUUGAGAUUUUUUUUUAGACCAAAAAUUUGGGGUUUUUUAGGGUAUUAAACCCACCAAAAGUAACCAAAUUUUGGUUAUUAUCGAUAAAAGCAAAGUUUGUUUAAAAUAGAAGUUAUCAACGAACUGAACAGUAAACGAAUUGAAUAAGUCAGAUAACUUACCGAUUAUCAAUGAGAUCCUUCACUAGUAGACAACUUGAAAGAGAUCGGUAAGCCAUCAACAACAAAUAGUUACCACAAAUACUUGCAAAUUUUCUGUGAAAUAUUGAGGCUGUGUAAUCCAUGAUCAAAACAGAGGUUUGCCAAUAGAUCAGUCGGCAAAUACGAUGGAUUGACACCAACACGUGAUUAUUAGGUGGUUAUGCCUAUAACCAUGGAAUUUAUGACUUCUUCUGGAUAAUCACUGUCAAAUGAUAGAGGAUAUUGUUUAUAAUCUCAUCAAGCAUAAUUGCUCACCAAUAAUUGUAAAUAGUGCUAGGAAAUUAUUCGUGGAUUCAAAUCAAUAACUGCCGCAUGGCAAGAUAUAAAGCCCCAUGUUAUAAUCAUUGUAAACAAAAUCAAUCAACAACUAAUUUUCUAUUCUUAUGCACAUUUACUUUCUUCUUUAAUUUUCCAGCAAAUGUACCGUUUUAGCAUCUUCAUAUUUUCGCACCUUCAAUGAUUAUCGCAACCUUUAAUUUCCAAUACUUGCACUUCAAUUUCUUUACUUCUAUAGCCAUUUACAUUCUUGUCUAGAAUCAACAAAGAAUCUAUUUUCCUCAAAAUUCAUCGAUCUAAUUCAUCUAUUGAUAUUUACACUUUUUGGCGAAACACUAGCCUCAUUGUUUGCACUAGUCAAUGUUUGGAGUUGAACUCAUGUCGAGCGUUCUAAUUAUUCCACAAACAUGUGAAGAGUGGGAAAUAGAGAAUCAUAGUCUGCGUGCUCUAUAAUUUCUUUUCCAAAAAUAAUCCGAUCAGUUAUUGCAAGAAAAGAUUCAAUGGACAUUAAAUCUUCACGCGUGUGUAAGGUGACAAUCAAUAAGGAAAGGUCUAAGACACGCGUGAUGGUGAUGGAUCUAUAUCUCUCCAAACAUGUCCUAUUCUGUGCAAUACAAUCUAACAUGUCUUGUCCCAUAAAGCUUAAUCUAAGCAUCUAUGGAUUUAUUGUCAUCACUCUCAAAGAUCUCAAUUUGCCAGUUGGAGCACUUCUCUCCAAAUAUUAGGAUAUAUCGAUGUGAAAUUGACACCCUAGAUAUCCAGAAGUUAGUGCCGACAUAAACUUCAAUCGAUCCUUUUUUAAUAUUUUCUAAGUAACACUAGGAUGAGUUAAUGUUAAACAAUGCUAAGCAAGUGGCAUGCAUUCACAUGUCAAAUGAAUGCACAUGUAAAAAUAACCUAAAUAUAUUUACCCUUCAUCUGCUUCGCUCAUAGCUUCACCAUUCGUUAUUAGCACUACCCUCCAUAAUAUUGCCAUCGAUAUGGGCAUCUUUCUCAUAGGCACAGCUCUCUCUCUCUCUCUCUCUCUCUCUCUCUCUCUCUCUCUCUCUCUCUCUCUCUCUCUCUCUCUCUCUCUCUCCGGUAGGCAUAAGUUUUGUCUCGUCGUCAUCAAACUGGGAGGAGUAGUAUUUUUCUAAAGAAAAGUGCAUUAAAAGUCUUAAAAUUUAUCUCGAAAAUACAUUAAAUCCUAAAACUUUCAAAAUUGUAAUCAGAUGUUAAAAUUGGUUAAAAUAAUGUAAGUAAGUCCUCGUGCUCUAUUAUUCCCCCCCCCCCCACCCAAAAACAAGAAGAAGAUCCAAUCCAUUAAUGAAAGAAAUUUUUUUUUUGCGAAGGCAAGUGACAAUAGAUUUUCAAUUAUUCAAUGGCCAUUAAUCCUCAUACAUGCGUAAGGUGACAAUCGACAAGGAAGGGUCUAUGACAUGCUUGAUGGCGAUAGAUGUGUAUCUCUCCAAACAUGUCCUAUUAUGUGCAGUACAAUCCUACAUGCUUGUCUCAUAAUGUUUGAUCCUUUAAAUUGUGAGCUGCAUAAUUCAUAAUCAUUUCUAGAUUUAUCGUCAUCGCUCUAAAAUAUCUCAAUUUGCAAAUUGGAGCACUUCUCGCCAAAAAUAAGGAUGUUGAUGUGAAACUGACAUGACACCCUAGAUAUCUAGAAGUGAGUGCACACAUAAACCUCAAUCCGUCCUUUUCUAAUAUUUUCUAACUAACAAUAGUAUAAGUUAAAAUUAAACAAUGCUAAGAUAGGUGGCAUGCAUCACAUGUCAAAUGAGCACAUGUAAACUUAAUCUAGACAUAUUUACUCUCCAUUAGCUUCGCCCAUAGCUAAAUCAGCUACACUAGCACUAGCCUCCAUAGCAUCGCCAUCGAUCCGGCAUCUUUCUCGCAAGCAUAACCACCUCUCUCUCUCUCUCUCUCUCUCUCUCUCUCUCUCUCUCUCUCUAAAAUAUAUUCUUCCACCAUAUCUCCAUUUUUCUAACCAUUACCUUUCUCUUUUAUCUCUCAAUAUUAUACCCUAUACUCUUUCUUAAAUUUCAACUUCUUACACUACCACCAUUAAUAUCCAUUAACAACCUUCUAAAAAUAUAAAAACUUANNNNNNNNNNNNNNNNNNNNNNNNNNNNNNNNNNNNNNNNNNNNNNNNNNNNNNNNNNNNNNNNNNNNNNNNNNNNNNNNNNNNNNNNNNNNNNNNNNNNNNNNNNNNNNNNNNNNNNNNNNNNNNNNNNNNNNNNNNNNNNNNNNNNNNNNNNNNNNNNNNNNNNNNNNNNNNNNNNNNNNNNNNNNNNNNNNNNNNNNNNNNNNNNNNNNNNNNNNNNNNNNNNNNNNNNNNNNNNNNNNNNNNNNNNNNNNNNNNNNNNNNNNNNNNNNNNNNNNNNNNNNNNNNNNNNNNNNNNNNNNNNNNNNNNNNNNNNNNNNNNNNNNNNNNNNNNNNNNNNNNNNNNNNNNNNNNNNNNNNNNNNNNNNNNNNNNNNNNNNNNNNNNNNNNNNNNNNNNNNNNNNNNNNNNNNNNNNNNNNNNNNNNNNNNNNNNNNNNNNNNNNNNNNNNNNNNNNNNNNNNNNNNNNNNNNNNNNNNNNNNNNNNNNNNNNNNNNNNNNNNNNNNNNNNNNNNNNNNNNNNNNNNNNNNNNNNNNNNNNNNNNNNNNNNNNNNNNNNNNNNNNNNNNNNNNNNNNNNNNNNNNNNNNNNNNNNNNNNNNNNNNNNNNNNNNNNNNNNNNNNNNNNNNNNNNNNNNNNNNNNNNNNNNNNNNNNNNNNNNNNNNNNNNNNNNNNNNNNNNNNNNNNNNNNNNNNNNNNNNNNNNNNNNNNNNNNNNNNNNNNNNNNNNNNNNNNNNNNNNNNNNNNNNNNNNNNNNNNNNNNNNNNNNNNNNNNNNNNNNNNNNNNNNNNNNNNNNNNNNNNNNNNNNNNNNNNNNNNNNNNNNNNNNNNNNNNNNNNNNNNNNNNNNNNNNNNNNNNNNNNNNNNNNNNNNNNNNNNNNNNNNNNNNNNNNNNNNNNNNNNNNNNNNNNNNNNNNNNNNNNNNNNNNNNNNNNNNNNNNNNNNNNNNNNNNNNNNNNNNNNNNNNNNNNNNNNNNNNNNNNNNNNNNNNNNNNNNNNNNNNNNNNNNNNNNNNNNNNNNNNNNNNNNNNNNNNNNNNNNNNNNNNNNNNNNNNNNNNNNNNNNNNNNNNNNNNNNNNNNNNNNNNNNNNNNNNNNNNNNNNNNNNNNNNNNNNNNNNNNNNNNNNNNNNNNNNNNNNNNNNNNNNNNNNNNNNNNNNNNNNNNNNNNNNNNNNNNNNNNNNNNNNNNNNNNNNNNNNNNNNNNNNNNNNNNNNNNNNNNNNNNNNNNNNNNNNNNNNNNNNNNNNNNNNNNNNNNNNNNNNNNNNNNNNNNNNNNNNNNNNNNNNNNNNNNNNNNNNNNNNNNNNNNNNNNNNNNNNNNNNNNNNNNNNNNNNNNNNNNNNNNNNNNNNNNNNNNNNNNNNNNNNNNNNNNNNNNNNNNNNNNNNNNNNNNNNNNNNNNNNNNNNNNNNNNNNNNNNNNNNNNNNNNNNNNNNNNNNNNNNNNNNNNNNNNNNNNNNNNNNNNNNNNNNNNNNNNNNNNNNNNNNNNNNNNNNNNNNNNNNNNNNNNNNNNNNNNNNNNNNNNNNNNNNNNNNNNNNNNNNNNNNNNNNNNNNNNNNNNNNNNNNNNNNNNNNNNNNNNNNNNNNNNNNNNNNNNNNNNNNNNNNNNNNNNNNNNNNNNNNNNNNNNNNNNNNNNNNNNNNNNNNNNNNNNNNNNNNNNNNNNNNNNNNNNNNNNNNNNNNNNNNNNNNNNNNNNNNNNNNNNNNNNNNNNNNNNNNNNNNNNNNNNNNNNNNNNNNNNNNNNNNNNNNNNNNNNNNNNNNNNNNNNNNNNNNNNNNNNNNNNNNNNNNNNNNNNNNNNNNNNNNNNNNNNNNNNNNNNNNNNNNNNNNNNNNNNNNNNNNNNNNNNNNNNNNNNNNNNNNNNNNNNNNNNNNNNNNNNNNNNNNNNNNNNNNNNNNNNNNNNNNNNNNNNNNNNNNNNNNNNNNNNNNNNNNNNNNNNNNNNNNNNNNNNNNNNNNNNNNNNNNNNNNNNNNNNNNNNNNNNNNNNNNNNNNNNNNNNNNNNNNNNNNNNNNNNNNNNNNNNNNNNNNNNNNNNNNNNNNNNNNNNNNNNNNNNNNNNNNNNNNNNNNNNNNNNNNNNNNNNNNNNNNNNNNNNNNNNNNNNNNNNNNNNNNNNNNNNNNNNNNNNNNNNNNNNNNNNNNNNNNNNNNNNNNNNNNNNNNNNNNNNNNNNNNNNNNNNNNNNNNNNNNNNNNNNNNNNNNNNNNNNNNNNNNNNNNNNNNNNNNNNNNNNNNNNNNNNNNNNNNNNNNNNNNNNNNNNNNNNNNNNNNNNNNNNNNNNNNNNNNNNNNNNNNNNNNNNNNNNNNNNNNNNNNNNNNNNNNNNNNNNNNNNNNNNNNNNNNNNNNNNNNNNNNNNNNNNNNNNNNNNNNNNNNNNNNNNNNNNNNNNNNNNNNNNNNNNNNNNNNNNNNNNNNNNNNNNNNNNNNNNNNNNNNNNNNNNNNNNNNNNNNNNNNNNNNNNNNNNNNNNNNNNNNNNNNNNNNNNNNNNNNNNNNNNNNNNNNNNNNNNNNNNNNNNNNNNNNNNNNNNNNNNNNNNNNNNNNNNNNNNNNNNNNNNNNNNNNNNNNNNNNNNNNNNNNNNNNNNNNNNNNNNNNNNNNNNNNNNNNNNNNNNNNNNNNNNNNNNNNNNNNNNNNNNNNNNNNNNNNNNNNNNNNNNNNNNNNNNNNNNNNNNNNNNNNNNNNNNNNNNNNNNNNNNNNNNNNNNNNNNNNNNNNNNNNNNNNNNNNNNNNNNNNNNNNNNNNNNNNNNNNNNNNNNNNNNNNNNNNNNNNNNNNNNNNNNNNNNNNNNNNNNNNNNNNNNNNNNNNNNNNNNNNNNNNNNNNNNNNNNNNNNNNNNNNNNNNNNNNNNNNNNNNNNNNNNNNNNNNNNNNNNNNNNNNNNNNNNNNNNNNNNNNNNNNNNNNNNNNNNNNNNNNNNNNNNNNNNNNNNNNNNNNNNNNNNNNNNNNNNNNNNNNNNNNNNNNNNNNNNNNNNNNNNNNNNNNNNNNNNNNNNNNNNNNNNNNNNNNNNNNNNNNNNNNNNNNNNNNNNNNNNNNNNNNNNNNNNNNNNNNNNNNNNNNNNNNNNNGGGGUUUUUUUUUUGAAAAGCAAAACCCACGCCGUUCUCUACAUCCCUUUCUCUCUAUAAUUCUCAUUUUCUUUUUGCUCUCUUCCUCUCCCCCCCCCCCCCCUUUUAGGGUGGGCACAAAUUUUUUUUUGGUCAUAAUCAAAGUGGGAGGGAGUAGUUUUUUUCCAAAGAAACCGGCAUUAAAAGUUUUAUAUUUUUUCUGGAAAAGGCUUUUAUUUUUUAAACUUUUUAAAAUGGUAUUCAGAUGUAAAAUUGGGUAAAAAUAAGGUAAGCAAUUCCUCCGUCCUCAUUUUUCCCCCCCCCCCCCCAAAGAUCCAAUCCAUUAAUGCAAGAAAAGAAUUUUUGUGAAGGCAAGUGACAAUAGAUUUUCAAUUAUUCAAUGGCCAUUAAUCCUCAUACAUGCGUAAGGUGACAAUCGACAAGAAAGGGUCUAUGCAAUGCUUGAUGGUGAUGGAUGUGUAUCUCUCCCAACAUGUCCUAUUAUGUGCAGUACAAUCCUACAUGCUUGUCUCAUAAUGUUUGAUCCUUUAAAUUGUGAGCUGCAUAAUUCAUAAUCAUUUCUAGAUUUAUCGUCAUCGCUCUAAAAUAUCUCGAUUUGCAAAUUGGAGCACUUCUCGCCAAAAAUGAGGAUGCUGAUGUGAAACUAACACGACACCCUAGAUAUCUAGAAGUGAGUGCACACAUAAACCUCAAUCAAUCCUUUGCUAAUAUUUUCAAGCUAACAAUAGUAUAAGUUAAAAUUAAACAAUGCUAAGAUAGGUGGCAUGCAUUCACAUGUCAAAUGAAUGCACAUGUAAACUUAAUCUAGACAUAUUUACUCUCCAUCAACUUCGCCGAUAGCUAAAUCAGCUACACUAGCACUAGCCUCCAUAGCAUCGCCAUCGAUCCGGCAUCUUUCUCGCAUGCAUAACCCCUCUCUCUCUCUCUCUCUCUCUCUCUCUCUCUCUCUCUCUCUACAGGGUGUGCCUGGAAACUUCAGGGGUCAAGUAUCAUAAAAGUUGCAUAUUAGUUAUAUAGGCGAAUAAAAUUUCAAAGAUGAAUAUUAUAUAAGGUUCAUAGGUAUGUGGUUCUGCCGGCUGUGGUCGUAUUCUUUUAAGGCGAAACAACAAGCGUCUGAGAAGAAAGGUCAACACCAUUGCUUUUGGGUGUACCUCAUCCAGUGACUUCNNNNNNNNNNNNNNNNNNNNNNNNNNNNNNNNNNNNNNNNNNNNNNNNNNNNNNNNNNNNNNNNNNNNNNNNNNNNNNNNNNNNNNNNNNNNNNNNNNNNNNNNNNNNNNNNNNNNNNNNNNNNNNNNNNNNNNNNNNNNNNNNNNNNNNNNNNNNNNNNNNNNNNNNNNNNNNNNNNNNNNNNNNNNNNNNNNNNNNNNNNNNNNNNNNNNNNNNNNNNNNNNNNNNNNNNNNNNNNNNNNNNNNNNNNNNNNNNNNNNNNNNNNNNNNNNNNNNNNNNNNNNNNNNNNNNNNNNNNNNNNNNNNNNNNNNNNNNNNNNNNNNNNNNNNNNNNNNNNNNNNNNNNNNNNNNNNNNNNNNNNNNNNNNNNNNNNNNNNNNNNNNNNNNNNNNNNNNNNNNNNNNNNNNNNNNNNNNNNNNNNNNNNNNNNNNNNNNNNNNNNNNNNNNNNNNNNNNNNNNNNNNNNNNNNNNNNNNNNNNNNNNNNNNNNNNNNNNNNNNNNNNNNNNNNNNNNNNNNNNNNNNNNNNNNNNNNNNNNNNUCUUAAAAUUUUUUUGGAAAAAGGCUUUUUUUUCCAAAAAUUUUCAAAAUUGUAUUCGAGAUGUUUUCCCCCCCCCCCCCCCCAAAAGAUCCAAUCCAUUAAUGCAAGAAAAGAAUUUUUGUGAAGGCAAGUGACAAUAGAUUUUCAAUUAUUCAAUGGCCAUUAAUCCUCAUACAUGCGUAAGGUGACAAUCAACAAGGAAGGGUCUAUGACAUGCUUGAUGGCGAUAGAUGUGUAUCUCUCCAAACAUGUCCUAUUAUGUGCAGUACAAUCCUACAUGCUUGUCUCAUAAUGCUUGAUCCUUUAAAUUGUGAGCUGCAUAAUUCAUAAUCAUUUCUAGAUUUAUCGUCAUCGCUCUAAAAUAUCUCGAUUUGCAAAUUGGAGCACUUCUCGCCAAAAAUGAGGAUGCUGAUGUGAAACUAACACGACACCCUAGAUAUCUAGAAGUGAGUGCACACAUAAACCUCAAUCAAUCCUUUGCUAAUAUUUUCAAGCUAACAAUAGUAUAAGUUAAAAUUAAACAAUGCUAAGAUAGGUGGCAUGCAUUCACAUGUCAAAUGAAUGCACAUGUAAACUUAAUCUAGACAUAUUACUCUCCAUCAACUUNNNNNNNNNNNNNNNNNNNNNNNNNNNNNNNNNNNNNNNNNNNNNNNNNNNNNNNNNNNNNNNNNNNNNNNNNNNNNNNNNNNNNNNNNNNNNNNNNNNNNNNNNNNNNNNNNNNNNNNNNNNNCUCUCUCUCUCUCUCUCUCUCUCUCUCUCUCUCUCUAUGUGUGUGUGUGUGUGUGUGUGUGGAGGUAGGCACAAGUUUUGUCUCGUCAUCAUCAAACUAACAGGAGUAGUAUUUUUCUAAUGAAAAGUGCACUAAAAGUCUUAAAAUUUAUCACAAAAAUGUAAUUAAAUUCUAAAACUUUCAAAAUUGUAAUCAAAUGUUAAAACUGGUUAAAAUAAUGUAAUUAAGUCAUGGGUGCUCUAUUAUUUUUUCCCAAAAAAAAAAAAAAGAUCCAAUCAAUUAUUGCAAGAAAAGAAUUUUAUGAAGGUGAGAAACAAUAGAUUUUCAAUUAUUCUAUGGCCAUUAAUCCUCGUACAUGCAUAAGGUGACAAUCGAUAAGGAAAGGUCUAAGACAUGCAUGAUGGUGAUGGAAAUGUAUCUCUGCAAACACCUCCUAUUAUGUGCAGUACAAUCCUAGAUGCUCGCCCCAUAAUGCUUAAUCCUUGAAAUUGUGAGCUACAUAAUUCAUAAGUACCUCCAGAUCUAUCGUCAUUGCUCUAGAAUAUCUCAAUUUACUAAUUGGAGCACUUCUUGCCAAAAAUAAGGAUGCGAUUGUGAAAUUGACACACUAGAUAUCUAGAAGUGAGUGCACACAUAAACCUCAAUCGGUCCUUUUCUAAUAUUUUCUAGUUAACAAUAGGAUAAGUUAAAAUUAAACAAUGCUAAAACAGGUGGUGUGCAUUCACAUGGCAAAUAAUUGCACAGGUAAAUUUAAUCUAGAAAAAUUUACUCUCCAUCAGCUUCUCCCACAGCUACACUAAUUGCACUAGCAUUGGCCUCCAUAGCACUGCCAUCGAUCCGGGCAUCUUUCUCACAAGCAUAACCACCUCGAUCCGGGCACUAGCUUACACCAGUUCUAAAAUUUGUCGAAAAGUCCAACCAGACCAUAAAAUUUUCAAAAAGUAUAAUAAGGUCAUAGAACUUGUCAAAGUUAUGUUAUCAAGUCCCUUUGUCAACUCUCUAUAAUUUGACUGACAUGAUUAUGUUAAUUACUUUUGUUAUGACCAAAGCUUAAAGUACUACGAAAUUAAAACUAAGAAAGAUAAAAGAACACACAAAUUUAUGUGAAAACUCUCAUGGGAAAAAACUACAGGGAGAGAAGAAGCAAAAUCUACUAUGGAAAUUUAAGGAUUAUCAAAGAUGACUCGAAAAACCUUAAGACUCAUUUUAUCGCUCAUUUUAAACCUAAUAACUUAGGAAAAAAAUAAUAUUUAUAUUGCUCCAUAUGGGGAGCGCAAUCCUUGCACUUUUGCCAAGGAUUAGUGUUGAGGUACUGGCUUGGGCCUCGACUAACACUAAACCUCAAUUUGUUUUUAUCAAGUCGGGUAGUCACAAAUUUCAAUUUAAGUAUCAAAACUCAAUUUAAGUCGAAUGCCUGGGAGCACAAUUCAAGAUAUACUCAACAAUUUCUUGAGACAUGCAACGUCCACUAAGCACCACAUCAAAAAACGAAACUUUUGGAAAAAAAUUAAAGAAAGAAAUAGAGAGUAAAAGUAAAAUAGAAAAAAGGGAACCUCAUAGCUAUCAAGUACUUAUUAGUUGAGUACCAUAACAACCAUUGGAGUUUGUCAGGGAAGUCAUCUUCCUUCCAAAUUAAAGGAUGUAUGAACGGAUUUAAUCCAAAAGGAUAAAGAAUUGAACCUCCAUGGAGUCUAAAUACGUCUGUGUGGUAUUGCCACAUGAGAUUAUCGAAAUUUUUCAGUGAGGCUAUCAUUCUAAAUUUGUUGAAUGAUCUCCUCAGGAUAAUCCAAACUUGGCCAAUCUCGCAUUAUUUCAAUCUUAUACUUUUCCUAGUGAUGAAGAGUAUGAAAAACACACCUCUGGAUGUACAUGUUGAUUUAUGCUGGCGCUUUGAGUCUGGAGAGAAAAUCAGUUAGGACAUUCUUCUUUUCUACAAUGUGUUUGGUUUCAAAGGAGUAUUUUGCAAACUAUUCAGCCUAUCGAAGCAACUGGGAGUGGGGAAUUUGCUUCUGCUUGAACUUUGUCAUCUAGGGAAAAGAUGCCAUAUCCAACUCUACUAGGAAGUGAUGGCCAAUAAGAUGGAACUCGAUUUUUUUUUUAUUACAUUCUUAACUGCCAAUAUUUCCUUGAAGGUAGAAUGAUAAUGCAUUUUAGCAUGGGAAAACUUUCCACUUUUGUAAGCGCAAAGAUGCCGCUUACCAUCAAUUUCUUCAAACAGUAUAACUGCCCGGUAUUCAUAACUGGUGUCGGUUUGAAGGACUCUCUUCUCUGUAGAUGGAAUUUGCAAUGAGGGAAAAGUCUGCAUGACUUCUUUCAAUUAUGCUAUUACCUUGGUUUGAGCUUUGCCCGGGGGGGGGGGUGUUUCUUCAGCAUUAAUUGCAAUGAGAUCGGCAAUUUGGCAUUGUCGGGGAACGAAAUAUUUGAGACAAUUAAUUAUCCCAAGAAAUUGCUGAACUUGUUUUGUUGUAAAGUUUUAUGCUGGGAAUUUCAACAAUUCCUAGGCAAUAUGUGAUCCUGGGUAGUAUAAUCCUUUAUUGAGGUGUAUCCCAAGAAAUUCAAUUUCUAUUUGAACAAUCUUCAUCUUUCUUUAAGAAAGCAUUAUUCCAUAUUUCUUUACAAUUUAUGCGAACUACUCGAGAAGUCGGCAGUGAGAUUCUUCAUCGGGGCUAUAAAGUAAUAUGUCAUUAAUGUAGACUGUUACACUUGAUAGAAUUGGUUGGAAGAUUCAGCACAUGAUCUUUUAGAACAAGGAAUGGGCUACUUUGAGGCCAAAAGGGAAAAUAUUUAAUUGGAAAUGCUGAUUUGGAAUACAAAAUCCUAUCUUUCAGGACGGAUGCCCAAUUACGAAAAUCCGGCUUUGAGAUCGAAUUUGAAAUAAACGUGGGCUUGAGAUAAUCCAACAAAAAGAUAAUUUUGAGAGGGCAAACGGAUGAUAACAUCUCUAACUAGCUGAGCUACAUUUCUCAGAGCAUCCUAGCACUCAAAAACUACAUUCAUAAAUCAUAAACUUUUCAUGAUUCUUUCAUAGAAGGUUUCACAAACCAUUUACAAGCAAUCGGUUCAAAUUGAAGUUGAAGGAUGACUCCCCAUUUCAAACAAACAAAACAGCAGUCAAUGUUUGAUCCUAUUUUACACAACAAAAAAUGCUAUUUCUUAACUGAUAACAUAUAUAAUCCAUAUCAUUUUCAAAACAUAAAAACACAGAAAAAAUAGUAUCACUCACCCGAGAAAACCAAAAACCAACUUAUAAUGGUUACUCGAGCUAACACACUUAUUCCUAUUUUCUAGAAUCAUCCAUGUGCAUAAUGUGUGGAUGGCUCCAAGGGCCAAUUUCGAACGAAACACUAUACUGUUGGUUCCAAAGGGAGUAGUCCCCGCACACGACGCCAAAUACUUAUUUGUAAUUAUAAAGGGAAAACCAUUUGCAAGUUGAACUAGAAACAAGUGGUUUUGUUCCUUUCGCUUUAUCCAUUUUGUCCUUAUCGAAUCUCUGAUCCUAUAAAUUUCUGGCUCAAUCGACCAAACCCUCCGACAACCAUCAGCAUUUCCGCUCCCUGAUUGAACAAAUACAUACAGAGCAGCUUCAACACAAUGGCUCUCACCUCCCUCUUCCUCCUCCUUCUGCUCUCUUCUCUCCAUGUCAGUAAUUUGUCAACCUUUCAUCCUCCAUGCGUACCCAACUGCUCAUCUCUCUCUCUCUCUCUCUCUCUCUCUCUCUCUCUCUCUCUCUCUCUAUCUCUCUUUCAUGCAGAGAGAGGGCUAUAUGUUUAAUUCGAUAUCUUGCGUUUUAUUAGUGUAUACUUUGUACCUAAGAAGAAACUAAAUAUGUUGGUUUGUAUCAAAAUCAAACCUGAUAAUAUUAUUUAUUUCUCGUGUGGAUUUUCUUAAUGCGUGUCAAUUGGUCAAUCAUGUUUAUGUGUACUUUGCGCUAACGAAGGAAUGUGAAUGAAACGUACAUAAUCAAGUGAACAUAUAAUGCUUUGAUAAUAUGAAGGCACGUGAGUUGCAAAAGUCAUUUUAAGUGAUUCAGCAUGACAUUACUAUUUUUAGACACAAGCAUCAGAUAACAUACGUUAAUGACUGUUAGGAAUAAAUUAUUGGGUUAUUUAUGUUCAUUGUAAAGAUAAUUCCAAUUAUGUCAUCGUGUAAUUCUAAUUCCGUGUCACGUGACUUGUACUUUUUUGCACCUUAUGUAACAAUUUUCCGUAUGUCUACUUUACUUCCAUAAAUAUGUCAUUGCAUAAUUACGUAAAGUCCUUAAUGUCCAUUCUAAUCGUGAUUAUGUAAACUUCUAGCACACGGUCACUCUUUGAUUUUCUUGUGGAUUGUCCCACGACAGGUCCUCAUCACCGUCGGUAGAGCCAGUCCCGAGUCCGACUCCCUCGUCAGCCAGUCUAACUCAAUCUCUCCCAAAGCAUACCUUGUCCGUUACUGGAACAAACAAAUCACCAACAACCUCCCCAUGCCACCGGUCCUCUUCGUCAAAGCGUCACCCCUGACCGCUGCAUCCGCAGCCAUCUUCACCCAACUCGUCGCUAAAGGCGCCAUCUCCAAUCACCUCCAAUCUUUCUGUGAGGAGGCAGAACUGCUUUGCUCCUUGAACUCAUCAUUUAAUGACGCGUUAUUAAUAGUGUAUUACCGCGUUAGUAUCGAUACAACGACGAAAACUGAUGACAUGAAUGUAAGUAGGGCCACAGAGCCGAGCAUGUACUUCCGAGAGUCCAUGCUGAAGAGCGGGAACGUGAUCCCGAUGCCCAAUCUCUGGGACAACAUGCCCAAAAGGUCGUUUUUGCCCCGCAGCAUAUCCUCCAAACUGCCGUUCUCAACCUCGAAACUCGCCGAGCUGAAGCAAAUAUUCCAUUUCGGUGAGAAUUCCACUAUGGAGAGGAUCAUGGCGCUCACACUAGGCCGGUGUGAGGUCGCAAAUUUCCAAGGCGAAACCAAGAGGUGCGUGGCCUCCAUCGAGGACAUGAUCGACUUUGCCACCUCGAUAUUGGGUCAUGACGUCACGGUCCGAUCCACGGAGGGCUCCGGAGGCUCGAAGCAGGAGGUCUUGAUCGGGUUGAUCAAUAGGAUCGAGGACGCCGAAGUGACCAAGCCCAUCGUGACCUGUCACCAGACUCUAUUUCCUUACGUGGUCUAUUACUGCCAUUCAUUUCGAAACGUCCGCGUUUACGAAGCGGACAUACUAGACCUCAAGUCCAAGACAAAGAUCAACCACGGCGUCGCCAUCUGUCAUAUGGACACGUCGGCUUGGAGGUCUACCCAUGAGGCGUUCAUCGCGCUUGGGUCGGGUCCUGGCCAGAUCGAGGUCUGCCAUUGGACAUAUGAGACUGGCGUGGUAUGGACAAACCGCCAAGUGAUAACGAAAGAACGAAGUGGGGUCAACGCUAAUUCGGCCUAGCGAUCAAGAGAGAACUUAGUCUCAAGCUGGCUCCAACCCAAGUCCUCAUUUGCCCUGUAUUAUCAUGUAAUGUAGCAUCUGAAUCUGAUGUACAUAACUCUGCGUCUGUGUUCGGUGGGUGAAAGUUGUCCUGGUCAAUAAAUCUAAAGGGUUUUUAUGAUGCCUUUGUGUUCUCCUAUGCCGUGUGUUUAGAUAUCUCCCUAACGCCUAUCUCUCAAUUGGCGCACUAUACUUUAAAAACUUUCAUGAACUAUGGCCGGGGACCAGUGAGUCCACCGCUCACGAGUGAGGAAGUAUUCUAACAACUCAAGAUUGUUGGGAAAAACCCAGGACAACAAUUCACUAAGAACUAAACUUAAUUCAGGAUCAAUAUCUUCUCCAAAACUAAAUCAACUGAAAUCGACUUAACCCAGCAAUAACCGACCAAUACAAUCUUGCAAUAAGUAAAUAUAACGCCGAAAUGAUAAAGAGACAAAGGCAACAAUACCACCAAGGUUUUAGGUGGAAACUCAAUGCGGGGAAAAUUACGAACUAUCCAAAAACUUCUACUAAUUACUAAAAAUAAUAGAAUGCACAAAGUGUUCUUCUCUAGUCACACAUCAAAGGCUCAACAUCAAUAAUGCAACUGUAUUUCUUCACCAUAGUGAUAGAUUAACAUAAAUAGAGUAAGAAAACUCUCAUUGAUAUUGGAGAAUUCAGAGGAGAUUUUCAUCAAACAAAACCGAUUUACUCAUAACCCUUGAUCUUACGAGUAACAUACAAAAAUUUGAACCAAUUCUAACGCUUGACCGUUGGAUGGUCGCCGGAAGCCAUUGCCCUCUUUUUCCCUUCUUCUCCACGCGUUGCUCUCGAUGAGUUCACUCUGUUGCUCUUUUGUCUCUCCUCAUGGGCACACCCGCACGAAGCGGCCCCUCUUUCUUUCUUUUUGCUUUUUACCUUUUUUAUUUAUUUUAUUUUUUUUUUUAUUUUUUUUUAUGCUAGCUGGACCCAGCCAACAAAGAUUGAUGUGAGUUAUUGCCCAAGGAUCUAACCGUUCCCAUUAUGGGAUGGGUGAUAUAUAAUGCGUUCGAUAAUUUUUUAAUCUUUGGAACAAUUUCUAUUUAAAAAUAAUUUUUUCUAUAUCGAUUUUAUAGACAAGUUUUUUAUUAGAAGAAUGUGUUUGAUAAAUGCAUAGAAUCUUUAUUCCCAAAAUAGAAUAAUAAAAGAAAUGCGUUUGGUACAAUCUUAAAAAAAAUUAUUCUCGUUUUUUUCAUCUAUUUUAAAAAUGUCAGUAAAGACUUAAUAAUUCAUAUUCGGAUAAAACUAGACUUUUCUAAUGACUUAACUGAUCAAGAUAUUCAAAGAUGGCCUUAGAAAAUUUAACGUAAUAGUUAGUCAAAUACGAAAGGUUGGAAAUGGCAACAAAGAGUUCCACUUAUUUAUAACUCACAACAUGAGAAGGUGGACAAUAAAUCUUUAAGCAUUACAAAAACAAGUGCAUAGAAGAAGAAGAUUAAAUGCUACCUGGUGGAAUGAGCAAGGACGAAACAAGUGAGUAUAGAGGCAAUCCCAAAGUUAGUUCGCAUAUUUGCACAAACUCAUCAAUAGAGGCAAUCCUAAAGUCAGUUCGCAUAUUUGCACAAACUCAUCAAACCUUCAAACAAAUGACAUUGGAAAUCCAUAGAGCACAGGCUUAUUCGAUUGUUAUAAACAUAAGACAUAAUUUUUUUAUUAAAAUAUUAUAGCCAUGGAUCAAAAACCUUGUUCAGAGCCGUCUAAUUUUUUAUUUAAAUAGAAUCGCAGAUGAUGAUGGUGAAGAAGAGUGUUGAUCUCAGUCACGCCCAUACUCUGCUUGUGAAGAAGAGUGCUUCUCUCAGUGGAGUCACCUAGCUAUCGCCACCUAGUAUUAUCUUUAAAAUAAUAUGGCAUUUAAAAAUCCAUAUGCUAAAGUCCUAAGAGUUUACUCAAUUUUGAAUCUAAUUUUCAUCAAAAUAUUUUCACUUUUUUAUGCUAAACUAAAUCUGACCUAGAAUUAACACUAAAAUCUAGUAAAACUACUCCAAAAUCUAAUUUCUAAAUUUUUUACUAAAUUUCUAUAUUUUUUAUUUUUUUAUUCUAAAAAAUGGGGACUUGGAUCUAGUCGGGAGACUAGGUCCGGAUGUGGGUCUCACCCAAACCUUGUGUAGAUUGUGUAAAGACGAGCAUUAUGUUACGGUGAGUUCGCUUCUCUAAAAUGACCUUGUUUCUCUUUUUGUUUUAGGAAACAAAAAAGUAGUUUCUUUUUUAUAUCUAGUUUCUGAUCUAUUUCGAGGAAUAAAAAAAAUUAACUUACAUACACAAACAGAUUUAUGUUCUUCUUUUUUUUUUUAAUUCCAAGAGCAAAAGAACAGAAAAAUAGAGAAAUAUAAAUGUUACCAAACAAGCCAUAAAUGUUCAAUCGCGUGAUGGAAAUUAAGGUGAGCGAUGUUUGUCGAGAGACAAAUAAGUUACCCUAUACUCCUCACCUGUAAGGUGCAAAAUUGGUGGUUAAGAGUCUCAACUUGAUAGUUUGUGUUAUAAAGUCCAACAAAAAAAUUUACGAAACUAAUAGGGUGGACACACAUUUGCGAUAGGAAUAACCCUGCCUCCGUCCCAACCUAACAAGCCCUCGUUGCCGUCAAAUUUGUCAACUGACAAAAAGAGAGAGGGGGGGGGGGGGGGGGGGGGUUUUGGGUCGGUGGGUGGAGAGGGGUUUCUAAUAGCCCUGAGACCAAUCCCUUGUCAUAUCUGCCGCGAAUCCUAUACAAAAUGCCCUAACACAUUCUCAAAUAUUUUAUGUAUUAUGAUAUGCUAUGUACGUGUUAUGAACAAAAUGAAUUUAAGUUACGAUAGAUAUUGAGAGAUUGGUCCCACCCGAGAGACCGUGACGAGGCCAUGGCGGAGAGAAGCUAUUGCCAUUGUUUUAAUGUCAAAUAAGAAUUCUAUCCACAAAUAGAAUGGAGAAGCUUUCAAAAGAGAAUAUGGGAAAAUCUCAAAUAAGGGCCUGAAGUGGGUUUAUUUUCUCAAAAAAGGACCCAAAGUGGACACUGUAUCAAAUAAGGACCCAAAGUGGCUAGUUUUGUCUUAAAUAAGGACCCAAAUUUUCAAUCUUAUUUACAACUUGGGGUAGUUUUGUCCAAUAACAUUUUUUCUUUAAUUUUUUUUCUUUCUUCUUCCUCACACCUCCUCCUUCGCUCUAUAUUGCCUCCUUCUUCAACACCAUAAUUAGGGGCCCUACCAGCGACCUAGUGAACUUCAUGUCAUCACGUAGUUGGUCUUAGUGACAAGAAGUCGGAUUGGAGUUAUUUGCUACUGGUCACCUUCUCGGAUGCUAAAAUCCUCAAUUCCUCAAGAUGCAUCAAGUCUCGGCUCGCUUGUGCUCAGCCUAAAGCUCGAAUUGACCUCCAUUUGACAACGACGAUGCUGGAUUUUCUAUCAGGGCAAGUAAUUGAUGAAGUCGAGAGCUCAAAUAGGACUUGUCAAUGGCGGCAAUGGGGCAACAAAGUACAAUAGUUUCUACAGUUAAUGAUGUCAAAUACAACUAAUGAUCAAUCUCAAGAUGGGGUAUUGAUUGAGGAGAAGAGCUGUGUCGAUGAGAAUGGCAAGAGUGUGAGUGGGUGUCUCCAUACUAACGAUUAUUGAAAGGAGCCAUUGGCAUUGCAAAGGGGAAGGGGGAUCUUUGAAAGAUUGAAUUUACGCAAGAAAAGCAAACUCUUGCCGAGGUUGAAAUAGUCACUAGCUGUAACAAAAUUGUUCUUUGGUAUGAAAUUGUUGAUCACCAAGUGUAAUUUGAAUAGAGACAUAAGUUAGUCAAACAAGACGAUCUGGCGAUGCUUGGAUAUUGCUACUCUGUUGUUGGCAAGUAGGAUUGAAAAUAGCACAAAAAAUUGGAGUUGCUAGGUUAGCAGAAGGCCCGGAAUAAGUGGAGUUUGAUGCACUCUUGAGGUGAGAGAAAUACGUCGCCAAAGGGAUUAGUUGUAUAGCUUGAGAGUUGGACAAAAAGUUGAGUCUCAGCAAAAGCAGAUUCAUAUUAUGGCUUUGAGAUCAGAAUUUGCGAUGACUGUUACAAUAAAAAGAACUUAUUUUUGAACGCUCAUUUUGGCUUCAUGGAAUUGUCUACAAACCAUUUUGAGAAGCGAAAUUUAAAAUUUUCAACGAAUUAGACGACGUUGUAAUAGCUCGUGUUAAAGAAAACCCAAUCUUGGUCAUACAACAAGAUGACACAAAGAGCAAUGGAGGGGCUGAUAAUGGAGGUGAUGUAGAGAGUAAGAAAGAUGAAGAAAGAAAAAAGAAGAAAGAGAGAGACAAAAAAUAAACAACAAUGUGCUUGGACAAAAGUACCCCUGGCUGUGAAUAAAAUUAGAAGUUCGGGUUCUUAAUUGAGAGUAAGUUAGCCACUCCGGGUCCUUAUUUGAGACAGUAUUCACUUUGGAUCCUUUUUUUGAGAAAAUGGCUCCACUUCAGGUCUUUAUUUGAGAUUUUCCCAAAGAAUAUUGUAAUUGCCCGUCUUUCCACGUUUGGACAUGCACACUUUCGAUACGAGACACUAAAGUCGAGACUCGAAAGCUCUAUUGAAGAGUCCGAUCCCAUUAUGGAAAGAGAAAGAGACUAGAGUUGCUUGCGUUCUUCACUUCGAUCGAUAGCAAGCCAAUCAAUUCUCAAAUCACUUCCGUCAUUUUUAGAUCAAAUUGAUAUGAAAUCAAGCUCAUUCAACUAAACCUACACACUACCGACCAAAAUAAAUUAAUAAAUACAUAAACCUACGCACGUUUACAGCAUAUUCGCUCUCACAUCAAGCAACGCCAGCAAGUGUAUAGUACUGUCCGAGACGAUGAACCCAUGGAUAUGCAGCACACCUACACCUCAUGACCCUAUCAAUUCACACCAAUUCACAGCAUAUGUUGAUAUGUUCCAGUCUAUACGAGCGUAUAAUAUUAAAAAUAGGUAACUAAAAUGUUCGAGGAAGUCGCAGGCAGAGGAUUGAGGCAAGUUCUAAGAGCAUAUAUUCAAAUUCAAAGCUCAUGUAUGUCAGUAUAAAUGCAAUGACUAAAUCAAGGGAUAAGUGAAUUGAAGCAUUGUGCUCAAUUUUCAAUUUUAAUCUAUCCUCAGCAACCUUGGCAUGUGAACUGAAAUAACCUGAUCUUACCUCAUCUAUAUGGCGAAGCGAAACAGAGGGACGUUGCUGAGAUGACAACCGUCGACCGAGAAGAGAGGGAAAAGCAAAGAGUCUCGAUCAGUCCUUCACUGCGGCAUUUCAUCAGACUCCUGGCGAGUGUAUUGAAUGAACCCGCGACGGCAAAGGCAGAAAGAGUUAAAAGAUGGAGUGAGAUAUUCGGUUAGAGCAGUGUUGAGUCAGAGGAAGUAAGCAGCAGCGGGGACUGCUCGAUUUGAUGAGGAAUCGUUUGAUAUCAGCGACCGGCGAAAGACGAACCGAAGCGAGACAAAGGCGAAUGCUACGACCAUGAUUCAUCUUGAGCACAUAGCAAGGUCGCAAGAAGACCAGCGACAAGGCCGGAGAGAAAAAGCAUCGGCGGCGGCGGAGAUAUCCUGACGAUGAAAUCACGAGCAGGGAUAUGGAAACGACCAGGUAGGUGUGGGCUCUUGGCUGAUGGGAUUCCAUCACCAUCGAGUCCGUUCCGCUUGUUGCUUUGGCCGACCGCCAUUGAUCGGUUCUUCAGGCCCUGCAAUCGCUCCCUCCACCAUCUUCGGAGUAAGCGUAUCAAAUUUUGAAGAGACGAAGCUCCGCGAGGCCGGAUUCUGAACGAUGACCGAAUCUGUCGAUUGAAAUCGCCGACCGCUGCUCCUCGAGGUCGCGGACGGCGAGUGGCGAGCAUCGAGGAAAACGGGAUGGCGUCGUCGAUCGGUGGGAAUCCGUCGGGCCUCAACUUCGUCUUCUUCUCCAGUCACCAUUUUUCGUGAGGGGAAUUUGAUUUUUCUUUUUCCUUUUUUUUUUGGAGGGAGAUAUCUUUUUGUGCCUUAAAUCUCAGCCCUUCAAUGUUUUCUCGAUCCUACGGCCCUGAUAAUUGUUUGAGAGGGCACGAGGAUAUGUGACGGGCCGGGGCCGCGCGGGUUCUUUAGCGCCAGCCUUAAAACUUGAUUAAGCUAAUUGAUUUGCCAAUCAAAUUUAGUUCCUUUCACCAAAUUAAUUCAUUUUUUCCGGCUUUUCUUAUCAAAUUUAUAUCUUUUUUAUUUGCUUUUCAAAUUAUAGGUAAAUCAUUUUUGUUAUCGUGUCUAAUAUGACAUGGAAAAUAAAUACAUAUUUGUAUUUAAAAAGCACUAGUAUUAAAUUACCGAGCGUCUCAAAAAAGCUUUAAAAGAUUAUUUUGCAACACGAAAGAUUUAAAAUUAGCAUUAGAGGACACGUUUUUUUAAUAAGUAGCUUAUGUUACAUUUUUAUCUUUCAUCAUAUUGAAUUUCAACAGACUCACUUGAUAUUAAAGAAAAAUAAUGAUUUUUUUUGCUAGAAGUAAUUGCCUACGCGGCAAUGUGUGGGCCCGUUUUAGUCAAUAUAUAGAAUCUGCCAGACAAUGACCAUAAUCAUUUGCAGCGUGCGUGAAAGUUGUUGUUAUGGUCAGUCGCUAAACCUCAAACGUGGGCAGAAGUUUGAUCUAACAUCCCUAAUAAUUGUCCUUGUCCAUGUGUAAGAGUCUGUCGUGAUUAGUAAUGUCAAGUCUUUCUAGUCUAUUACCUUUUUUUUUAAUGACCCAGGGAAUCCCGCACGGCCGGCAGCCGGAGAUAAACCACUGGGGGCGACAAGUGCUAGCCACCACACACGUGCCACCGGGUAAGUCGCCAAAUUCCUGCAACUUGCGUUGCACUAGUCUAUUACCUUUGUAUUCAAAUACCUUGGAAAUUUUCCAAGUAAUCAAUUCUAAAUUUAUUAUGCGGAUAUUAAUUCAGUCCUAAGCAUUUUAAAUUUGUUAAUUUAGCAAAAAACCUUUAAGCAAUUUUCCGAUAUACUCAUUCCAAUCAAUUUUUAGAGGAAAUCGCUAACGUGGCAGUUUUAGUCAUCGCCAACCAAUGCCCAUGAAAAUUGGCUGAAAUAACUAUAUUGAAAUUUCUCACAAAGAUUUAAAAUUAAAUUUGCAAAAUUGAAAAAGUUAAAAUUAAUUGACAUCCAUAUAAUUAGUUUAGAACUGAUUGAACGAUUUCCUCUCUUGAUGUCCAUUUCCUAAUUUACAUUACUUGGAAAUUUUCAUUAACUAUUGCAAAGAACAGGUGAGUUUACACUUACGAGUGACAAGUAUUUCGACAAAUGGAGAUUAGUGUUAAUUAUUGGGUUAAUAUCAUAAAAAACCUCAAAUUAGUAUAUUUGUAAUAAAUUUAUCCCAAACUAAUUUCUUGAUUACCAAAAAUUACAUACCGCUACACCUAUGAGAAAUUUACCCAAAAUUAAUGUUUUGACCAUCAAAAAGCUUAAAUUGAUUCAUUUGUGAUAAAUUUAUCUUCUACUAGUUUCCGUUAAAUGAAAUUAAUACCAUGAAAAACCUUAAAUCGGUAUACAUGUGACAAAUGAAAGGUAAAACCCCAAACUAGUAUACCCAUAAACUGCCACAUGUCAUCCAACUCAAUAAUUUGAUGAUAAAAUUUAACGGAAACUAACGAAUGAUAAAUUUGUCAUAAAUAUACCAGUUUGAGGUUUUUACGAUGAAAAAAUAGUUUGAUGUAUAUUUAUCACACGUGUAUCAGUAUAGGAUUUUUUGUGAUUAAAAAAUUAGUUUGGGAUAAAUUUAUCACAAAUGUAUUAAUUUGAGAUUUUUCAUGAUAUUAAUUCUUAAUUAUUACCAUUGUCUUCCGGACAAAAAAAUAAUAAUAAUUUGUUGGCCUUAUCAUUACGCGGCUUAUUUUCCUAAAUUCCUAAGACUUUAAACUUUUAUCAAACCUAUAAAAUAGUUGACACGAAAAAGGGCCUAAUACCUGGAAAAAAUUUAAAUUUUAGCUUCAAUUCUAAUUUUACCUUAAGGUUUUCUUUAAAAAAAAAUCAUUAAAUUUGGUUCUAUCUAUUUCCUAGAAAAGGAAAUAAUUUGAAAAUAUUUUCUUAAAAAUGAUCACUUACAUCGUUUGAAAUAAUUAGUUAAUGGAAAAUAUUUUUAUUAUUGACAACAAUUUAUGUUUAAAUACUUUCAUGAACAAUGAAAUAUUUUUUAUUUAUUGAUAUAAAUAAUCUAAGCUAUCAUUUAUUUGAAAAAUAUUUUUCAAAUUAUGUAUUUUUCACAAAACAAACUCAUUCUUUUACUCAAGUCUCAAAUCCAUCACAAACCAAACAUGUACUAAUUUUUACUGAUAACGAGCAAAAUACUGAUGCUAAUAGCAAAAAUACUAAUAAUCUUGAUCAAGCCGACGUGAACCUUCUAUCCAACAUGUUGGACGUGGCAUUUAUGAUAGAUCUACCUCAACAAUAAACCUCCAUCUAGUGUUUACACUCACCGUUCUCUUAUACUUACUUCAUGGUCUUUAUCACGGCAGUGUUCAUAAAUAGUUAAGUACAAUUCAUCAUCUGCAACUCGCGGCUACUGUUGAAACUAAAGGACAGCAUGUAUUGGCUUAUUAUCCCAACAAGUAUACCUGCAAUGCAUGCUCCCAGAUCAGAAAACACAAAAUGGGGAAGCUAAUUUGCACCUACUAGAGGCCGAGACAACUCUAAGCUCGUGGCGGCCAUGGCCGCAUGAGCUUUGCACUUCAAGUUUGCAACCCGGCCAUGUCCAUAUCCAGUCAAGCUCGGGGCCACAUAGCUUGCGGUAGCGAUGGCCAUGACCGCCAUGAGCUUCAAACCUAUGUUAGGUUGUCUGUCUUCAAUAACCUCAAGGUCCCGAUUCAGUGACAAUGAGAAGAUUUAUGGAAAGAAUGAGAAGAAGAAGAGAGAUGAGUGUAGAUGAAGAAUUUGAGCUUUCAUGAUUUCUUCUCUCUGUGUUCUAAGAAAAUGUUCAUCUGAGAGCUUGCUCACUCGCUUGCUCUGUUUUCUAUUUAUAUUACAUACUCAGAUCCAAAAAAUAGCCAAUGAUAGUUUUACAGCUCAUCUAACAGAGAAACAGAAUAACAUAAAACAGAAUGAAAGAAGGAGGAUUGUGGAUCCCAGUCUAUUGCUCGACUUCUUGUUCUGUUAAGAGCACAAAAUAGAGAAACGGUUGUGCAGAGCACCACUCAUAGUUUGACACGUAGAGCUGGAGGAUUCACCACCGACUUCAUCUCUUUUCUUCCUUGUUGAAACAGCAACCCCAGGCAUACGCAUAGCAGAUGAUUUGCUCACUUCAUUUCUUCUCAGUCUUUGUUAAAACAGCAACAGCAGCAUCUUCAUUUCUUUUCUUCUUUGUUGAAAUAGCAGUACCAGACUGUGCGAGAUGGGUCUCAACAUCCCCCGCAAAUUAGGAAGGGGUUUGAACCCCAUACCCAAUUUGGUUUUGACAGUAGAGUGAUCUAAUCAUGAUAACGACUUGGUAAAAAUAUCAGCAAGCGGACAAGUGCUAGGGACAUAACGAACACUUAAUGAGCCUAAUGAAACUUUUUCUUGAACAAAGUGGAAGUCGACUUCGAUGUGCUUGGUUCGAGCAUGUAAGAUAGGAUUUGCAGUAAGAGAAAUGGUAGACUGAUUAUCACAAAACAGAAUUGUUGGUGAGGAUAGACAAAUGCCAAUGUCACGUAGAACAAAGCUAAUCCAUGUAAGAUUAGCAGUAGUAGAUGCAAGAGCUCUAUAUUCAGUUUCUGUGGAGGAAUGAGACACAGUAGGUUGCCUCUUGGCUAACCAUGAAAUCAAAUUAGAACCAAGAUAGGUGUAGAAGCCAGUGGUUGAGCGUCUAGUGUCAACGCAACCACCCCAAUCAGCAUCUGAAAACCCAUAUAAGGUCAUCAAAAUGUUAGAAUGGAUGAAAAAACCAAGAUGAACAAUUCCUUUAACAUAUCAAAGAACCCUUUUUAACUUAUGGAAAUCUCCAACCAUUGGCUGCUGCAUUUUCUAACAUAGUAGGUUUGUUGCAUAAGCAAGAUUAGGGCGAUUUAUUGUUAGAUAUUGAAGAUCGCCAACUAGACUUCUGUAUUCAAGUGGAUUGGCGAGCAGGAUGUCAUCAUUUGUCAUGGUGACUAGUCUCAAUGGCGGAGGAGUUGAGAUGGGUUUGCAUUCUGUCAUGUUGGCUCUCGUAAGAAGAUCAAUGGCAUAUUUGGUUUGAUAGAGGAAAAGAUCUUGAGAGGUACGUUUGGCUUCAAUACCUAAGAAAUAGUGGAGACACCCUAGAUCUUACAUGUGGAGGUGGAGACUUAGCGACUUGAUCAGUUUGCCAGUAUCUGAUUUGAGUUGCCAAUUAGCACAAUGUCAUUUACAUAAAGCAAUAGAAGGAUUGUAUCUUAUCCAUCACGAAGCACAGAGAUGAGGGAUUAGUCGUGCUACAGGAGAAGCCAGCUUCAAGAAGAAAAUUGCUACACUUUUCGAACCAAGCACAUGGAGCUUGACGAAGACCAUACAAAGAUUUCUUGAGAAGACAUACAUGUUGAGACAUUUGGGUAUGUGUAAAACCAGGAGGCUACUCCAUAUAUACUAUCUCAUUUAAUGUUCCAUGAAAGAAAGCAUUUUUAACAUCAAGUUGAUGUAUUGGCUAGUGCUUCAUCAUUUCUACAAAGAGUACUAUACGGAUUGUGGUAUGUUUGACAACAGGAUUGAAUGUUUUUGUAAAAUCAACUCCCUCUUCUUGGUGAAAUCCCUUAGCCACCAACCGGGCCUUCAACUUGUCAAGACUUCCAUCAAGUGCUAACUUAGUUUUAAACACCUAUUUACUUCCUAUGACAUUCAUUUGGUUAGUUCAAGGAACUAAUAUCCAUGUCUAAUUUUCAUGUAGAGCAUCCAUUUCAUCCUGCAUUGCUUUACGCCUUCAUUUGCCAAGGCUGAUUUAACUGAUCGUGGUUCAAGAGAAACUUUGUAUUUAGCCAAGCAUGCAUAUCUGGGAUUUGGCUUCACAAUACCAGAUUUUAGUCGAGUUUGCAUAGGGUGGAUGGAGAUUGUACCUUGUGGGUUAAGUGGAGGAUUUUGUUGUGUUUGGUCGAUGAUGAUCUCAGUUGGUGCUUCAGUGGUGUGAGUAAGAACUAUUGGUUCUUCAGGAGUUGAGUCAAACUACAAUUGUAAGGUAGAGGAAUUCUGUGGCUAUAUUGAACUGACCAAUUUCCAAGACUCCACUAUCUUGUAAAUGUCCUAUAUGUUGAUUUGAGAGAUGUCUCACUUGUUCUACAAUAGUCGAGUCCAGAAAAUUAACUUCUUCUGCCCAUUUUCGAUAUAGAGCAGUAUAUUAAGUGUACUAUGUUGUUAGUUUCUUGGCAAAAGGAAAGAAGCUUUCGCCAAACAUCACGUGUCGACUAAUAUAUAUGCGACCAUUAGUAGGCACAAGACAAUGAUAUCCUUUAUGUCGUUCACUAUAUCCCAGAAAUACACACGUGAGUGAUCGUGGAUUAAAUUUAUUGUGACAGCCUAAGCGGCAGUGCGCAGAGAGGAGGGAUGGCGGUGCGUCCGCCCCUCAGUCUCCGGACGUGCGCAGGGAAAGGGGUCCCUCUCUUGUCCCACAUCGCUUAGGGGGGAGUCCUGAGUUAAUUUAUAAGGCUUGGGUUCCUCUAAUCUGUGUAACGCAUUUUAAAGCCAUGAGAACUCAAUGUCCAAAGCAGACAAUAUUACAUAGUGGGACCCGGGUCCUUACAAGUGGUAUUAGAGCCAACUCCCGACCGCGUGUGGGGCCACAGUUAGGACGCUGUGCUCCUAAGGGGUGGAAAGUGUGACAACCCAAGCGGCGGUGUGCGGGGAGGAGGGAUGGCGAUGCGUCUAUGCCUCGGUUCCCGAACGUGCGCACUUUGCUCCUAAGGGGUGGAGAGUGUGACAACCCAAGCGGCAGUGUGUGGGGAGGAGGGAUGGUGAUGCGUCUAUGCCUCGGUUCCCGAACGUACGCACUGUGCUCCUAAGGGGUGGAGAGUGUGACAACCCAAGUGGCGGUGUGCGGGGAGGAGGGAUGGCAGUGCGUCUGCGCCUUGGUCCCCAGACGUGCGCAAGGAAGGGUCCCUCUCUUGUCCCACAUCGCUUGGGGGGAAAUCAUGGGCUAGUUUAUAAGGCUCGGGUUUCUCUAAUAUAUGUAACGCGUUUUAAAGUUGUGAGGACUCAGUGUCCAAAGCGGACAAUAUUACACAGUGGGGCCCGGGUCCUUACAUUUAUGUUGUGCAUAUGGUCUAAGACAGGGAUAACAGGCACACCCAAAGACUCUCAGAUGCUCAUAGCUUGGCUUCUGUUUCUAAAGUUUGCUGUAAGGAGAAUGCAUCUGUAACUUUGAUGUGGGAAGUACAUUGACAAUGUAGUUACUUGUCAUGAUUGACAAUGUAAACCUGUCAUGAAAGCAUCCACCUAGUAUUUUAAUGGAACUCUAGCGUGAUAAAGCAUGGCCAACCCCAAUUCAACCACGUGACGGUGUUUUUUUUCAGAAAUCCCAUUCUAUUCUAGUGUGUAAGGGCAAGAGACAUAUUGUUUAAUGCCACAAGUCUGUAAAUGGCUCUGAAACUUGUUGCUAGUGAAUUCUCCUCCACCAUCACAUUGAAAUAUUUUGAUUUUGCGAUCAAAUUGGUUCUCUACUUGUUUCUGAAACAUGACAAAGAUAUCAUAGAAAUUUGACUUCAACUUCAUUGGAUAAAUCCAACUAUAACGGGAAAAGUGGUCCAUAAAUAUGACAUAGAAUUUGAAGUUAUGAAAGGAGUUAAUUGGUGAAUGACUCCAAAUAUCACAGUGAAUCUUUUCUAAAGAAACAUCAAAUGUAGAUAUUAAUAAGGGAAAUGGUAAUGCAGUACUCGUGGCAACUUGAUAGCUUCUACACAUAGCUUGAGUUUUUGUAUUGCAGUGUAUCAGUUGCUGAUUCUGUAGAUACUUCAAUGUUUGGAAGUUGGUGUGAGCUAACUGCUGGUGCCACACAUCUUCCCCGACAACCUUAUGUCUUUGAGUGAAGAGGGCCUCUGUUGUUUAUGGAUCCACUCGGUAGAAUCCUCUAACUUUGUUUCCGAGUAUCACUGUUGUGUUGGUGCGAUUGUCCUUUAUAUAGACCCCAUUUUUAUCAAAAACAAAUGAGCAGGGAUAAUCAUCUGUCAGUUUUGAAAUCGAAAGAAGAUUCUUCUUGAUUUCAAGAACAACCAGCACAUCAUUUAGAGGCAAUGCAUCAAUUUUAGUAUGUAAUAAAGCAUCAUCAUUAUAAGCAAUAGAUAGGCAUGAACCAUUUCCUAUCAUAACUGUAUCAGCCCCAUUGUACUUAGAGAAGUUGUGAACAAUACCUGAAUUUGCAGUGAUGUGGGCUGUCGCACCAGUGUUUGGUACCAUUCACUGCCUUCCUCAAGAUGCAUUGUCACUAGAACUGUUGGAAUCUCUUCAGCCUGGUAUGAAUUGUCGAAUUGAUAAUAGCAACAAAGUGCAUCGUGACCUGGACACUUACAGAUUUGACACUCCAACCGAACAUUAUAUGUUGUUUUCUCAUGCUGCAAGUGUGUUAAAUGUUAAAUUUGGGGAGGGAUAUGAUUUGGUAUCUUGAUACAUUUGUGAAGAACCUGCAUAUGGUCGAAAUCCUUGACCAGAACCCAAAAGGUUAUUAAACUGCUUAAAACGUUGAUCCUCUUGUUCCUGGUUCAAGUUAUUUGGCCUGUAACUCUGAUUUCUUCCGGGAUAUCCAUAACCACGAUUCUGACUAUUAAACACACAUCCUCUACCAUAGCUAUGUCCCUCGCGGUUGCUUCCUCUUUGGCCUACAAAUGCAAAGUUAGGCUGAUCAAGAUCUCUAUCAAAUUCCACCUUCUACUGUACCUCGGAUUUUCUUUGUCCAUAGUAUGCUAGAUUAGGAUUAUACUAGCUUGAGGAUUAGCUUUGCAACCUUGUUUCAAAUCUCUCUAGCUGUGAUAUUACUUCAUCAUAUUCCGGUUGAGGCUUCAAGCAAUACAUGGUAGUUAUGAAAUUCUCAUAUUCAAUUCCUAAUCCCUCCAAAAUGCCAAACAUCUUAGUUAUCUCAUCUACAGGCUUCCCAAUCGCAUUUAAUUGAUCACAAAUUGAUUUGUAUUCCCUGAGGUAAACAAACAACAGCCGAUCCCGUUUCUGGCAGGCUUGGAGCUUCCCUCUUAAUUCAAACUCCAUAGCUACUGACCUCUGUGUGAAGCGAUUAAGUAAAGUUUCCCAUACCUCAUAUGACAUUUCCAAACCAAUGAUCAGACUCAGGAUAUUCUCAUAUACAACUCCACUGAUCCAUGAUGAUACCACUUGAUCAAUUCUUACCAAUCUGUAUAAUCAAGGUUCACAACUUCAACUUCAUGUCCUUCAACUUCAACCUGUAAUGUUUGAGCAGGUGGUGGAGUUUCACCAUUAAUGAAGCCAAAUAGCUCUUGGCUUCGCAAAAAUCUGUGGAAGUGUGCUUACCAAAGAAGAAAGUUGUCCUCAGCUAGCUUGAUUGUAACGAAGUUGGAAAUGUUAAAACGAAGUUGGAAAUGUUAACAUGGAUUGGAAAAGGAUAUUUCUGAGUUCUUGUUGCCAUUUUCGUGCUCUUAGAGAUGGCUCUGAUACCAUGAGAAGAUUUAUGGAAAGAAUGAGAAGAAGAAGAGAGAUGAGUGUAGUGAUAUUGCUAGUAUGAGUACCUAGAGGGGGGUGAAUAGGUAUAUAAAAGAUUUUUCUUCAACAAUCGCACAAUACUAGACAGUUGAUGGAUUUUAGACAAACGAUAAUCAAAGUAAGACUGAGAGAAGAGAAAAUUGAACACGCGGUUUAUAGUGGUUCGGCUUAUAUCAAGCCUACGUCCACUCUUCUUCACUGACAGCCUAUUGGCUGGAUUCCACUAUGAACAAAAGAGAAGUUACAGCACAGCUUUGCCUUGAUUCCACAGUAUAGAUGUUCUACCACACCUCCUCAAGAUUUCUCACAAAUAUAGACUCUUUUUUGUAUACAAGUAUUCGCUCAAAGGAAUUGUCUAAACAAAAAUGAGCUUCAGACUUUGGAAUUCUUCUAUCGCGCACACCUUGAACAACUAAGACCGUCUUCCUUAUAUACUCCUUUAUGCCAUCAUACCCGUUGGCACUUACCAAAGGAAUUCCUCCAAUCUACCCGUUGGACGGAAUCAAUUAGGAAGAUUGUUCAAGCUAUUAAAGGAACAUGUUGAUAGCCCAUCAAUCCUGUUCACCCAUACAAUCAGGAUCUUGGUUUCCAUAAGUAGAACAUUCCAAUAAUAUUUAGACAAUCACCGGAUCUUCAAUUAUCGAGUCAAUCUUCGAUCAAUCAAAGGACUCCGUUAUGUCUUUUCCAGCCACGAGAUCUUCUCCAGUUGAUAAGGUUAAAUCCUUAACGAAACAUCCAGUUCUGGAUAACCUUUCUUCAACGGAUUAGAGACUGUCAAUGAUGAUAGACUUUGAGUCUUGAGUCUGGCUGUCCGGAGGUCUUCAGACUUUAAAUAACAGAGUCUGCAAGCCUUCAGACUAGACUGAUAGAAACGUUUUGUCAACUUCAAAACACUUCAAGAAGAUUUCUCCAACAUGUAGAUGAAGAAUUUGAGCUUUCAUGAUUUCUUCUCUCUGUGUUCUAAGAAAAUGUUCAUCUGAGAGCUUGCUCACUCACUUGCUCUAUUUUCUAUUUAUAUUACAUACUCAGAUCCAAAAAACAACCAAUGAUAGUUUUACAGCUCAUCUAAUAGAGAGACAAAAUAACAGAAAACAGAAUGAAAGAAGAAGGAUUGUGGAUCCCAGUCUGUUGCUCGACUUCUUGUUCUAUUAAGAGCACAAAACAGAGAAACAAUUAUGCAGAGCACCACUCAUAGUUUGACACGUAGAGCUAUAGGAUUCACCACUGACUUCAUCUCUUUUCUUCCUUGUUGAAAUAGCAACCCCGGGCAUACACAUAGCAGAUGAUUCGCUCACUUCAUUUCUUCUCAUCUUUGUUAAAAGAGCAGUAGCAGCAUCUUCAUUUCUUUUCUUCUUUGUUGAAAUAGCAGCACCAGACUGUGCGAGAUGAGUCUGAACAAACGAUGCCAUGAAGUCCACAAGGGGAGCUCAAUCUAGAUCUAGGGUUGAUCCGAGGUCUAGCAAGGCAAGCGACCGCCUUAGCCGGUCUAUGGGAAGUCAAGGACCAUCGUUGGCCCUAUGCCGAACAUUGGCUAGGAGUCGGAACAAGGGAUAGUCAGCUUGAUCCGAGGUCAUCAGCGAUUUUCCUCAAGCUUGGAGGGGGGGCCAUAGGGGUCGUCAACGGCGUCGUAGUCAAAGAAUAAAAAAAGACGAUGAACAAUAGCGUGAUGCAAAGACGAUGAACAUUAGUGCUCUGUUUGUUUUGCGAAGAAUAAAUAAUUUAAAAAUAUUUUCCUAAAGAUGAUCGCUUGUAUCAAUUGAAAUAAUUAGUUAAUGGAAUAUAUUUUUAAUAUCGAUAAUAAUUUAUAACUGAACAUCUCCGUGAUAAUAAAAAUAUUUUCCAUCUAUUAAUUUUCAUAAGUGAUAUAAACGAUCAUUUUUUUUUUUGAAAAUAUUUUUCAUAUCAUUAGCCUAAGUAUAGCAGUGAAUAUGGACAGCAUUUAUGCAUAAAUGUUAAAUCCACAUGAGUUUGCUGAGGUGGAUUUAUUGCUGACGUGGAUUUAUCGCUGACGUGGAUUUAUCGCUGACGUGUAAAUGCCACUUCAGGCACGUUGGAAGAAGGAUUAGCAUCGGGGCAAAUUUAGGACUUGGACGACAGUUUGUGAUUUUUUUUUAAACCAAAAAAUUUGGGUUUUUUUAGGGUAUUGAACCCACUAAAAGUGACCAAAUUUUGGUUAUUACCGAUGAAAGCAAAGUUUGGUUAAAACAUAAGUUAUUAAUGAACUGAACCGUAAAUGAAUUGAAUAAACUGGAUAACUUACCGAUGAAGUUAUCGAUAGAAAAUAAUACAUAGAUUAUCGACAAGCCAUCAACAACAAAUAGUUACCACAAAUAAUUGCAAAUUUUCUGUGAAAUAUUGAGGCUGUGUAAUUCAUGAUCAAAACGGAGGUUUGCCAAUACAUUAGUAGGCAAAUACGAUGGAUUGACACCAAACACGGGAUUAUAAGGUGGUUAUGCCUAUAACGAUGGAAUUUAUGACUUCUUCUGGAUACUCGCUGUCAAAUGAUAGAGGAUAAUGUUUAUAAUCUCAUCAAGCAUAUUGCUCACCAAUAAUUGUCAAUAGUGCUAGGAAAUUAUUUGUGGAUUCAUAUCAAUAACUGCCUGUCAAAACUGCCCCAUGGUAAGAGAGAAAGCCCCACGCUAUAAUCAUUGUAAACAAAAUCAAUCGACACCUAAUUUUCUAUUCUUAUGCACAUUUACUCUCUUUUUUAAUUUUCCAGCAAAUGUACCGUUUUAGCACCUUCAUAAUUUCGUACUUUCAAUUAUUCUCGCAACUUUUAAUUUCAAAUAUGUGCACUUCAAUUUCUUUACCUCUAUAGCCAUUUACAUUCUUGUCUAGAAUCAACAAAGAAUCUAUUUUCCUGAAUUUCUAUCGAUCCUAUUCAUCUAUUGAUAUUUACACUUUUCUGUGAAAUAACAGCCUCAUUGUUUACACCAAUCAAUGUUUGGAGUUCAAGAGCGUCUUAAUUAUUCCACAAACAUGAGUUACUUCUUCUUUUUUUAUCACUAAUGAAUUUUGAUGUUAUAACUUCCAAACGAAGAGUGUGUGAAGAGUGGAAAUUAGAGAAUCAUAGUCUGCAUGCUCUGUAAUUUAUUUUCCAAAAAAAAUCCGAUCAGUUAUUGUAAGAAAAGAGUCAUUGUGCGACAAUAGAUUUUCAAUUAUUCGAUGGACAUUAAUUCUUGUACAUGUGUAAGGUGACAAUCGAUAAGGAAAGGUCUAAGACACGCUUGAUGGCGAUGGAUCUAUAUCUCUCCAAACAUGUCCUAUUUUCUGCAGUACAAUCCCACAUGUCCCGUCCCAUAAAGCUUAAUCCAUUAAAUUGUGAGCCAUAGAAUUCAUGAGCAACUAUAGAAAUUAUUCGUGGAUUCAGAUCAAUAAGUGCUUGUAAAAACUCCCCCAUGGUAAGAGAUAAAGCCCCACGUUAUAAUCAUUCUAAACAAAUUCAAUCGACAACUAAUUUUCCAUUCUUAUUCACAUUUACUCUCUUCUUUAAUUUUCCAGCAAGUGUACCGUUUUAGCAUCUUCAUAUUUUCCUACCUUCAAUGAUUCUCGCAGCUUUUAAUUUCCAAUACAUGCACUUCAAUUUCUUUACUUCCAUAGCCAUUUACAUUCAUGUCUAGAAUCAACAAAGAAUCUAUUUUCCUCAAUAUUCAUCGAUCCGAUCCGAUCCGAUCCGAUUCAUCUAUUAUUUACACUUUUUGGUGAAAAACUAGCCUCAUUAUUUGCACUAGUCAAUGUUUGGAGUUGAACUCGUGUCGAGCGUCCUAAUUAUUUCCUAAACAUGUGUUAAUUUUUUUUUUAUAUCACUAAUGUAUUUUGAUGUUAUAACUUCCAAAUGAAGAGUGUGUGAAGCAUGGAAAUUAGAGAAUCAUAAUCUGCAUGCUCUGUAAUUUAUUUUCCAAAAAAAAUCCGAUCAGUUAUUGCAAGAAAAGAGUUAUUGUGUGACAAUAGAUUUUCAAUUAUUCGAUGGACAUUAAUUCUCGUACAUGUGUAAGGUGACGAUCGAUAAGGAAAGGUCUAAGACACGCUAGAUGGUGAUGGAUCUAUAUCUCUCCCAACAUUUCCUAUUUUCUGCAGUACAUCCCACAUGUCCCGUCCCAUAAAGCUUAAUCCAUUAAAUUUUGAGCCAUAGAAUUCAUAAGCAACUAUAGAAAUUAUUCGUGGAUUCAAAUUCUUGUAAAAACUACCCCAUGGUAAGAGAUAAAGCCCCACGUUAUAAUCAUUCUAAACAAAAUCAAUCGACAACUAAUUUUCUAUUCUUAUGCACAUUUACUCUCUUCUUUAAUUUUCCAGCAAAUGUACCGUUUUAGCAUCUUCAUAUUUUCCUACCUUCAAUGAUUCUCGCAGCUUUUAAUUUCCAGUACGCGCACUUCAAUUUCUUUACUUCCAUAGCCAUUUACAUUCCUGUCUAGAAUCAACAGAGAAUCUAUUUUUCCUCAAUAUUCAUCGAUCCGAUUCAUCUAUUGAUACUUACACUUUUUGGUGAAACACUAACCUCAUUGUUUGUACUAGUCAAUGUUUGGAGUUGAAGUCGUGUCGAGCGUCCUAAUUAUUCCACAAACAUGUGUUACUUUUUCUUUUCUUUUUUCACUUAUGGAUUUUGAUGUUAUAACUUCCAAAUGAAGAGUGUGUGAAGAGUGGAAAUUAGAGAAUCAUAGUCUGCAUGCUCUGUAAUUUAUUUUCCAAAAAAAAAAUCCGAUCAGUUAUUGCAAGAAAAGAACUAUUGUGUGACAACAGAUUUUCAAUUAUUCGAUGGACAUUAAUUCUCAUACAUGUGUAAGGUGACCAUCGAUAAGGAAAGGUCUAAGACACACUUGAUAGUGAUGGAUUUGUAUCUCUCCAAACAUGUCCUAUUGUGUGCAGUACAAUCCCACAUGUCCUGUCCCAUAAAGCUUAAUCCAUUAAAUUGUGAGCCAUAGAAUUCAUGAGCAACUAUAGAAAUUAUUCGUGGAUUCAAAUCAAUAACUGCUUGUAAAAACUCCCCCAUGGUAAGAGAUAAAGCCCUACGUUAUAAUCAUUCUAAACAAAAUCAAUCGACAACUAAUUUUCUAUUCUUAUGCACAUUUAGGAGGCAUUUGGUAAUAAUUCUGUUCCCGGGAACAAUUUUUUAUUAGAAAUGUUUUUUUCAGAUUCUAUUCCCAGAAAUAAUUUCUAAGCAAAAGAACGCGCUUGACUGUCCAAAAUUUUUAUUCCCGAGAUCGAAAUGCGUUUGGUAGGAUUCUUAAAUUAUUUUGUUUCUUUUAACUUUUUUAUACUUUUAUUAUAUUUUUCUUAUUUUUAUCUUUUAUCUUUUUCUUUUUUUUUUCUUUUCUUCUUCCUCCUUCUUUGUAGCCGAUCGCCGGCCACGGCGAUAGCUAGUGACCAGCUAGGCGAGGUCCGGUAAGCUCGCUAGAGCCUCGCCAGGCCAGGGCAAGGUCCGGCCAGCUUGUCGGAGGCUCACCUAGCCAAGGCGAGCCUUGGCCUCACUAGAAAGCCUCGCCAUGGCUCGACAUCACCAGGGGUCGGUGACACUCUGACGAGGUCACCGGCAAAAGGAAGAAGAAGAAAGGGGAAGAGAAAAGAGAAGAAAAGAGGAUAAAAGGAAAAAAAAAAAAAAAAAGAAGUGAUUCUAGGAAUUGUUCUCGGGAACAGAAAACAACUUUUUUCUACUUCUAAUUUCUAUUCCAAAAUAUAUUCCCAAAAACAAAAAUUUUACCAAACGGAUUUCUGUUCUUUUUUCGUUCUGAAUAAUAAAAUAACAGAAAUAGUUGUUCCGGGAAUGGUUGCCAAAUAGGGCCUUACUCUCUUCUUUAAUUUUCUAGCAAAUGUACCAUUUAAGCAUCUUCAUAUUUUCCUACCUUCAAUGAUUCUCGCAGCUUUUAAUUUCCAAUACAUGCACUUCAAUUUCUUUACUUCUAUAGCCAUUUACAUUCCUGUCUAGAAUCAACAAAGAAUCUAUUUUCCUCAAUAUUCAUCGAUCCGAUUCAUCUAUUGAUAUUUACACUUUUUGGUGAAACACUAGACUCAUUGUUUGCACUAGUCAAUGUUUGGAGUUGAAGUCGUGUCGAGCGUUCUAAUUAUUCCACAAACAUGUGUUACUUUUUUUUUAAUCACUAAUGGAUUUUGAUGUUAUAAAUUCCAAAUGAAGAGUGUGUGAAGAGUGGAAAUUUGAGUGUCAAAGUCUGCAUGCUCCGUAAUUUAUUUUCCAAAAAAAAAAAAUCCGAUCAGUUAUUGCAAGAAAAGAGUUAUUAUGUGACAAUAGAUUCUCAAUUAUUUGAUGGACAUUUAUCCUCGUACAGGUGUAAGGUGACAAUCAAUAAGGAAAAGUUUAAGAUGCGCUUGAUGGUGAUGGAUUUGUAUCUCUCCAAACAUGUUCUGUUAUGGGCAGUACAAUCCUAGAUGCUUGUCCCAUAAUGCUUAAUCCUUGAAAUUGUGAGCCACAUGAUUCAUAAGCAUCUCCAGAUAAAUCUUCAUUGCUCUAAAAUAUCUCAAUUUGCCAAUUGGAGCACCUCUGGCCAAAAAUAACGAUGCUAAUGUGAAAUUGACACCCUAGAUAUCUAGAAGUGAGUGCACACAUAAACUCAAUUGGUCCUUUUCUAAUUUUUUCUAGUUAACAAUAGGAUAAGUUAAAAUUGAACAAUGCUAAGAAAGGUGGCGUGCAUUCACAUGUCAAAUGAAUGCACAUGUAAACUUAAUCUAGAUAUAUUUACUCUCCAUCGGCUUCGCCCACAGCUACACCAGUUGCACUAGUACUAGCCUCCAUAGCAUCGCCAUCAAUCCGGGCUUUCUCGCAAGCGUAACCAUCUCUCUCUCUCUCUCUCUCUCUCUCUCUCUCUCUCUCUCUCUCUCUCUCUCUCUGGGCACAAGCUUCGUCCAGUAAUCAAACCAAGAGGAGUAUAAGUGUAUUAAAAGUUUUAAAAUUUGUUGAAAAGUGCAAUCGAACCAUAAAAAUUUUUAAGGAAGUGUAAUAAGGUCUUAGAAUUUGUCAAAGUUGAGUAAUCAAAUCCCUUUGUCAACUCUAUGUAAUUUGGCUGCCAGAAAACGUGAUUAUUUUAAUUACCUUUGUUAUGAUCAAAGCGUAAACUACGAUGAAACUGAAACUAAGGAAAACAAAAAAGAACAUGCAAAUUGGAAACUCUCGUGGGAAAAAACUACGGAGAGCGAAGAAGCAAAAUCUACUAUGAAAAUUCAAGAAUUAUCAAAGGAGCUCGAAAAACCUAAAGACUCUUUUUAAACCUAAUAACUUGGGAAAAAUAAUAUUUAUAUUGCUCCAUAAGGCGAGGCACAAUCCUCGCACCUCUGCCGAGAAUUAGUUUUGGGCUACUGGUUUGCGCCUCAACCAACACUAAGCCUCCAUUUGUUUUUCUCAGAUCGGGUUGCCACAAAUUUCAUUUUGAGUAUCAAUACUCAAUUUGGACCGAAUACCCGAGAACAUAAUUCAAGACAUACUCAACAACUUUCUUGAGACACGUGGUGCCCACUAAGCACCACAUCAAAUAAUAAAACUUUUGGGAAAAAAAUUAAAGAAAGAAAGAGAGAGUAAAAGUAAAAUAAGAAGAAAAGGAUCAUGUUCGAACAAUAGCCUAAUAAUGAAAAGCAAAAAAAAAAAAAAAAAGCAAGACCUCCGCCUCUGGUCUCCCAAAGAAACAGUGGUUUCGGUUCUUGCGAGCGAAAUUUGAGAUUAAAGGGAAUGAAUCUCUUUUGAGGGGGGGUUUCAAACUUCGCAGAUCGCCUACGGAGACUUCUUGGAUCAGUUUCAAAUAUGAAAGGCUCCACUAUUCUGCCAUGGCUGUGGUAGGAUUGGCCAUGGCCGCCACAGCUGUAUCUUCAUCACAGAUGCUGCGUCGACGGAGAGGUGCUCUCGAAUUUGCGGGCUGAAUCCAACCUUUUCUACAUCGACCCAGUUCAGUCGGUUCCAAUUCGCAAUUUUGAUCAGGUGCACUAAAAAUUUGAAAAAGACCUCCUACUCACGCGAACAUAGCCAAAAAAAGAAAAAAAAAUGUUCAGGAGGAAAACGUAGAUGUCUACGCUAGGACAAAGACAUCAUCCCCCUUUUUUUUCUGGUCUGAAUCCGCCUUCUAUCAAGGAGGAGCUUUGCAGUAGUUCCAACAAAAACCCCAUAUGGGAGGAAAAGGGUAAAGGAGAAGGGGAGUCACAAAUCAUUUACAAGCAAUCGGUUCAAACUGAAGUUGAAGGAUGACUCCCCAUUUCAAACAAAUUAGGCGGCAGUAAAUGUUAAAUCCUGUUUUAUGCAAUAAAAAAUGCUGUGUCUUAACUCAUUACAUAAAUAAUCCAUAUCGUUUUCAAAAUAUAAAAACACAAAGAAGAAAUAGUAUCACUCACUUGAGAAAGCAAAAAAUCAAUCUACGAUGGUUACUCGAGUUGAUGCAUUUAUUCCUAUUUUCCAUAAUCAUCCAUGUGCAUAAUGUGUGGAUGGCUCCAAGGGCCUCUUUUGAACGAAACACCAUAAUAUUGAUUCCAACGGGAGUAGCCCCCGCCCACGACGCCAAAUACUUACUUGUAAUUAUAAAGGGAAAACCAUUUGCAAGUUGAACUAGAAACACAGUGGUUUUGUUCCUUUCGCUUUAUCUGUUUUGUCCUUAUCGAGUCUCUGGUCCUAUAAAUUUCUGCCUCAAUCGACCAAACCCUCCGACAAUCAUCAGCAGUUCCACUCCCUGAUUGAACAAUUACAUGCACAACAGUUUCAGCACGAUGGCUCUCACCUCCCUCCUCCUCCUCCUCCUCUCUUCUCUCCAUGUCAGUAAUUUGUCAAGCUUUCACUCUCCAUGCGUACCCAACUGCUCAUCUCUCUCUCUGUGUUUUCAUGGAAAGACAGGGCUAUAUAUUUAAUUUGAUAUCUCGUGCUUAAUUAGUAUAUACUUUUUACCUAAGAAUUGCUGAAAAAAUUUUGCGGCCAUAAUACUCCGUUAGCAAUUACUUCUUAUCCAUUAUUUUUUGACUCAAUCUCUCUAUACUAGUUUACAAUGCAUAGGUUAUCGGACCAAAUGGGGAGCCCAGGCUUCAUAAGAACUAUUCAAUAUAAUUUACGCAUGCAAGAAACUAAAUAUGUUAGUUUGCAUCAAAAUCCAACCUCAUAAUAUCAUAUAUAUCUUCAUAUCCAAAAAAAAUAUUAUAUAUAUAUUUCGUUUGCGUUAUCUUAACGUGUGUCAGUAGAUCAAUCGUGUUUAUGUGUUCUUUAAGCUAACAAAGAAAUGUGAAAGGAACGUAGAUAAUCAAGUGAACAUAUAAUGCUCUGGUAAUAUGAAGGCACGUAAGUUGCAAAAGUCAUUUUAAAUGAUUGAGCAUGACGUAACUACUUUUAGACACGAGCAUCAGAUAACAUACAUUAAUGAUUGUUAGGAAUAUAUGUUCAUUGUAAAGAUAAUUCCAAUCAUGCUAUUAUGCGGUUCUAAUUUCAUGUCACGUGACUUGUACUUUUUUGCAUGUUCAUUACAAUUUUCCGUAUGUCUAUUUUACUUCCAUAAUUAUGUCAUUGCACAGUUAUUUAAGUCCAUGACGUUCAUUCUAAUCGUGAUUAUAUAAACUUCUAGCUCACAGUCACUCUUUGAUUUUCUUUUGUGGAUUGUCCUGCGAUAGGUCCUCAGCAUUGUCGCUAGGGCCACUCCCGAGGCCGACUUCCUCGCCCGCGAGGCUAACUCGAUCUCUCCCAAAGCAUACCUUGUCCAUUACUGGAACAAGCAAAUCACCAACAACCUUCCCAAGCCACCAAUCCUCUUCUCCAAAGCGUCACCUCUGACGGCCGCGUCAGCGACCAUCUUCGCCGAACUCGUUGCCAAAGGCGCCAUCUCUGACCACCUCCUAUCGUUCUGCGAGGAGGCGCAAUUGCUCUGCUUCAUGAACUCAUCAUCUGAUACAAAUCCGCACAAAGCAUACGUAUACGGCCUCUCCCCCACCGAUACAAUUGUGGCAACUGAUGACAAGAAAGUAAAUGGGGGCGUGGAGCAGGGCUUGUUCUUUCGAGAGUCGAUGCUGAAGAGCGGGAAUGUGAUGCCAAUGCCCGACAUGCGGGAUAACUUGCCCAAAAGGUCAUUUUUGCCUCGCUGCAUUUCCUCCGAACUGCCGUUUUCAACCUCGAAGCUCGCUGAGCUGAAGCAAAUCUUCCGUGCCAUUGAAAAUUCCGCUAUGGGGAAGAUCAUGGCGCAAACGCUAGGCGAGUGCGAGGGUGCAGGAGUCCAAGACGAAAGCAAGAGGUGUGUGGCCUCCAUCGAGGAUAUGAUCGACUUCACCACCUCGGUUUUGGGUCAUGACGUCAUGGUCCGAUCCACGGAGAGUGCCAGAGGGUCGAAGCAGGAGGUCUUGAUCGGGGUGGUCAAGAGGAUCGAGGGCAGCGAAGUGAGCAAGCCCGUGGCCUGUCACCAGAGUCUAUUUCCUUACAUUGUCUAUUACUGUCAUACAUUUCCAAACGUCCGAGUUUACGAAGCAGACAUACUAGAUCCCAAAUCCAAGGCUAAGAUCAAUCACGGUGUCGCCAUUUGUCAUAUGAACACAUCAACUUGGAGCCCUACCCACGAGUCAUUUCUGUUGCUUGGAUCGGGUCCUGGCCAGAUCGAGGUCUGCCAUUGGAUAUAUGAGAAUAGCCUGAUAUGGACAAUUGCCAAGUCAUAAUGGAAGAACGAAGUGUGGUCAAGAUGGAAUAAACAUGGGUUCGGCCUGGUGAUCAAGAUAGAACUUGGUCUUUAGCUACCUCCAACCGAAAAUCNNNNNNNNNNNNNNNNNNNNNNNNNNNNNNNNNNNNNNNNNNNNNNNNNNNNNNNNNNNNNNNNNNNNNNNNNNNNNNNNNNNNNNNNNNNNNNNNNNNNUUUUUUUUUUUUUUUUUUUUUUUUUUUUUGUGAUUUGAGUACAUGUUCAAUUCUUUUGCAUUCUCCUGUCCUUUGUUACUAUCUUCGAGAAUUUUCUUCAAAUUUCGACGAGGACCAAUAACUAUUUUCACAGUACUAUUGUUAUAUAAACGAGAGACAGAUAAGAAUGCAGUUGUUUUUUGAUAAAAGAAAAAAACGAAAAGCUGCAAAAAUAGUUCAAGUGGCCCAGUGGUUGGGAGUCCCAACGUGAUCGUUUUUAUACGAGAAGAACAAGAGCUGCCCGGUUCAAUCUUGAAGUGGCACUUCCCACUUUUUCUCCCUCUGAAUUUUGCUUUUCAACUUUUCUGCAUUUAUCUUUUGUUUGCACUUUCUCGGUUACAUAAACUGCAUAUCAUCAGAUCAUUGCUUUCUUUUUUUUCUUUUCUUUAUUUUGCUUUUUUUAACCAUUUGUCAUUGGAAAAAGAUAAUUCAAUAAGAACCCACAAUACGCGAUUAGACUUCUAAAAUCCUAAAAACUUCACAUGAAUGAUUCUCAUAUGAUAAAAAUGUAAAAACUAAAUUUAUUUUUGUUUCGCUGGAAUUGCUCUCUUAAUUAAAUAUCUUUCACCGAAAGUUAUUCUUUGGUUUUAUUAAAGAGGACAAGGGUUAUGUGCCAACUCCAGACAAUGGAUAUCUUAUGCAAUAAGGAAUUGAACUUCUUUGGUCCUGUCGCGACCUACCCUCGGGGGGAGGGAACAGGUUUAGGGGUAUUGCCUAAAAGACGGGCCUAAGGCCCAUGAUUAGGCGCGAGCUCUCCCAAGCCUAUACCCCGCAUGACGUUGGGAUAUUCUUAAGAAAUUUUGCAUAAAAGGAGUCGCCACUAGCCUAUUGGGGUCGGCUAGAAACCAAGUGAGGCAUGGGAGUGUACCUCACUUCCUACGCAACCAGAGAAUUUAGGUUCGGGGACUUGAUUACACUAAUUAACCAAUUAGUGCCCUUUCGGUACCUAAUCUUGUUCAUUUUAACAAAAUGAUUUUUGGCAGGCAAUUUGGAUUGAUUUCAUAUUUAUCCACUAACAUGUGAGGUGAUCAUGCAGGCGCGCAAUCAUUAAAGUAAUAAUCAUAACUACCAAGAUCCUAAUUACAAUAAGAUUAAACACAUGCAAUCAAACAUAAUUAAAUAUGCAAAUUAAACAUACGACAUAAUCAAUAUGCAAGCAAAUAGAUGUCUAAUUACACUAAGAAAGCAAGAUAUAGCAAUUCCUAACCAAAUCACAUCAUUUUUGGAUUUUCGAAAUUUUUUAUUUUUGAUUUUUUUUUAAAAAAAAUUAUUUUUAAACAAAAUUAAUUUUUUUUUAAAAAAAAAUUGAAACUAUUUUCAAUAUUUAAUAUUUUUUUUGGAUUUUCGAAAUUUUUUAAUAUUUUUAAUUUCUUUUUAAAUAAUAAAAUAAACUUAAAAAUAAAAUUCGGGGCCGGACCGGGUCGGGUCCAGUCUGACCCGACUUGGGUUCAGCCCGUUCAAUGUGGGUCGGGUCCGGUCGUAGACCGGACCAGAUUUUGGCCUCGUCGGCGGCAACGGGCCCGAGUGGGCCCAAAAUUCUUUUUUUUUUUUUAAUACUUUAGUCAAGGCCCAAAGAAAAUUAAAAGACCCACCUAUUUCCUAAGCCCGCGAGAGCCCAACCCAAUUUACCUGAAUCUGAAGCCCGGCCCGAAGACAGACCCAAGGCUGACCCACUUCGAAGACCAAACCCUACCCAGUUUGGAGGGUCGCUUGACCCGGUUCUGACCCAAUUUGAGCCUCCUUCUCCAAGGCUUCUUGGCGGCACUGACACCGGGCAGCGAUGGCGGCGACGGCGGCGGCGCAGCGGGUGGCGGCGGCACAGGCAGCAACGGCGCGGUGCUGGUGCCGCAACGGGAUCGAAGGAGUGGCGUCAGCGGCAGUGGGCAGCGGCGGCGUCGUGGCUUCGGGCAGAGGAGCGGCUCGGACGACGUCGUAGGGGCAGCCAGAGGGCGGCAGGAGGAGGCUUUUGCAGAGGGUCGUGGAAGCUCGAGCUGCAGGCGAGUCGGGGCGCAGCGGUGGUGGCGCAGCGGCAGAUGAUGCGGCGGAGGGGAAAGACUCCCAGAUCUAAUCAAGCGUGAUCAGAUCUGGGCCUUUGGCGGAUCUCCAACGCGACGGGGCGGACUGGUGCUAGCUGCAGGAGCGGCCGAGACCGGCGAAGGGCGCGGAAACAACGACAGCGAGGCGGAGCUUCAAACGGUUGCAAGGCGGCAGCGGUGCGGCGACUAGUUCAGAUCUGCUAGCGUCGGGGGGCGCUAGCGCGGCGUCAAGUGGGCAGAGGCAGGGACGCUGGAGGUGAGCUACUGCAGGAGUCGCUCAGAGGUGCUGCAACGGCAGGUAGCGGAGCGGCGAGCACUGGACGAAGGUGGCGCGAGGUCGACGGGCGGCGCUCGGGCGGAGAGGGCAUCGAGCGCCUGGUGGAGGUGGCGCGAGCGUCAGGUCGUCGCAGCUGCAGCAGGGGGUCACGGACGCGCGGGCUGCAGGCGAGUCGAGGCGCGGCGGUGGUGGCACUGUGCUCGCGGACAAGCGGCUCCACCGCGCCGCGGCCGACGCAGCGAAGGCUUCCCGCGGCCGCGGGGCGGAGCCGCUGAGGCUCCUCUUUUCAUUGCUCCCUCUCUCUCUGUUUUGAACUCACUCUCCCUCUCUCCUCCUCCUGUCCCCCCUUUUUUUUGUUUCUCUCCCUCUGUCUUCACUUUCUCUCAUGUUUCUCUUCUGUUUUGCAGGUCCGCGUGCGAAGGAGGAAGACAGCCAGGCGUGGGCUGGAGGGGAAAGGAAGCAAGGCCGAGCCUAGGCCAGAUCAGGCCCAACUCGACCCCUUAAGCAUUUUUUGUUUUUUUUGGUUUUUUUAUGACAAUUUUUUUAUUUUUUUUAGCAAUUAAUUCCUAGUUUUGUAUGCGAUUAAGUUUUAAGUAAAAUAGUAAAAUUUAGGUGUCAACAGGUCCAAACAACAUUGAUUUUAGGUUGAGUCAGAAUUAAUCAACAACAAGGCAAAAAAAAAGUUACAAGGCCAAUCUCAAACUAUGUUGGAAUUUAAUCAACAACACAAAUUAAGGAUAGUAAGAUGUGGAGUUGGAAUUUAAUCAACAACACAAACUAAGGAUAGUAAGAUGUGGAAUUGGAAUUUAAUCAAUGACAAUAUACGAGGAUAGUAAGAUACAAUACUGGAAUUUAAUCAACGACGAUGUACCAAGAUACAGAAACACGUCGGAAUCUAAUUAACAAUGAGAAUCUAAAAGCUAUAGCUAGGAAAAAUAAAGUGUAGUACAGGAAAAGCAAAGAUAAAAAGAUAACAUUUUGAUUGAUUUAUCAUAUGACUUCUGGUUGGAUGACUGGUGGUAUGAUAAACGUUUGGUAGUUACGUCUUCUCUAGUGCCUACUACUGGCUUUGUCCAUGAUCCUUUAUUCUCAUAGAUCACUUUGCCCAUACUUCAUAUAACUGUCCUAGUCGUGUUUUGAGGAUUAUGCAACUGUCGAUGCCAUUCCAUGACUGGGGCUCCAAAUAGCAAUUGAUUUUUUACAACGUGCGCCUUUGAUGCUAACUACCUUAGUGCCUUGAGUAAUAUUCAAAGUGUCUCCAUUGAAAAAGUUGUUGCUAAAGUUCAUACGAGCGGCUAUUAAUCAUCCGUCAUCAUAUUUCAACAAUUGAGCACGUGGCAUUUCUUUAUCUCAUUGUCAAUCAUCGGAUAUCUACCCUAUGUCUAUUGAUAAUCUGGCAUACAUCAGACAUUACCCAUCCAUUAUGCACAUAACUGUAACUUAUUUCUGAAGAGCUACAGCCGAGGUAAAUCUCAACUUUAAUAUCAGCUAUAUAGUUCACAAUUUCACGAAAGAUCCUAUAUUUAUGAGAGGACAUGUAACAUUUCAAUUAAGAUAAAUAUUUGUCACAUGUAUUUCCUUGUUUAUAUAAGGGACCCAAUUUGUCAUGCGAUUGAUAAAUCUCUUCGUUUGUAGCUAUACUUUUAUCUUUUAACAAUCUUAGCCCAUGGAUCAUCUUUUAACAAUCUUAAGUAAGAGUUUUCCUAAUGUGGACAACAUUAAUUGAUAUUGUAAUUUACCGUUUUACGAUUACCGUUUUACGGGAUUGGUCUAAGGUGAGAUAGAAGGUUUCUUAAUUAGUCUAAUAUGGGGUUAGCUAGUGUGGGCCGAGUUGAGCCUGGCUCGUAAUAAAAGGGCCUGGUUAGAAACUCUAUAAAUAGUGCUCAAGCCUCUCCUCUAACCCUAAUUCUUACAAGUAUCCUCACAUAAGGAGCGUUUACCUAGCGCUAAAGGGUGAGGGGUUAUCUCAUUGAACCAGUGAUAUGGAGAGCAAUAGAGGAGAAUGACUUGCACGUUGAUCAUCGCUUUUCCGUUUCCGCAGCAAGAACAAUGGAUUCCAAUACAGGUGCGUUAAUCUUUCUACCUAUUCAUCUAUACUCUUGUUCUAAUUAUGGACAUCUUGGGGUAGCACGUUUUGCAUCUUACAUAUGGUAUCAGAGCCGCCAUAACCCUAGAACUCGAACGCAUAAAAUUUUUACCCUAACCGGUCAACUGUUGAUCGGACCGAACAGUCAAGCCAGGAACCGGUCGGACUGCUUCCGGUCGGAUAGGUUUUUGAUCAGUCUUUUCACCCGCACGUGAGCUCUACGCACCGCGCACUCAGGCGGCGCGUGUGGGAGCGUGGGAGCUUCGAUAGGCGCGUGGCUGGUGGCAUCAAAUUCGUAUCGCCAUUCUCUAUCUUGUGGUGUGUUUAUUUUACAUGUUUGAUGAUUUUAUGGAUGUGAAAAUACAUACGAAACCCUAAAUACAUAUAUUUUUAGUGCAUUUGUACGUAUUUUUCUUGUAUUUUUCUGUGAUUUUGGAAAUACAGGUGUUGGGUUACAGGUAUGUUAUCACAUAAACAUUAUAAAAGUGUGAUUCAUUAAUAAAAGUUAAACUUUAUUGUGAACUGAAACUGACUUAAUGAGAUACGACCAUUAUGAGAUAGUAAUUGAACUAUGUAUUGAGAUGAUGAGAAACAGUAAAAGGCUAUGAAAAUUUUGUCGCUCAAGUAUACUCUUUUACACGCAUCUUGAUGUAUUUUUGUUUCUUUUUUAUAACCUUUGAACGAUGGACGUCUUAAGAACUCGUGACCAAACUAAUUAUACUACUUAACACAUCUGAUAAAUGUGAGUAAUGCAUGUCAGUUAAAUUAUCGGAUACUGUACCUAAACUCAUCUGGUCACUUGUUGAUGUCUAUCAAGUUGAACAUUUUUUAUAAUUAAGAAGUAUGACAACAUUUACGUAAGAGCAAUAGUAUCUACUGUUAUAGUUUAGAUAUUUGAUUCUACGGUUUGACUCAAUUAAUAGGCCACUAAUUGAUACAAUGAUAAUUUGUUACUUAAAAGUGGCUAAUAAAUUAGCUGUCAGGCUUGUCAAUCUGGGAUACCCUGUAUUGUUAUUGAUAUUAACUUGUGAGAGAUCCCUUGGAUCAACAUUCUUCUUUAUGUUGUUCUGGUAAUCUAUAAUAUGGGUGCACAAGAGACGCUUUCUUCUAUGUUAUGAGAAGUUUCUUGCGUUGCUAUGAUCGGUGAUCUUAUUGGAAUCUAUCUUUUAGGUCCUUUAUAUAUAUAUAUAUAUAUAUGAUUGAUUUUCCUAGAUGAAUAAAGUAGUGUAAUCAGCAUGAUAUGUGAUUUUGGUGAUUUACUGCCCCUAUCAUUAAAGUUAAAAUCACAUGUAUAUGAUAUAUGUGAGAAGCAAAGUUUAUAUCCCUAGUAUGAGAAAGUUUCAAGAAUUCAAUUGAGUAGUGACCGCCAAAGUGGUACACUUGAUUGGGUUUGAGAAAUAUCGGUCUCAUAUAAUGAUGGGGAUGUCUCAAGUUAUAAUGCGUAGUCAUACUUUCAAAGGAGGUGAUUGUGUAUUAGUUCAUGGAGGGAUACAUGAUGAUGUGGUGGAUAAGUGACUGAUCCUAGUGGUUCAUAUGCCCAAAGGUGAUGAAUUCACGAAAGUUAAAAUAUAUUCUCAUAACCGCUAUCAUGUAGGGAGUGUACAACUACAUGUCAUAUAUUCUGCCCAAAAGUAAUUAUAUGAUUUUGCAUGUAAUUCUCUGGAUGUGUACUUAUACGUCAAGUUACAUAGUGCUCACAUGAUGGUAAAUAUAUACAUUACUUGUUUUUUCAGUCGCCUUUUCUGUAAUUAAUAACUCUAUUAUUAUUGAGGUUUUUACUUGUUCAAAUUUUAAGUAGUUGAAAUAGAAUUUUCUAUUUGGUGAAAGAGUAAUCGGAUUUGCUCGUUAUUUAUGAAGCGUUUCAUUUAGGAACAUUUGAAAAGUGAUUUACCAACUGACUGCACUUCUUAAAGAUGAUAGAAGCUUUAGUGGCUUGAAAUUAUGUCUUGUCUAAUAUCGAAAUUAGGACACAUCUGCAAGGAUUUUUUAACAUAAUGAUAUAUGUGUCUCGUAUACGGUUGAAAAUGUUGUUUCCAAAAGUUUUCUGUCUUAAAGAAUCAUCUCACACAUGUCUAAAGAAAAAGUAGAAAAGUUGACAAUGUUGAUAUUCUGUCUACUAUUAACGGUUUUUUAAAGACUUCUAAAGAUUAUUGUGGAAAUAAAAUGACCGAGAUAAAAAAUAAAACAGUUAGAAUUAGUCUUAAAAGUUGUCAGGCCUAAUAGUGGCGGUAAGUAUUUUGGCAAGUAUGGCAAUACUGAAUAGCUUAAACGGACAUUUGUCAAAUACUAGGUAAAUUCUAGGGUGGUAACUUAAUUUACUAUGCCUGAAAAUCCUGACAAAAUGAUUUGGCUGAAAGGCAUAACUACACCAUAAUCAACAUGGUGAUGAGUAUGAUGAGUAAGACUAAUUUUUCAGGUCUUCUGUGGGUUGAUAUUUUGAAAGCAACUCUUUUCAUAUACAAAAACGUGUUUCUUAUCAAAGUUAUUCCCUAAACUUCUUUUGAGUUAUGGAUUGGACGUAAAUUUACUUGAAUAAUAGUAAAAUUUAGAGGUGUCACGCAGAAGUGAGGUUAUAUAAUCCAAUAUUAAGUGCGUUGGAAUUCAGAUCCACUUGAAAUUAUUUUAUAUCUUACCCAAAUUGUUCAAAGGGGUAUCGAUUUUAUAACAGUAAUGAAGGUACAAGUAUUAUAAAAUCACAGACAGUAAAGUUUCUAGAGUUCGACGUGAUUGUAAAGGAUAGUUACUCUCAGACUAUUAAGGAUAAUAGUACGAUGGAGAUCACUGUGCCUUUGUCUUUACCUAUACAGACAAUUGUGGAAUCUCCUAUACCAUAGACUAAACUUGUUGAGGUUCAAGGUACCAUUAUUGAUAUAGUUUACGUUGAAAUUUCUCAAACCUCUAAAUUGCAUAAUGAAGUGGUUGUAGCUUUACUCAGGAGAUUUGUUAAGGAAAAAUGAUCAGUUAUACCAUCAAACUACAUAAUCUAUCUGUGAGAACAUGACUUCAAAAUCUAUUGCAUGGUUAAUUUAGCCACUUAUAUAAUUAUUGUUUCUUGGCCUCAAUCAAGUAUAUGAUUAGAUGUCGUAAAAGACAAUAUGCAAUCUAUGAAAUUUUAUAGUGUUUGGAAACUUACUGACUUGCCUAAAGAUCACAAGUUCAUUAGUUGCAAAUAGGCGUACAAAACUAAAAGAAUUUCAAGGAAAGAUUGUGGAGUUUAAAGCUAAAUUGGUAGCUAAAGUUUUCAUCUGAAAGAGGGAUGGAUAGUUAAUAGUGAAAAAAUAAUUAUUUCUUUCUAGUAUUUUUAAAUAUUCUUUUAGAGUGAACAUGGCAUUAAUAGUUUAUUUUUGAUAUGGAGUUACGCCAAAUAGAUACUAUCUUUUCAAACGAACACUUUGUAUAGACUGAAAAGUCUUAUUCAUGGUUUAAAGCAAAUUUCCGGACAAUAUUAUUAAAGUUUCAUAAUGUUGUUAUUUUGUUCAGUUGGGAACAAAGUAAUUCAGUAUAUAUAUACUGCGAGGUCAGUGAGAGGAAAUUUAUUUUUCUCAUACUCUUUAUACAUGAUUUUUUUCUUACAAGUAGUGACCUUGAGGCAUGGCAUCUUUUGCCCUUUGCACUGAGGUCUGUAAGGGUUGUUCUCGCCAUAUAUGUCAGAUUUAUCUCGGAGGACAUUUGCUGAUCGUAUUUUGGAAAUAUUCAAUAUACAUUAUUGCAAGUCAGAAAUUGCUCAUGUCAUUAAGGGUGAUGGACCGAAUCUAUUAUAUUGUUCUUAUUUAGAUAUUGAGAAAAUCAUGGUGUACUUUGUGUUAGCGCACUUAAAAGUAUAAUGUAUGCUCAAAUUUGCACUAGACUAAAUAUCGUCUUUGCAACGGAACUUCUAGACAGAAAUCAGUCAAAUCCAAGACGCGAUCACUGGGUUGCUGCCAAGAAGGUUUUAAGGUACUUAAAGAGGACAAAAGAUUAAAUGAUAAUUUAUAGACAUGUUCAAUUCUUGCAACUAAUAAGGUAUUUAGAUGUAAACUUUGUUGGCUGUUAUGAUGAUAUGAGAUUAAUAACGGAAUAUAUAUUUGUAUUAAUAGGAAGUGCAAUAAAUAAAGUUCUAUGCCAUCUUCUACUAUGUAAGCAAAGUUAGUAACAUUCUUUUAAGCUGUUAUUUGGGCUAUUAGGCUCUGGAACCUCAUUAAGGAAUUGACUAUUUUUAACUUUAUGAAUAAACCCAUAUAAUUGUAUUGAGACAAUAACUUUGUAGUAUUAUUUAUUAGUAACAAAGGUCUCAAGGGGUCUAAAUAUAUGACAGUUAAUUUUUUUACCAUAAAGAAACAGUACAAAAAUGUGAUGUUAUAAUAUAACAUAUUUCCACAGAUGACGUGGUUGCAGAUCCACUAACUAAAGGACUUUAUUCUUCUGUUCUUGAAUGACAUAUCAUUAAUAUGAGCUUAAGAGCAUCAUCAUAUGCUGUUAUUUAGUAGGAGUUAUUUUGGCUUUACUCUAAUAAAGUUUACUUCAGUAUUCGUUAUACUUAGUAACGGUUUGAUAUGUAUCAACUUUUGCAUUCAAUAAAAUAUUUUUGAAUAUGUUGUCAUUAUGUUGAAUACAUAUUGAUAAAAGCCUCAAGGUAUUGUAUAAACCUUAAGUGAAGGCUGGGGGCAUCCGGUUAUUAGCUUUGUACAUAUGUCUUGUUAUACAUAAAGAAAUAUUAACCGUAAAGACAAGGCAUAUGUGGGUUCAUUGGAACCAUAAAGAUAAUCUCUAGUGGCACAAGUUUUUUGUGACGUUUAAGAUAAGAGAAUGGCGACUGAAAAAUGGGAUCUCUUUAUGAGAGAUGUUAUCCAUUUGCCACAUUACCAUAUUGAAUCCAUAUCAAUAAAAUUGAAAGCACUCAUGAUCAUGAAAGGCUCUAUGUAUGUACAUGCAGUUACCACCAUAAUUCGAUGUUUGAGACUUUAUGGGAUGGGAUUGACUAUUAAGAAUUAUUUUUAGACCAAGGUGCGCACAUACGGUACAAUUUCAAUUAAUAUAGUCCAAGUGAGAGAAUGUAAGAGUUUUCCUAAUGUGGACUACAUUAAUUGAUAUCGUAAUUUGCCGUUUUACGGGGUUGGUCUAAGGUAAGAUAGAAUGUUUCUUAAUUAGUCUCAUAUGGGGCAGGCUAGUGUGGGCCGAGUUAAACCUGGCCCGUAAUGAGAAGGCCUAGUUGGAAACUCUAUAAAUAGUACUCAAGUCUCUCCUUUAACCCUAAUUCUCACAAGUAUCCUCACAUAAUGAGCGUUUACCUAGCGCUAAAGGGUGAGGGGCCGUCUAAUUGAGCCAGUGAUACGGAGGGUAAUAGAGAAGAAUGACUUGCACGUGGAUCAUCGCUUUUCUGCUUCCGCAUCAAGAACGAUGGAUUCCAAAACAAGUGCGUUAAUCUUUCUACCUAUUCAUCUAUGCUCUUAUUCUGGUUAUGGAGAUCUUGGGGUUGCACGUUUUGCAUCCUACAUCUUAGCCCAUGGACCUGCAUCACUGAAUGGACACUUCUAAUGUAUUCGAUUCUUGGAUGAGCAUUUUUCUGGCUCGGCAGUGAUCGACCCAUGUGGCCACGAUGAAUAGUGGAAGCAAAAUUGACAUUGGUGAACAAAGCUUAACAGAGAAGAUGUCGAGUCCAAUUGAAGAAAUCGCACAGGACAGGGGUGGGACCGUGCAUCGAUAAAUCCAGGUUCUUUCUACGUAUUCUGUCGUUGGAAUGCAAGAGAGAUUAUUGAGAAAGUGUAUAAAUGAAGUCUCUAUUAUCUUUUACGAGCUAAGGGCAUAAGCAUAGAGGCUCAGUUAUCUAAAGGUUCUUGAACACUCUACAAGCCUCAUAAAUAGUUUGAGCCCUAGUUUUAUAAUUGUUGGCAGGUUUGGAUAAAGGUUCUAAGGCUUUGAUUGAGAAGUCAUGGGAAAUCAGGUGGAUAGGUUAUUUGCAUAUGGACAGUUCUAGUAAAAUUGUUGACUCUGGAGAAAUCAGCUUAAGGUUCUUCAUGGGAUCCAAGUACCACAUAGAUAGAUAUAUGCUAUUAGAUGGUUAUUUUUUUUCCACCAAAAAACAUCAUAUGAUAGAAAGUACGGGUUAUACCUAUUCCCUAAUGUAGUUUCAUUUUGUAAAUGAACCAAUUAGUCCUUUCCUCUCCUAAUCCCUGGAAAGUACGCGCACAACCUAGGGAUUUCAUUUAUCUCUUGUGGAAGUGAUUAUGAUUAGGUUUACUCAUAAUGGCGUCUAAUGACUUUAACCCUAAUUCAGGAUUAGCUAGCCAAUUACAGAGUGUCUCUACUGGAGUACAUGCACAUAUAUGGAAAAUCAAAGUUUCACAUCUUAAAAAUUUAUCAGAUCACUGUACAACUUGAUUAAUUAACCGAUAGCUGUCCAAUAUGAGAUACAGAUCGAUGCCCUUUUGUUGUUUAAUCGCAUUAAUACAAAAGACUUGUCCUUUUGCGAAAUUGGCAUUUUGCAUUAAGCCAUUUGUUUUGCAUUACCAAGACUUACCAUGUCUGAAGCAUAGAUAACUGCUUUUCUUUAAAUGCGUUUUUAUCAGUUAGAUUAAUGUGACUUACUACCUAAAUAGUUUUUGUUUGUAGCUAAUUCCAAAGUGUUUGUUCUUAUAAUCUUCCAGCCUUUCAUCAGUCUCAUGGGCUUUUUUUCCCAUCACCCUACUUUGUUUUGUGCUAAAACGCAAGACUGACGGCAAGUGUAUCUCCAAUCGAUAGAAUCUUUUAGGAGGAAAUUCUAUCCAAAUCGAACUUUUAUUUACACUAUCCCUUCAAAAUUUUAAACAUAUGUGUUUCUUGUGGGAGAUAUCCAUAAUCGUAACUUACCCAUCAGAAGAUUGAGUAGGAGGAAAUCAUGACUUUUUUUUUUUUUAUAACAAAAGAAGGCAGAGAAUAUUCGAUAUGAUACUUAUUAAUUGCAAAUUAUAUUAAAAAAAACUAAUUAAGUUUUAUUUCUUCCGCUUGGUAGAGAACAUUUGAUAUGAAACUCUAAUUAACUGCAGAUUGCAAAACUAGUGAUUAAAGGCGCGAAUGAUAAACAUUCUAACUAGAAAUUGAUUUCUGGAAGAGAAAUAGAUUUUUUUAUUUCUAUUUCUAAAUGAGUUUCGAAGCAAAAAUACCCGUUUGAUAACGACACAAAAUUUCUACUCUAAAAAUAGAAAUUCGUUUGAUAACGACAUAAAAUUUCUUCCUUUCACCGACCAACGCUGCCGCCAUCUGCCGUCCGCCAGUCCGCAAUGAAGACCGGUUCAUAGUAAGGACGAAUGGUUCAUAGUAAGGAUGAACGAUGAGAAUAAUUUUUAUUUCUCAUUUCUGUUCCAGAAAUAGAAAAGUAAAAAAAAUUUACUUCUGAUUUCUAUUCCAAACCUAUUUCUAAAACAAAAAUCUAUUUCACAAAUAGAAAAAUAGAAUAAUUUUAUCAAACGGAUUUCUAUUAUAGAAACAAGUCUGGAAUAGAAAAAUUAUUCUGGAAUAGAAAUUGUAGUUUGUCAUGCACCCCUAAGAGUCCCAACUUGAUAGUUUGUGUUAUAACGUCUGACAAAAAUGUUAUGAAACUAAUAGGGGUGGACACACAUUGCAAUAGGAACACCCCCACCUCCGUCCUAGCCUAACUAGCCCUCAUUAUCGUCGAAUUUGUCAAUUGACGAAUGGAGCAGAUUGGAGCCCGUCGAUUGAUCCAAUUAUAUGAUUGAGAAAUCUCUAUGUUUAUAGCUAUACUUUUACCUUUUACCGAUUUUCUACAAAAAUUUUGUUACGUGUGGAAUAAUGAACGGUCCAUAAUUAUUUGAAAUUGCCGCGGAAACGGACGGCAACUUUUUAGCAUCACCUUACUGCGAAGACUUUGUUGUGGGCUACGACUAGCGCAGCCCUUGGGCCUGCAUCGCUUGUGAAUGGCACUCACGACGUACUCGUUUCUUGGAUAAGCAUUUAUCUGGCUCGGUAGUGAUCGACCCAUGUGUCCUGGAUGAAUAGUAGUAGCAAAAUUGACGUCGGCGAAGAGGGGUCAACAGAGAAGAUGUCCAGUCCAAUUAAAGAUAUCAAACACAUCCGGGGUGGACCCGCCUUUAUCCAUGCGUUCCCAAACUUUAUGGACUGUGCAUCGAUAAAUACAGUGUCUUUAGAUGUAUACUGUCGUUGGGAUGCAAGAGAGAUCAUCGAGAACGCAUGGGGACCAAGUUCCUAUAUUUACGAGCUGACGGCAUGAGAGCAGAGGCUUGGUUACCUGGAAGCCUAUAGAAAACCCUGCAAGCGUCAUGGAUAGUCCAAGUGGUCUGCGCAGGUGGUUCUGACUAGAGCAGCUUGUACACGGUUAUUGGAAUUCAAACAAAUGAACUCCAAUUUCUGACUUACCAAUCUCUAGAUUUGCAAUAGGCAAAUUGUUUCCCAUUUUAUCCAGUUCACUGGGUCAAGUUACAAAGAUAAUCUAAUUCGUUUGGAUAAAAUUUCUUAGGCUUUGAUUGAGAAGUCACGUUGAAUAAGGUGGAUAGGCUAUUUGCAUGGGAACCAAGAACCACAUAGAGAGAUAUAUCCUAUCAUAUGGUUAAUUAUUUCCACCAAAACAUCAUAUGAUACAUGAUAGAAAAUGUGGAUUAUGCAUAUUCUCUAAUGUAGUUUCAUUUUGCAAAUGAACCAAUUAGUCCUUUCCUUUCCUAAUCCCUGGAAAGUAAGCACUCUUCCUGGAGAUUUUCAUUUAUCUCUUGUAGAAGUGAUUAUAAUUAGGUUACUGAUAAUGGCAUCUUAUCACAAUGACUUUAACCCUAAUUCAUGACUAGUUAGCCAGUGACAGUUUAUCUAUUGGAGAGCAUGCACAGAUAUGGAGGCAGCGGGGAGAAUCUCAUCUGCACGUGAAAUCACAGCUUCCCAUCUUGAACAUUCAUCAGAUUACUGCACAUUUUGAUUAAUUAACCAGGGCCGGUCCAAUCUGAGAUAUAGAUGGAUGCUCUUUUCUUGCUUAAUCACAUUAUUAGGGAAGAGUUGUCCUUUACGAUAUCGGCAUAUUGCAUUAUUCCAUUUGUUUUUCAUAACCUAAGACAUGUCCUAUCGGAGGCAUAUAUGGAUGCUUGUCUUUAAUCAAGUCUUUUUCAAGUAGAUUGAUAUAAUUUACUACCUAAGUAGUUCUUGUUUCUAGCUAAUUCUCAAGUGUUCUUUUUUUUUUUUUUUUGCCUAUUCUAUUUCAUCCUUUCACCAAUUACGCGGGCUUUCCCAUCACCUUCUUUUAUUUUGUGCUCAAACGCCUUACAGAUUCCACGUGAUGAUAGAAUGAUUAGAGUCCAACAAAAAUCUAAUGCCUCGCUCUUUAUUAGUUAGAACUUAGGAGUUCCCCCACAGACCAACUUAUUUUUUGAGCUUAGGAGUCCCUAGAAACCAACUUAUUUUUUAUAUUUUCCUUUAUAUCAUGCUUUUGAUUAGUAGGUCAUAGCUUAUGGACAUCAUUCACAUGUAUACUCAAUUCAAUUUCAAUAAGGACAAUAUCUGUAUAUGUAACUAACCAAUCAUAAGACUGAGCAAGAGGAAAUCAUGACCCUUUUUUAACAACAAAUAGAGUCAAGGGAUUGCGAUGAUAUACCUCACUCAAGCCUUAGGUUCAAAUCACCCCGUUUGUGCAAGUACAAGCCUAUGUAUCAACAGUAAUUACUCGAUUGGUGUUAUAGAUUUGUCUGAGAAUCAAACGGAAUACAAUACUUGUUAAUUGCAAGUUGAACUAGAAUAACUAUUAAGUUUUAUUUCUUUCGCUUGGCAGAGAACAUUCGAUAUGAAACUCUAAUUAACUACAAAUUGAACUGACACAAGUUUUGUUUCUUUCGCUUCAUCCAUUUGUCCUAGAGAAUCUCUCUCUCUCUCUCUCUCUCUCUCUCUCUCUCUCUCUCUCUCUCUCUCUCUCUACCAUCAGUCCUAUAAAUUUCAUGCUCAAUCAAGCGAACCCUCCAACAACAUCAGCAUUCCCUCUCUCUAAAGAAAUGAGCGAGAUCGGUUUUAUCAAAAUGUCUCUCUUCUCCCUCUUCCUCGUCCUGCUGUUGCCACUCCAUGUUAGUUUUCUCAAGCUCUCUUCCCUCCCCUUCCACACACCAUAAUCACUGCUCAUCCUAUUUACGAACUUCGCAUGCAUUAACACUCAUAGUUUGUUGACCUUGUUUAUGUUCCUAUAUAUGUUAAAAGAGACAUGCGAAACAAAAAUCACGAAGUGAAAGACAUAUAUAAUGCCAUAAUAUAUAGGAGGUUUAUGUGUUCGCUUGUUUUUAUAACGUAGUGUAAGUCUCCAUUACUUAUGCUAAGCCAGAUAUGAUGUAUUGACAAAGAAAAAAAUGACUAUUAUCAUUCAGAUUGUGGACAUAAGUUGAAGGAUUUGUUAGGAAUAUUUAUCAUGCUAUCUAUUCUAUUCUUAAAAGUUGAUUUCAUUCUUGUUAUCUCACGGGCAUAACUUCUUGCUACUUUGCUUACGACCAUUUGCACGUUCAUUGCAGUUUCAUCCAUAUCCCAUGUAUAUGCUGCAUAAAUAUUUCACGAAGUCUGUUUGGCAUCGUAUUGCGAUUGUGGUGUAGCCUUGUUUGUCUUAUGACUGAGUUGUAAAUUGAAUUUUAGGGUUCGAUAUCUUUUAAACUAGGUGAACUAUCCUAGGUCGGUUGCAUCGUGCUAACUUUCUAGUCACUCAUUGAUUUUCUCUUUCGUCUCGCUAUAGGUUGUUUCCACCACCGCGAGAACCGCCGCCAAUGCCAACUCCCUUGCCGGCGAUGCCAACUCAAUCCCUCCCAAAGAAUAUUUUGUCCGUUACUGGACUGAACAAAUCACUAGCAACCCUGCCAUACCACCACUGCUCACAUCCAAAGUUUCACCCUUAACUGCUGCACAAACAACCCUUUUUGCCCAGCUCGUGGCUAAAGGUGCCAUCUCCGAUCACCUCUCAUCUUUCUGCAGGGCAGCACAACUGCUCUGCUUCCCAGCCUCACCACACUAUCCAGUUGGCUACACUGUCGAAAAUAGUGCCACGACGCGGGCAGGUGGCAUGAACGUGAACAGGGGCGUGGAGCCUAAUACUUCCGGGAAUCGAUGCUGAGGAGUGGGAAUGUGAUCCGGAUGCCGGAUCUUCGUGUCAAAUCUCCCAAAAGGUCGUUUUUGCCUCGCAGCAUUUCCUCCGGAUUACCGUUCUCCAUCUCGAAACUCGCCGAGCUGAAGCAAAUCUUCCAUGCUGGGGACGAUUCCAAUAUGGAGAAGAUCAUGAUGCGCACACUCAGCCAGUGCGAGCAAGCGCCAAUCCAAGGUGAGACCAAGCGAUGUGUAAGCUCUGUCGAGGGGAUGAUCGACUUCGCCACCACAAUACUAGGCCACGACAUCCAGCUUCACUCCACGGAGAGCGUCGAAGGGUCGAAGCGUGAGAUCUUAAGACUUCGGAUUAGAUUUUUAAUCAUUUUGAUUUCUUUGUCGUGAUAAUUAGAGUUAAGAUAAUCGUUAAUUUGACCUGUGAGACAACAAGUUAUUUUUUCGAUUAUCUACUCCUUUAUUUUGUUGAUAGCUUAGAUUUAAUAUUUAUUGAAUAAUUACUUAUCUUUUAAGAAAAAAAGCUACAAAAUCAAAAAAAAUUAAAAAAAAAUCAAAAUUAUGCAUGAGCAUAUAGGUUUGGUAACUCAGACAUUUAGGUUUAGUAAAUUAGAAUUUUCUUAGGAUUACAUUUUUAGGAUUGCAUUUUUAGAAAUAAGUUAGAGUUAAACCUAAUUAAUUUUUUAGGGUUUUAGAUAAUGUUCGCACAUUUAAUUACCUCAUUUUUCAAAAAAAAAUAGUUUUCUAAGAUAGGAUAGGGUUUAAGUCAAAUUAAUCCCUAGAAUAAAUUAGAAAAUUAUCCCUUUUUAGAUAGAUUAAUUAGGGUCUUCAUAAAUUCUAAACUUCAAUAAAAAAAAAUGCAAAAAUACUAGGUGCAUGUUAACUAGUUUGCAUAAUAGAAUCAUUUAAUCAGAAUUUAUUCAUUAGUGAAAUUAGGUCAUGAGGUGCAUGUUAAUUAGUUUGCAUAAUAGGCCCAUUUAAUUAGACUUUGCAUAUUAAUAAGAUGACUAAAAAAUGCAUUUUCAUAAAAGAAUUCUGAUUAAAAAAGAAAUAAAAAAAAAUUGUUUACUUCGUGUGAUGCAAUUUAUUUAUUGAAUGUUUGAGCAUCCGUGUGGUCACUUUUUGAAUGAUAGUAGUUUAGGUUAAAAUAAAUUAGCUACCUGCCAAAAAAAAUAAACAUUUUUGAAAAUUAAAAAGAAAUGGUACCGAAAGGGCAUUAGAGAGAUCUAGUGUAACCAAAUCCCCGUACCUUUAGUCUCUGGUUCGUAGAAGUAAAAUAAUUCUCCCAUUAUUUUACUUAGGUGUCUAAUCGACCUACCAUAAAUCGAUCAGUGGCGACUCCUAGAUAAUAAUCAUUUGCAUGUUAAAUAUUUGAAUAUCAAGUCGUGAAUUGGUAUGGGCUUGGGAGAGCUUGAGCUAAAUUUAAAGACUUAGUAGUCCAUUAACCUAGUUUUAGGUGGUGCACCCGAAAAAUAGGUCGCGACAGUCGUCCACUGACAAAGGCGGUUUGUUCCAUAGAAAUCAGCUUAGGUAACCAAGGUUUUAGGCGAUUGGCAAUUACCUUCGAAAUGACUUUAUAUGUAAAGUUACAGAGACUGAUUGGUUUGUAUUGCUCCAUUCUCUUUGGAUGAGAAGUCUUGGGAAUCAAAGCUAUAAUAGUGCGGUUCAAAUUGGCCAACAUCCGUCCUGUCUGAAAAAAAUUUUGAACUAGAAGAACAAGAUCGUCUUUUAUAACCUCCCAAUGUGUUUGAUAAGAUAUUCCAUUGAAACCAUCAGGGCCUGGUGCCUUAGUAGAUCUCAGCUGAAAGGUAGCCCGGCGAAUCUCCUCUGAAGUAACCACUUCCAGCAAUUGGUUGUUCAUUUCAUUGGUAACCACCUGUGAGCAUUGUUGAAUUAUGGGACUAUACUCUCGAUGACCCACCAUUGUAUAUAAACCUGAAAAGAAAUUGCGUGCCAUAACCUGUAAAGUAUGAGGAUCUCGAAUCCAUUGUUGGCGAUCAUCUUGAAAAAAUCGGAUAACUUACCGAUAAAUUUAUCGAUAGAAAAUAAUGCAUAGAUUAUCGAUGAGAUCCUUCACUAGUAGACAAAUUGAAUGAGAUCGAUAAGCCAUCAACAACAAAUAAUUACCUCAAGUAGUUGCAAAUUUCCAGUGAAUUAUUGAGGCUGUGUAAUUCAUGACCAAAACAGAGGCUUGCCAGAAUACAUCAGUAGGCAAAUACGGUGGAUUCACACCAACACGUGAUCAUUAGGUGGUUAUGCCUAUAACCAUGGAAUUUAUGACUUCUUCUGGAUAAUCACUGUCAAAUGAUAGAGGAUAAUGUUUAUAGUCUCGUAAAGCAUAAUUGCUCACCAAUAAUUGUAAAGAGUGCUAGGAAAUUAAUCGUGGAUUCAAAUCAAUAACUGCUUGUAAAAACUGCCCCAUGGUAAGAGAUAAAGCCCCAUGUUAUACUCAUUGUAAAAAAAAUCAAUCAACACCUAAUUUUCUAUUCUUAUGCACAUUUAAUUUCUUCUUUAAUUUUCCAGGAAAUGUACCGUUUUAGUAUCUUCAUAUUUUCGUGCCUUUAAUGAUUCUCGCAACUUUUAAUUUCCGAUACUUGCACUGCAAUUUCUUUACUUCUAUAGUCAUUUAGGGUGCGAAUGGUAACGUUUCUGUUCUUUUUUUGUUCCAGGGAAUAGAAACAAAAAAAAGUGUUUCUGUUCCGGGGAACAAUUUUUGAACAAAAAAACGCGUUUGGUAACAUUUGGUCCGGGAAUAAAAAAUGAACAGAAACACGUUUGGUAAAUUUUAUUCUUUUUUUGUUUCUUUUAAUUUUUUAAACAUUUUUAUUUUAUUUUUCAUUUUUUCCUUUCUUUUUUAUUUUUUCUUUUUUCGGCCGGUCACCGGCCUCCGGCGACCGGCCAACGAGGCCGGCAGCCUCGCCCAGCCAUGGCGAGGCUCGCCGGCCCUCGGCGAGGCCGAGCCUCGCCGUGGUUGGGCGACGCUCAGCCUCGCCUUGGCUGGGCAAGCUCGAGCUCGCCCAGAUCCGGCGAGGCCGAGCCUCGCCGGGGGGCCAGCGACGCUCGGCCUCGCCGGAUCUGGGCGAGGCCGAGCCUCGACGGCCGGUCACCGGCCAUGGCCGAGGCCGGCGACCGGCGAAAGAAAAAAGAAGAAAAAAAAGAAGAAGAAAAGAAGAAAAGAAGAAGAAGAGAGAGAAGAAACGUUUCCUUCGUUUUUGUUUCUGGAGCAAGAAACAACAAAUUGUUGUUUCUUUUUUAUGUUCUUAUUUCGUUCCAGAAACAAAAAAACAAAAAAAGAACAGAAACGCAACCAAACGCGUUUCUGUUCUUUUUUUGUUCCCGGGAACAAAAUCCGUACAGAAGUGUUCCAGAAACGUUUCUUAGAAACGUUUCCAUGCACACCCUUACAUUCUUGUCUAGAACCAACAAAGAAUCUAUUUUCUUCAAUAUUCACCGAUCCGAUUCAUCUAUUGAUAUUUACACUUUUUGGUGAAACACUAGCCUCAUUGUUUGCACUAGUCAAUGUUUGGAGUUGAACUCAUGUCAAGCGUUCUAAUUAUUCCACAAACAUGUGUUACUUUUUAUAUCACUAAAGCAACUCUAAUGGAUUUUGAUGUUAUAACUUCCAAACGAAGAGUGUGUAAAGAGUGGAAAUUAGAGAAUCACAGUCUGCGUGCUCUAUAAUUUCUUUUCCAAAAAAAAAAAUCCGAUCAGUUAUUGCAAGAAAAGAAUUAUUGUGCGACAAUAGAUGCUCAAUUAUUCGAUGGACAUUAAAUCCUCAUACAUGUGUGAGUUGACAAUCAAUAAGGAAAGGUCUAUGGCACGCGUGAUGGUGAUGGAUUUGUAUCUCUCCAAACAUGUCCUAUUCUGUGCACUACAAUCCGACAUGUCUUGUCCCAUAAAGCUUAAUCCAUUAAAUUGUGAGCCACAGAAUUCACAAGCAUCUAUGGAUUUAUUGUCAUCGCUCUCAAAGAUCUCAUUUGCUAGUUGGAGCACUUCUCUCCAAAAAUGAGGAUAUAUUGAUGUGAAAUUGACACCCUAGAUAUCAGAAGUUAGUGCAUACAUAAACUUCAAUCGAUCCUUUUCUAUAUUUUUCUAAUAAUAGUAGGAUAGUAAUGUAAACAAUGCUAAGCCAGUGCCAUGCAUCCACUGUCAAAUGAAUGCACUUGUAAAAAUAACCUAAAUAUAUUUACCCUUCAUCUGCCACCGUUCGUUAUUAGCACUACCCUCCAUAAUACCGCCAUCGAUCUGGGCAUCUCUCUCUCUCUCUCUCUCUCUCUCUCUCUCUCUCUCUCUCUCUCUCUCUCUCUCUCUCUCUCUCUCUCUCUCUCUCUCUCUCUCUCUCUCUCUCUCUCUCUCUCUCUCUCUCUCUCUCUCUCUAGGUGGGCACAAGUUUUGUCUCAUGGUCAUCAAACUGGGAGGAGUAGUAUUUUUCUAAAGAAAAGUGCACCUAAAGUCUUAAAAUUUACUACGAAAAUACAUUUAAAUCCUAAAAUUUUCAAAAUUGUAAUCAGAUGUUAAAACUGAUUAAAAUAAUGUAAGUAAGUAAUACGUCCUCUAUUAUUUUUUUCCUAAAAAAAAAGAUCCAAUCAGUUGUUACAAGAAUAGAAUUUUUGCGAAGGUGAGUGACAGGAAAUUUUCUAUAAUUCAAUGGCCAUUAAUCCUCAUACAUGCGUGUCGAUGACAUGCUUGAUGGUAAUGGAUUUGUAUCUCUCCAAACAUGUCCCAUUAGGUGCAGUACAAUCCUACAUGCUUAUCUCAUAAUGCUUAAUCUUUUAAAUUGUGAGUCGCAUAAUUCAUAAGCAUCUCUAGAUUUAUCAUCAUCGCUCUAAAAUAUCUCAAUUUGCAAAUUGGAGCACUUCUCCCCAAAAACGAGAUGCUAAUGUGAAAAUGACACCCUAGACAUCUAGAAGUAAGUGCAUACAUAAACCUCAAUCGGUCCUUUUCUAAUAUUUUCUAGUUAACAAUAGUAUAAGUUAAAAUUAAACAAUGCUAAGAUAGGUGGCAUGCAUUCACAUGUCAAAUGAAUACACAUGUAAACUUAAUCUAGAGAUAUUUACUCUCCAUCAGCUUCGCCCACAACUAAAUUAGUUGCAUUGGUACUAGCCUCCAUAGCAUCACCAUCGACCCGGCAUCUUUCUUGCAGGCGUAACGUAGGCACAAGGUUUGUCUUGUCGUCAUUGAACUGAGAGGAGUAGUAUUUUUCUAAACAAAAGUACACUAAAAGUCUUAACAUUUAUCAUAAAAAUAUAAUUAAAUCCCAAAACUUUCAAAAUUGUAAUCAGAUGUUAAAACUGUUUAAAAUAAUGUAAUUAAGUCCUACGUGCUCUAUUAUUUUUUCCCAAAAAAAAAAAGAUCCAAUCAAUUAUUCAAUUAUUACAAGAAAAGAAUUUUUGUGAAGGUGAGUGACAAUAGAUUUUCAAUUAUUCAUUGGCCAUUAAUCCGCGUACAUGCGUAAGGUGACAAUCGACAAGGAAAGAUCUAUAACAUGCUUGAUGGUGAUGGAUUUGUAACUCUUGAAACAUGUCCUAUUAUGUGUAGUACAAUCCUACAUGCCUGUCCUAUAAUGCUUAAUCCUUUAAAUUGUGAGUUGCAUAAUUCAUAAGCAUCUUCAAAUUUAUCAUCACUGCUCUAAAAUAUGUUAAUUUACAAAUUGGAGCACUUCUUACCAAAAAUGAGGAUCUAAUGUGAAAUUGACACCCUAGAUAUCUAGAAGUGAGUGCACACAUAAACCUCAAUCGGUCCUUUUCUAAUAUUUUCUAGCUAACAAUAGUAUAAGUUAAAAUUAAACAAUGCUAAGAUAGGUUGCAUGCAUUCACAUGUCAAAUAAAUGCACAUGUAAACUUAAUCUAGAGAUAUUUACUCUCCAUCAGCUUUGCCCAUAGCUAAAUCAGUUGCACUAGAUCUAGCCUCCAAAGCACCGCCAUCGAUCCAACAUCUUUCUCGCUGGCGUAAUCACCUCUCUCUCUCUCUCUCUCUCUCUCUCUCUCUCUCUCUCUCUCUCUCUCUCUCUCUCUCUACGGAGGUAGGCACAAGCUUUGUCUUGUCGUCAUCAAACUGGAACGAGUAGUAUUUUUAUAAAGAAAAGUGCACUAAAAGGUUUAAAAUUUAUCGCAUCCUAAGACUUUCAAAAUUGUAAUCAAAUGCUAAAACUGGUCAAAAUAAUGUAAUUAAGUUCUACGUGCUCUAUUUUUUUUCCCAAAAAAAAAAGAAGAUCCAAUCAGUUACUGCAAGAAAAGAAUUUUUAUGAAGGUGAGUGACGGCAGAUUUUCAAUUAUUCAACGGACAUUAAUCCUUGUACGUGCGUAAGGUGAUAAUCGAUAAGGAUGACAAUCGAUUAGGAAAGGUCUAAGACACGCAUGAUGGUGAUGGUUUUGUAUCUCUCCAAACACGUCCUAUCUUGUGCAGAACAAUCCUAGAUACUCGACCCAUAAUGCUUAAUCCUUGAAAUUGUGAGCCACAUAAUUCAUAAGUAUCUCUAGAUUUAUAGUCAUUGCUCUAAAAUAUCUCAAUUUACCAAUUGGAGCACUUCUCGCUAAAAAUAAGGAUGCUGAUGUGAAACUGACACCCUAGAUAUCUAGAAGUGAGGGCCCACAUAAACCUCAAUCGGUCCUUUUCUACUAUUUUCUAGUUAACAAUAGGAUAAAUUAAAAUUAAACAAUGCUAAAACAGGUGGCGCGCAUUCACAUGUCAAAUAAUUGCACACGUAAAUUUAAUCUAGAAAAAUUUUCUCUCCAUUAGCUUGUCCCACAGCUACACCAAUUGCACUAGCAUUGGCCUCCAUAGCACUGCCAUUGAUUCGAGCAUUUUUCUCGCAAGCGUAAUCACCUCAAUCUGGGCACUGGCCUACACCAGUUCUAAAAUUUGUCGAAAAGUGCAAUCAGACCAUAAAAUUUUCAAAAAGUAUAAUAAGAUCUUAGAACUUGUCAAAUUUGUGUAAUCAAGUCCCUUUAUCAACUUUCUAUAAUUUCAUUAAUGAAAAAUGCCGACAUGAUUAUAUUAAUUACUUUUGUUAUGACCAAAGCAGAAACUACUACAAAUGAAACUAAGAAAAAUAAAAGAACACACAAAUUUACGUGAAAACUCUCAUGGGAAAAAACUACAGGGAGAGAAGAAGAAAAAUCUACUAUGGAAAUUUAAGGAUUAUCAAAGGUGGCUCGAUAAACCUUAAUAAUCUUUUUAUCACUCACUUUAAAUCUAAUAACUUGGGAAAAAAUAAUAUUUAUAUUGCUCCAUACGAGGGGGCGCAAUCCUUGCACCUUUGCCAAGGAUUAGUACUGAAGUACUGGCUUGGGCCUCGACCAACACUAAACCUGACUUUGUUUUUAUCAAGUCGGGUUGUCGCAAAUUUCAAUUUAAGUAUCAAAACUCAAUUUAGGUUGAAUGCCUGGGAACACAAUUCAAGAUAUUCUCAACAAUUUCUUGAGACACGUGGCAUCCACUAAGCACCACAUCAAAUAAUGAAACUUUUGGAAAAAAAAAAUUAAAGAAAGAAAGAGAGAGUAAAAGUAAAAUAAGAAAAAAGGGAAAAUGUUCUAACAAAAGGCUAAUAAUGAAAAGAAAGGGGAAAAAAUUAUUUUAAAAAAAAAAAAAAAAGCAAGACCUCAGCUUCUGGUUUCCAAAAGAAACAGUGGUUUCGAUUCUUGCGAGCGAAAGUUGAGAUUGAAGGGAAUGAAUCUCUUUUUAACCCCGCAGAUCGCCUACGGACACUUCUUGGAUCAGUUUUACAUAUGAAAGGCUCCACUAUUCUGCCAUGGCUGUGGUAGGAUUGGCCAUUGCCGCCACAGCUGUACCUUCAUCACAGAUGCUGCGUCGACGGAGAGGUGCUCUCGAAUUUGCGGGCUGAGUCCAGCCUUUUCUACAUCGACCCAGUUCAUUCGGUUCCAUUUCGCAAUUUUGAUAAGGAACACUAAAAAUUUGAAAAAGACUUCCUACGCUCGCGAACAUAGCAAUAAACCAAAAAAAAAAAAAAAAGUUCAGGAGGAAGAUGUAGAUGUCUACGCUAGGGUAACGACAUCAUCCCCCCUUUUUUUUCUGGUCUGAUUUCGCCUUCUAUCAAGGAGGAGCUUUGCAAUAGUUCUCAAUAAAAACCCCAUGUGGGAGGAAAAAGGUGAAGGAGAAGGGGAGUCAUCUUCAUGCAAGUGCAAGAUCUUGCCCCCUUUUUAAGUUUUUGUUCUCUCUUUCCCCCUAUCAUCCUUUUCUAUUCAUUUUUUUUUAAUUUUAAAAAUUUAUCUUUUCAAAUUUUCGAUUUUUUUUCUAAUGUGGCACUUGAUAGAUGCAUGUAUCUUAAUAAAAUAAUAAAAGAAGCGUUAGCCAAAUUGAAUUGAUUGGUUGAAAGACCUAAUUGUAUCAUUUUGACAAGUCUUAUAACUCAAUUACAUUUUUGCGUCAAUGAUCACGUAUAAUGCUCGUGACAAGGCAACCAAAAUUUCCCUUAAUUAGGUUUUCAUCUAUUAUUAGUCGGUGGCUCGACCCAUAAAAAUAUUCUAAAUUAGUAUGCGCAUAUCUACAUGCCCUCAAUGGGUUUACAGAGACACUAAGCAUAAUUAACUUUAAUCUCCAGAAAUCCACAAUUAAAAUCAAAACCCUUCUCACAAUUAAGGUUUAAUAACCAAAUCACAACAUUCGAUAAAUACACACACACACACACAUAUCAAAGCACCUCAAAAACCACAUUCAUAAAUGAUAAACUUUUCAUGAUUUUUUCAUAGAAGGUUUCGCAAACCAUUUACAAGCAAUUAAUUCAAACUGAAGUUAAAGGAUGACUCCCCAUUUUAAACAAACAAAACGGCAGUAAAUGUUCGAUCCUAUUUUAUGCAACAACAGAUGCAAUUUCUUAACUUAUAACAUAUAUAAUCCAUAUCGUUUUCAAAAUAUAAAAACACAAAAAAGAAAUAGUAUCACUUUGGGAAAGCGAAAAAUCAGCGGGAGUAAUCCCAGCACAUGACGCCAAAUACUUAUUUGUAAUUAUAAAGGGAAAACCAUUUGCAAGUUGAACUAGAAACACAGUGGUUUUGUUCCUUUCGCUUAAUCCGUUUUGUCCUUAUCGAGUCUCUGGUCCUAUAAAUUUCUGGCUCGAUCGACCAAACCCUUCGACAAUCAUCAGCAUUUCCGCUCCCUGAUUGAACAAAUACAUGCACAACAGUUUCAGCACGAUGGCUCUCACCUCCCUCCUCCUCCACCUCCUCCUCCUCCUCUCUUCUCUCCAUGUCAGUAAUUUGUCAAGCUUUCACUCUCCAUGCGUACCCAACUGCUCAUCUCUCUCUCUCUCUCUCUCUGUGUUCUCAUGCAAAGACAGGGCUAUAUGUUUAAUUCGAUAUCUCGCGCUUAAUUAGUAUAUACUUCUUACCUAAGAAUUGCUGAAAAAAUUUUGCGGCCAUUUACUCCAUUGGCAAUUACUUCUCAUCCAUUAUUUGUUAACCCAAUCUCUCUAUACUGGUUUAGAGUGCACAGGCUAUCGGAUCAAAUGGGGAGCCCAGGCUUCAUAAGAACUAUUCGAUUUAAUUUACGCAUGCAAGAAGCUAAACAUGUUAGUUUGUAUCAAAAUUAAACAUCAUAAUAUUAUAUAUAUCUUCAUACCAAAAAAAUAUAUAUUUUAUAUAAUAUAUUUAUCUCGUUUGGAUUAUCUUAACGCAUGUCAGUAGAUCAAUUGUGUUUAUGUGUUCUUUAGGCUAACAAAGAAUAUUGAAUGAAACAUAGAUAAUCAAGUGAACAUAUAAUGCUUUGAUAAUAUGAAAGCAUGUAAGUUGCAAUAGUCAUUUUAAGUGAUUAAGCAUAACGUUACUACUUUUAGACACAAGCAUCAGAUAACAUACGUUGAUGAUUAUUAGGAUUAAAUUGGUGGGUCAUCUAUGUUCAUCAUAACAAUAAUCCCAAUCAUGCUAUUACGAGGUUCUAAUUUCGUGUCACGUGACUUGUACUUUUUCGCAUGUUCAUUACAAUUUUCUGUAUGUCUAUUUUACUUCCAUAUUUAUGUCAUUGCCCAGUUACUUAAGUCCAUAAUGUCCAUUCUAAUCGUGAUUAUAUAAACUUCUAGCUCACAGUCACUCUUUGAUUUUCUUUUGUGGAUUGUCCUGCGAUAGGUCCUCACCACCGUCGCUAGGGCCACUCCCGAGGCCGACUCCCUCGCCGACGAGGCUAACUCGAUCUCUCCCAAAGCAUACCUUGUCCAUUACUGGAACAAGCAAAUCACCAACAACCUUCCCAAGCCACCAAUCCUCUUCUCCAAAGCGUCACCUCUAACGGCCGCGUCAGCGACCAUCUUCGCCGAACUCGUUGCCAAAGGCGCCAUCUCUGACCACCUCCUAUCGUUCUGCGAGGAGGCGCAAUUGCUCUGCUUCAUGAACUCAUCAUCUGAUGGGGUCGCAGCGAUAUCUCCGUCUCAAAGAUACAUAUACAUAUAUUCCGACCAAAUAAAAGAAAAAAACAUAUACGGCCUCUCCCCCCCCGAUACAAUUGUGGCAACUGAUGACAAGAAAGUAAAUGGGGGCGUGGAGCGGGG